CCUUUCUUCCUUUCUUGUUUUCUUUCUAAAAUAGAAUCGAGUGUGAGGAAAAAGAAUUUUGCAAGCUUCACCAUCAGCUAACCAAAAUAAAGCAAACAAAGGCAGAGAGACAGGAGAGAUAGCUGGUGCAGACGUGAGGGAACAAGCUGGAAAGAAAAUCUAAUCCUGUCUGCAAUUCCUAACACUAAAAGGCAAAAGGUAAAUUUUUGUGACUAAUCUCUACUUACUGAGUAUAAAUAAGUGUAUAUUCGAAUUGUAAGCCGAGUAUUAGCAGAGGAAAUUGAGCUUCGACUGAGGAAAAAUUCUGGUUUGAAAUCUGAAGGUUCACUGACUGGACCUGUGAGAAUUGAGUGAUGAUCGACUGAAAUUGCAGGUUGUUAUCAAAGGAAAAUGGAAGAGUGUUGUAGAAAAUGUAUGAAAAUGCCUGUUUCUGGCAUAAAGUGAAAUUUAGCUGUAGAAACUUGUAAAAGUUGGAACUUUAAGCUGAAUUUAUUGAAAGAAACCUGAUGAAAAUCUGUUAGCUUCACACGAGAGAAAUGGAGCUAAGAAACAUUAGCUGUCUUCUGCAAAUUUGGCUUUUAAACUUUUGUAUCAAGCUGUGAUGUGUUAUAAAACAUCUUAACUUCGUCAAGCAAGACAGAAAUGAGUGGAAACUAAAGUGAACGAAGAAUGAAUUUAAUUGACUGCAGGUAGGUUGGCCGAGGGAAUGAAGCAGGCUAUGCAACUUGUUGUUGCUGAUUCUGGAACUUUUAUUAAUGAACACAUAGAAAAUAUGUUAAUCCCUUGAUUUAACAGAUAGGUGCCUUUGAAAUUAGCAACCUUAAGAAAAGUCUAGCUGAAUUUGGUAAAAGAAAGCUGAUGCAAUCUGCUAUGAUACUAAAGGGAAGGAAAUCAGCUUUUGGAGCAGCUUGUCUUCUAAUGUCUGAUUCUGUGAACUUCCACAGGUAGAACUAAGGUUACUCUGUGGUUUAGUAACUAUGACUAGUUCCAUGAGUAGAGUUGAACUAAGGCAAAUAGGGAGGAAAACUAUGAAAUGUGCUGCUGAAUUACCUCAUGGCCGAGAGAAGAAGGGAAGAGUUGAUCAGUCUUUUCCUCUAAGUUAGCUGCAAAAUUUUCCACGUUCUGUACAGGGUUACUUUGUAGCUUAAUAAAUGUAAUUAACCUGUCUAGUUGGGAUAUAAAAUUGGAAGGAGGAACUUGAGAGAAACGGCAAACGUUGGACUGAUAUAUUGCUAGGAAGCUACUUGAAGGCCACGAUAGCUGAUGGCAGUUUUUGUAGGGGAAUUUGGUCGAAAAACCUGUUGAAAUUAUGAGUCAUGUACCUUAAUUCAUGUUGGACAGAAUGUGUAUUGUGUGUUUGGUGAUCUAGGCAAGUAAAAGUUAGAAACUCUACCAAAAACUUUGAAGUAAGGUUGCUGGAAAUUUGUUUAAUGGCCGAGAGAGGGGCUGAAACUCUCAUGUGAUAUUUGGAAAAUUUCAUGAUAAUUGGCUACCAUCUUGAAUGAGACGUUGUACAAUAUCCUGUCACUGUUCUUAUGUGCACUCUAUUGACUUUUAACAUCUGAAAGGUUGGUAAAACCUUAGGAAAUUCUAGCUAAAACUAGUAAAGAAAAGCUGAGAUCCAAACUAUUACAUUGUUGGAGAAACUAACGUUUGAUGGAAUGGAUUGCUGGAAAUAGAUGCUGCUUACCUUGAUCUAUGCUAGACCGAAAGUACAUUGAAAUACUUAAAACUGUAAGCAAGUAAAAGAGUAAAGUUUUAUUGAAAACUUGAAGUAUACAGCUGGAAUUUCGGUUUGUUGGUUGAAAUGGGGGUUAGUUAAGCUUUCUAUGAUAUUUUUGGAAACUCUAAGGUAACUCGUUAUAGCUAUAUACAUAACAUGGUUUCAAAUCACCUAAUCUUGUCCUCACAAGCAUUUUAAAGAUUUUAGAACUUGAAAGAUUUUAGAACUUGAAGGACUAGUAUAGAGAAAUAAAAUCUAAAUUACAAAUGGCUUAAAGUUAAUUAAUAAAAGGGAAUCAAUGGAGUGUUCCUAAGCUUUAAUCUUAGAAUAUUCAGUGGAAAAUGGUUUAAUUAUAAUUUAAAUAUUUUAUAAAUUAUACACUUGGAAAAUACAUAUAUUUCUUGGUUUAAAAUGAUAAAGUCAAAAAGUCGCGAAAUGAAAUGUAGAAUAAAUAUUGAAUAUAUUAUAUUUUGUAUUUUGAAGUCAAACUUGAUUUUAAUAGUUCAAAUAAUAGGGUAAUAAAUGGUAAAUGAACAUUUACAAAUUGUAUAUUUUUUUAGAGUUAUAAAUUGUCUCAGGGGAUAGCUGUGAGCCAGGAAACAAACCCGAGACUCGAGAGUAAUUUAUUUGGAUAUUUGGUGAGUGUUUCCAAAAUUUAAUGUGUUUAACUGUUUAUGUUUACUGUCGCGCCCCUUUUUUGAGAAAACUAAAUAAACGGUUUAAAAAGUGAAUUUUUGAUUUGAAAAAUGAAUCUUUGAUUUAAAAAGAAAAAUGGGCCUAAAUGGACUUGUAAUGCGACGAUUUGGGCCCAAAAUAAGGUUUAAAAAGGGUUUUUGAAUAGAAAAUCGGAGUCGCCACUUGGUAUUGAGUUAAGGUGUACCAAGUCACCUAAAAAUGAAUUUUGAUGAAAUCAUGUAAAACCCUUUUUAAACGACUCCUAAGUCUACGAAAAUUAGAGAAAAAAGAUUCGGGAGUCACAUUUGAAGAAAGGGAAGGCAAGGACAAAAAUCCGAGGCAUCCUUUCAACCUAGCCAAGGCUAGUUGCGUGAUUUAGUCAAAGAUUUUCUUGUUUUAACCUAAAGAUUUAUCACAUUUGAAUUGCUAUAUGAAUGCAAACUGUAGACACCAAAUUUUUACUCUUUUAUUUAUUUAUUUACUAUUUUUGUUUAAUUUAUCUCAAAAUUUCAUUUUUUUAGCAUUUUGGACAUCAAAUCUUUUAAUUUAGUUUUACUUGUUAAUUUUAUUCAUUUUUGCUUAUUUGUCUAUUAGUUUUAAGACGUUUAAGCAUUAAUAUUUUUCGGGAAAAAAGAGAAUUGCUCACAAAAAAAAUAUUCUUUAAAUUUUAGAUUCAAUUUAGGGAGGUUUGCUAUUUAUUUAUUUUGUUAAAAAAAAAAAGGGCUCAUGCACCAUGCGGCACUGGAUCCAAGCUCUUUCUCAAUAUUUCAAGGCAGAAACAAGCUUCAGACAUCACAAAAAAAUUGCAGCUGGCUUUUUCUUCCCAUUUGAUUCGUUACUCAAAGGGUUCCCAGUACAAACGGGAUCAAAGGGCAAGAGCAGGCCACAUAAACCCAUUUCUGGGGUUUGACAUCUCGGCCUUCCAUCGUAGGUUGAGGUUUUGGGGUUCCUUUAAAUGCUAGAGCCGCAGCCAAGAAGGGGGGUAACAACUGACGAAAGAGAGUGGGACGGCUAGGAAAAAUCUGGGACAAAGAAAUAGAGCGGUGGCGGAGACAGAGAGAAAAGAAAAACCAGGGGAAUGAGGAGAGCUUGAGAGGCUAGCGACGGCUGGGAGGUUGAACAGUGGCGAGGUUUUUGAUAGAGAAAGAAACUAAGAAAACGCAGGGCUGUGGGUGGUUGACGGCUAGAAAAGAAAGAGACUAGAGAGAGAGGAGGCUGAGGACGGCUAGGAAAAAGAAACCAGAGAGGAGAAAGGUGCAGCGGCUGGGUCUUGGGAAUCUGGAGCUGACGGCUAGGGUUCUGGACAAGAAAGCUAAGGGUUUCAGAGAAGAUCUGGGGAAGUAAAGGGCGCGUAGAAAGAGAUCUGAAAGGGAGAAAACAGCAGAGGAAAAGGGAAAACGAGGUGCUGCUACCGCUGCAACAAAUCUGCCUGGGCGUUGUUUUUCCCAGAAACCAACGUCACUUUCCUGAGCUUUCCCGUUUGAUUUACUUCACAGACGUUUGCAGGUGACUCUAGCCUUUCUUGCUGCCAUUUUCAUACCAUUUUGUGAAGAUCUGGGGUUCAUUGCAUGAAUUUCCUCCUUGUGCAUGCAUGUUUGUUCCCUUUCUUUGUGGUUUCAUCUCUGGUUCUUUGUAGAAACCCGUGUGGCCAUGUGGUAACUUGUUUCAGCUCUAUAUCUCUGUGUUUGAAUCGUGUGUUGUUAUAGUUCAUGAAAACCCAGGGUAUAGGAAUCAUUUCCAGCCUCCCCUUAGUCGAUGAUUAGUCUUCAUUUUGCCGAAAGGAGGUUGUAGAAAUUUUGGCAGGCUCUUUCCUCUAAUUUUUGUAUUUAAACAUGAGAGUUUUGUGGCUCAAAGUGAAAAAUGUGCGGUCAUGUUGUAACUUUGAUUCAUGUUUCAUCGAUUAAAUCGCCAGUAGUGGUGUUUGAAUGAACAAAACCAGAAAACUGCAGCAAGAAACAGGCUACAGACGCAAAUGAAAGAAAGCUGCAUUUCUUUGUCAUGUUUUGCUGCUUUACUUUUGUCCUGUAACAGCCACGAAGUUGAGUUUCCUCACUUUGUUUGCAUGCUCAAUCUUAUGUCAAUGAUAGUUGUAGAGAAAUUGAUGAGGCUUGGGUUUUUGUUUAUAGCUUUGGCCAUCUUUCUGGUUUGUUAACAAGCUGCGAUAUGGUAGGAAAAAUGCAGCAGGCUGCACUUUCGAUUGCUGAAGCUUUUAGUUUGAUUGAAAUUUGUGGUUUUAUACCAUGUACAUGCUCACACUGAGUUUCCUACUCUUGUAUCUUUGCUGGCAUUUUUCACACACGAGCACUUUAGGUGAAUGUUUAAAUGUUGUUUUGAUCAAGCUUAGCUAGAGGUUGCUGAAAUUCCAAAGUACGGGAAAAACCAUGAGUUGUCCAGAUUUUGUAUGCCUUUUGGCAACUUUUUGGUGUUUAAAAUGAGAGGAUAAGAUAGUGGUCUUGUUAUUCUAAGGGUGAAACUUGUUAAGAGCUGCGGAAAACCUGCUAUUCUACAAAUUGCAGCAGAGAUGUUGGCCGCAAAUUGCAGAAAGCUUUGCUGCGCCUUUUAUUCUUCUUCUUUUGCUAUUUAAUUUUUUUACCCUUUGAUGGUCAGCCUCAGUUCUUGUUUCAAUCCUGCAAUGAAGUUGCAUGUUUAGUCAAUGAUUGAUACUUUAAAUCCUGGCAUUUGGUGGACAUGGUUGCAUGAUGAACUGGAAAGAAAGUCACGGCAGGAAUGGUGCAGAAAAGAAAACUCCUUCUACGUUGUUUGCAUGCAUGAAAUAAAGGAAAAAUUGCAUUUUAACCUUUAAUUUGUGUUUAAUUCUAUUAUGGCCUGGAAAAUUGGGAAGACUAAUCAAUUGGGUCCCAUAAAAAUGUUGUCUUUGAUUGAUAUGUUCAAUGUAGUUCUUGGACAGAUCAUUCAUGAAUUUUAGAACGAAUUUUUGAGGUUUAAUCGUUUGAGGGCUUUAUGAUUUUGAUGUGUUUUUUUUUAGUGAAAUUUUUUGAGUUUUGUUGUUUAAUUGUCACGAGUGAUCACUUUUUUCGUGAAUUUUAGCAUUUGAUUGAUAGGUCUCAUCUCAAGCCAUCAAUUUUGGUAUUUUAUUGUAGACCCUUAAAAUAAUUUUUUUUUAAUUUAAUCAUUUUAUUUAGGACCUUGUUUGCUUUAAUUUCUGGCAUAUGGAUGGUUUAUUUUAUGUCAAUACCCUAAGUGACUCCAUUUCGUGUUUAGUUUUCAUUUCGUGUUUAAUUUCAUGUAAUUAAUUAUUAAUUAAAGUGAUGCCUUGACCCUUUUUUUAUUUUUUGGAGGUAAAUAUAGUAAAUUCCGUCUCCUUAAGCCAUCAAUUCAAGGGAGGUACACUCUAUCCCUUAUUUUCACUUUAUUUGACCCUACGUGCAUAUAUGUGUCUUAUGUGUACAAUUGCAUGAUUUUAAGUGUUUAUUUCAUUUUUACUUUAUUUAUUUUUCUAGUUGCUUAUUUUUUGCUUUAAUUUUAGUUCAAUUUUAUCAUUUGGGAGGCACUUGAAUGCCAAGUUGUAAUAGUUAGGUUUAUUUUAUUCAUUCCUUCUUAUUUCCCCUUUUAAAUUGUAGUAGGCCUUCCCCCUAAAAAUGUAAUAGUUAGGGCCUUAAUUGUCUUGUGUGUUUUGCAUGUCUAUGUGUUAUGUGUUUAAUCGCUUUCUUAGGUUUUGGCAUCUAGAUAUGCAUGCUUAUGUGUUAUGUGAAUUACGUGCUCACAUGUCUACUUGCUUUAAUUAUGCAUAUUACUUAUAUAUGUGUAUGAUCGAUGCAAAUGCACGUAACCGUGGCUAGUCCAAUGCUAGGGUUGUCCCUCGAGCUCUUACAAGUCCAAUGCUUGUGAGAGAGUGUAGAUGUGGGCUAGUCCAACGCUAGACCCAAUAGGGCCCUUCUCGCUAGUACAUACUCGCAUGCCUUCACUACAUCUUCAUUCAUUCUUUUAGUUUUACACUUUUGCAUGACCCUUCACUCCCUUUCCCUUGCACAUUUAGGAUUGCAUUUUCAUUUAGACUAGCUCAUUUGCUUGUAUAGGUUAGGAAGUCACCCUUCUGGUAAGGGAAACGAGCGAGUAUGGCUACACAUAGCCUUAGCACGCUAGUUCUUCAUUCUAACCAAAAGGCUUAAAAGUCAGACUUAGAGUCUCCCGUACCCAUCUUGCUUGCACUCCUCUAGGGUUCAUGCAUUUCAUUUACCCCCUAUCAUCUACACAACUCUUAUUUUGUACAUCUUCACUCUACCACUCGCACUUUAUAUACUAUCACUUGCACACAUGCACUUUAUGCUAUCACACAUACAUUUUACACUAUCACUUUACAUACCUCACAUUGCACACUCAUUUUUGCACACUCCCACUCAUACACCAUUAUCUUUUAGUACUUUUCUUUUACUUCACACAAGCUCAUGUUUUCACAUUACAUACAUUCAUUCCACUCAUUCUUACGUCAUUAGCAUUAUUCAUGACCUCUCCAAAGGAUCAUUAUUGGGCAUCACAAUUAAUGUGAUUGGCACCACUCAAUCUUUGAAGAGAAAUUUUGCCCCCGAUGUCCCCCUAGGUCUAGGUUUUGCAUUCAUAAAGUGCAUCCAAAUGUGAUAAAUGUUUUGGUUAAAACAAGAAAAUCUUUGACUAAAUCGCGCAACUAGCCUUGGCUAGGUCGAAGGGGUGCCUUGGAUUUUUAUCCUUGCCUUCCCUUCGAGUCAAAUGUGACUCCCGAACCUUUUUCGUUGGUUUACGUAGACUAGGAGUCGUUUAAAAGGGAUUUUCUUUUUACCUUUUCCUCUAAAAAAUCAUUUUUAGGUGACUUGGUACACCUUAACUCUAUACCAAGUGGCGACUCCGAUUUUUAUUUCAAAAACCUUUUUAAACUAUAUUUUGGGUCAAAUCGUCGCAUUUUCAAGUCCCAUUUAGACCCACUUUCUUUGUAAAUCAAAAAUCACUUUUCAAAUCAAAAAUUCACUUUCAAAUCAUUUAUUUAUUUAUUUAAUUUAUUUUUCUUGUAAAAAAUGGGGCGCGACACAAACCACUAGACCUAGGGGGGCAUCGGGGGGCCAAAAUUUCUCUUCAAAAGCUUGAAUGGUGCCAAUCACAUUAAUUGUGAUGCCCAAUAAAGAUUCUUUGGAGAGGUCACGAAUAAUGCAAAAUAUGAGACUCCAAGAAAAGAAAAGGGGUAAAAUAAUUAUAGAAAUAUACAUGUCCUAAAGGAGUGCAUCAUGUCGGGUACGGGGGACUAAUGUUCGUGACUCAAUUUUUCCUUUUAAUAGAGGGAAUACGGGCGUGCUAAGACUAGAAAGCCAAACUCGUCCAUAUCCCAUAUUCAAGGGGUAACUUCCUAACCUAUGCACGCAAAUGAGCUUAUUAACUAGAAUGAAAUGCAAAAACCCUAUUAUCAUACUUCAAAUGUGGGAAAAGGGCGAAGGGUCAUGCAAAAAUGUAAAAAUACUAAAAAGAAAAAAAAUGCAUGAACAUGAGAUGAAGGCAAGCGAAUGUACUAGCGAGGGACGGUCCUAUUGGAUCUAGCAUUGGACUAGUCCUUCACUAGUGCUCUCUCACAAGCAUUGGAUUUGUAAGAGCUCGAGGGGAAGACCAUGACUAACGUUGGACUAGCCACGGUUUCGUGCAUUUGCAUCCAUCAUACAUACAUAAGUAAAUGUGCAUAAUUAAAGCGAGUAGGCAUGUGAGCACGUAAUUCACAUAACACAUAAUACAUAAGCAUGCAUAUCUAGACGCCUAACCCUAAGAAAGCAAUUAAACACAUAGCAAAUAUGCAUGCAAAUCGCACAAAGAAAAAAACAAAAGAAACCCUAACUAUUACAUUAGGAGGGGGAAGCCUACUACAAUCUAAAAGGGGAAAUAAGAAGGAAUAAAACAAUUAAAUUCCUAACUAUUACAAUUUUGGCAUUCGAGUGCCUCCCAAAUGAUAAAAUUGUACUAAAAUUAAAGCAAAAACUAAGCAACUAAAGAAAUAAAUAAAGUGAAAAUGAAAUAAACACUUAAAGUCAUGCAAUUGCACACAUAAGACACAUAUACGCACGUAGGGUCAAAUAAAGUCAAAAAUAAAGGAUAAGGUGUACCUCCCUUGAGUUGGAGCUCUAAUGGGGUGAAAUGACUUAUUUACCCUCCAAAAACAAAGAAAAUGUCAAGGCAUCACUUUGAUUACCAAAAUAAUCACACGAAAAGGAAAUAAACAUGAAAUUGAACCACCCAACCAUUCAAAUAAACUAAACAACUCAUAUUCAUCAAGUUGAAACCAACAAUGACCCAAUUGAAACAAUUAAAGAAGUUAAAGGGGCCAAUUUGAUUAUUAUCACAAAUAUUAAGGGUCCAAAAGAAAAUAAAUUAAGAUUAAGGGCUCACACAAAUGACAAGGCUUCACACAAACAAAUGACAAGGCUCGCACAAACAAAUGAAAACCAAUUUGCUAGGAUUAAACAACAAAAUUUUCAAAAUUUCACUAAAAAUUCAAUCAAAAUUAUAAAUCUAGAAAAAGUUACUGAACCCUUCAAAUUCAUCCUAAAGCCCACGCAUAUUCUAUCCAAAAAUUAUGUUAAAGCGUACCAAAGAAAAAUUGGAAUUUCACAAGGACAAGAUUGAUCAAAUUUCCAAUUAUUUGGGUCAUGAUAACAUCACUUAAAAACAACAGGGGGCAAAGUGCGAUUUUAUAAAAAUUCCAUGCAUGCAAACGGAUGCUUUCUUCUUCGUUCACGAUUUGUUUUCUGAAAAUUUCAGCUACAACCUUCCAUCCAUUUCAUCAUGCAAACGAAUUCACCAAAUACCAGGAUUUGAGCUAUCAAUCAUUGACUAAACCAAACACGAAAUUUUGUUGCAGGAUUGAAGCAAAGAAUUUGAGCUAACCAUCAGGGGUAAAAGGAACUAAACAGCAAAAGAAAAAAAUGCAACAGGAGCAUUCUCUGCGAAUCUUCUUGAGUUCAUCUUCAACAAGAACAUGUUUAUUGUUUGUCAAAUUUCAGGCCCAAAUACACAAAAUCUACGCAUCCAAACAACACAACCUCAACAUCUGAACAAGCAAAAGAAAAAAUUCAGAAUAGGAACGGAGCAUUGCAAUUCUUCUUUGCUGAUUUUUUUCCUACAGCUUGGCAGGCUUUUGCUGCAAAUUCACAGCUCUUCUCCACGCAAGUAUCUUACGCAAUCUCAAACCAAGCCAACAAACUCAUUUACCCAACCCAUUAAAAUUCAAAUCACUUGAUUAAUACAACACUAGAUGCAGGAAACACAAUCAUUGAAUAUCAAUCGAAUAACCAAACGGGCAGCAUGCAACAAAAGAGAAAAAGAAACAGUUUUGCGGUGAGUCCUAGAUGAGCUUAUCGAAAGCUAACAUCUUUUAGCCAACCCAUUGAGCUAUCAAGCAUCAAACUAGUCUAAAGCUUUGACAAAAUCAAAUCAUCAAAAACCCCUUUCUCUUUUAUGUCCUUUCGGGUUUGAAAACAAAGGGACAACAGACCAUUUUCAUCAAAACAAAUCAUCGAAACAUGUCUCAAGUUACGCUUCAAAAAUCACUGUGAUAAUUAAAAUGAUAUGGUAGUACUUCAAACACAUGAUUCACAGUCUCUCACAAGCUCAUGUAACCCAGAUUUCAAACAGGAUGAUCAGCAAGACAACAAGGAAGGGAAAUAACUAUAACAACCCAGGUUAUCCAACCUUGACAGUAACAAAUAACUCAGUAUUCAUGGCUAUGCAUAUGAAAACCAGCGCUAAACAACAAAAGGAGGAGUUUGUGAUUACCUUAGAGGAGUAAAAUGAACGUGCAACACCUCCCAAGAAGCCGCGCUAAUUCCAGAAAUGAAAGUCGCGAACUUCGUCGCCGACGUUCAGGGUUGAUGAAGACACCAGUUUGUGACCAGAUUUGAUGAGCUCCCGUGGUGUUUUCCUCCAGACGUCUGAACCGAAACUACUCCUUUUUACUUUGUAGAUUGAGCAGAUUUUAAAAUUUCCUUAAAAGAACCAAAGGUCGGAAAGAUAUGAGAGCUCCAAGAUGGCUGACAAUCAGCCUUUGUUGAGAGAAAAAUUGCAGCUUUCCUUCUUUUUCUCUUUCUUUCGGAUCUUUCCCUUUUCUCUCUUCUUUCUUCUCCCCGGCAGCCUCUCUCUCUUUUUUUGAUUUGGCCUGAAGCCCUCUUCAUGUGAGGACUCGUAAAAACUAUUAUUUUAUGCCUAAUUCAUGGCUUAAUAAAUUAUUUAAUUGGAUUUUAUCCAAGGAAUAUUUUCUAGUCUUAUUAGACUUAAAUACAUGGUAAUAUAACUUCGUUAUAUUUUUAAAGUGAUUCGUUCUAAAAAUUAAUUUCCUGGAGUACGUUUAGUAAAAAUAGUGAAUAGUACUUGGAGAUUUUAUCCGCGUAGUAGCACAAUAAGCUUGGAAUAUUUGGAGACUUGUACUAUGGUCCUAAAAUAGGUAAUCUUAUGAGUAAUACUCAAGUGAUAGUUAGUAGUGCAAUCGUUAUAAGAAUUUAUUGGAAGUUUCGCGUUAUAGCGUUAAAAUUGACGGUACGCGUUUUCACACGCGCGAUUUGAGGGACUUUAGACCCUUAUUCGGGACAAUUAAGAGUGAAUAAUACUUACAUGAAUAUAAAUGCAUUGGAGGUUCAGUGCACUAGUGAACCAAACGCGCGAGAAAAUCGAACCUAAUCGCGCCAAACGCACCCUAAUAAGAGUUGACUUUGGAGUGAUUGUGCACCACCAUUUAAUCUUCUCUUGGAAGCUUAUUUUGAUCAAACUUCACUCCAUCUUCUCUCACCUAGCAGCCGGCCAACACCCCCCUCUCACUCACUCUCUUGCUUCACAAAUUCCUUCAUCAAAUCAACCCAAAACCUCAACCAAUCUUCACCAAACUUGAAGAUCAUCUAGCAUACUACUUGGAGGUUGGAUUUAGCUAACAAAAAGGGCUGCAUUUCACGGUUUCUUGGAGCUCUUGAGGGCCGAAAAUUUCUGGGUUAAGGCACUAAGGAGGUAUAACUUCAUCCUACACCUUAAACUUGGAUUAUAUGAUGGUAGAAAUGCAUCUUUAAGCUAUUGCAUGUGAUGGGUGGCUUGAUAUGGUUGUAAAAUGUGAUAGUGGGCUCUUUGUAUUCCCACACUUGGGUUGUUGUUGCUGAUUAGAGGAUUAAUGUUGGUUUAAUGGUAGUUUAAUGGUUAUAAUGAUGGAUUUAUGGAGUAUUAUUGUUGGAAACUCAAAGUAGAGGUCAUGACAGAAAUUGCUGAAUCUGCCCCUGUUUUGUUCGGCCAUGAUAAGGCCAAUUUUUGGUGAUUUAUUGGCAUGAACCUGAUGUUUAUAUGUUAUAUUAUAUGUGUAGAAAUUUUCGUUGGAAAACAUUAACGUUUGGAUGGGCAAAUGAAUUUAUUCGUGGACUAGGCAAGCUGGAAAGUUAUUUUCGGGUAACCCUGUCCAGCGGUAGCAUUUUGACCAUAACUCUGUCCUCGGGUGUCGAAAUCAAGUGCCGUCAGUGGCGUUUGAAACUAGACAUUCCUGGCUUUAAUUUGAGAUAAAAUGCACGUUCUGAUUCUUUGUGAGUGAGCCGAACCAAAUGUUUUAAGUAGCUGUCCUGUCUCUCGGAUUUGCUGGAAUGGUUUGUAGAAGGCAGUAACUUGAGGCUCAAUUUUGAGCUGGUUGCUUGCCAAAUUUCAGAACGUUUCUUCUGUAAACUUUUAGUCCUAUGAAUGUAUUUUCUAACGCCAUAAACCAUGCCUCAUUCCGAGUUAAAUUGGUUGAGUUGUGACUAAAACAAGUGGACUGCCCUGUUUUGGAAAAACGUAAUAUUUGGACUGAUUGGGACAAAAACUUGGGAGUGAUCUUAUUAAUUGAAAUUUUGAUGCUAAACCAUUACCAAAGGUAUCAUGGAUGUAUCUUAGACCUUUAUUUCACCAAUGAACCAUGGUUGGAUAGCUUUCUUGGUUAAACGAUUUGAAAUUGGGAAAUGAAAGUCAAAAGGCAGAUUGCCUUAGAAAUUUUCCGGAACUUUGGAUGAUUAGUUAACUACCUUCCCGAGGGUAUUUUUCCCUGAAAUUUGAUAGAGAAAUACCUUGCAUAUAGGAGUAAAAUACUGCCAAUUUUGGCACCAAUUCAAGUUCGUUUCGAUACCGAAUUAAAUUUCUAGUGUUGGAGGUUCAAAACUGGAAAUUCUUCUUCAGUCUUGAAUCUUCCUCAACUUUGAGCUACCGUAUCUCGGUACUCGAAACUCCGAUUCUUGAUCGCUUGUUUUGUAUAAACCUCACUUGCAACUCUAAUUGAGUUACAAAUUUCAGAGGCCGGUUUGCAAUGUGUGAAUCGUGCCGAAUUUUCAAAGUUGGCCGAAAUCCAACUUAAUUCUCUUGUACGCCGAGUCUGUAUCUUCAAGCUCAUUUUUGAGUACUUUCCACUUAGAUUCAUGGAAAGGUGUCUUCUAAGAACUUUUAACACUUUCCAAAAGGUUUCCAACGGUAUAAAGUUUUCCAGUUUUGGACUUAUAUCGAGAGAGAUACGAAUUUUCAAAGAUUUAGGAUAAAACUGAAAUUUCUCAAUUUUCAAGGCAAAGGAGUUUUUCCAAAACUCUUAAUUCUCUUAGUAUUAUUCAAACGUUUUGCCCUCGCUUUUCAUGAUAAAAACUCAAAUAAUAUUGUACAUAAUAAAAGGCAAGUUGAACCUCGAUUUACAGUAAUUGAGGUUCAUUUUGUGAAAUAUUCCUUAGAUUGUACUAGUGUACAAUCUUCCUUGACAAGUGGGUUAUUUGUGUGAUUAUCCGCUAUUAAUUGCCAGCGCGCCAAGAGACAUUCAAGAGGAUCUUACUGUGGACACUUGAACUCCCAGAAAAUAAUUCUUAUUGAAUUGCUCGGUGAGUGUCAAGUGUGUGAAUCUGUGAUACUUGCUUAUUUGUGGUAAUUGUUGGAAGUUUUAAAAAUAAGGGCGGGUGCGUACUUUACCGCACUCGUUCUAAUUUCAAAUGAAUGAAUGAAUGUAUUGAAUGAAUGAAUGAAAUGCAAUGUUAUGUUAUGAUUACAUAUGUCGUUGGAGUGAACCUCCUCGACUUUCAAAUGAAUGGGGGACGCCCAAACUCAUAGGCCGACCUUAGACUCGAGCCAGCAAUGGGCUUGGUCGGGGACUUAGGCGAGCCAUGAGAUAAAUAUGAGCUCGACCUAAUGAGAGGUCUUGCUGGCAUACUCGUGGAGUAUCGCCUUAUACAUGACUUGUGGGCCCUUGAGGUGUACGGUGGACGGAGGGAAGUAAGUGGUGAUCUACGGAAAUGGAAAUACCGACCCGGUUGACAGGAGGGUCAACGCGGGAAGGUAUACGAAUGACAUCGGCAGAGCGAGUGGAACUUAGCUCCUGAGAGCUACUAUAUCCUUGAAUUGUUUCUGAUUACUUUUCCUGUUGAAUGAUUGAUUAUUGAAGGGACAUGGUUUUAUUUAUUAAAUUUGGGAUUGCUAUUUGAACAAAGUGCUUGCAUGUGUGUUCUUGGCCUCACGAGCGUUUAGCUCACCCUAUAGUUUUGUUUUCCUUAACAGGACCGAAUCUUGGAGAAGUAUGGGAAACCAUUCGUUACACUUUUGUUAAGACUCCUGCUAUAUUUUGACUAGGCCCUGGUUUGGUUGUACUUUUGGAAAUUGUAAAUUUGAAAGUUUGGGCCCUGACGUGUAUGUUGAAUUUAAGUUGUUUUAUGAUUACCGAUGUAAUGGUUACAUGUUAAGUGACUUGAUAAGCUUGAACGCUUCCGCAUUAUUGUAUUCAUGUUGUUCUCUUCGAAGUUUUAGUCCGGUUUUAAAUUGAAUGGAAUUGCUUGAGUCCUGGCGAGAGCUGGGCAGGCGUCCGCGGAUACCCUUUGGUCCGCCUUAGGGAGAUGUGGGGCGUCACAGUUGGUAUCAGAGCGCUAGGUUAGAGGUCUAUAUGGGAGACAUAUUAGAUACUCUACCUUUAAGACUCGAUACGGGAUGACUUAAUCCUACCCUAAGUGAUACUUGAGGCGAGCUAGCAACUAAGUUAGUCCUACCUCAAGUGACGAUUGGGAUGAACCAACGAUUAAGUUAGGCAUGCAUUGCAGGAUAAUGGAACUGAGUAGUGAUUUAAGUUUCUAACCUGAAAAGUAUUAUUAUUUUGCAGGGAUGGAUGACGGAAAUGGAGCCCCGACAGCUAACGGGAAUGGCCAUGCGAAUGGUCAUUAUGAGCCUCUUAGGACUAUCUUCUACCGAGCUCGAGUGGGAGGAGCUCGAGUACGCUACUCACCGUAUGAUAGAUACCCUCGAUGUCCGUGUAGGUUGACUUACGCCUACCCGAGCCAUAUAGUGCAUGCUCUGGACGACGAGCGUCGUCAGUUGGUGGAUGCCAACCGCGAUUUACAGCUGAGGUAGACGAGCUUAGGCAGAUGGUCGGCGCUCAGGGUGAGCGGAUUGCCGAGCUCGAGGAGGUGCUGGAGGGUGAGGUAGCCACAUCUGCAGUGGUUAAUGAGGAGCUUCAGGAUACUAGGGCUCGACUCACUAGGCUAGGACGGGAUGUCCGUAAUCGGGCUUUCGAGAUCCUGGCUGAUGCUUCUAGAUUGGUUGAGGACGCUACUGAGGUGAUUCCUGACGCUGAGGAGGAUCCGGAGGAGGAUCCCGAGGAGGAGGUUCCUCCUGAUAGCCCCGCUGAGGACUAGGAUCUUAGUCGUUGACCCCUUUUGACUUUUGACCGGUACAGUUAGGACUAGUUAGGGUGACGCGAGUGCCGAGGCCAUUGUAUUUUGCAUGCUUGUGUGGCCUACUCUUGGGCACUUGUUCUUACUUUAGUCUUCUGUGACUAAAAGUAUACUUUUGAGCACCUGUGUGCUAUAUUUUUGUGAAUUGUCCCUAACUUGCUAAUUGUACGAACUUGACAUGCUUAUGAAUGUAAAUUAUUGUUAAUUUCAAUGCUUUCUUGGUUGGUUCUAAUUUUGAUAUAUUUCUUCGUUUCUGCUUAAAUUAAUCUAUUUCUUGCACUAGGCACAUUUAGACUAAUGGAAGGAUUAAGGAGUGGUCGAGGCCGUGGGCGAGCGUCUAGACAGGCCCAACCUCAGGGGAUGACCAGGGAUCGGCAACUGGACCGACCAGGGACAGGAAAAUAUUGAGGGUAACCAAGUGGCUACUGCCAUCAAUAGGAUGACUGAUAUCCUAGAACGUCUAGCGGAGAGACAGGGUCCUGGACCAUUUAACCAACCUGGGGGCCAGGAUAGAGGAGAGGAUAGAGCCCUGGAAAGAUUCUUAAAGUUUAACCCGCCUAAGUUUAUGGGUGAACCUGACCCUGAAGUAGCGGAGAAUUGGUUAGAUAGGAUGACCAAUAUAUUCGCCGCUCUAGACUACACUGAGGAUAGACGAGUGAAUUUUGCUGCUUUCCAAUUUGAGGGAGUGGCCCGUGCUUGGUGGGAUUUGAUAAAAGGAAAAUGGGAAAGGGCUCGAACCCCUUGGACUUGGGAGAAUUUCACAAGGGAGUUUAAUGAAAAGUUUCUUCCGCCCUUAAUCCAAGAGAAAAGGGAGGACGAAUUUAUUAAGCUAAAACAGGGAACCCUUACUGUAGCAGAGUAUGAGGGGAAGUUCACUAAACUUUCCAAAUACGCUCCUGAGUUAGUAGCCAAUGAUCGGAGGAGGAUUAGAGGUUUGUACAGGGACUUAAUGUGGAACUUCAGGAGGGCCUGGCUGCAGCCCAAAUCUCUACCUUUACUGAGGCUUUAGAGAAAGCGCAAAGGGUUGAAAUGCAAGAUCUCAAGUGAGGGAUUUCCACAAUAGAAAAAGGAAUUUUCCUAGUCACACUUCUGGGCAGACUAGUAAGAAUGCACACCCUUCUAAAAUGGGAAGAGGAGAAGGUGGAACGAGGACUACGGGAGCUUCUAGGGGAGCCCUAUCUAGGGGAGGUCGUAGCGGGACGACUCAAGUUAGGGGGCACCAUCUGUUGGAUCGACUGUGACCCCUUAAGUUACAUGUGGGUUGUGGCGACCCACUUCCCCCUAAGGCGAACCAGAGGGUUGGCGGGCGGUCUGCCCAGCUCUCGCCAGGACUCACGCAAGCAAUCCAACCUAAAAUCUUCCGACGAUUAACUUAAGCUAUUACAAUAAAGAUCCUUCCGAAAAUAAAUCGAUUUCUACCACCACGCUAACUUCAGAGAUAACAGUAUAUAACUUAGCCAAUCGACAGUUCCUAAAUACUUCCAGUGACGCUCGCGCAAAAGAUAAGGAUUUACUAUACUAACACAAACAUACAAACUGAGUAUUAGAAUUAGAGAUUACACUUUCCAGCUUCAAGUGGCAACCCAAAAUGAAAAGUACAAUGCUUAGCUUAGAAUCCGUUACAAACCGAAAAUUACAAUCAAAUUGUUCAAGUACAACCAUAAGAAAUAUAAGCUGCUCAAAUACUUUCAACUUCACAUCCUGUAAGGAAAACAAAUAAACAUGGGGUGAGCUAAAGCUCAGUGGUGCCCCAAAACAUGCAGUCACGCAAAUCAAACAACGAGUAAUAACUUAAACAAGUUUAACAAAUAGGAAAGCGUUUAACAGCACAAGGUGGGAUACAGGGGCUCUCAGGAGCCAUUUUCCUCGCUUGAUCACCAUUUAUCGUAGUUGACCCUCCGUCAACUCUCACUACCUAGAUUCCAUAUAGAUCCACUUAUUUUAAUCCUAACCCGUCACCAUUCAUACCUCUACUCCGGGCCGCACUUCGUCUACCGACGCAGUAUACUCGAGAUAUACCCGUAAUAAAAUUUGUCGAAGGAUUCACCCAACGACUUUGUUGUAGUUCGAUUCAGGUGCCGAGGGAUUCACCCAACGACGUAACUACAUUUGGAUUCAGACAUUAUUGUAGUUCGAUUCAGGUGCCGAGGGAUUCACCCAACGACGUAACUACAUUUAGACUCAAGGACUUAUGAGAAAAAUAAUUCACGCAAGUCACCACUCGAACGGCUAGUGCGAUAAGUACACACUGCUCACUUCGAUGGAUCAAAACUCAUUUUGCAAUCUAUCACAUAUCGAGUCAAGAAAGCGCUUAAUUCAAGUAGGAACGAACAGGCAGGGACACUCACCAAGAGUGGAGUUCAGAUAUCAAGUGGAAUCGAAUUCCGCGUCCUCGCAAUAUCCUAAAAACCAAAUUUUGAAACUAUAAGUUUCUACUCAGUUUUUUUUUUUUUUUUUUAAGCUUAUAAGCAUGAGGUAUAUCUAAUAUUACUAUUCACUUUCCCUUAGAAAAUCAAGAGUCCCUUAGGUUAAAACUUGACAAAAGUAGAAGAAAUGUUUAUUAUAGUUUUCCUUAAGAUACUUUCCUUAUAAAAGGGUAACUAGACUAGUAUUUUUCUUGAAAUAAGUCGACAAACCUCUUAAUAUCAUGUUGGAGGUUACUUUGAACAUUUCUUUAAAGUUACGGCUUUUGCAAAAAUUAUCUAAAAACUAUUUUCCUAAAAUAGGGUUUCUUGCCGAGCAAGUUCCCAGGCUUUCACUAAAAUUAGUAAAACUCGUAUUUUGGAACUUUUCCUAUAGUUACUAGCCAAGUGCAAAACUUAAAAGAAAAGGAGUUAAUAAGACUUAGAGUUUUCAAAAGCUAUAGAAUUUAUUUACUAUAACUAUCAAAGCUAGUUUGAGCAAAAAGAAAUUAUCGAGUUGGAAGAGUUUAGGCAAAACACUAGAUAUUGAUUAUAAUUAAUACUAGCUGGAAAAGUAUUUUUGAUUAAUUUGAUCACAGUUACUCGAGUUCGCAAGGUCGAUACAACUUCCACAGCUCCGAUUCCGUUUCGAAAUUAUCUUAUGGAUCAAAAUAUAGCAAAAAUCACCUAGCAAAUUACUAAGGCUUUGUCAAUCAUUAGCCCUAGAUUUCAACAAUUGCAUUUCUGAUAAAAAUAAAAUUGAACAACCAAGGCUUCAUCAAUCAUUAGCACUUGGUUUCAGCAAACCCAUCAUACAAAUAAAAAUAAAAGUGAGGCCUCCAAGACAUUCCAGCAAUUUAACUUUCAUCACCCAGUAGUACUUAUAAAGUCAUUCAAAUGGCCAAGGGCUUCAUCAAUCAUUAGCCCUUGACAACAUCAAUUACUUCCAACCACAAUUCAAUCAAAAAUUUAAAACACAAGUAAGCUAAAAUCUCAAUCCAAAUCCAAAUUUAGUUUCACGAAGAAACAGGACGUUCAUACAAAACAGUCUACUUGGAGGGUUCACAGACAGCAGUACACAUGGAGGAAAAAUACGAAAUUUCUACAGGACAAAGGCCUAUGAUUAUAGUUUCAAAUGCCGCUGACGGCGCCUUAAUCGGAUUUUCCUACACCAAGAUAUAAGCAUUUUGCCUAGACUGGUCAGUGAAAUCCGGAAAUCUGGAAAUUCUUGUUCACUUGUGAAAAACUCCUUUUUCUCUUUUAAAACCAUAGGACUUUUAUUCAAACCAUCCGUACAUUUAAAUAUGACAUUCAUACCAGUAUAUACCAAGGCAAAUAACACUUAAUUCCAGCAAAUGGUUCAGCCAAGAAUUCAUAUAUAUACUAAUCUGUCAUCAGCUAUAUAUGACAACCAUCAAUUGGCAAUUCACCCACAAUUCGAGUGUUUCACCUCUGCAUGUCUUAUAAAACUUUAAAACAACAUAUUCCAGGCAUUUCCAAUCAUUGUGUUUCAAGGAAUAAUUUCACAACCGAGCUAAAACUCCGAUUCAACCUUCGGAUACCACAAAACAAAUUUCCAGCAUUUAUUUUCCAACAUUUGGGUCAAUCUUUUAGUCAUUCAAAUUUCCAGCACUAAGUUGUUCAUGAAUUCAAUAUUUCUUUGGCUAAGACAUGCCAUUAUACUCUCAACUUCAUCAUGCAAUUACUUGGCUAGUCCGUUAACAUUUCCAACUCGAAAUUAAGUUUAAACAACUGUUAUAAUCCUUGAAAUUUCCAGGUUUAAACUCAUGGUAGUUCACAAAAAUUUUCCAGCAAUUGUAUGUCCUUAUCACAACUUUUUCCUUGGCUAAAACAGAGUAUUAUGGUCUCAAAUUUAACAUGCAACUACUUAACUAACUGAUUAACAUAUCUAGUUCAGAAAACAACUUCAAUCAUCAACACAAAAUCAUCUAAAAAUUUCCAGAAACAUCCAACAAGCCUCGGAUGAACGUGCACUUAGCAGAAUUCAAUUUCAUUUUAUUUUUCUGCUUUAAACCCGUUAAUUAACUAUAGGCAGAACUUAAUCAUCUUGUAGUUUACUAGUUAGUCAUAGUUAGAGGUUCAGAACAGCAAAAUUAUACCCAAUGAAACUACAUGACUCAAGACAAAUCUCGGCAGAAUCCUUUCAGCAAAACAGAAUUUUCCUAAGCUCCUUAAUUCAUCACCCAAAUACAUAAAAUUAUCAUGCAAGGCCCUAAUCAUAAUAAUCAUCCAAAAAUUCAGUUAGUUAAACAUCAUUUCAUGCUCGAAUUACUUCAGCAAAACAACAUUGAAGCUGCGGUAUCCACUCAGCUUCUCGGCAGAAACAAUUACUUCCAAGACAGAUUUUCUAAUGUUUUGAUUUCAUCAUCCGAUGGUUUAAAAUCAUCAUGCAAAGCUCAAUUAUCAUGGUAUUAACUAGUUAUUCAUGGUUACAAACUCAAAACAACGAAAUUGAAUCACAUGAAGCUGCAAAAAUGCAGGACAAGCUCUCGGCUGCAACAAUUCAUAAGAACAGAAUUUCUUCUUCUAAAUCACUUGUCCGGAUGUUUGAAACCCACAUGCGAGGCCCUAACCGCAUUAAUCAUCCCAGAUUUAGAUAGCUAAUCAUAAAUACAAUUCCGGAUUAUCACAAGAAAGCAGAUUUCAUCAAGCAUGUCUUAAUCAAUUCUCGGAAAUCCAAUUUCAGCGCACAUCAGAUUUUUCUUUUCCUAAAUUCCUCAUUCAUUGCCUAAGCUUCACAUGCAGGGCCCUAGAUAGCUUAAUCCACCAUUGGUCAGUUAGCUUUAGUCCAGAAAUUACCUCACCGAUGACUCACUCGCGUGGCAAGGAAGCUGAAAAUUUUCUCUCGGCUUCGCACGCUGGUUUGGUUGUUGCAGAACCGCAGCUCACCAGCUCUCCCUCUCUUGUUCACACGCGAACUGGGGUAAUGGUUCUGGUUGGAUGUUGCAGUUGCGGUGGAGUUGCUGGAAACGGUUGCAGUUGGUUGAGGUGAAGAAAACACAGAGGAACUUACGCACAGCCUCUCCCUCUCUUCCCUCGAGCUCACUUACGGAACCAGAAAUGGUUGCAGCUCGCGGACAGAACCAGAAAUCUUCCUCUCGGCUGCAGAGUGCAGCUCGGCCUCUCUCUCUCUCUCUCUCUCUCGGAUUGUCGACACUAGCUAAGCAGAGUGAGUUGCAGUUGUAGUUUGAGAUGUGAAGUGGAAGUGGAUGAAAGAGUGCCGUGGUUUUUGAGGGUGGAAUCGAUUGAGUGUGGAGUUGGUAAUGGAUUUCGAUUGGUGGUAUGGGGCGGUGCUAGGCUGCUGUCCGAGGUCUUGUUUGGUUCGGCAUGGAAAUAUCAUGGUUGUGGUGUAGUGGGGAUUUGGUGGUUUGUGAAGGGCAUUUUGGUCUUUUCACAUCUCCUCCUAAUAUCCCCUUAAGUCCUUGGCUCUAACUAAAGUCCAAAAAUUAUCCCCAAGUGUGAUUUAAACGUCGAAUUAUACACUAGUCCUACAAGACCUUAAUUAUCGUAAGUCUUACGUCCUAAGUAUAUCUAGGAUACUUAUAUCGUUCUUGUCCAAAAUUUAUCGAUUGCAUCUUAAUACUAAGGUUUCUGUAUACCCUUAAUCUUAUUCGUAAUAAAGUUAGCUAUUGCAAAUUAAGGAAUUUAUUUUUAGAGAGUAAACUUAAUAUCGCUCAAGAAUUAUUACUUUUAGUAUAACAAAACUGAAUAAUUCAAUAUUGGUUACAAUUAUAUUAUUUAUACAUAAACAUUAUCUUUAUACCUUAAUUCAAAACAAUUAAUUACAAUACUAGAGUUCAGAGAGAUUAAUUGUUAGGUCAAAGAAAUAGUUUACCAUGAAAUAUGAAUUUAAAGUAGCAAAACUAAUAAGUUUAGUACAUAGAGUAAAAUAUAUUCACGUAGUCCAAUUUGAGAAUACUCAAUAUUUUGCACAUUUAACUGUUUGCGAUUUUAAAAUUGUGUUUACAUAUUUAUUCAAAGACAAAAUUCAUUCUCCUGAAAGAAACGGGACAUUUAAGCAGGAAGCCUACUUCUUGAGCAAAUUAAUAUUUGUAAGUGAUCACUUAUCAUACUUCCUUUAUUAUUUAAACUAUUAAAAUCAAGUUUGGCCUUAUAUAUAAUUUAACAUUCAUAAUAUUCAUUUAUCCCUUUUAUAACAACUUAUUAUCUUAAUCAUUUUCAAACCAUAAAACAUACCUGUCUUCAAAAUUAACUUGUAUACUCAUUCAAUCUAAUGAACUUUCUCAAUCCAAUAUUAAUUAUGACUUAUAUAUACUCCAUUCCCCUUACACCGUUAUCAGGAUAUUUUUAAAUUCUCAAUUUUGAUAAGAAUUCAAUUAAGCAUUUAAUUAACCACUUAUUCAUUAUAUGACAUAUUUCUAAGCUCAAGGUAGUAAAAUAAAAUAAAUGCAAAGCUUACACAUGAUUUCUUGAGUUCUCACAUGGGUUAUUGUGGUAAAUCCAACCAUUCUGAGAACGAUUGCUGGAGAAAGUUGGGAAAAUGCUUACUGUGUGGGAGCACUGAGCAUCAAAUCGCAAAUUGUCCGAAAUCGUCGAAGGCAGGGGGAAGCCUGCAGAGGCCUGAAAAAUCAACCUCUAAGCAGACCAGUGCCGGAGGGAGUCGACCGAAGGUACCGGCUAGGGUCUACGCAUUGGACUAUCCGCAAGUUCCAGAGGCGAUCGAGGUGGUUGAAGGUACAAUUCCAAUCUUUCACCGCCUAACUAGGGUUUUUAAUUGAUCCGGGUGCAACACACUCUUUUGUAAACCCUGAUUUCAUGAGUGGAAUAGACUUGAAGCCAAUUAAGUUACCAUAUGACUUGGAGGUUAAAACACCCACUGGGACAAAAGUUUAAUUGCUAAUCUGGUGUAUAAGAAUAGUGAAAUCUGCGUGAACGAAAGAAAAUUCUGGCCGAUUUGAUAGGUCUAGCGAUUAAAGGAUAUGAUGUGAUCCUAGGGAUGGAUUGGUUAGCCCGUUAUAAUGCCCAACUGAAUUGUAGGACGAAAAUUGUAGAAUUGUGUAUUCCAGGGGAGGCAACCCUGAAAUUGGAUGUGAGGGGUAAGUUAGCCUCAUCUGCACUUAUUUCGGGAAUUCGGGCUAGAAAAUUGUUGAAUAAGGGAGCUCAAGGAUAUUUGGCUUUUCUUAUUAAUACCCUUAGCGAUAAGGUGAAUCUGGAGGACACACCGGUAGUGAAAGAAUUUUCCGAUGUUUUUCCUGAAGAUUGGAGUCUUUACCCCCGGAACGGGAAAUAGCUUUUAAAAUUGAUGUAACUCCGGGAUCAGCACCUAUCUCAAGGACACCAUAUAGGAUGGCUCCAGCUGAGUUGAAAGAGUUGAAGUUACAAUUACAGGAUUUGUUGGAACGGGGUUUUAUACGAGAGAGUGAUUCCCCGUGGGGAGCCCCAGUUUUGUUUGUAAAGAAGAAAGAUGGGAGUUUGAGUUAUGUAUAGAUUAUCGAGGCUUAAAUGAUGUUACGAUUAAGAAUAAAUACCCACUACCCCACAUUGAUGAACUGUUUGACCAACUGCAAGGGCGUGUAGUGUUUUCAAAGUUGGAUCUAAGGCAAGGUUACUAUCAAUUGAGGAUUUUAGAGAAGGACAUACCUAAGACUGCUUUUAACUCGAGGUAUGGGCACUUCGAGUUUGCAGUAAUGCCUUUUGGGUUAACCAAUGCACCUGCCGCUUUCAUGGAUUUAAUGCAUAGGGUUUUUAAGCCUUACUUGGAUCAAUUUGUGGUGAUCUUCAUUGAUGAUAUUUUGGUGUAUUCUAGGAAUACGAAGGAUCAUGAGAAACAUUUGAGAAUUAUUUUACAAAUCUUGAGGGAACAUCAGUUAUAUGCUAAGUUUAGCAAGUGUGAAUUCUGGCAAAGAAGUGACUUUCCUAGGGCAUAUAAUUUCUCAGGAUGGGAUUAAAGUGGAUCCAGUUAAAGUUGAAGCUGUUUCGAAAUGGAAACGACCGGAAAAUCCAACGGAAGUUCGGAGUUUUAUAGGAUUGGCAGGGUAUUACCGGAGAUUCAUCCAGGAUUUUUCGAAAAUUGCUGGACCUAUGACUGAGUUAACCAAGAAAAAUGGAAAAUUUAUUUGGAGUCCUAAGUGUGAAGAAGUUUUCAGGAGUUGAAAAGACGGUUGACUAGAGCGCCUGUUCUAGCUCUACCUAAUGGACAGGAUAGUUUUGUGGUUUACACAGAUGCUUCUAAGGAAGGUUUGGGAUGUGUUUUGAUGCAAAAUGAUAAAGUGAUAGCUUAUGCAUCUAGGAAAUUGAAACCACAUGAAGGAAAUUAUCCGACCCAUGAUUUGGAGUUAGCGGCUGUGGUCUUUGCUUUGAAGAAAUGGAGACACUAUUUGUACGGAGUAACAUUUGAGGUUUUUACAGAUCACAAAAGCCUUAAGUACUUAUUUUCUCAGAAGGAGCUGAACUUGAGGCAACGUAGAUGGAUGGAAUUUCUGGAAGAUUAUGAUUGUACGAUUAAGUACCACCCUGGAAAGGCCAAUGUAGUGGCCGAUGCUUUGAGCCGUCAGGUACAAAUGGCUGGAUUGAUGGUUAAGGAAUUUCCAGUUGUUGGAGGAAGUUAGCUAUUGGAAUCCUCGAUUAGAACCAAGGAAAGUAAUUUUGGGGAAUAUUGUGAUAACCUCCACUUUAUUAGAACGCAUUAAGGAAUCUCAGGAAAAGGACCCUGAAGUGCAAAAGUUGGUGGAGAAAGUUAAGAUGGGAGACCAGACGGAUUUCAAUUUGGGAACAGAUGGAAUAUUGAGAUUUCGAAAUCGGAUGGUAGUACCAAAGGACGAAACACUUAAGAAGGAAGUUUUGGAGGAAGCACACCGAUCGAAGUUUACGGUACACCCUGGAGGGAAUAAAAUGUACCAAGACUUGAAAAGUCUAUAUUGGUGGGAAAAUAUGAAGAAAGAAAUUGCUCAAUUUGUUCAGACAUGCUUGGUUUGUCAACAAGUUAAAGCCGAACAUCAAAAACCCUCAGGACUUUUGCAACCUCUAGAAAUACCUGAGUGGAAAUGGGAGAAUAUUACCAUGGAUUUUGUAUCAGGCUUACCAAGGACACAGAGAGACCAUGAUGCCAUUUGGGUAAUAGUGGAUAGAUUGACUAAAUCGGCUCAUUUUCUACCGAUUAACAUGAAAUACCCGUUAGAAAAGCUGGCCAGUUGUACUUGGAUGAGAUCAUCAGACUACAUGGUAUACCUGUGAGUAUUGUGUCAGAUAGGGAUCCAAGAUUUGUCUCGAGGUUUUGGCAAAAGAUGCAAGAAGUGUUGGGGACUAAGUUAAACUUUAGUACCACCUAUCAUCCUCAGACUGAUGGACAAUCUGAAAAACAAUUCAGACCCUUGAGGACAUGUUAAGGACUUGUGUGCUGGAUUUUGGAGAGAGUUGGAGUAAGUUUUUGACUUUAGUGGAAUUUGCCUAUAACAAUAGUUUCCAUUCUUCUAUUCAAAUGGCUCCAUACGAAGCACUUUAUGGUCGGACGUGUAGAUCCCCAAUUUGUUGGGAUGAAGUAGGUGAACGAAAAAUUUUAGACCCGACUACCGUAUCUUGGAUUGAGGAGGCUAAUGAAAAGGUAAAAUUGGUACGGCAAAGGAUUCAAACCGCUCAGAGUAGACAAAAAAGUUAUGCCGACAAUCGGAGAAAGGAUUUGGAGUUCACUGUUGGAGAUGUGGUAUUUCUCAAGAUUACGCCUUUAAAAGCAAGCUUGAUGUCCGGAAAAGGGAAGAAACUACAACCAAGGUUUGUAGGGCCAUAUAAGAUUAUUCAACGAAUUGGGAAUGUAGCCUAUAAGCUGGAAUUACCACCGAGCUUAUCUCGUAUUCAUAACGUGUUUCAUGUGUCCAUGCUUAAGAAAUAUCAUCCAGACCCCUCUCAUGUUUUACAACCGGAGUAUUGAGAUCGAUGAAACCCUGACCUAUGAGGAGAGACCGGUAAAACUUUGGAUCGAAAGGUGAAGGAACUGAGGAACAACAGAUACCACUAGUGAAAGUUCUAUGGAGAACCAUGGAGUAGAGGAAGCAACAUGGGAAGUUGAAGAGACAAUCAGAGAGAAGUAUCCAGACUUGUUCGUCAACCAAGGUAAAUUUCGAGGACGAAAUUUUCUUAAGGGGGAGAGGAUGUGAGACUCGUAAAAACUAUUAUUUUAUGCCUAAUUCAUGGCUUAAUAAAUUAUUUAAUUGGAUUUUAUCCAAGGAAUAUUUUCUAGUCUUAUUAGACUUAAAUACAUGGUAAUAUAAUUCGUUAUAUUUUUAAAGUGAUUCGUUCUAAAAAUUAAUUUCCUGGAGUACGUUUAGUAAAAAUAGUGAAUAGUACUUGGAGAUUUUAUCCGCGUAGUAGCACAAUAAGCUUGGAAUAUUGGAGACUUGUACUAUGGUCCUAAAAUAGGUAAUACUUAUGAGUAAUACUCAAGUGAUAGUUAGUUAGUGCAAUCGUUAUAAGAAUUUAUUGGAAGUUUCGCGUUAUAGCGUUAAAAUUGACGGUACGUUUUCACACGCGCGACUUUAUUUGAGGGACUUUAGACCCUUAUAUCGGGAACAAUUAAGAGUGAAUAAUACUUACAUGAAUAUAAAUGUAUUGGAGGUUCAGUGCACUAGUGAACCAAACGCGCGAGAAAAUCGAGCCCUAAUCGCGCCAACGCACCCUAAUAAGAGUUGACUUUGGAGUGAUUGUGCACCACCCAUUUAAUCUUCUCUUGGAAGCUUAUUUUGAUCAAACUUCACUCCAUCUUCUCUCACCUAGCAGCGCGGCCAACACCCCCCUCUCACUCACUCUCUUGCUUCACAAAUUCCUUCAUCAAAUCAACCCAAAACCUCAACCAAUCUUCACCAAACUUGAAGAUCAUCUACAUACUAUACCUUGGAGGUUGGAUUUACCUAACAAAAAGGGCUGCAUUUUCACAGUUUCUUGGAGCUCUUGAGGGCCGAAAAUUUCUGGGUUAAGGCACUAAGGAGGUAUAACUUCAUCCUACACCUUAAACUAGGAUUAUAAUUGUGGAAAUGCAUCUUUAAGCUAUUGCAUGUGGAUGGGUGGCUUGAUAUGGUUGUAAAAUGUGAUAGUGGGCUCUUUGUAUUCCCACACUUGGGUUGUUGUUGCUGAUUAGAGGAUCAAUGUUGGGUUUAAUGGUAGUUUAAUGGUUAUAAUGAUGGAUUUAUGGAGUAUUAAUGUUGGAGACUCAAAGUAGAGGUCAUGACCAGAAAUUGCUGAAUCUGCCCCUGUUUUGUUCGGCCAUGAUAAGGCCAAUUUUUGGUGAUUUAUUGGCAUGAACCUGAUGUUUAUAUGUUAUAUUAUAUGUGUAGAAAUUUUGGUUGGAAAACAUUAACGUUGGAUGGGCAAAUGAAUUUAUUCGUGGACUAGGCAAGCUGGAAAGUUAUUUUCGGGUAACCCUGUCCAGCGGUACAUUUUGACCAUAACUCUGUCCUCGGGUGUCGAAAUCAAGUGUCGUCGGUGGCGUUUGAAACUACACAUCCCUGGCUUUAAUUUGAGAUAAAAUGCACAUUCUGAUUCUUUGUGAGUGAGCCGAACCAAAUGUUUUAAGGUAGCUGUCCUGUCUCUCGGAUUUGCUGGAAUGGUUUGUAGAAGCAGUAACUUGAGGCUCAAUUUUGAGCUGGUUGCUUGCCAAAUUUCAGAACGUCUUCUUCUGUAAACCGUUAUUCCUAUGAAUGUAUUUUCUAACGCCAUAAACCAUGCCUCAUUCCGAGUUAAAUUGGUUGAGUUGUGACUAAAACAAGUGGACUGCCCUGUUUUGGGAAAAACGUAAUAUUUGGACUGAUUUUGGACAAAACUUGGGAGUGAUCUUAUUAAUUGAAAAUUUGAUGCUAAACCAUUACCAAAGGUACCAUGGAUGUAUCUUAGACCUUUAUUUUACCAAUGAACCAUGGUUGGAUAGCUUUCUUGGUUAAACGAUUUGAAAUUGGGAAAUGAAAGUCAAAAGGCAGAUUGCCUUAGAAAUUUUCCGGAACUUUGGAUGAUUAGUUAACUACCUUCCCGAGGGUAUUUUUCCCUGAAAUUUGAUAGAGAAAUACCUUGCAUAUAGAAGUAAAAUACUGCCAAUUUUGUCACCAAUUCAAGUUCGUUUCGAUACCGAAUUAAAUUUCUAGUGUUGGAGGUUCAAAACUGGAAAUUCUUCUUCAGUCUUGAAUCUUCCUCAACUUUGAGCUACCGUAUCUCGGUCCUCGAAACUCCGAUUCUUGAUCCGCUUAUUUUGGUAUAAACCUCACUUGCAACUCUAAUUGAGUUACAAAUUUCAGAGGCCGGUUUGCAAUGUGUGAAUUGUGCCGAAUUUUCAAAGUUGGCCGAAAUCCAACUUAAUUCUCUUUUUACGCCGAGUCUGUAUCUUCAAGCUCAUUUUUGAGUACUUUCCACUUAGAUUCAUGGAAAGGUGUCUUCUAAGAACUUUUAACCCUUUACAAAAGGUUUCCAACGGUAUAAAUUUUUCCAGUUUUGGACUUAUAACGAGAGAUAUGAAUUUUCAAAGAUUUAGGAUAAAACUGAAAUUUCUCAAUUUUCAAGGCAAAGGAGUUUUUCCAAAACUCUUAAUUCUCUUAGUAUUAUUCAUACGUUUUGCCCUCGCUUUUCAUGAUAAAAACUCAAAUAAUAUUGUACAUAAUAAAAGGGCAAGUUGAACCUCGAUUUGCGAGUAAUUGAGGUUCAUUUUGUGAAAUAUUCCUUAGAUUGUACUAGUGUACAAUCUUCCUUGACUAGUGGGUUAUUUGUGUGAUUAUCCGCUAUUAAUUGCCAGGCGCUCAAGGAGACAUUCAAGAGGAUCUUACUGUGGACACUUGAACUCCCAGAAAAUAAUUCUUAUUUAAUUGCUCGAUGAGUGUCAAGUGUGUGAAUCUGUGAUACUUGCUUAUUUGUGGUAAUUGUUGGGAGUUUUAAAAUAAGGGCGGGUGCGUACUUUACCGCACUCGUUCUAAUUUCAAAUGAAUGAAUGAAGUGUAUUGAAUGAAUGAAUGAAAUGCAAUGUUAUGUUAUGAUCACAUAUGUCGUUGGAGUGAACCUCCUCGACUUUCAAAUGAAUGGGGGACGCCCAAACUCAUAGGCCGACCUUAGACUCGAGCCAGCAAUGGCUUGGUCGGGGACUUAGGCGAGCCAUGAGAUAAAUAUGAGCUCGACCUAAUGAGAGGUCUUGCUCGGCAUACUCGUGGAGUAUCGCCUUAUACAUGACUUGUGGGCCCUUGAGGUGUACGGUGGACGGAGGGAAGUAAGUGGUGAUCUACGGAAAUGGAAAUACCGACCCGGUUGACAGGAGGGUCAACGCGGGAAGGUAUACGAAUGACAUCGGCAGAGCGAGUGGAACUUAACUCCUGAGAGCUACUAUAUCCUUGAAUUGUUUCUGAUUACUUUUCCUGUUUGAAUGAUUGAUUAUUGAAGGGACAUGGUUUUAAUUAUUAAAUUUGGGAUUGCUAUUUGAACAAAGUGCUUGCAUGUGUGUUCUUGGCCUCACGAGCGUUUAGCUCACCCUAUAGUUUUGUUUCCUUAACAGGACCGAAUCUUGGAGAAGUAUGGUGAAACCAUUCGUUACACUUUUGUUAAGACUCCUGCUAUAUUUUGACUAGGCCCUGGUUUGGGUUGUACUUUUGGAAAUUGUAAAUUUGAAAGUUUGGGCCCUGACGUGUAUGUUGAAUUUAAGUUGUUUUAUGAUUACCGAUGUAAUGGUUACAUGUUAAGUGACUUGAUAAGCUUGAACGCUUCCGCAUUAUUGUAUUCAUGUUGUUCUCUUCGAAGUGUUUAGUCCGGUUUUAAAUUGAAUGGAAUUGCUUGAGUCCUGGCGAGAGCUGGGCAGGCGUCCGCGGAUACCCUUUGGUCCGCCUUAGGGAGAUGUGAGGCGUCACACUUCACCUCCCUCUUCGGUUUCUCUUCUUGUUCGGCUGAACAUCUCUCUCAAUCUCCUAUCUCCCUCGCUGUUUUUCUUUUUCGCUCCGUCGCUUUCUCUAGUUCUUCCAGCAGCCCUUUUUUCCUCCUUGCUUUUUGUGUUGCUGCCGCCAUUUCCUUGUUCUUGCUCUCCUUUUUUCCAGCCGAGAGCUCCUUCCUUUUCUACUCUCUCCGCCGCCUUAUCUUUUUCUUUUCUUCCCUGGUUUUUCUCCUGUCCAGCCCGUAGGUUUCUUUGCCCAGCCCAAAACUCCCUAUCUCACACUCUCGGUUUCUUUUUCUCUAGCCGCCAACCCCAGCCUUUCUUUUCAUCAGCCGUUUUCUCCUCCGGUUUCUAGUUCCUUCCUCUCUCCCUGUUUCUCCUAGCUCUCUCAAACCCUAGCCGCCUAACCUAUCUCCAAACCCCGCAGCUGCUGUCCCUUUUUCCUCUAUCUGUUCCCCCUUUGGCUGCGCUCUAUCUCAGCCUUUUUAUAUCAAGUGGAAGACCCUAAACCCUCAUUUCAAUGGUCACAAGCAAACCUCAGCUCAACCCUUCUCACUUGGCCAUCCGAUUGAAUUCUUACAUGAAACAGUUUUUUUUUCCUUUUUUUUUCUUUUUCAGUUAAUUAAUAAUAAACAAAAUAUAAAGAAACAUAACAACUUAAGUAAAAUCGAAUAAAAGGGCAAAACUAGGCAUAAAAAGAUUAAAAAAAUGAAAUGCUAAAUUCUCCAUUUUUCCUUCUUUUUUUUAAAUUAAAUAACAAUGAACUUGAAUCCAAAAUAACUAAAACAUAUUUUGUGAAUGAUUUUCUUUUUUUUUUGAUAAAUUCUAUGCUAAAAUGACUUAAAAAAAUAAAAAUAAAAGACUAAAAGUAAAUAAAAACUAACAUACAAUAAUAGUAAACAAAAAUGCACUAAAAAUUUGGUGUCUACAGUUACUUAAGUGAAAUUAUGUGAUAAAUGUACUUAUUAUGAAAUAUUGCUGAGUGAUUCAUUGUAAAGUGUAUCUCAAUUGUCUCUCGCCUUCUAAGUCGAGGGUAUACUUUAUCGCACUCGGUUAAUUGAGUUUGAAGGUUGAUAAUUGACCAAAUAUUACUGUAAGUGUGCAUGAAUGUAAGCCGUAUGUGUACUUUACCGCAUAGGCUGAACUGGGCCCCAAAACCCUCUAUUCAACGGACUAUUCGAACCAGCAAAGGGUUGGGUUGGAUAGGACGGAAGUUUUGGGUAACUGUUUCGAUAUACUCGAGUAUUACCCUGAAGCUGGGAGAUUAUUGAACUGAUUACUGAAUGUAGGAGAUUGUUUAUUGUUUUGGAGGACAUAAGAAGGUGAAUUAGCGGAGUGUGCAAUGAUAUUGAAAUAAAUGUACAAUGACAUUGAAAUAAGUGUGCAAUGAUAUUGAAAUGACAUUGAAUUACUGAACGGAACUAAGUGCUACGUUUGGAGCGGACGGGAGCCACCUCUAAAGUCUGUAUCAGUACCAUAUCCUUUAAGGUAAUUGAUUACUUUUAUUAAAUUUGAUAUCCUGUAUUGUUAAGUUUGGUGAAAGUUUUAUACUGCUAAUUGGUUGUUGUAUCCUUUUGAAAGUGACUAUACAGUGAAAUGUGCAUUACUUGCUUAAUUUUACUGGUUAAGUGUUUAUUGAAUGUUACUUGUUCGGCAAACCUCACUGACCUUUAACUCAACCCUUUAGUACUGUUCACCGACACUGUUCAUAGUUACUGUUCAUCCGAAUACAAAUCUGUCCAGCCUUGUUGUUUGUGUUAUCCAACUUGUUUACUUGGUUUUCAAAUCUGGAUUUUGGCAAAACUUGUUGGAAUUUUGUGAAUCUUGAAGAGAACUUACAAUAAUCUUGAACUUCUUGCAUUCUUGAUCACAAUCUUGAAAUUUCUGAAGUUCCUGACAACUUCCUUGAAAGUUCUUGAAAGAUCUUGGAGUUCUUGGAUCUUGGAGUUAUUAUUUGUGGACUUCCUUGUUUUGUGUCGUGGUCGAUAGUUGUAGUCAAGAAAAAAAAACAGAAAACAAAAACGAAAAGAAAAAGAAAGAAAAGAGGAAUCGGUUGGCAAGAAAAAAAAAAGGAAAGGAAAGAAAGUGGCAACCGAAUUGUUUUGAAUAGGGAACCAAAUCUGAUUUGUGCAAUCUUUCUUGGAGUAGAAUUUGGAAGUUACCAAAAGUUGUUUCAAGAAGAUUACCAAAGGUUGUUUCAAGAAGGUUACCAAAAGUUGUUUCAAGAAGAUUACCAAAAGUUGUUUCAAGAAGGUUACCAAAAGUUGUUCAAGAGGAAAAGGAUUUUCAAAGGGUUUCCAAAAACUAACUUGUUUCCAAAAUCAAUUAGGAAACUAAGUAAAGCACUUGGAUAACUCUUUGUACUCACUUGGACACUCUCUCUCCUACCUUUUUAGGAAACUUUCCCAAACUCUCUCAUCCAUUUUUUUUUGGAAACUUUCCUAAAUUCUCUCAUCCAUUUUUUAGGAAACUUUCCUAAACUCUCUCAUCCAUUUCUUUUGGAAACUUUCCUAAAGUCUCCCAUCUAUUUUUAGGAAACUUUCCUAAAUUCUCUCAUACAUUUUUUAGGACCUUUCCUAUAUUCUCUCAUCCACUUUAGGAAACUCUCCUAUAUUCUCUCAUCCACUUUAGGAAACUCUCCUAUAUUCUCUUCCUAGAUUUUAGGAACACUCUCCUACACUUUCUCCUAUAUUUUCUCCUAACUUUUAGGAACACUUCCCUACACUUUCUCCUACAUCUCCGUGAUUACUCUUGAGGAAGAAGUUGGUGACAAUUAUUUGGUCUUGAGCAGCAUUUCUCAAACUACCUAACCCAACAGGUAAAGGUGUUUGGUAAGUCCAUUGGAGAGGUUUAGAGUGACAUCCAUAUACACGAGUACGAGUGGAUACAUGUAAGGGAGCGUAAAAGGCAAUAUCUUUGGUUUCGUUGCUAACUUUUUGUAGGUUCCCUCAUACGUCAUGGCGAAUACAAGACGCAUAAAAGUUAGCCCACAACAUUGUCUUCCUGAUCCUAAGGGAGUCAAAGAAGUGGCAUUACGUGGUGUAGAUGAGCAAUUGGACCUCGUCAAAUCUCAGUUGCUUGGUUGGUUUUAUACCCGUUGCGGUGUCAAAGAUAAAAUUUGUAGCUUGGCCAUUGAUGGAAGUUGUGAAGUCAACCUUGCAAGUGCUAUCAUGGUUGAGAAAUUAAAUCUUCCAACCAUUGAUCAUCUUCAACCAUACAAGUUGACGAGCACUCAUGGUGAUGUUUGGGUUACUAAACACACACUUGUACCUAUUCAAAUCGGCAAAUAUGUGGAUGAGGUGUUGUGUGAUGUAGUCCCAAUUCAAGUGACACAUGUGUUGUUGGGCAAAGCAUGGAUGUCGAGGCGAGAAGUUAAAAUUGGCGGACAUACUAAUAAGUAUUCCUUCUUAUUUAAUAGUCAUCGUCUUGCACUUGUAUCACUUACUUAUGACCAACUUUGUAUUGAUCUAGCAUGCAUGAAAAGUGAGCUUGACCGUUAUAGAAUGGAGAAAAAGCUAGAUGAGGGAAUUGUGCCUGCAGAGGUAAAACCCGAGGAAGUUGAAAGUAAUGAGAUAAAAGGGUUGUCGCGCCCCACUUUUUGAAUGAUGAACGUGUGGUGUGUGUGUGGUGUGAGAUGUGAGUGGUGUAAUGGAAUGUGAACGUGUGUAAAUGAAAAGUAAAAGGCCAUGGGACUUGAUAAUGCGACGGUUUGGCCAUAUAAAGUUCAAAAAGGGUUUUUUGUAUCAAAAAUGGAGUCGCCACUUGGUAUAGGGUUAGGGUGUACCAAGUCACCCAAAAAAUGGUUUUUUGUUUUUGAAUAAAAAAAAGUAAAUAAACCCUUUUAAAGAACUUUUGGGUCUACGUAACCAAAAAGAGGGAUCGGGGGUCACAUUUGACGAAGGGGAAGGCAAGGAUAAACAUCCAAGGCACCCCUUCGACCUAGCCAAGGCUAGUUGCGUGACUUAAACCAAUUUUUCCUAAUUUUUCUACCCAAGGUAUGUAUCGCGUGUUGGAUAUGUCUAUAUGAAUGCAAAAACCUAGACCUAGGGGGACAUGGGGGAAAUUUCUCUUCAAAGGUUGAGCGGUGCCAAUCACAUUAAUUGUGAAGCCCAAUAAUGAUCCUUUGGAGAGGUCACACGUAAUCCUAAAUGACGUAAAAUGAGUGGAAUGCAUGCCAUGUGAAAGUGUGAGUUUGUGUGAAGUGAAAAAAAAAAUGAUAAAAGUAAUAAGAUAUAAGUGGAGGUGUGCAAAUGUCUUUGCAAGGUAAAGUAAGUAAAGAAUAAUAAGGUGAAAAAUGCCAUAAGGUGCAUGUGUGAAGAGAGAAUGUAGAAAAUAGUGUGAAAGUAGUGUGAAGUGAGAAUGUGGAAAAAGGGUUAGAAUAUAAAGUAAGUGUAUGUGAUAGUGAAUGAAUAGAAUGCAUGAAUCCUAUAGGAAUGCAUCAAGACGGGAACGGGGAGUCCUAACUUUGUGACUUAAUCUUCCCUUUGAUUAGAAGGCAAAACUAGCGUGCUAAGGCUAUCGAGUAGCCACACUCGCUCGUUUCCCUUAUCGAAAGGGGACUCUCAAGCAAAUGAGCCCUAUAACUAGUAUGAGAUGCAAAACCUAAAAAUGAGGGGAAAAAGGGGUUCGAGGAGCAUGCCAAUGAUAAAACUAAGAAAAAUGCAUGACAUGUAGUGAACAUGCAAAUAUGCACUAACAAAAGGGGAUGGCCUAUUGGGUCUAGCGUUGGACUAGCCCUUUCUAUGAAUUCCUAAUGAAAUAAUGAGCCACAACUAGCAUUGGACUAGUGUGGUGACGUACAUUCAUCCAUCACAGUCAUUCAUGGCUAUGGAAAGCGAUUAGACAUGCCAAACACCUAUAAACACAUAGCACAUAACAAUUAGCAUGCUCGACUAGAUGCAAGGACCUAAUAAAGCAAAUUAACAUGUAACAACUAAGCAGGCAAGACACAUAAGGCAAUUAAAGCCCUAACUAUUACAUUUGCUAGCUAGGCACACGUCUUCGACAGGUCUUCAUCGAAUGCUCCUCCAAGCCCUAUCUAUUACAAGCCAAGAGGUGUACACAUACCCCAUAAUGAAUACCUUAGAAAAGGGGGAAAGGGAAAAUGGACAAGAAAGCUCGCCAAGCCCUAUCUAUUACAAGCCAAGAGGUGUACACAUACCCCAUAAAAACUUAAAUAAAAGUAAAAGUAAGUAAAUGCAUGCAAGGAGGUAGGGAAAGCGAAGUAGACAGGCAUAUUCACAUAACACAUAAGGUCACAUAGGAGAAAUGAAAAUCAAGGAGAUAGAGGUUACCUCCCUUGCAAUUGGGCCCCAAUGAAGUGAACUUACUUAUUUAUCCUCCAAAAUAAAAGAAAUGGUCAAGGUACCAAUUUAUUUGGGAAAAAUUAAAAGAAAUGUGCAAAACAAGCUCACUUGGUCAUAAAGCCCCUAAAGUCAUGACUUAAAUGCAAUUGACAAAGCAUGGUAGUUAAUUGAAGCAAAACAAGCAAUGAAGUUGCAAAAAAUUAAAGUGCCAAGGACCAAAUUGAGGAAAUCAUUCAAUUGAUUGGGCCAUAGUAGGACAAGGGGAGACUUGGGGGGUCAAAGUGCAAUUUUCAGGAGCAUUUACAUGCAAGCUCAUGCGAUUUACGUAGGAAAUGCUUCUGCUACACUUCUUGUUAAACCAUCAGCAACCGAAAGAAAAACAGCACACAUAACUUGCUUUCAAGUUCAGUUCUCAAACCCAAAUAUGAAAGCUUUAAACUAGCAGCAAACUACGUAAUCCCCAUAAUCCAAUCAAAUAGGAAACUUAAAAAAACCAUGCAAGAUCAUGAAAAAAAGUGGGCAAAACAUUUGAAGAAUGAAACUGCUGUAACUUUCUUAGCUUCACAUUCCAAGACCAGAUUUCAGAUUCAAGCAACCUUAACCAAAAUUUCCUUGAUCUAACACCUAAACUUUGAACUAAACAAACAAGACAUGAAUUUGACAUCUAAACAAACAAGAAACAUAGGGGAACUGGUGCAAAAGGUCACGGAAAAACUCAAGCAUGCUGCAAACUCACGGUUGCAUAGUCUCAUUCAAUUUCCUAUCCAUUUGGCCGAAUCUAUAUUCAUGCAAAUAAACCAAGUAUCUCCACUUGAAUCAAAAUGCAGAGAUUUGAAGCAAAAGUAGGAGUAAGAUCAAACAGGUUUUAAACUCAAAAUGCAACAAAAAUGAUUUGAGGAACAAGAUUUUUCUGCAAUUUUCACAUGCCGCGGCUUUUCUUUCCACUUCAUGAUGCUGGCCAGAUUUUGAUUCAAAUACAUGGCUUUGAUCAGAUGUUUUUCAAUCCAACAUUACAACCUUAAGCUAAGCAACAAAUUACACAAUGAUCACAAUCCAAAUGACCAGAAAAAAUAGAAAUGUAUCGUCCCAAAGUUCUGAAAAAUAAAUGCAGAAAUGGUUUUGGUAACCAGAUUUUUUCUUUCCAUCGUGCAGACCAAGUUUGGUUCACAGACAAGGCUUUGAUUAAAUAUUUCCAACCCAACAUCCUCACUUUAACUCACAACAAGCUACUGAACUCUAACUCCAAACCAACAAGAACAAACAAAAGGCUAAUGGACUACCGAAAAUCUGACAGACAAUCAUGUAGAAUAGCUAGCAACCUGAAAUCCAUUGUCCAGCUCAAGUAUUGCACGGCAUUCAUCAUCUACAAAUCCACUCGCACACAUCUUUAAACAUGAAUCUAUCUACUGACCAUUCCAAUCGAAAACAACGAAGAAAAUGCAGCAAAAGAAAACAGCAAAAGACACAAGCUUUAAUCAGUUUCUGCAAAUAUUUCAAUCCAAACCAAAUCUACUCAUGCGAAGAAGGAAAAGAAAACCCAGUCAAGCUGCACAACAGCCCAUCCCCAAUCACAUAACUCUCAUAACUUCACCCCAAAUCCAGUAAACCUGACCGUGCUGCCAAUCCCAGAAGUGCAGAAAAAGAAAAGCAAAACUCACGGCAAAACAAAACCAGCAUCGCAGCAAAGCUUCAACAUUUCAGACAUGAUUUUAUAAUCUAUGGGCAGAAGACAAGUGAAAGGCAUUACCUUUAUCCUUUUCAAAAGGAAAAAACAGAAUCUUGGAUGAUGAACAAAGUGUUGCCCAGCCCGAAAAGCUUUAUCUUCCUCGGCUGUCAAUGUUCUUCUUCUGGUUCGCAGUACUCGUAUUUCUUGAUGAAUCGAAGAUGAUGAUGGUGACGUUGGGACUCCUCCUCCUUGCUGCGCCGCCCCUCUCUAGUUCUCCCUUGGCUCUCCAACCUCGCGGCCCUCAACUCUCUCGAAGCUCUCAAACUCUCAGCCGCCCAGUCCUCUCUUUGUUUUCUUUCAACAACCCUCAGCCCGUCGGACUUUUUUAGUUUGUAGCCGUCAACCUCUCACAACUUCCUUUUUCGGCUGCUGUUCUUUUUCUAACUCUCUCCCGUUCACCUCUCCUCUCUUGCUUUUUAGUUUUUUUCUUCCGUUCGCUCCUCUCCAAAACCCCCCUGCGGCUGCUCCCUCAAAAAAAUGCCAAAACCCCUCUCUAAAACCCUCUAUCCUGCGGCCUCUCUUUGCUGUCCAAAACCUAGCCAUCUACUUCUAGAAUCCUCUUCCCCCCUCCAGGUGUCCUAGACACCUGGCCUUUGUAGCUCAAUUUUGCCUCCCAAGGACCUCCCGCAAUCUCCCUUGCAAGCUGCGGCAAAAACGCAACUUUCUGCAUUUUUUUUUCUACGUAUAAUAUAAAUAACAAUAAAAUCAAAAUAAUAAUUCAAACAAACUUAAACUUAUAUAAAAUGUAUAAAGCAACCAAAAGAUAUAAAAUAAAAACUAAGAUUUUCUUCUCUUUUUUCAUUUUCCUUCAUUUUUCCUCUUUUCUCUUUUUUAAGAAAUUCUAUGCUAAAACUUAAAAAUAAAACUAAAAACUAAACAAAAACCUAAAAAAGCGAAUAAAACUAUCAUGACAAAUAAAAAACCAAAAAUAAAAGGUAAAUGAAAUUACACCAAAAAUUUGGUGUCUACAGUUUGCCCCUCUUUGUCUGAGUUUUGGAAAAACUUGAGACAAAGAAGUAGACACCAAAUGCUUACCUGUACCAUUCGGUUGCCCCUAUUCGGAGGACUGACCUAACAAGGAAUUUCAAACAUGGGACUGGCCCGAACAGAAUUGUAAACGGGGUAGACCCGGACAGAAGUGUAGAUGAGAUAGACAACCCACGGGAUAGACCCGGACAGAAAAGUAAAUGGGAUGGCCCACGGGAUAGACCCGGUCAGAAAUGUAAACGAGAUAGACCCAGACAGAAAUGUAAAUGGGAUAGACCCACGGGAUAGACCCACGGGAUAGAACCCGGACAGAAAUGUAAAAUUGGGAUAGACCCACGGGAUAGACCCUAACAGAAAUUUAAAAUUGGGAUAGACCCACGGGAUAGACCCGAACAGAAAUUUAAAUUUGGGAUAGACCCACGGGAUAGACCCACGGGAUAGAACCCGGUCCUGCCGAGGAUAGAAUAAAACACACGCGUUAGUGAGAUAGACUCGAUGCUAAUGGUGGCAGGAUGAAACACACACGUUAGUGAGAUGGACUCGAUGCUAACGGUGGUAGGAUGAAAACACGCACGUUAGUGAGAUAGACUCGAUGCUAACGGCGGUAGGAUGAAAACACGCACAUUAGUGAGAUAGACUCGAUACUAACGGCGGUAGGAUGAAAACACGCACAUUAGUGAGAUAGACUCGAUGCUAACUGCGGUUGAAGUAAAACACGCACGUUAGUGAGAUAGACUCGAUGCUAACUGCGGUUGAAGUAAAACACGCACGUUAGUGAGAUAGACUCGAUGCUAACUGCGGUUGAAUGAAAACACACGCGUUAGUGAGAUAGACUCGAUGCUAACUGCGGUUGAAGUAAAACACGCACGUUAGUGAGAUAGACUCGAUGCUAACUGCGGUUGAAGUAAAACACGCACGUUAGUGAGAUAGACUCGAUGCUAACGGCGGUUGAAGUAAAACACGCACGUUAGUGAGAUAGACUCGAUGCUAACUGCGGUUGAAGUAAAACACGCACGUUAGUGAGAUAGACUCGAUGCUAACGGCGGUAGGAUGAAAACACGCACGUUAGUGAGAUAGACUCGAUGCUAACGGUGGUGGAAUGAAAACGCACACGUUAGUGAGAUAGACUCGAUGCUAACGGUGGUUGAAUGAAAACCAAUCCCAACAUGACUUUUGUGAAGUUGGCGGCACAAAAACCAGGCCCAACGUGAUCUUGUGAUAGUUGGCGGCACAAAAUCCAGGCCCAACGUGAUAAAAUGAUGUUGGCGGCACAAAAUCCAGGCCCAACGUGAUCUUUGUGAAUGGUCAGUGGGAUAAGACCCAAUCCUGCCAUCCAAUUGGUCAAGAAAUUGAAUUUGACUUGUCAAAAUACAAGAAAUGAAAUUUGAUUUUCCAAGAAACAAGAAUUUGAACUUGACUUUUGAUUUUUGACUUUUGAACUUUUCUGAUUUUUCGAGAGAAUCUUUUCCAAAGAUAAUUUGCCCCAGUGUAGGGCCCUUUUCCCUUCUUUCUUCUCUUUUUCGGCAUUGGCCUUCCAUGACUCAGAAGCUUUUCGUCGACUUCAACUGUGAAUACCUGCACAGGGGGCUUACAUGCACUCAAAUUUCCAAGAAAAAGGCAGCGUGAUUGAUUUGGAAGUCUUACUUGAGACUUUGACAAAAUCCUCAAAUGGACUAUAAAAAUUUGCCCCAGUGUGGGCUUAUUUUGUGAAAUCUUGGAAAUAAAAAUUUUGCCCCAGUAUGGGCCCAUUUGAUUGCAAACAAUUGGUUUGAAUGCCCCUCCAUUUAUCUGAACAAAGUAAGAAACUGUGUUUUCUGGAUAAUGUGAAGAAAAUUGAACGUCUUGCUUAACUUCAUACAGAAAAUUUCAUGAUGAAUUUCUCAAAAUAAUGCCAAAUCACAAAAAAUUUCUUCCUCACUUUUAGCAUCUGUGCUUAGAGUAACGGGUCACCACUUCUUGUUGGCUCAUCUUUCAGGACCAAUCGAGUGGGGUGUUAUUUCUGAUUUGGAAAGGGCUAAAGGAAAUGGAAGGUCAAGAUUUGUCUUAUUCAUGUGCUCAGAUGGUAUGUAAUCCCUUCAAUACCACAUCUUUAGUGAAAGCAAAGAGUUUGUCACCCUUAUUUCAUAAGAAAACUUAGUCAACGUAUAAGCUUCAUGGGCUUGCAAAAUUUUGGGUAGAAAUGAUAGCUAAACAUGUAAAAUCUAGUUAUACCCUUAUGAUGGAUUUUUAUGAGCAUAAUCCUCACUUUGGAUUGUCAUGAAGGAAUAAGUCAACGAUGGACUUUAUUAGCUUGUAAUUUGGGUUGAAAACGAUAGCUAAAGAAAUAAUUUCCAAAGGACAUUGCACCGAAGAUCGCAUUUUUCAACACUGCCCUCAUCUGGACUCCAGAUUCUUGGACUUUGUUUAACUUUUAUCAUCACCCAACAGGGUCUUUCAGCAUCAAAUUUUUUUGCACCUUUCUUUUGCAUUCAUUUCGCUCGUUUUUCUUUUCUUUUUCCCUCUUUUCCAAAAAGACCCUCGCGGGAUUUCUCAUGAAGAGCAGUGUCAACCUCACACCUAAUCAAUUCAGAAUACAGCAAAAAUUUUCCGGCAUCAGAAAUUUUCUUGACAGGGCCAUUGCAAAGAAUAGAAGUCAGGGUUUUCGGCUUUUGUAAUGGGGUCAGGUGGGGUGUUUAGAAAAGUUAAGGCUUGAAGGCAGAUUUCAAGAGUGGUUUGAAGAAUCUGAGAUCGCAUUGUUGCGUCAACCCUAUUUUAGGGUAAAAUCAGAAUUUGCCCCAGUUUAUGCUCACUUGAGGCUUUUUCUCUUUCAUUUUUCUUUUUCUCUUUUGACUUUUCGGCCUUUUGUCAUUCUUGAACUUUCACAAAAUUUGCCCCAGUUUAUUUUUGAACUGAGGUUCUCUUUUCUUCCUUUUUUGCUUUUGAUUUUGUUGCUUUCCACUUCUUCACUUCUUGAAAUUUUCCUUUUUCAACUCAAACUUGCCCCAGUGUGGGGUUUGCGAUUCUCAGGGGUUGCCAAACGAAAUAAUUCAUUCUGAAGGCUCAAAAGGGAUAACUAGGGAUAGAAUGUUUGAUUGGAAAAGAAGAUGGCCUGACUUAUAUUCCGUUCCUUACAAUAACCCUGAAAGGAAACUUUCAUUAAUGCGAAAUUUCUGGCAUGUAUCUGAAUUAACUGACGGAAGAAGACCCUUGUUCAUUCAUAUUUGUGAAACAUAGGCGAUCCACGCGGACAAAACUCUUUCUUUCUUUUUUUUCAAAAUUGGAACCCAAGUGGAAUCAAAUUUCCCCAAUUUACGGUUCCCUUCCUAUUUUAGCAUUUUUGCUUUUCCCCUCCUUAUUCUAGCAUUUUUUUGCUUUUCCCCUUUUCUUUUCCCUUUUUCAAAAUUCCUCAAUCUCCUUCCCCAAUGUGGGGUGCGAUCAUAUGUGCACUCGAAAAGAACCAUCAAUUUUUAGCUCAAAUGAGGAUGCAAGGGAUGAUCAGUGUUUAGGUUAUAGAAAUGAUGGCCAAAGUAUCAUUCUUACGCUUCAUGACAAUCAAAGUAAUGCAAUGCUCAUUGAGAACCCAUUCCCUUUUGAAAGUUUUCCAAUGUAGGGUAGAGAUCAUUAAGGCCUUUAUUUGAAACGAAAUUAUCCUUCCAAAGGCUCAAAUGGGAGAGCAAAUGAUAAAAUCUGUAUAGGUAGAGAAACGAAUGCUUGAAAUAUCAUUCCAAAUUUUCAAAACAAACAAGGAUAACGCACAUUUUUGCUUUCACUUAGAUGUGAUUGAAUCGGAUUAGACACAGCGGACAUUUUCAAGCAAAAGUUGCCCCAACUUGCAAUUUAUCGAUCAAUGUGACUGAUUUUAUUUUGGGGUUAAGUGAAGGAGAAAGGUAUCUCAUGGGCCCUUUUGAGUGACCUCUUUUAAUUCUGAACACUCUUAUUGUGAAUGUUCAGGCCGGAGGUUGAAAAAAUCCCAAUUUAGUCUUAUUUCUUAAAAUUCAUCAUGAAAUCUCCAAUGAAUAAGAAUAAAGAAUGAAAUGUACAUAAAUAUACACAAAACAAUGAUUGUCCAAAAAUUUUAUUGCUGAAAAAGUUUGAAAAUUUCUCAUUCAAUUUACGAUACAAAUGAGAAGAGAGAAACUUGUAAAGAGCUCCACAUAUACACUUUUUGUCUCCUUUUCUUUUUGGAACAAAAUGUAUUAACAAAUCAAAUAUACAAAAUUUUCCUUUGGAAAACAAUUACAACAUCUCUCAGAGGCUUUAGCGUAGAGCUUCCAGAUAGAUCAUUUAUGUUUUCAUUAUAGGACCUGCCCAAGAAUCAAAUAAUACUUUCUGAACUUUAUCGGAUCAAAAAUUGUUAUCCAAUAUAGGGAAAUAUUUUCACCUUAUUGAAACAUUUUUAUGAAUGCAGGGGAGGGGGAAAAAAAGAAAAAUACCCCGAGUUAGUAGGCAAAACUGCAAAAUCGGUAUGCAUGUCCUAUGGGGGAGCCCUUUUGUGCCAAGGGUAGGCCUAGCAUGAAAAUGCAAUCCUCCAGAGCAGGCACUAUACCAUACCUGAUGGAUCUGAUCAACUCAUUGAGUGAAAAAAUAAUUUGAAAAAUUUGGCCCAUUGGAAUGAGAAAAGACGUUGGUCAAAAUAAGGACCUCGUCCGAAGGGAUUGAUCACUUUUGAUCGAUACAAGAAUUUGCAAAAACGCACGGGUUUGACCUUGACGAACUUCCUAUCGAAGAGAUUGGAAUUCGUUUUGACAACUUUUCUCAGUGAAGCACAGGUCAAAACUCCAACUGAUCAAAUGGCUGGAUGCAACGGAUGUUUUUUCUCAAAAUCGACUAAGUUUUUCAUUUUUGAAAUUCGACAUUGAAACCCUAAUUGGUCAAAUGAACUUGACAAUUUAUUAAAAAUCGACCGGAUUACCCUAAAAAGGGAAACAGGUCAAAUGAAUGGAAUGAAAUUUAAUUCGUCCAAAAUUAAUCAAAUCACCCUAAAAAGGGUAAAUUGAUCAAAUAGAUUGAACGAAACUUGAUUUAUUCGAAAUCGGCUCGAUUGCCCCAGAAAUGGGUAAAUUGGCCAAAUGAAUGAAAUUGAAUUAGUGAUUUAUUCAAAAAUCGGCCGAGUGACCCUAAAAAGGGUGAAUCGGUCAAAUGAAUUGACAAUUUAUUCAAAAUCGACCAGGUGACCCUAAAAGGGUAAAUUGGUCAAAUGAAUUGAUAAUUUAUUCAAAAAUCGACCAAGUGACCCUAAAAAGGGUAAGUUGAUCAAAUGAAUUGAUGAUUUAUUGAAUGAAUUGGCAAAAUGAUUUGGUUGAAUUGUCCGGCCAUUGGUGAUUUCAAAAUUAUUGAGAUGCAUUAGUCUAUGAGCUUCUAAAAUCAAAUUUUGGCCUCAAUUUAUUUAUCAUCUCAAUAGGAGGAAUCAUUUGUGAAUUUCUUCAAAUUAAUGUCCUUCACGCAAGGGAUUUUUACCAAUUUUUGCUAAAAUGGCCAAAAAGUGAUUAUUAGAUGCUCAUAUUCCAAAGAUCACUCUAUGAAAAUGAUCGGAUCCUACCUUACCUUGUGCACUACCCCUUUGGAUGGUACAAAAUGUAAACGUGCAAGUCUCACUGGAUGAAGUAUCUGAGACACAAGGUGGCUUAUUUCUAGCACGGGAUCGCCUAAAUGGCAUUCCCUUUUCUAGGGUUUAUGCAUGAUGCCAGUUUAUUAAAGCGAUGUAAAUAUGUGACAAAUAUGGCCUAAAGGAUACAAAUAAUGCAUCGGGGGGAAAAGGUCUAAAAUGAAAUGCACUUAUUGAAAAUUAAGUGUAAUGACUGAAAUUUAAACAUGUGAGCUAUCUGGUGGGUGAGUCACUAAAAGAGUGCCAAAAAGGCCUCUUAUUGCUAAGGCAAAUGAAUGCAAGCCAAGAAAACAAAAGAAAUGGUUAGUGCAAUUGAUAGUACACAUAACACAUUAGGAGCAAUUAAGAAAAGAAAUAUAAUAAAAGCAAGUAAAAGGGGUGGAACCCCCUCCCUCGUGCCUAUCGUGCUUAAAAGGGUGAGGCUGACUCUAACCUAGGCAAACUCUAACAUGGAUGCAUGAGGCUGGGGCUCACUAAUGCAACUAGACUCGAUAAGUCUCAGCUCCCAAGCCUUCAGACCUAAAGGCGAAGGGUCAUCACUCCCAGGGCCUUUGAUCGGUGGCUCGAGUGAUCCCUUAGGUAGCGCUAUGGGCGCAGAGCACACCAGCCGCCUACCCAAGGCAAUCGAUCCUAAUCCUACAAGGCGGUGUGGGAAACGCCCACGAAAAAUAAAAUAAAAUGGGAUAAAAGCAAGUAAACGUGCACGUAUGAAGUGUUCCCCUAUUUUGAGGGAAGGGGUUGAGAACCACGCGGGGCUCUAAAGGUGACACACACCCCCCCCAAAUGCAAUGCAAGCGCGAGAUAAACAAGUAAACAUACAUCCAAUCAACCAAUCACACGUACGUGAGUGAGGGAAUAGUUGGAUACACGCGCGAGGCAAAAGACCCUAAAAAUGGAAAAUGCAACCCUAAUAUCCAAACGCUAUGCAUAAAAAGGGUAGAAAAAGGAAACGAAUGGCUAAGUCAAAUGCUUGGACCCACUUAGGAAGUCCCCAGUGGAGUCGCCAACUGUCGCGCCCCACUUUUUGAAUGAUGAACGUGUGGUGUGUAUGUGGUGUGAGAUGUGAGUGGUGUAAUGGAAUGUGAACGUGUGUAAAUGAAAAGUAAAAGGCCAUGGGACUUGAUAAUGCGACGGUUUGGCCAUAUAAAGUUCAAAAAGGGUUUUUUGUAUCAAAAAUGGAGUCGCCACUUGGUAUAGGGUUAGGGUGUACCAAGUCACCCAAAAAAUGGUUUUUUGUUUUUGAAUAAAAAAAAGUAAAUAAACCCUUUUAAAGAACUUUUGGGUCUACGUAACCAAAAAGAGGGAUCGGGGGUCACAUUUGACGAAGGGGAAGGCAAGGAUAAACAUCCAAGGCACCCCUUCGACCUAGCCAAGGCUAGUUGCGUGACUUAAACCAAUUUUUCCUAAUUUUUCUACCCAAGGUAUGUAUCGCGUGUUGGAUAUGUCUAUAUGAAUGCAAAAACCUAGACCUAGGGGGACAUGGGGGAAAUUUCUCUUCAAAGGUUGAGCGGUGCCAAUCACAUUAAUUGUGAAGCCCAAUAAUGAUCCUUUGGAGAGGUCACACGUAAUCCUAAAUGACGUAAAAUGAGUGGAAUGCAUGCCAUGUGAAAGUGUGAGUUUGUGUGAAGUGAAAAAAAAAAUGAUAAAAGUAAUAAGAUAUAAGUGGAGGUGUGCAAAUGUCUUUGCAAGGUAAAGUAAGUAAAGAAUAAUAAGGUGAAAAAUGCCAUAAGGUGCAUGUGUGAAGAGAGAAUGUAGAAAAUAGUGUGAAAGUAGUGUGAAGUGAGAAUGUGGAAAAAGGGUUAGAAUAUAAAGUAAGUGUAUGUGAUAGUGAAUGAAUAGAAUGCAUGAAUCCUAUAGGAAUGCAUCAAGACGGGAACGGGGAGUCCUAACUUUGUGACUUAAUCUUCCCUUUGAUUAGAAGGCAAAACUAGCGUGCUAAGGCUAUCGAGUAGCCACACUCGCUCGUUUCCCUUAUCGAAAGGGGACUCUCAAGCAAAUGAGCCCUAUAACUAGUAUGAGAUGCAAAACCUAAAAAUGAGGGGAAAAAGGGGUUCGAGGAGCAUGCCAAUGAUAAAACUAAGAAAAAUGCAUGACAUGUAGUGAACAUGCAAAUAUGCACUAACAAAAGGGGAUGGCCUAUUGGGUCUAGCGUUGGACUAGCCCUUUCUAUGAAUUCCUAAUGAAAUAAUGAGCCACAACUAGCAUUGGACUAGUGUGGUGACGUACAUUCAUCCAUCACAGUCAUUCAUGGCUAUGGAAAGCGAUUAGACAUGCCAAACACCUAUAAACACAUAGCACAUAACAAUUAGCAUGCUCGACUAGAUGCAAGGACCUAAUAAAGCAAAUUAACAUGUAACAACUAAGCAGGCAAGACACAUAAGGCAAUUAAAGCCCUAACUAUUACAUUUGCUAGCUAGGCACACGUCUUCGACAGGUCUUCAUCGAAUGCUCCUCCAAGCCCUAUCUAUUACAAGCCAAGAGGUGUACACAUACCCCAUAAUGAAUACCUUAGAAAAGGGGGAAAGGGAAAAUGGACAAGAAAGCUCGCCAAGCCCUAUCUAUUACAAGCCAAGAGGUGUACACAUACCCCAUAAAAACUUAAAUAAAAGUAAAAGUAAGUAAAUGCAUGCAAGGAGGUAGGGAAAGCGAAGUAGACAGGCAUAUUCACAUAACACAUAAGGUCACAUAGGAGAAAUGAAAAUCAAGGAGAUAGAGGUUACCUCCCUUGCAAUUGGGCCCCAAUGAAGUGAACUUACUUAUUUAUCCUCCAAAAUAAAAGAAAUGGUCAAGGUACCAAUUUAUUUGGGAAAAAUUAAAAGAAAUGUGCAAAACAAGCUCACUUGGUCAUAAAGCCCCUAAAGUCAUGACUUAAAUGCAAUUGACAAAGCAUGGUAGUUAAUUGAAGCAAAACAAGCAAUGAAGUUGCAAAAAAUUAAAGUGCCAAGGACCAAAUUGAGGAAAUCAUUCAAUUGAUUGGGCCAUAGUAGGACAAGGGGAGACUUGGGGGGUCAAAGUGCAAUUUUCAGGAGCAUUUACAUGCAAGCUCAUGCGAUUUACGUAGGAAAUGCUUCUGCUACACUUCUUGUUAAACCAUCAGCAACCGAAAGAAAAACAGCACACAUAACUUGCUUUCAAGUUCAGUUCUCAAACCCAAAUAUGAAAGCUUUAAACUAGCAGCAAACUACGUAAUCCCCAUAAUCCAAUCAAAUAGGAAACUUAAAAAAACCAUGCAAGAUCAUGAAAAAAAGUGGGCAAAACAUUUGAAGAAUGAAACUGCUGUAACUUUCUUAGCUUCACAUUCCAAGACCAGAUUUCAGAUUCAAGCAACCUUAACCAAAAUUUCCUUGAUCUAACACCUAAACUUUGAACUAAACAAACAAGACAUGAAUUUGACAUCUAAACAAACAAGAAACAUAGGGGAACUGGUGCAAAAGGUCACGGAAAAACUCAAGCAUGCUGCAAACUCACGGUUGCAUAGUCUCAUUCAAUUUCCUAUCCAUUUGGCCGAAUCUAUAUUCAUGCAAAUAAACCAAGUAUCUCCACUUGAAUCAAAAUGCAGAGAUUUGAAGCAAAAGUAGGAGUAAGAUCAAACAGGUUUUAAACUCAAAAUGCAACAAAAAUGAUUUGAGGAACAAGAUUUUUCUGCAAUUUUCACAUGCCGCGGCUUUUCUUUCCACUUCAUGAUGCUGGCCAGAUUUUGAUUCAAAUACAUGGCUUUGAUCAGAUGUUUUUCAAUCCAACAUUACAACCUUAAGCUAAGCAACAAAUUACACAAUGAUCACAAUCCAAAUGACCAGAAAAAAUAGAAAUGUAUCGUCCCAAAGUUCUGAAAAAUAAAUGCAGAAAUGGUUUUGGUAACCAGAUUUUUUCUUUCCAUCGUGCAGACCAAGUUUGGUUCACAGACAAGGCUUUGAUUAAAUAUUUCCAACCCAACAUCCUCACUUUAACUCACAACAAGCUACUGAACUCUAACUCCAAACCAACAAGAACAAACAAAAGGCUAAUGGACUACCGAAAAUCUGACAGACAAUCAUGUAGAAUAGCUAGCAACCUGAAAUCCAUUGUCCAGCUCAAGUAUUGCACGGCAUUCAUCAUCUACAAAUCCACUCGCACACAUCUUUAAACAUGAAUCUAUCUACUGACCAUUCCAAUCGAAAACAACGAAGAAAAUGCAGCAAAAGAAAACAGCAAAAGACACAAGCUUUAAUCAGUUUCUGCAAAUAUUUCAAUCCAAACCAAAUCUACUCAUGCGAAGAAGGAAAAGAAAACCCAGUCAAGCUGCACAACAGCCCAUCCCCAAUCACAUAACUCUCAUAACUUCACCCCAAAUCCAGUAAACCUGACCGUGCUGCCAAUCCCAGAAGUGCAGAAAAAGAAAAGCAAAACUCACGGCAAAACAAAACCAGCAUCGCAGCAAAGCUUCAACAUUUCAGACAUGAUUUUAUAAUCUAUGGGCAGAAGACAAGUGAAAGGCAUUACCUUUAUCCUUUUCAAAAGGAAAAAACAGAAUCUUGGAUGAUGAACAAAGUGUUGCCCAGCCCGAAAAGCUUUAUCUUCCUCGGCUGUCAAUGUUCUUCUUCUGGUUCGCAGUACUCGUAUUUCUUGAUGAAUCGAAGAUGAUGAUGGUGACGUUGGGACUCCUCCUCCUUGCUGCGCCGCCCCUCUCUAGUUCUCCCUUGGCUCUCCAACCUCGCGGCCCUCAACUCUCUCGAAGCUCUCAAACUCUCAGCCGCCCAGUCCUCUCUUUGUUUUCUUUCAACAACCCUCAGCCCGUCGGACUUUUUUAGUUUGUAGCCGUCAACCUCUCACAACUUCCUUUUUCGGCUGCUGUUCUUUUUCUAACUCUCUCCCGUUCACCUCUCCUCUCUUGCUUUUUAGUUUUUUUCUUCCGUUCGCUCCUCUCCAAAACCCCCCUGCGGCUGCUCCCUCAAAAAAAUGCCAAAACCCCUCUCUAAAACCCUCUAUCCUGCGGCCUCUCUUUGCUGUCCAAAACCUAGCCAUCUACUUCUAGAAUCCUCUUCCCCCCUCCAGGUGUCCUAGACACCUGGCCUUUGUAGCUCAAUUUUGCCUCCCAAGGACCUCCCGCAAUCUCCCUUGCAAGCUGCGGCAAAAACGCAACUUUCUGCAUUUUUUUUUCUACGUAUAAUAUAAAUAACAAUAAAAUCAAAAUAAUAAUUCAAACAAACUUAAACUUAUAUAAAAUGUAUAAAGCAACCAAAAGAUAUAAAAUAAAAACUAAGAUUUUCUUCUCUUUUUUCAUUUUCCUUCAUUUUUCCUCUUUUCUCUUUUUUAAGAAAUUAUAUGCUAAAACUUAAAAAUAAAACUAAAAACUAAACAAAAACCUAAAAAAGCGAAUAAAACUAUCAUGACAAAUAAAAAACCAAAAAUAAAAGGUAAAUGAAAUUACACCAAAAAUUUGGUGUCUACAAGGGUCAGCUGUUGAACUAGAAAAAGAGAUGGAAAAAUCUAAUGAGAUGGGUGGUAAAAAGGAAGAAAAAAGAGAAAGUGGGCUGAUCUUGAGCAACCCGGUGAAGGCCUAUUAUUUUCUUAACAAACUUACCUUUGCUUUGUUUAGUGUUUCUUCUUUUAUACAGAUCAAGCAAAGGCAAGUUGAGCUGAUCUUGGUGUGUUCCAUUCCAAAAUCAAUUGUAGACGUUGCAAGCCUCCAUGGAGUUGGUGUUCCAAGAGUUAAACCCCGUUGGUAUCCAUUCAUGGAACAAUGUCAACUCAAAUCAGUCCACACCAAAGGGGAGUUGAUUCGAGCUCAUCUUGAAGGGAACACUCCAUAUUUUAGGGAUGGUUGUGUACCAAGAGUUCGUUUAAAGAACAAGUACCUCAAUGACCAUUAUGCUUUUCGUCUUGCUCUUAGUCCACAUGAAGCUCCAACAUCACCAAAUCCGCCUUGGUGCCUUGCAAGUGUGUUCGAGCCAGAGUUCGAUUUCACGGGAUACACUUCAUACCACUUUGAGGACCCUUACCUCAUGACCACAAACAAUAAAGUUAAGCAUACAUUGAAGAUGGUCUGUGAGAUUCAAGGUUCGACGAGGGUUAUUUUCCAAAUUAGCACAUGGGCUUUGCAUUGGAUGCCAUCUGUAGCCAUCAUAACAAGAUUGAGUCGAAGGCAUGUAACUCGUCUUGUCACCAUUCGUGCUUCAAUUUGUGGGCAAAUUGCUUUUAAGAGGAGGGGAAUGAUGAGAAUAUAAAGACCAAGGCCCAUUCAAGCACAUGGGGAAUUGGAAGAUUCAAGUGAAGACUAGUUGAUUGCACGAAUGCUUGAGUUUAGUAGGAUUAUUUGAUUUUCCUCGUUGAUUUUGGUUAUUUCUCAUUUUAAAAAGUCUAGGUAAUUAAGAUAGUUUAAUUGCGGCCCAUUUGUUAGUAAGUAAGGCCCAAAAUCUUUGGCAAGUAUGUAGGGUAGUUUGGUCAACCUUUGGAUUAGGGUUAAUGCUUGUAAGGGUUAUAAAUAGCCCCACUUCCUCUUUGUUUGGGACCAGUUUUUGACUAUUAAAUACAAUUAGUGAGUUUUCAAUUUCUCUUUGGCAAGAGAGUUGCCUUUGAAUACUUGAGAAUCUUCUCAAGUUAUUCACCCGAACUUAUCAAUCGAGUAUCUCCUUGAUUGUGGCGUUCUACUACCUCCAAUUUGGUUCGUUAAUUUGAAUAGUUACGGGUUGAGAUAAUAUCAAAAUUGUUCGUGACUUCUAGGGAUUAGUUGGGUCAAAAUUCCGCUGCCUAAGCCAUGGAGUUUUGGUUGUCUAGAUCGGGGUUUCACAUCAGUUCACAUACAUAUUCCACACACUUUCACACACCACUCAAAAAGUGGGGCACGACAAAUAGUUGGCCUCAUACACAGUGAACUUCUUGCUGAGGUAAUAGAUGGCUUGCUCCUUCUUUCCUGACUCAUCGUGUUGUCCCAAUACGCAUCCCAUAGCUUCAUCCAACACAGAUAGGUACAUGAUCAGAGGUCGACCAAGUUUGGGUGAUACUAAAACUGGAGGGUGCAACAAAUAGUCCUUAAUCUUAUCAAACGCCUGCUGGCAUUCUUCACUCCAAUGCAAUGGCACAUUUUUCUUCAAUAAUUUAAACAAAGGCUCACAUGUGUGGGUCAACUGGGCGAUGAACCUUCCAAUAAAGUUAAUCUUCCCUAAGAAACUCUUCACAUCCUUUUGUGCUUUUGGUACUGGCAUUUCACGAAUGGCUUUAAUCUUUGUCGGAUUUAUCUCGAUACCCUUCUUAUUGAUAAUAAAUCCCAAUAAAUUUCCGGCAGGGGCCCCGAAUGCACACUUCGCAAGAUUUAAUUUCAAACUAUAUCUUCUCAAUCUUUCAAAUAACCUUUCCAAGUCAAUCAAAUGAUCCUCUGCUCUCUUGGAUUUGAUAAUAAUGUCAUCCACAUAAACCUCCAUCUCCGUAUGAAUCAUAUCAUGGAACAGGGUGGUCAUGGUCCUUCGAUAAGUGGCGCCGGCAUUUUUCAAUCCGAACAACAUUAUUCGGUAACAAAAUGUCCCCCAUGACGUGAUAAAAGCAGUUUUCUCCCUAUCUUCCUGAUACGUUCCUCGAUCAACUCGUUUCGAGACACGUAGCACGUUUGCCUAAGGAUCUAGCGAGGAUGACCAACGCUUGGAAUUGUGGGAUCUAGAACCAAACGGAUGACACGAUUUGAUUCAAGACGGUAGGACGACGACUCCAAUGAAGGUGACUACUCCACGGGAUAGGUCGGUGGAACAAUCUAGGACGAGACGCAAGAUUGCUCAAAACCCUUGCCAAAGCAAGUAAAAGGCUCGAAUUCUCUCACAAGAAGAAGAAUCGAAAAUAACAACUUUAUUGAUAAAACGUCUCCCCUAAAACCUUACAAAGCAAGCCUAUAGGCUAAAGUGACUAAGAAAACCUAAGGAAACAAUGGCAAAGAGUUCGGCCAUCUUGGUGUCCAAGAUGGGCCGGCCCAAUGAGCUAUGAAGACAAAUUAAUCCAAUCUAUCAAGUACUAAGGCUAAGGCCCUAUAGGGCCGGUCCUCUUGAAGGCCCUCUUGAGUCUUCGUGGGCUUGGAUCAUGGUGCAAAUGGCUUGAUUGUCUCUCUCUAAGCCCUCAAUAUCUUUGUGAACUCCAUGUUGGUCUUGGACGACUUGAACCAGGGCUUGGAGUGAUUCUUUGAAGAGCUUGGCCCGUGCACGUGUGACUGGGCCCAAUGGAACUCGGACUGGGUCGUUGCGUGGGCCGAGACUCGUGCACACAUCAGUCCCCUCCUCUUGAGAAGGAUUUACCCUCAAAUCUGGAUCCUCCUCGUCAAGAAAUGGGCUUAGGUCCGCGACGUUUAAGGUCGCACUAACAUUGUACUCCCCAGGUAGCUCCAACUUGUAUGUGUUGUCAUUGACUCUUUGGAGUACCCGAAAUGCUCCAUCACCUCUUGGGGACAAUUUGCUUUGGCGUUGCUUGGGAAAUCGCUCUUUCCUCAAGUGUAGCCAAACCCAAUCUCCAGGCUCAAAAAUCAUCUUGCGACGGUGCUUGUUGGCUUGCUGGAUGUAUUGCUGCGUACGCUUCUCGAUGUUUGCUCGCACGGCUUCAUGUAACCUGCGCACAGAAUCAACUUUCUUUUUCCCAUGUAAGCUUGUGUGCUCAGAGGAAGGUAAGGGCACCAAAUCAAGGGGGGUUACGGGGUUGAAGCCAUAAACAAUCUCAAAAGGGGAAUAUUGUGUGGCACUAUGCACAGUUCGAUUGUAGGCGAAUUCAACAUGAGGGAGGCACUCUUCCCAAGUCUUAAGAUUCUUUUUAAUCAAAGCCCGAAGUAGAGUGCCAAGUGUGCGAUUGACAACUUCAGUUUGUCCAUCGCUUUGUGGAUGACUAGUGGUGGAGAAUAAUAACCUAGUACCCAGUUUGGACCACAAAGUCUUCCAAAAGUAACUCAAGAAUUUCACAUCUCUAUCACUGACAAUAGUUUUAGGCAGGCCAUGCAGACGGACAAUUUCUUUGAAGAACAGAUUAGCAAUAUGAGAUGCAUCGUCAGUUUUGUGACAAGGAAUAAAAUGAGCCAUCUUAGAGAAUCUAUCAACUACAACAAAGAUGGAGUCAUUACCCCUUGUUGAUCUAGGCAAUCCUAAUACAAAGUCCAUAGACAAAUAAACUCAAGGAUAGUGAGGGAUAGGUAAUGGGGUAUACAAGCCAUAUGGAUUUGUCUUAGACUUUGCCUUGUGACAAGUAGCGCAUCUACCAACCAUGCGUUCAACAUCUCUACGCAUAUGAGGCCAGUAAAAGUGCUCUUGCAACAUGGCCAGAGUCUUGGUGAUGCCAAAGUGGCCCAUGAGACCACCACUAUGUGCCUCUCGAAUCAAAAGAUCACGAAUGGAAGAAUUAGGUACACAAAGUUUAUCUACAUGGAAUAGAAAUCCAUCAUGCAAGAAGUAUUUUUCAUGCGGGUUCUUAACACAAGCAACAUAGAUAUCACCAAAGUCAUGAUCAUUUGCGUAGAGUUCCUUAACCAUUUCGAACCCUGGUAACUUGGCAUCCAGAAGGGCAAGCAACGAAUGUAUACGUGAUAAUGCAUCAGCCACUACAUUCCUUUUGCCAGUCUUAUACUUAAUGACAUACGAAAAGGUGUCAAUGAAGCUUACCCAUUUGGCAUGUCGCUUGCUUAACUUGGGUUAUCCCUUGAGGUACUUCAAUGACUCGUGAUCAGUGUGUAUCACGAACUCCCGAGGGCGAAAAUAGUGUUGCCAAGUCUCCAAGGCCCUCACUAAUGCGUACAACUCCUUGUCGUACGUGGGGUAGUUUAAUGCAGCUCCUCCCAGUUUCUCACUAAAGAAGGCACAAGGCCUCUUGUCUUGCAUGAGGACCGCUCCAAUACCUACACCAGAAGCAUCACAUUCAAUUUCAAAAGUCUUGUGAAAAUUUGGUAAUGCUAACACAGGUGCAUGUGUGAGUGUGUCCUUGAGGGCGAGAAAUGCUUGUUCUUGUGAUUCUCCCCAGUGGAACUUGUCAUUCUUCUUUGUCACGGCGGUCAACGGGGCGGCAAUGGUGCUAAAAUUUUUGACAAAGUGCCGGUAAAAGCCCGCCAAUCCAAGAAAGCUGUGCACGUCAGGGACGGAUGUGGGAGUUGGCCAUUGCUCGAUGGCCUCAAUCUUGGAUUUGUCCACCUUGAUACCCUGCGAACUUACCACAUAGCCUAAAAACACAAGCUCGUUAGUACAAACGGUGCACUUCUUGAGGUUGGCGUAAAGAUGCGCCUGUCGAAGUGUCUCAAGAACUAAUCUCACAUGCUCUAGGUGCUCAUGCUCACUACAACUAUAGAUCAGGAUGUCAUCAAAGUAAACAAUGACAAACUUGCCAAUAAAGUGUCUCAACACAUGGUUCAUUAGUCGCAUGAAGGUGCUAGGGGCAUUAGUUAAGCCAAAAGGCAUGACUAGCCACUCAUAGAGACCAUGUUUGGUUUUGAAGGCUGUUUUCCACUCGUCGCCUUCUUUCAUCCGAAUUUGAUGAUAGCCGCUCCUUAAGUCAAUUUUGGUGAAAAUAAUGGCACCAUUGAGUUCAUCAAGCAUAUCAUCAAGUCUAGGAAUGGGAUGACGAUAUUUGACAGUGAUAGCGUUCACAGCCCGACAGUCAGUGCACAUGCGCCAAGUACCGUCCUUUUUGGGAACAAGUAUUGGAGGCAUUUGAGGCGUACCUGUUUGAAAGGGAAUGCGUACCUGUUUGAAGACUCGUACCUCACCAUCCUCACUUAGCCAUUGGAGGCGUUAAGGAUUUGGAUGCCUGGUAGUGGGGAGUCCUAAACUCUCAACCAUGAGCAAACUGGCCACGUUCGUGCAACUCCCACCGUCGAUGAUGAGACUACACACUUUGUCGCCUACCUUACAGCGGGUGUAGAAUAGGUUUUCUCGUUGUAGCUGCUCGUCCUCCUUAACGCGGGCGGUUAGCACUCGCCGUGCCACCAAGCAACCUACUUCUCCUCGUGCAGGCGAGCAAGCCUCCCCAGCUGACUCUUCUUCCAGGCAGUCGUCUUCGACCAGUUCGGGCAUCUCCUCACAUUCGUCAUCAUCAGACACGAUUUUGCCGUUGUGAGUGAUGAGCAUGACCCGUUGGUUUGGGCACUGAGAUUGAAUAUGUCCAAACCCUUGGCACUUGAAGCACUUGAUGUCCCUACUCCUAGUCUUAGGAGUCUCAUGCGGUGCCUUUGAAGUGGACCUGGAUGCAUCGGAAACCUUGUUAGGGGUAGAAUAGGAAUUGCGGUUAGAGGUGUGACCUUGGAUUCGGUUAGAAGAGGUUGGUAUCACCGCACUUCCAACUUCGUGGGUCACCCUUCGUGGUUGGUUGCCCCUCCAUGAAGUGGUGUUAGAAGUUUGGAAAGUACGUGCUCCUCGUCUUAGUUUCUUCCCCCGCUCGGCCUUGAUAGCGAGUUCUAGAAGGUCGUGCAUGUCCAAGUAAUGUUGGAGCUCCAAGGUUUCUUGAAGGUUAGGAUUGAGACCCCUAAGAAACCUAGCCAUCGUGGCUUCAUUGUCCUCUUGAAUAUUGGCCCUCAUCAUGGCCAUCUCGAUCUCCUUGUAGUAGUCUUCCACACUCAUGUUGCCUUGAGUGAGAGUUUGAAGCUUAGAAUGGAGAUCGCGAUUGUAGUAGCUAGGAACAAAUCGCUUGCGCAUCAGUGCCUUGAGUUCUCGCCGAGUCCGGACACGUGGUUCGCCCAUCUUCCGCCUAUGGGUCCUUACUUGGUCCCACCAGACUAGUGCGUAGUCAGUGAACUCCACAGUGGCAAUUUUAACCUUUUGUUCCUCACUGUAAUCGUAGCAGUCGAAGACCAUCUCGAUACGGCCUUCCCACUCCAAGUAAGCUUCAGGGUCACUUUUGCCUUUGAAUGCGGGGACUUGAAUCUUAAGCCCCUUGAGUUCGUUCGUAGGCGUGUCCCGUCGAGGCUUCUCGGGUUGCUCGUCGUCUUCACUGGCGGAGUAGUCCUCACUGGGUGUUCCUUUGAGGCCACGGCUACUCCGGUUGCGUGAUCCAGAACGAGAGCCCGGGGUGAGACGCUUGGCGAGUUCAUCAAACCGGGUGUGCAACUCCUCCAUUUGUUGCUCACUAAUGCGUUUGAGCUCAUGCCUCAUGGCGGUGAACAACAGAGAAUAGUCUUUGGAAGGCGGUUGUUGAUCUUGCUCCAUGUCUCUCCGUACGCCCUGCAAAAAGGUUAGUAGUACAAGAAUAGUGCAAAUGUGUCCUCACUUCACUCCCUUAGUGUUUCACUCACGCUCGUGUAUAGCACUCAAAACACUCUUAGUAGACUUACCAAGUACCUUUACCUGUUGGCUUAGGUAGUUGAGAAAUGUUGCUCGCGUCCAAUAAUCGUCACCAACUUUUCCCACAAGAGUAAGCAAGGGUGAAGGACACAGUUGGGUGAGACUUUGUAAAGGAAGGACGGUUUUGGAAGGCUUAGGGGCGGUGGACAGAUUUGGAAAAUAUUGCCAAGAAAGGAAACUCCAAGAAUCCUAAGAUGUAGGAGUGGUUUCCUAAAGUGGAUGAGAGAAUAUAGGAGAAUAUCCUAAAAUGGAGAAGAAAAUAUAGAGAAGUGUCCAAGAGGUAUCCAAGUUUGUUUGCUUAGUCUCCUAAACCAAAAUGGAAAACAAGUUAGAGUUGGAAACUCCCUUGAAGAUCUUUCUUAAGCAACUUCCUAAUCCUUCUCCACAACAGAUUCGGUUCCUCCUCUCUCUUACCCGCAAACUUCCAGAAAUUCACCUCUUAAACCCAACCCAAGGUCGGUUAGUCUUGCCCUAAAAUCCCCCUCUCACAGCCGCACACUUCACAACUACACAAGCCGGAUUUGGUAGCUCGGUUUUCAACCGAAUUGGCCAUCAAAAAUUUCCAGAUUUCUGCCUUCUCAAAUCCUUCCCUAAGUUGGCUAACCUUCCUAUAAAACUCCUUCUCUCACAGCCGCAGCUGGCCCAAGCAAUUCGGCUCUCUCUCAAUUCCAAGAAACAAGCAAUUCGGCCCUCUCUCCUACAAGACAGGUUUGGUUCUUGUUGCUCAAGCAAUUCGGCUCCAAUGGACUUCCAAGGUAAAGCAAGUAUUGUUACCCAAAAAUCUCCCAAGAAAUUCUGAUACGUUCCUCGAUCAACUCGUUUCGAGACACGUAGCACGUUUGCCCAAGGAUCUAGCAAGGAUGACCAAUGCUUGGAAUUGCGGGAUCUAGAACCAAACGGACGACACGAUUUGAUUCAAGACGGUAGGACGAUGACUCCAAUGAAGGUGACUACUCCACGGGAUAGGUCGGUGGAACAAUCUAGGACGAGACGCAAGAUUGCUCAAAACCCUUGCCAAAGCAAGUAAAAGGCUCGAAUUCUCUCACAAGAAGAUGAAUCGAAAAUAACAACUUUAUUGAUAAAACGUCUACCCUAAAACCUUACAAAGCAAGCCUAUUUAUAGGCUAAAGUGACUAAGAAAACCUAAGGAAACAAUGGCAAAGAGUUCGGCCAUCUUGGUGUCCAAGAUGGGCCGGCCCAAUGAGCUAUGAAGACAAAUUAAUCCAAUCUAUCAAGUACUAAGGCUAAGGCCCUAUAGGGCCGGUCCUCUUGAAGGCCCACUUGAGUCUUCGUGGGCUUGGAUCAUGGUACAAAUGGCUUGAUUGUCUCUCUCUAAGCCGUCAAUAUCUUUGUGAACUCCAUGUUGGUCUUGGACGACUUGAACCAGGGCUUGGAGUGAUUCUUUGAAGAGCUUGGCCCGUGCACGUGUGACUGGGCCCAAUGGAACUCGGACUGGGUCGUUGCGUGGGCCGAGACUUGUGCACACAUCAUCUUUAGCCUUAAUAAUCAUGUUGUGCUUCCUAGUGGUAGGUGCGGUAGGUGAUUUGUCAUGGAUACCCCUAGGUGUGCUCCCUUGACCCUUGGUUGAUGGCUCACUCGUAGAAGUGGAGCUUUUACCAGGGUCGACCGCCUUUAGUUUCCUCCUUUGACGGUCUUGUUCACACUCCCUUUGCAAUAGUAGUUGGUCCUCAUAAACUUGUGCAGGUGUGAGAGGUGUAAGGACCUUACGUUUGCCAUCGUACAAAAGUGUGCACUUAUUUGCUCUUCCAUCGAAUGUGACGUGUUUGUCAAAUUGCCAGGGCCUUCCCAAAAUGAUAUGCGUAGCAUGCAUUGGCACUACGUCGCACACGAUUUCAUCAGUGUAAGUACCAAUUGAAAGGGAAUGCGUACCUGUUUGAAGACUCGUACCUCACCAUCCUCACUUAGCCAUUGGAGGCGUUAAGGAUUUGGAUGCCUGGUAGUGGGGAGUCCUAAACUCUCAACCAUGAGCAAACUGGCCACGUUCGUGCAACUCCCACCGUCGAUGAUGAGACUACACACUUUGUCGCCUACCUUACAGCGGGUGUAGAAUAGGUUUUCUCGUUGUAGCUGCUCGUCCUCCUUAACGCGGGCGGUUAGCACUCGCCGUGCCACCAAGCAACCUACUUCUCCUCGUGCAGGCGAGCAAGCCUCCCCAGCUGACUCUUCUUCCAGGCAGUCGUCUUCGACCAGUUCGGGCAUCUCCUCACAUUCGUCAUCAUCAGACACGAUUUUGCCGUUGUGAGUGAUGAGCAUGACCCGUUGGUUUGGGCACUGAGAUUGAAUAUGUCCAAACCCUUGGCACUUGAAGCACUUGAUGUCCCUACUCCUAGUCUUAGGAGUCUCAUGCGGUGCCUUUGAAGUGGACCUGGAUGCAUCGGAAACCUUGUUAGGGGUAGAAUAGGAAUUGCGGUUAGAGGUGUGACCUUGGAUUCGGUUAGAAGAGGUUGGUAUCACCGCACUUCCAACUUCGUGGGUCACCCUUCGUGGUUGGUUGCCCCUCCAUGAAGUGGUGUUAGAAGUUUGGAAAGUACGUGCUCCUCGUCUUAGUUUCUUCCCCCGCUCGGCCUUGAUAGCGAGUUCUAGAAGGUCGUGCAUGUCCAAGUAAUGUUGGAGCUCCAAGGUUUCUUGAAGGUUAGGAUUGAGACCCCUAAGAAACCUAGCCAUCGUGGCUUCAUUGUCCUCUUGAAUAUUGGCCCUCAUCAUGGCCAUCUCGAUCUCCUUGUAGUAGUCUUCCACACUCAUGUUGCCUUGAGUGAGAGUUUGAAGCUUAGAAUGGAGAUCGCGAUUGUAGUAGCUAGGAACAAAUCGCUUGCGCAUCAGUGCCUUGAGUUCUCGCCGAGUCCGGACACGUGGUUCGCCCAUCUUCCGCCUAUGGGUCCUUACUUGGUCCCACCAGACUAGUGCGUAGUCAGUGAACUCCACAGUGGCAAUUUUAACCUUUUGUUCCUCACUGUAAUCGUAGCAGUCGAAGACCAUCUCGAUACGGCCUUCCCACUCCAAGUAAGCUUCAGGGUCACUUUUGCCUUUGAAUGCGGGGACUUGAAUCUUAAGCCCCUUGAGUUCGUUCGUAGGCGUGUCCCGUCGAGGCUUCUCGGGUUGCUCGUCGUCUUCACUGGCGGAGUAGUCCUCACUGGGUGUUCCUUUGAGGCCACGGCUACUCCGGUUGCGUGAUCCAGAACGAGAGCCCGGGGUGAGACGCUUGGCGAGUUCAUCAAACCGGGUGUGCAACUCCUCCAUUUGUUGCUCACUAAUGCGUUUGAGCUCAUGCCUCAUGGCGGUGAACAACAGAGAAUAGUCUUUGGAAGGCGGUUGUUGAUCUUGCUCCAUGUCUCUCCGUACGCCCUGCAAAAAGGUUAGUAGUACAAGAAUAGUGCAAAUGUGUCCUCACUUCACUCCCUUAGUGUUUCACUCACGCUCGUGUAUAGCACUCAAAACACUCUUAGUAGACUUACCAAGUACCUUUACCUGUUGGCUUAGGUAGUUGAGAAAUGUUGCUCGCGUCCAAUAAUCGUCACCAACUUUUCCCACAAGAGUAAGCAAGGGUGAAGGACACAGUUGGGUGAGACUUUGUAAAGGAAGGACGGUUUUGGAAGGCUUAGGGGCGGUGGACAGAUUUGGAAAAUAUUGCCAAGAAAGGAAACUCCAAGAAUCCUAAGAUGUAGGAGUGGUUUCCUAAAGUGGAUGAGAGAAUAUAGGAGAAUAUCCUAAAAUGGAGAAGAAAAUAUAGAGAAGUGUCCAAGAGGUAUCCAAGUUUGUUUGCUUAGUCUCCUAAACCAAAAUGGAAAACAAGUUAGAGUUGGAAACUCCCUUGAAGAUCUUUCUUAAGCAACUUCCUAAUCCUUCUCCACAACAGAUUCGGUUCCUCCUCUCUCUUACCCGCAAACUUCCAGAAAUUCACCUCUUAAACCCAACCCAAGGUCGGUUAGUCUUGCCCUAAAAUCCCCCUCUCACAGCCGCACACUUCACAACUACACAAGCCGGAUUUGGUAGCUCGGUUUUCAACCGAAUUGGCCAUCAAAAAUUUCCAGAUUUCUGCCUUCUCAAAUCCUUCCCUAAGUUGGCUAACCUUCCUAUAAAACUCCCUCUCUCACAGCCGCAGCUGGCCCAAGCAAUUCGGCUCUCUCUCAAUUCCAAGAAACAAGCAAUUCGGCCCUCUCUCCUACAAGACAGGUUUGGUUCUUGUUGCUCAAGCAAUUCGGCUCCAAUGGACUUCCAAGGUAAAGCAAGUAUUGUUACCCAAAAAUCUCCCAAGAAAUUCUGAUACGUUCCUCGAUCAACUCGUUUCGAGACACGUAGCACGUUUGCCCAAGGAUCUAGCAAGGAUGACCAAUGCUUGGAAUUGCGGGAUCUAGAACCAAACGGACGACACGAUUUGAUUCAAGACGGUAGGACGAUGACUCCAAUGAAGGUGACUACUCCACGGGAUAGGUCGGUGGAACAAUCUAGGACGAGACGCAAGAUUGCUCAAAACCCUUGCCAAAGCAAGUAAAAGGCUCGAAUUCUCUCACAAGAAGAUGAAUCGAAAAUAACAACUUUAUUGAUAAAACGUCUACCCUAAAACCUUACAAAGCAAGCCUAUUUAUAGGCUAAAGUGACUAAGAAAACCUAAGGAAACAAUGGCAAAGAGUUCGGCCAUCUUGGUGUCCAAGAUGGGCCGGCCCAAUGAGCUAUGAAGACAAAUUAAUCCAAUCUAUCAAGUACUAAGGCUAAGGCCCUAUAGGGCCGGUCCUCUUGAAGGCCCACUUGAGUCUUCGUGGGCUUGGAUCAUGGUACAAAUGGCUUGAUUGUCUCUCUCUAAGCCGUCAAUAUCUUUGUGAACUCCAUGUUGGUCUUGGACGACUUGAACCAGGGCUUGGAGUGAUUCUUUGAAGAGCUUGGCCCGUGCACGUGUGACUGGGCCCAAUGGAACUCGGACUGGGUCGUUGCGUGGGCCGAGACUUGUGCACACAUCAUCUUUAGCCUUAAUAAUCAUGUUGUGCUUCCUAGUGGUAGGUGCGGUAGGUGAUUUGUCAUGGAUACCCCUAGGUGUGCUCCCUUGACCCUUGGUUGAUGGCUCACUCGUAGAAGUGGAGCUUUUACCAGGGUCGACCGCCUUUAGUUUCCUCCUUUGACGGUCUUGUUCACACUCCCUUUGCAAUAGUAGUUGGUCCUCAUAAACUUGUGCAGGUGUGAGAGGUGUAAGGACCUUACGUUUGCCAUCGUACAAAAGUGUGCACUUAUUUGCUCUUCCAUCGAAUGUGACGUGUUUGUCAAAUUGCCAGGGCCUUCCCAAAAUGAUAUGCGUAGCAUGCAUUGGCACUACGUCGCACACGAUUUCAUCAGUGUAAGUACCAAUUGAAAGGGAAUGCGUACCUGUUUGAAGACUCGUACCUCACCAUCCUCACUUAGCCAUUGGAGGCGUUAAGGAUUUGGAUGCCUGGUAGUGGGGAGUCCUAAACUCUCAACCAUGAGCAAACUGGCCACGUUCGUGCAACUCCCACCGUCGAUGAUGAGACUACACACUUUGUCGCCUACCUUACAGCGGGUGUAGAAUAGGUUUUCUCGUUGUAGCUGCUCGUCCUCCUUAACGCGGGCGGUUAGCACUCGCCGUGCCACCAAGCAACCUACUUCUCCUCGUGCAGGCGAGCAAGCCUCCCCAGCUGACUCUUCUUCCAGGCAGUCGUCUUCGACCAGUUCGGGCAUCUCCUCACAUUCGUCAUCAUCAGACACGAUUUUGCCGUUGUGAGUGAUGAGCAUGACCCAUUGGUUUGGGCACUGAGAUUGAAUAUGUCCAAACCCUUGGCACUUGAAGCACUUGAUGUCCCUACUCCUAGUCUUAGGAGUCUCAUGCGGUGCCUUUGAAGUGGACCUGGAUGCAUCGGAAACCUUGUUAGGGGUAGAAUAGGAAUUGUGGUUAGAGGUGUGACCUUGGAUUCGGUUAGAAGAGGUUGGUAUCACCGCACUUCCAACUUCGUGGGUCACCCUUCGUGGUUGGUUGCCCCUCCAUGAAGCGGUGUUAGAAGUUUGGAAAGUACGUGCUCCUCGUCUUAGUUUCUUCCCCCGCUCGGCCUUGAUAGCGAGUUCUAGAAGGUCGUGCAUGUCCAAGUAAUGUUGGAGCUCCAAGGUUUCUUGAAGGUCAGGAUUGAGACCCCUAAGAAACCUAGCCAUCGUGGCUUCAUUGUCCUCUUGAAUAUUGGCCCUCAUCAUGGCCAUCUCGAUCUCCUUGUAGUAGUCUUCCACACUCAUGUUGCCUUGAGUGAGAGUUUGAAGCUUAGAAUGGAGAUCGCGAUUGUAGUAGCUAGGAACAAAUCGCUUGCGCAUCAGUGCCUUGAGUUCUCGCCGAGUCCGGACACGUGGUUCGCCCAUCCUCCGCCUAUGGGUCCUUACUUGGUCCCACCAGACUAGUGCGUAGUCAGUGAACUCCACAGUGGCAAUUUUAACCUUUUGUUCCUCACUGUAAUCGUAGCAGUCGAAGACCAUCUCGAUACGGCCUUCCCACUCCAAGUAAGCUUCAGGGUCACUUUUGCCUUUGAAUGCGAGGACUUGAAUCUUAAGCCCCUUGAGUUCGUUCGUAGGCGUUUCCCGUCGAGGCUUCUCGGGUUGCUCGUCGUCUUCACUGGCGGAGUAGUCCUCACUGGGUGUUCCUUUGAGGCCACGGCUACUCCGGUUGCGUGAUCCAGAACGAGAGCCCGGGGUGAGACGCUUGGCGAGUUCAUCAAACCGGGUGUGCAACUCCUCCAUUUGUUGCUCACUAAUGCGUUUGAGCUCAUGCCUCAUGGCGGUGAACAACAGAGAAUAGUCUUUGGAAGGCGGUUGUUGAUCUUGCUCCAUGUCUCUCCGUACGCCCUGCAAAAAGGUUAGUAGUACAAGAAUAGUGCAAAUGUGUCCUCACUUCACUCCCUUAGUGUUUCACUCACGCUCGUGUAUAGCACUCAAAACACUCUUAGUAGACUUACCAAGUACCUUUACCUGUUGGCUUAGGUAGUUGAGAAAUGUUGCUCGCGUCCAAUAAUCGUCACCAACUUUUCCCACAAGAGUAAGCAAGGGUGAAGGACACAGUUGGGUGAGACUUUGUAAAGGAAGGACGGUUUUGGAAGGCUUAGGGGCGGUGGACAGAUUUGGAAAAUAUUGCCAAGAAAGAAAACUCCAAGAAUCCUAAGAUGUAGGAGUGGUUUCCUAAAGUGGAUGAGAGAAUAUAGGAGAAUAUCCUAAAAUGGAGAAGAAAAUAUAGAGAAGUGUCCAAGAGGUAUCCAAGUUUGUUUGCUUAGUCUCCUAAACCAAAAUGGAAAACAAGUUAGAGUUGGAAACUCCCUUGAAGAUCUUUCUUAAGCAACUUCCUAAUCCUUCUCCACAACAGAUUCGGUUCCUCCUCUCUCUUACCCGCAAACUUCCAGAAAUUCACCUCUUAAACCCAACCCAAGGUCGGUUAGUCUUGCCCUAAAAUCCCCCUCUCACAGCCGCACACUUCACAACUACACAAGCCGGAUUUGGUAGCUCGGUUUUCAACCGAAUUGGCCAUCAAAAAUUUCCAGAUUUCUGCCUUCUCAAAUCCUUCCCUAAGUUGGCUAACCUUCCUAUAAAACUCCCUCUCUCACAGCCGCAACUUGCCCAAGCAAUUCGGCUCUCUAUCAAUUCCAAGAAACAAGCAAUUCGGCCCUCUCUCCUACAAGACAGGUUUGGUUCUUGUUGCUCAAGCAAUUCGGCUCCAAUGGACUUCCAAGGUAAAGCAAGUAUUGUUACCCAAAAAUCUCCCAAGAAAUUCUGAUACGUUCCUCGAUCAACUCGUUUCGAGACACGUAGCACGUUUGCCCAAGGAUCUAGCGAGGAUGACCAAUGCUUGGAACUGCGGGAUCUAGAACCAAACGGACGACACGAUUUGAUUCAAGACGGUAGGACGACGACUCCAAUGAAGGUGACUACUCCACGGGAUAGGUCGGUGGAACAAUCUAGGACGAGACGCAAGAUUGCUCAAAACCCUUGCCAAAGCAAGUAAAAGGCUCGAAUUCUCUCACAAGAAGAUGAAUCGAAAAUAACAACUUUAUUGAUAAAACGUCUACCCUAAAACCUUACAAAGCAAGCCUAUUUAUAGGCUAAAGUGACUAAGAAAACCUAAGGAAACAAUGGCAAAGAGUUCGGCCAUCUUGGUGUCCAAGAUGGGCCGGCCCAAUGAGCUAUGAAGACAAAUUAAUCCAAUCUAUCAAGUACUAAGGCUAAGGCCCUAUAGGGCCGGUCCUCUUGAAGGCCCACUUGAGUCUUCGUGGGCUUGGAUCAUGGUGCAAAUGGCUUGAUUGUCUCUCUCUAAGCCGUCAAUAUCUUUGUGAACUCCAUGUUGGUCUUGGACGACUUGAACCAGGGCUUGGAGUGAUUCUUUGAAGAGCUUGGCCCGUGCACGUGUGACUGGGCCCAAUGGAACUCGGACUGGGUCGUUGCGUGGGCCGAGACUCGUGCACACAUCAAAUUCACUCCUAAACCAAGGAAGCCUCGUAUGGAUGCAAGAUCUUACAAAAAACUCUUUAUACGAAGGGAAGUGCAAGUCUUCAAACCCUAAGAUAAUCAAGACCCUCAAGAAACCCAAAAGGUGACACAAGUGAUCAAGAUCCAAGGUGAUCAAGAUUUCCAAGAAGAGGUUGGCCAAAACUUUUGAAUCAAGAUCUUGCUGUAAUUUUCUGGUUUGGGUUGGAACAAGAAGUAACAAGACAGGUUUGACAAUAAUGAUACGGCUUCCUUCUUUGUUUCUUGUUGUCCGAAUUUUUUUUUUCUCUUUUCUCUUGCGUUUCUGUUUUUUUUUUUUUUGACUUAAAGACAACACAAGUCCUUGUCCGAAUGAGUAAAAAUCCCAGAAAUAAGGUCAGCCCUCAACACGCAAGAACGCACCACCCAACUUCCUCAAACUAACAAGGUUUCUCCAAGACUUUCAAGAAUUUCAAGAUAGCGGUCAAGAACUUCAAGAACCUUAGAAACCUUGUAGAUUUUCUUCAAGAUUCACCAACCCAACAAGUUUUUGUAUCCCAAAUCAGUUUAGGCAAGCUAAGCACACAACUUGGAUAACAAUAACUACUUGGACAGAUUUGACAACAAAGAAAAACCCUAGCCGCGAAAUUGGGAAACCCUAGCCGUCUCUUUUUUUUUUUUUUUUUUACACAUUCGGCUAUGACCCAAAGCUGGCAGAAUUAAUGCAAUUAAAAGCACAAAACCUGGUCAGCUUAGGCUAGCAACAAUAGCGACCACUUUGGACAGAAUUGGACAUCAAAUCAUGACAACACAACCGCGGCAGAAUUGAAGGAACAAACGACUCAAACAACAAGUGUCGAACAGAUUUAGUGAACACAAUACCGACCAGAAUUGAUGCAACCAAACGCAACUACACGACCAGAAUUUUUGACAACAAAAGAAAGAAAACGGCACAACACAGCAACAAAGCUAACGAACAGAUUUUUUUUUUUUUUUGUUAAUACGGCACAAACGGACAGAUUUGGACUCGACUUCAACAACAAACAAUGACCAGAAUUUUUUUUUUUGAGACAAGUGCAGCGGAAAUAAGGAAAACUAAGACAAAACUACGGAUAUAACGGAAGAUACAUCCACCAAAGCUCUGAUAUCAACUGAUACGUUCCUCGAUCAACUCGUUUCGAGACACGUAGCACGUUUGCCCAAGGAUCUAGCGAGGAUGACCAACGCUUGGAAUUGCGGGAUCUAGAACCAAACGGACGACACGAUGUGAUUCAAGAUGGUAGGAUGACGACUCCAAUGAAGGUGACUACUCCACGGGAUAGGUCGGUGGAACAAUCUAGGACGAGAUGCAAGAUUGCUCAAAACCCUUGCCAAAGCAAGUAAAAGGCUCGAAUUCUCUCACAAGAAGAAGAAUCGAAAAUAACAACUUUAUUGAUAAAACGUCUCCCCUAAAACCUUACAAAGCAAGCCUAUUUAUAGGCUAAAGUGACUAAGAAAACCUAAGGAAACAAUGGCAAAGAGUUCGGCCAUCUUGGUGUCCAAGAUGGGCCGGCCCAAUGAGCUAUGAAGACAAAUUAAUCCAAUCUAUCAAGUACUAAGGCUAAGGCCCUAUAAGGCCGGUCCUCUUGAAGGCCCACUUGAGUCUUCGUGGGCUUGGAUCAUGGUGCAAAUGGCUUGAUUGUCUCUCUCUAAGCCCUCAAUAUCUUUGUGAACUCCAUGUUGGUCUUGGACGACUUGAACCAGGGCUUCGAGUGAUUCUUUGAAGAGCUUGGCCCGUGCACGUGUGACUGGGCCCAAUGGAACUCGGACUGGGUCGUUGCGUGGGGCGAGACUCGUGCACACAUCACUUCCUCUGCCAUUAAGAUCUGGUGAUACCCGACAAAACAGUCAGCAAAUGAUUCGAUCUCAUGUCCUGCGGUAUUGUCCAGAAGAAUAUGAAUGUUCGGCAACGGAAAAUCAUCUUUCGGGCUGGCCUUAUUGAGAUCCCUGUAAUCAACACAGACCCGCACUUCUCCACUUUUUUUCGGAACAGGUACCGGAUUUGAAAGCCAAAUGGGAUAAUGAGACACCAUAAUGAUUCUUGCGUUGAGCUGCUUCUCGAUCUGCUCCUUGAUUUUGAGGCUCAUAUCUGGCUUAAACUUGCGAGGUUUUUGCUUCACUGGUGGAAAAUUUGGAUCAGUCGGUAAUCGAUGGACCACUAUGUCUAUUGAAAUUCCAGGCAUAUCAUCAUAGGACCAGACAAACACAUCUUGAAACAGGGUCAAAAACUCAAUCAUCUUUUUUCUCUGUUUUUUAUUCAAAUGAAUGCUAAUUUUUAUCUCCUUAACCUCAGUCUCAGUGCCAAUAUUAAUGGUUUUUGUUUCUUCUAAGUUCGGUUUGGAUUUCUCUUCAUAUUGUUCAAGAUUCUUUAAUAAAGACUAAGAUUCUUCCUCAUUUUCGCUUUCGUCUUGAAUUUCUGAUUCCAAAAUUUCAAAUUCGUGAGAGAUAUCGAGAUUGCAAUCGUCGAAUUCCGGAAUAGUGAUAUCCAAAGGGUCAAUGUGUUUUAUUUUUGGCCAUCUGAAAAAGAAUGAAAUAGACACAACAAUGCAUAAGUAAAUCAAUUUGAGAAAUAAACACUGUGCAUUUCAUUGAAAUUCAAAGUAAAGGAUAACAUCAUGACAUGCUACUUAACAAAAGAUACGCUAUAAAACUUUGCCUUGAAAGAUAUUUGAUUGAAACCUAUUUACAAAACUGAAAGAAAAAAGAGGAAUAAUGCGAAUGAUUUCUCUCAUGUCGACCAAAGGCAAUCCCCUAGAUUUACCGAAAUUCUCUUCGAGAGGGAAGGAGAUCACUGGUCCAAUUCUUCAUUGCUUCGACAGGCACCUCUGGAAAUUCUGGGUCCUCCAACGACUCCAUCUCAGAAGCAACCCCCACAAAUAGCUUAGAUAAUCCAGCAUCCACCUCCUCGAUCGGGUCCAUUUUAGAUCUAAUCACCUUUCAUGGGUAAGAAAAAGUAUAGUACAACGGUGGGAUACUCAUGAUAAGUUGCUUCCCUUCCUUCUCCACCCUUUUGCUAUUCAUCAUUUCUUUCUUAUCCUUGGUAGUAGGUUGAAACCCUAAUCCGAAGGUGUCCUUCUUUCCUUGAAACUCUAUUGGUUCCAAAACUCCUUGUAGAUUACGCCCGAGGCCCUUGCCUAUCUCAUAUCCUCCUCGAAUCAUCUCUUUAGCCAUCAUAACACUGGUUUCAGGUAAAUUCAUUUCCACCAUUACCUUGCCUUUAGAUCCCCAACCUACUGAAACAAUAUUAGCCACAUAGUGAGGAGAAGCCAGAGUUUUUCUAUCACUUUCCUCUUCCAAUGCAGGACUGACGAUCAUAGUGCAAUCUUCCUCAACAAAUAUCAUGAUCAAUUGGCCAUUCACCACAAAUCUCAACAUCUGAUGGAGUGAAGACGGUACAGCGCCUGAAGUAUGAAUCCAAGGCCGUCCGAGAAGAAUAUUAUAAACACUCGAGAAGUCCAUGACUUGGCACAUAACUUGAAACUGGGCAGGUCCGAUUUCCAGCACUAAAUCCACUUCUCCCAUUGAUUCCCUUUUUGCGCCAUCAAACCCUCUCACCACAGUGGCAGACGGCCGAAGUUUAGCUUCCUAAAAUCCCAACUUAACCAAAGUGUUCCAAGGACAGAUAGUAAGAGCAGAUCCAUUAUCUAUCAAGACUCUCGGCAAUAACUUCCCAUUACAACGGACUGAGAUAUACAACGCUUUGUUGUGUCCAAUCCCCUCCGAAGUCAAAUCUUCAUCAAAAAAAGAAAUUUGAUUUGAAGCCAAAACAUGCUCGACUACAUGAGUGAAUUUAUCCACAGGAAUGUUCUUAGGCACUUGAGCCUUAGUUAAGACCUUGAGUAAAGCCUCUCUGUGAAGUUUCGAGGUUAAGAGCAGAUUCAAUAUGGAAAUUUGAGCGGGCAUCUUGUCCAAUUGCUCGACUACCUUAUACUCACUUUUCUUCAACAUCUUAAGGAAAUUGAAUGCCUCUUCGUCAGUCACAGUUGGUUUUGUUGGAACGGCAUUUUCUUUUGCUUUUGAGGAUUCAUUGACUGCGGGUUCCCCUAUGAUUCGUCCAGAUCUAGUAAUGGCAUCCACUUCCUUUUUGAGCACUUUUUCUCCUCCAAUUAAUAGUGUAGGCUCGCUAUAAUUCCAUGGGACCUCUUGUAGACUAAGAACAGGAGCUUGCUCAGGCAAUUCAAGUACCACAAGCUCUGAAGGCUCACAUUCAAAAGGUAUCAUUUCCAGAAUAAACGGAUCAGUAUUUUCCUUGACUUCAUAGGCUUCCUCCUCAAGUAUGAAUGGUUCUCCGAUGACUCCCAUUAUCUCAGCUUCAUCUACAAUGAAUUGUGUAGGUUCCUUGACCUCUUCAUCUACAGUAAUAACUCCCACAGUAUCCUUGUACGUAGGAAGAGGAUUUUUGCUAACAUUUGGACCUUGUUCAUCCCUCCUUCUCAGAACUAUGUCUCCAGCCGCGAUCAUGUCCUGAAUUUUAUGCUUAAGUGCCUAACAAUUGGCAAUUGAAUGUCCUGGGGCUCCCGAAUGGUAAGCACAAAAUGAUUGAAGAUCAUAACCAAUGGGAAAUCAUUUGGAAUAGGUUUUAGGAGGUAUUGUGCCAAUUUUCCCAGCAGCUUUCAAUUGCUCAUAUAAUUGGUCAACGGGUCGACCUAGAUUGGUGGAGGUUCGAUAUGGGGCUGGAUUUUGGGUGUCACUGGUUUGUUGGUAGUGGUAAUUUGGGUUGGGGCGUGGAAUAGGUCUUGGGUUAAAAGCAGGGCGAGGUCUAAUCUAAAAGUUAGGUGGAGCAAUGUGAAAUAAUGUUGAGGGUGUAUUCGAGUAAUUUGGUCGAGGUCGGGGGUGGUUGAUAGUGGUAUUGUAAACAGGUCGAGGGCGUGGUUGGCAUGGGUAACGGGGUGAGUAGGCGGGGUAUUGUGGGUAUCUAGGUUGGGAAGAAGAGCCUUGGUUCCAGACAAAGGAAGCUUCCUCGUCUUUCUUCUUGAAUUGGGACUUCUUACUACUACUGCUCUGACUCUGCAUAGCUUCCAACUGUGACUUUAAAGCUGAAACAUUAACAAUUUUCCCUGCUCUCAUAAACUUAUCAUACUCUUCCAAUUUAUUGACAAUCUCGGCAAAGGAACACCUAGUCAUUUGAAAAAUUUCCUCAAAAUAGGGUGGGUCAUGAGCUUUGAUGAAUGUACGAACAAUGUCAUCUUCAGUCAUGGGAGGCUCCACCUUGGCGGCCAAUUUGCUCCAUCUCUUCGCAUACGUCUUGUGGUCCUCAGAUGGUUUUCUCUUAGUUCCCUCCAAUGCGGUCCUUGUCGGAGCUCGCUCGCAAUUGUAUUCGUACUGCCUCAUAAAAGCGGUUGACAAAUCAAACCAAGAUCUCAUAUCCUCAGGCUUCAAGUUGGAAUACCAAUGCCUUCUAGACUCUUAGGAAAUAAGCGCACAUGUAGAUUCUCAUCAUCGAUCGGCUUCCCUAGUUUGUUUACAAACAUCCGAAUGUGUGUCUUGGGAUUGCCAGUUCCGUCGUACUUGCUAAAUUUGGGUGCUUUGAAACCCUCUGGCAAUUGCAUAUCUGGAAAUAGGCACAGCUCGUUGCAGUCCAGACCUCCUUGCUUGCUCAAACCUUGGCUUUUCCUUAUGAACUCAUCAAACUGAUCCAAUCUCUUUAACAAAUUCCUAUCCACCGGCGUGGAUGACUCCCCAGCUUCAGGUUUCCCUUGGGCGGCGGUACCUAGAGUGAAUGGCUCAGCGGUGGAGUAAUAAUACGGUCCCUGAGGUUCGAAUGGCAGGCGGAUAACUUUGGGAAAUUUGGGCAUGAGAAGGGUUAAUUUGGAUGUUAGGUGCAUAAAUAGGUGGUGGGCCAUGAGUGGGAUAGGUAAAUGCUUCUUCAGGUGGAUUUAUAACUUGUGAAGUAACAGAAGUUUGAGUAUAAGGUAAGAGUAUUGGUUGAGAUUCAGAUUGGCCAGGGGGUAAAGGUUCAUGCUGUUCACCGCUAGCACCACCCGCGACCAAUUGAUCGAUCACGCGCCGUUGUGCCAUCAUUUCGAUGCUUAGCUCAUUAAAUCGGUUUAGAAUUUCACUCAAUUGAGCCCCCAAAUUCCCCAAGUCCGUUGGUGAUGUCGUUGCGGGCCUAUCAGAUGAUUCUGGAUGGGUACUCAUGUUUACACUAUCUCUUGAAACUCGACUACGCGAUCGGGUGAUAAUGGGGCUUCUUCGAGUAGCUACAUUUGCAAUUACUACCUGAGAAUGUAGGAAAACCCUUAUUAGAUGCCCAUCUCGAUUGACUGUUGUUUAAAAGAAGGAAAAAAAAAAGAAAAAGAAAAAGACAGGGGUUAGUAAAAAUUAGAAUAAUUCGGAUGCAUGUCUUAUUGGGAGCCCUUUUUGUGCCAAGGGUAGGCCUAGUAUGAUGCAACACCUUCAAAGUGGGACCCGUUUACUAAACCUGCUUUUGACCACCAUUUUACACAAAAGAGAAGUCAUUUCAAAAUAUCGAAUUUUCAUUCAUAAACAUCAUUUACAACAUCCACUGAUCCUCUUUAACCUAUCUAGUAAAGCAUCCUUAGAUUCUCUGGCAUAAGGAUUUCUCAUAUGUCCAACUUCAUCGUACAGUUCUCCGCAUUUCCUUUUCAAUUCCCGAUGUUUUUCUUGCAUCUUUUCUAUGACAGCCCCACCUUCUCCUAAGACGAACCAAAGGGUUCGGUGGACCGCCUGCCCAAGUCUCGCCGGGACUACGGAAACAAAUCACACAAACCCUGCAUAACGCGCGAUAAAACCAAAGAAAACAAACAAUCGGAGACCACCAUGCCAAAAUAUAACUUACCAAACCAUAUGGUGAAAUGGGACAUCGAUUAAACACUUCAAUGAAAAGGAAGACGGAACCGAAAACGAAACGAAAAGUGGUCCACAUCACAAUCCGGCCGGAUUCAAGGCAGUAGCGAAACCAAAUUUUUUUUCAACUUCUCCUGCCAAUCCGGCCAAGUAUCCUGCCAAGAACUGGCCGUAUAUAUGGCCGGAUUCGGUGAACAGUUCCCCGCCAAAAUUUUUCUUUUCUCAAUCAAAUCCCACACUCGUUUGAAUCCCCAGUGGAUACAAGUAAAGUUCAUAUAAACCCAUCGAACAUACAUUCACCAACAAAUACAUGAGAGAGACACGAAUAAACACUUUUAAACACACGUUGGAACUUUACAAGUCAAAGUGUGAUACUAGAUCAAAAUACAAUUAGGGUUUUUCUAUUACAAAGGAGCUUAGCAAAAGAACAUUUACACUAGCUCGACCCUUUCUUCCAAAAAUCAUGAUUUCACAGUUUGCCCCUGUAAGGAAAACAAAGAUAACGGGAAGGGAGUGAGCUUACGCUCAAUGAGGUACCAAAAUACUAGUAGUCAAGAAUCAUGGCAUUUCAUGUUUAAUCAGUCAGAUACACAUACCAGAUAUAAAGUAAAGCAGUUAAACACAGUGAUUCAAAUAGGAAGGAUACAGGUGGCUCUUAGGAGCCAAAUUCCCAUUGCAGUACCAUAUCUUGAUCAAGUAGUAGUUGACACUCCGUCAACUUUCAAGUAAAGUAACUAGUUCAGUAGAGCACCACUUAACACCAAAUUUCGUCCACCAAACAUACCCCUUACCUGGCCCGAACACCUCAACCGGAACAGGAAUGGUAAUACUCGAGUAUACCGGAAAUCCAGAGUCUCCAAUACCCAUAGAUUCCCCAGGAACAGGCAUCCAUGGAUUGUCAAUUUCCUCGACCAAGCCCUUGCUGGCUCGAUUCAAUUAACUCCCCAUGAGGUUGAGCUCAGGUUUAACAGGAAGGUCGUUGGAUACACUUCCAAACGACAUUAUAACAGGCGCAGGUAACUGAUUCAAGCUCAUAACAAGUACAAGUAACAGAUUCCAGUUUAUACAGUAAACAGUCACACAGGCCAAAGAACGAGUGUGAUAAAGUACACUCUCGUUUAAUUUAGAAUAAACAGAGUUCAUAGUCAUUCAUGUCACAGAUUUCAAGUACAGAUGACCCAAUUAAGCAACAAUUCAGGGAAGUGGUACACUCACCAGUUCAAGCAAAGAUAACUUCACAAGUUUUCACCCAAAGUAGGGUUUUGAUCACCGUGAAAUCCUAAAAAUAACAAGGUAAAACAAUUGAGGUUUCCACAUCCAAAAUCUAGUAAACAAAAUGUACAAGUGAGGCUCGACUAUGAGUCAUAUGCCUAUUCAAAUGAACUACAAAUGCAAAGAGAUAAAAUGUGACUUUUGAGUGAAAAGAUAAUAGUUGGUCCUAGGGACAUGAACGACCUCAAAGCCCUUCACCUCUCCCCAAAACCCUACCUACAAUGGUUCACCAUUUCCAAAUUUGAAGUGGAAAAUGAAAGUAAGACCAGUUCUAGGAAAACAGAAUUUUCCAGUUUUGCGCAACACUAUUUGAAAAAUCAUAUCUCAAGUUUUUUAAGUCCAAAAUUGAUAAAAUUUAUACCAUUGGAAAAUAGAUUCAAAGAUUUACAACUUUCCAGAAGACACUAUGGUAAGAUUCAAAACACAAGUCAGUCAUAUUUGAGCCUCAAGUUGUCGCUUCAUCCAGCAAAAGACAGAACAGGUAUGCAAUUUCAGUUAACUUUGAAAAAUCACAGAUAUUCAUAGGAAUCAAGAAAAAUCAUGAAAUUUGGAUGGUAGAAAUUACUCUGAAUCUAGUUUCAAACACAACAAACGGAACUCGAUUCUGACUUUUCUACAUUAAGAUAUAGUAGAUUACCCAAGACUGCUCAAGGGUUCCUGCAGAAAAAUUUUAACAGCACCUCCCUCUAAAAUCUAUAUUUUUCCCUCCUACAAACAACCACCAAUUUCAUCUCAAUUCCACAUACAAAUUACAAGUUGUGACAGCCCCACCUCCACCUAAGGCGAACCAGAGGGUUCGGCGGGUCGCCUGCCCAACUCUCGCCGGGACUCACUCACUCACUACGAUCCUCAAUUAAUUUACAAUAUAAAUCUCAAAAAUUACAUCAAAUUCUUCAAUAAUUACAUAAACGAGUAUAUCAAAUUAUACAUACCACGAGUACCAGAAGUACCCUAGAAAAGCUGAUAACUCUAACCACCAUGACAAAUAUAUACAACUUACUAGUCCACUUAUAACUAGUACAAGUUCAACUUAUCUAAACACCUUCCAGAGCGAUCCCCGCGUCGGCCCCCUGCGAAGGAAAAUAAUAGAAUGGGGUAAGCUAUAUGCUUAGUGAGUAACCAGGGGUAAAAAUGUAGUUUUUACAUGUCAACAUUUGACCAGUAAGAGCAAAGCAAAAGCAGAAAAGUAACACUACAUAGUAAGGAUACGGGUGGCUCCCAAGCCAACUCUUUUGUCGAGUUUGAUCAUUGGUUGACCCUUAAGAUCCUGAGCUACACAGCUCACUUCUCUUGCCCAAGUCACGAGCAAUAAAUGAUCUAGUUCAAGCAAUAAAUGCUCUGGUUCAAGCAAUAAAUGCUCUAAUUCAAGCAAUAAAUGCUCUCAAGCAAUAAAUGCUCUGGUUCAAGCAAUAAAUGCUCUGCAAAUAUUCACAAGCCAUGAAUGCUCUAUAACAAAUCAUAAAAAUCAUAUUUCACAGGUAUUAAUAGCAACUAAUGAGGUUUAGAUCGAGUGCGAUAAAGUACACCCUCGUCUAAGUGCCCAUUCAUAGUAAACUCAUUUUUGUAUUGAGUUACACAGAAAUCCUGAUCACUCACCUAAAGAGCAAGUAUAACGAGAGAAAGUACGGAAAUGAAUUCAAGCCGCCAGCUAGUGGGCCCCACCGGCUCCGUCUAGCCCGUCUUCGCCUGUAGCAGAAGGUUGAGCCAUAUCAUCACACAAACAACUACUAAAGGAUGCAAAUUAAACAAAACGGCAAAAUCGGCACAUGCAAGUGCGGAAACGGCAAAAUGGGCGCACACGCCCGCGCGGAACGGCAAACGGAAAUGGCCAAAUCUGCCUUUUCAAACCGGUUUGAUCAAAAGUUAGGCUAGGAAUGUCGGAUCAAAGUGGGUAAGACACCGCUUCGAAGCUAUGAGGAAGGGCUACAAUUCUCAUGAAGACACCUUAAUCUAGAUCUGAAUGGAAGCAGGUCGAAAUUAUGGAAAACAGUACCAGAAAUUUACGUGUUCGGGUGACGAACAGGGUUUGUUUGCUGGACCAUAACUCACAGCUCACAAAUCCAAAUCAAGAAAUUCCAAAGGCGUCGGAAAACUAGGACAUAAGGCUAUAACUUUCACGUUUGGAUCAAAAGCUGAAUCAAUACAGAGCAUGGAGAAAAAUGGGUCCAAACAUUCCUGUCAGAACUGUCCAAAUUCGAAGGCAGUUCUGACAACUGAUCUUGUCUUAGUCAUAACUGGAGCUACGGGACUCGGAUUUGGAUGAAAUUUAUACCGUUUCGAAUCUGAAACCAAGAUCUAUAUUUCUUAUGAAGGCAUAAAAAACCGAAUCAGAAGCAUUCCCAGUCAAAUUAACCAAUUACAGAAGCAAUUAUCGAGUUCGGGUAGAAACAGGGCAGCAGGGGUAUUUCCAUCUUUUCUCAAGCUACGCUACUCCGAUUGACCUGAAAUUUUGUAGGCACCUCUAAAAUAUCAUUCCCUACAACUUUCAUGUUUUAAUACAAGGCCAAUUCGGCCUCUAUCAUGGUGCAAUAAAACCGGACAGAAUGAAGAACCAAGAAACCCUAAUUUUCCAGAUUUCUUCCAAAACAGAAAUUGCUUGCAAUUUACCACUUUUUCUACCUUCUAGCUUCCUUAAAUAUCAUUUCCAAUCAUCAUACAUGACCACAUAAUUAUAUUCAUAUGAAAACAGAAAAAUCCCAAUUAAAUAUAAAACUUCAUCAAAUUCAACCAAAAUCAUGAAAUAACACCUAAUUUCAUCUCUUUAACUCACAUAAGUCACUAAUUAAACAUUAGUGAGAAGAAAUAAAGGUCCCUUAGCUACUCACCUUAUCAACCAAAGAAAGAGGACAACUUAGCACCUUAAGCUUCCAAAUCACUUCACUAAUCACCUCACAAUCACUAAACUAGGGGUUUAUAUGGAGAAGAUUCAAGAUUAAUCGGUUGGUUUGGUGAAUUGAGCAAGAUUGGAGACCAAAAUUGUGGAGAGCUUUCUUUCCUUUUUGCUUGAAAAAGUCGGCCAAGAAGAAGAAGAAAAAUGGUGAAUUUUUGGUAAAUUUUGAUAUUAAUUUGGUAAAGGCAUGAAUAGUAGUCAAAUGGCAAGACUAAAUCUUAUGGUGACACUUGUCACCCUAUUGAAUGCAUGUAUAUCCCUUUGUUUCCUCUCACACUAAUCCAUAGCAACCUUUAAUUAUCUCUUAGCACCUGGUAAAUUAAACCUGGUAUCCAAAACUUAACCUAAUUGGCCGAAUUUUACCGAACUUUCCGCACUAGUGGGUCCCACGUCCGGUAUACGCUCUUAAUUUCUCAAGAACUAACCAAUACUAGAAAAAUCAUCUAAAAACUAUAUUUGCUCAUAAAAAUUAUCUGGGAAAUUUUUCUAAUAAAGAAAAUGUAGAAAAGACGAGCGAUCAAUAAAAUAAACCCUAGAAACUUAGAAAAUUUUGGGUUCUCGCACUUAUUCUUUUCGGGGCGUAACAAACUCCCCCUCUUAAAAGAAUUUCGUCCUCGAAAUUCAUACCUUUGGUGUCCCUGAUCGGCCUAGAAAUGUUUCCCCUCGUCCCUGAUUUAUUUCCUCCCCUCGACUUCUGAGGGCACUGAGCAACUAGGUGUUCAUUGCUACCACAUCGGAAACAUCGCCGAUUUUUCUCUUUCUUCCAACAGGUAUCUUCCGUAUGGUUAGUGGCCCCACAAACAUCACAUACUCUUCUGGUUCCCAACAUUGAUUCCCCAUGUGAGACACCACUUUGGGGCCCUUUUCCUGCCAGAUCUUCCUUUGUUUUACCUUGAUUCGGAGUCCCCACUGGUCGUGUACCACCGACUUCCUUACUUCUCUUACUAGGUGGCUCGCUUCUCGAGCUUUGUCCACCAGUGUAGGUAUAGGUGUCAGAUGGUGUCCUUUUCUUGUCACGGAAAGCUUUCACUUGACUCCUUGUCGUCUCUAUUCGCUGUGCCUUUUCCAGGGUCUGGCUGAAUGUAUCCAACUGGGCAGCCACCAGUGCCUCUUGUAUUUCCACGUUUAACCCCUGGACAAAUCGACGAAUUCUCUUUCAGUCUGUUAGUACUAACUCUGGAGCAAAACGGGAGAGUUUGGUAAAUUGUGUCUCGUACUCGGCCACACUUAACGGCCCUUGACGCAGGCAGAUAAAGUCCUCUUCCCGCCUUUCUUGAACAAUCGGUGGCAAAUACUUCUCAUUAACUCACGGGUGAAAUUGACCCAAGUCCAGGGGGUCUGUUCUCAUUCCCACUUAGCCUUUAUUACAUUCCACCAAGCUCUGGCUGGUCCCUCAAAUUGGAAGACAGCAAAAGAUACCUGCCGUUCCUCUGAAUACCCGAGCGCAGCGAAUAUAUCCAUCAUGCGGUCCAUCCAUCUCUCAGCUAAGUCAGGGCUAGGUUCACCUAUGAAUUUCGGGGGUGCAAAUUUUUGGAACCGUUCGAGGGCACGGUCCACUCCCUCGUGAUUGCCCGAAUUAUUUACAGGGUUUCCGGUAUUAUUCCCAUGACCCUGACCCUAUUGGUCCACCAUUCGUGCCAGCAAAUCUGUCAUCCGUUGUAUGGCUGUAGCUACUUGGUUAUCAGCUUGGUUGUUCAAAAUUUCAUUUUCUACCCUUUCGGGUUCUGGUCUCCGUCCCCGACCUUUUCCUCAGCCUCGGCUUCGUUCCCUACCUCCAUCGCGGCCACCGUCUUCCAUUUGUUUUGAAAACUUUACCAUAUAAAACACAAUAUAAAGCACACUAAAUGCAUAUACAGGUUUAUGCCAAAGAUAUGCACAAAUUAGCCAAAAUGCAGUUAGUACCAAAACACUAAACAUAUCGAUUUCAAAACAAUUCAACAAGACAACAAAGUAAUUCAAGUCAACGGCCCUAACGCAACUCUCCUGCGGAGCCCACCUAAUCCACCAGCACUGCCCCGGCGGCCCUAGGGUGCAAACCUAAAGAAUAGGUCCAAAUAGUUAACUGCAACAUUAAGUAAGAACCAAGUCGAUCCACACUGGGACUGGCCAUCUCCAAGUGCAAUCAACUCAAUCCCCAUUUUGCCUUAUGGAAAAAUUUACAAAUGUCCAAUAUCAAAAGCCUAGCAUUCAAUAUUUACCUUAAUAACCAAAUACCCCACAGUCCGGCAUCCUAAACUUCAAGCCUAGGAUACACUACAGAGAUCUGAAACCUAACCUCUGAUACCAACUGUGACAGUCCCACCUCCCCCUAAGGCGAACCAGAGGGUUCGGCGGGUCGCCUACCCAGCUCUCGACGGGACUCACUCACUCACUACGAUCCUCAAUUAAUUUACAAUAUAAAUCUCAAAAAUUACAUCAAAUUCUUCAAUAAUUACAUAAACGAGUAUAUCAAGUUAUACAUACCACGAGUACCAGAAGUACCCUAGAAAAGCUGAUAACUCUAACCACCAUGACAAAUAUAUACAACUUACUAGUCCACUUAUAACUAGUACAAGUUCAACUUAUCUAAACACCUUCCCGAGCGAUCCCCGCGUCGGCCCCUGCUAAGGAAAACAAUAGAAUGGGGUAAGCUAUAUGCUUAGUGAGUAACCAGGGGUAAAAAUGUAGUUUUUACAUGUCAACAUUUGACCGGUAAGAGCAAAACAAAAGCAGAAAAGUAACACUACAUAGUAAGGAUACGGGUGGCUCCCAAGCCAACUCUUUUGUCGAGUUUGAUCACUGGUUGACCCUUAAGAUCCUGAGCUACACAGCUCACUUCUCUUGCCCAAGUCACGAGCAAUAAAUGCUCUAGUUCAAGCAAUAAAUGCUCUGGUUCAAGCAAUAAAUGCUCUAAUUCAAGCAAUAAAUGCUCUGGUUCAAGCAAUAAAUGCUCUAAUUCAAGCAAUAAAUGCUCUCAAGCAAUAAAUGCUCUGGUUCAAGCAAUAAAUGCUCUGUAAAUAUUCACAAGCCAUGAAUGCUCUAUAACAAAUCAUAAAAAUCAUAUUUCACAGGUAUUAAUAGCAACUAAUGAGGUUUAGAUCGAGUGCGAUAAAGUACACCCUCGCCUAAGUGCCCAUUCAUAGUAAACUCAUUUUUGUAUUGAGUUACACAGAAAUCCUGAUCACUCACCUAAAGAGCAAGUAUAACGAGAGAAAGUACGGAAAUGAAUUCAAGUCGCCAGCUAGUGGGCCCCACCGGCUCCGUCUAGCCCGCCUUCGCCUGUAGCAGAAGGUUGAGCCAUAUCAUCACACAAACAACUACUAAAGGAUGCAAAUUAAAUAAAACGGCAAAAUCGGCACAUGCAAGUGCGGAAACGGCAAAAUGGGCGCACACGCCCGCGCGGAACGGCAAACGAAAAUGGCCAAAUCUGCCUUCUCAAACCGGUUUGAUCAAAAGUUAGGCUAGGAAUGUCGGAUCAAAGUGGGUAAGACACCGCUUCGAAGCUAUGAGGAAGGGCUACAAUUCUCAUGAAGACACCUUAAUCUAGAUCUGAAUGGAAGCAGGUCGAAAUUAUGGAAAACAGUACCAGAAAUUUACGUGUUCGGGUGACGAACAGGGUUUGUUUGCUGGACCAUAACUCACAGCUCACAAAUCCAAAUCAAGAAAUUCCAAAGGCGUCGGAAAACUAGGACAUAAGGCUAUAACUUUCACGUUUGGAUCAAAAGCUGAAUCAAUACAGAGCAUGGAGAAAAAUGGGUCCAAACAUUCCUGUCAGAACUGUCCAAAUUCGAAGGCAGUUCUGACAACUGAUCUUGUCUUAGUCAUAACUGGAGCUACGGGACUCGGAUUUGGAUGAAAUUUAUACCGUUUCGAAGCUGAAACCAAGAUCUAUAUUUAUUAUGAAGGUAUCAAAAACCGAAUCAGAAGCAUUCCCAGUCAAAUUACCAAGUUCGGGUAGAAACAGGGCAGCAGGGGUAUUUCCAUCUUUUCUCAAGCUACGCUACUCCGAUUGACCUGAAAUUUUGUUGGCACCUCUAAAAUAUCAUUCCCUCCAACUUUCAUGUUUUAAGCCAAGGCCAAUUCGGCCUCUAACAUGGUGCAAUAAAACCGGACAGAAUGAAGAACCAAGAAACCCUAAUUUUCCAGAUUUCUUCCAAAACAGAAAUUGCUUGCAAUUUACCACUUUUUCUACCUUCUAGCUUCCUUAAAUAUCAUUUCCAAUCAUCAUACAUGACCACAUAAUCAUAUUCAUAUGAAAACAGAAAAAUCCCAAUUAAAUAUAAAACUUCAUCAAAUUCAACCAAAAUCAUGAAAUAACACCUAAUUUCAUCUCUUUAACUCACAUAAGUCACUAAUUAAACAUUAGUGAGAAGAAAUAAAGGUCCCUUAGCUACUCACCUUAUCAACCAAAGAAAGAGGGCAACUUAGCACCUUAAGCUUCCAAAUCACUUCACUAAUCACCUCACAAUCACUAAACUACCUGAUUUCAAGUUGGGUCCUCAAGGGAUUUUAAGGUAUAGGAACCGAGUAGUGGUAGCCAAUGAUGAAAACCUGAAAAGGGAAAUUUUGGAGGAAGCCCAUCGAUCAAACUACACGAUCCAUCCUGGGAGUAAUAAGAUGUACCAAGACUUACGACGGUUGUACUGGUGGGAUAAGAUGAAGAGGGAGAUUGCUCAAUAUAUCCAAACCUGUCUGAUUUGCCAGCAAGUCAAGGCUGAACACCAAAAACCCUCUGGACUGUUACAACCUCUUGAGAUACCCGAAUGGAAGUGGGAAAAUAUCACGAUGGACUUUGUUUCUGGACUGCCAAGAACUCAAAAAGGACAUGAUGCCAUUUGGGUGAUCGUUGAUCAGUUGAUCAAAUCGGCCCAUUUCUUACCUGUGAAUGUGAAGGAUUCCAUGGAUAAGCUGGCUCGGUUGUACCUGAAUGAAAUUGUGAGGUUACAUGGGGUCCUAGUGAGUAUAGUUUCAGACCGAGAUCCUCGUUUCUAUCGAGGUUUUGGCAAAAGUUUCAGGAGCAUUUGGGGAGCAAAAUCAACCUUAGUACCACCUAUCACCCCCAGACGGAUGGACAGUCAGAGCGAACAAUUCAAACCCUCGAGGAUAUGUUACGGACUUGUAUUCUGGAUUUUGGGGGUAAUUGGGAUCAACACAUGACUUUGGUAGAGUUCGCCUACAAUAACAGUUUCCAUUCAUCCAUUCAAAUGGCACCAUAUGAAGCUCUCUACGGACGGAAGUGUCGUUCGCCCAUUUAUUGGGAUGAAGUAGGGGAAAAGAAAGUUCUAGAUCCAACAACCAUUCCUUGGUUGGAGGAUGCACAAGAAAAGGUUAAAUUGAUCCGUCAAAGACUCCAAACAGCUCAAAGCCGACAAAAGAGCUACGCAGAUAACCGAAGGAAAUAUUUGGAGUUCGAAGUUGGAGACCGUGUUUUCCUUAAGAUCACGCCACUAUGAAGCGUCACUGCGGGUAAAGGAAAGAAACUUCAACCACGGUUCGUGGGGCCUUAUACAAUUCUUCAACGAGUGGGGAAAGUAGCGUACCGACUUGAGUUGCCGCCAAGUUUAUCUCGAAUUCAUGACGUUUUCCAUGUUUCGAUGUUGAAGAAGUACUAUCCUGAUCCAACCCACAUUGUGUGACCAGAGGAGAUUGAGAUAGAUAAGGCACUCACCUACGAAGAGAGACCCGUACAAUUACUCGAUCGAAGGAUUAAGGAACUGAGGAAUAAGCAAAUUCCAUUAGUGAAGGUUUUGUGGAGGAAUCAUGGAGUAGAAGAGGCAACUUGGGAGAUGGAGGAAGAGAUGCAAAAGAAAUACCCUGAGCUAUUUAAUAACCCAGGUGAGCAAUUUCGAGGGUGAAAUUCUUUAAGGGGGAGAGGGUGUGAGAACCCAGAAAAAAAAAUUUAGGUAUUAUUUUAUUCCUGUGCACCCGUUUUCUUUUAUUUUCUUUCUUAUAUUACUUUUAUCAACAUUUUAUCAGUAAAUAUAGUUUUAAAAUCAUUUUUCUAGUAUAAGGUAAUUCGUGAGAAAUUAGGAACGUAUUUUGGACGUGGGACCCGCUAGUGCAUUAAGUGAGAGAAAUUCGGCCAAUUAGGUUAAAUUUUGCGUAAAGGGAUUUAAUUACCAGGUGUUAGGAGAUAGUUGGAGGUUACCUAGAUGGAUUAACAAUGAGGACACAAGAGAUGACUUCUAGCAACAACAAGGUGCCAAAUGUCCAAUUGUGGUUAGUGUAAACUUACCUAACUUUUGGCCUAACUUUUUUUAACUUUACUAAAAGUUUCAUUUCGACCAAAUCAUCUUCAUUCUUCACCUUGUCUUGGCCGAAACUCCCUUGGAAGCAAAGGAAAGAAACCUUCAACCUUUCAUCUUCAAAUCCUUGCUCAAAUCUUGAAAACUAACCGAUUAUUUCUUGAAUUAGUCCAUAAAAUCAUCUUGCUAAGGGUGUUUGAAGAACUUGGUGGUGUUGUUUGGAAGAAAACCUCCUAAGCUACAACAUUUUUUGAAGAACUAAGGUAUCUUGCUUGGAACUCAUCUUUUGUUGCUAAUUUUGGCCAAUUGGUGCCUUAUAGUAGCUAUAUACGUGAUUUUACGGAAGAUUUGGUGGAUUGGAGUGAAGCUAGCUAAUUUUCUGAUUUUUGUGGGAAUAUUUCUAUUUUCCUAUGAUGGAUAUGUUUGAGCUUGAAUUGGUGGUUCUAAAUGGUGUUAAAUAGCUCUCUUGUACGUUAAUUGUGGUUAUUUGCGGAAAAUUUCCGCUUGUGCGGAAAAUUUCAGAUUUACAGUUUCUAAUUGGGGGUUUUCUAUGGUUGAUAGUUGAGUUUCUAAUUGGCUAUAAUUGAGGGGUAUUAUGACCCCAAUGAAGUAUAUUGAAUGGCCUAUGAAUUGUUUGGGUGCUUGUGGUUUUGUUGGAUGGCUUUUAAUGAUUGUCUUGUAGGUUGGAAAAGCUGAAAUUUUAGGGGAAAUGCUGUCCAAGUGUCUAGGGUAUUAGAUUCUUGUGAGUUGGGUUGAGAUUGGAUAGAAAUGAACGGUUUAGGGGUUGUUCUUACUUUUAACCCUAAAUGUUAUGUAUUUUUCAUUUCCAAGCUAUAUUUGGUUCUUGCCUUAAUAGUUCCUCGAAAAAGGUAUUCGACUCGUGUUUGAGUGUUAAUUGUACUUUCUUGAUUAUUAUAGGGCGUGCCGGUGAUCCGAGGCUCACGUCGGGCGAAAACUUGUGAAAUUACUUUGUUUGACUUGGUGAGUGUACUACUCACAUGUUUGUUAUUCCGUGGCUUUCUUGUACUUGAAUGCUGUGAUUUGGACUGGUUGUGAUUACUGUUUGGGCUAGGUGAGGCGAGCGUGUACUUUACCACGAUCGUACUCUCUGGUCUCCUUAACUGGUUAUUAUAUUAGGCUUACUUGACUGUUUAUGAUAUUACUUGGAUACUCUUGACUGUACUUGAUUUGGUGUCGCUUGGAUACCAACCUUUACUAUAACUCUGGACCUUUACUGUUCACUCUGAGCUCUACCUCAUUGGAAGUUAAUGGACUCGAGUCAGUAAGGACUUGGUCGGGGACAUUUGACAAGCCAUGGGAACUGUAAUUGGGAAUCUUUGGGUAUGAGACCCUUGAUUCUGGUAUACUCGAGUAAUACCAAUUCUGUAUUGUUUGGUGUUUGGGCCCGGUAAGGGGAAAGUGAGGUGGACGGAUAAUUGGAGUAAAGAGGAGUCUACGGUCAUGAUUACCUGGUAUACAUUGACGGAGAGUCAAUGAGAUGAGAUCAAGCAUGGCAAAAGAGGAAAAAGGCUCUUGAGAGCCAUCCGUAUCCUUUUAUUCCCUACACUUGGGGGUUGUUGCUUUUACUUACUUGACGUGCGUAUUUGGACUGAAUACUCUUGUGUUUAUGUGAUCCUGGUAUAUUUACGUGAUGGUAUCUCAUUGGGCGAAAGCUCACUCCGUUAAUUUUUGUUUUCCUUACAGGGAAUUAUCUUUUGGACUUUUAAUUUUGAAGAAUGAGUUGAGUAGAGCUAGGCGAGAGAUGUUGUAUAGCUCCUCAAUAGUGGGAACCUUAAUUGUAAUUGGAUUUAAAUGCUUCCUUUUGGCUUGUAAUCAUACAAAUGUGGUUUGUAACAGUGCGUGUGUAUUCAUGUUCCAUGUAUUAUACUUGGCUUGUAUAUAUAUUCCUUUCAGGGAUUGUAAGAAGUUAUUUGCAUUUGAUUGGGUCUUGGCGGAUUGUGAUGUGGCAGUCACUAUUUGCUUUACGUUUUGACUUUUGUUUUUUCCGUUUCUCGAUUGAUGGUUUGGUUUAGCGCGCUAGUAGAUUCCCAAACGACUUGAGUUAAAUGUUUUACCGUUUUAGUAGUCCUGGCGAGAGUUGGGCAGGCAGUCUGCUAACCCCUUUGGUACGCCUUAGGGGAAGGUAGGGCUGUCACAUAAUAUUUUUGCCACAAUUAUCAAUACAUAUUUCAAAUUCCUAAAAUACAUUUAAGAAGAUUAACCAUGCGACUCAACACGUGGAUAUUAAAACACACACUAAAACACAUAUACCAGUAACAACUCUAAAGAAAAAUAAAAUCACUUGCACAAAUAACAUUAUCACCGUACAAGUCAAACACAAACUAGAGUUCAUCAAAUUAUAACACAAGUUACAGUCAAGUAAAGUAUAUACCAAGUCAAGGUCAGUAAACAAAAAUAAAAAGGUGAUUAAAAAGUGCAUGCAUCUCCAAGGUACAAACUCCUAAGUUCUACUCCUAUCGUCCUAUUACAAAAGAUAAAAAGUAGUGCUUCACUAGAUUAAUUGGAACUAGAUAAUUCUUAUUCCCCAACACUAGGAUCCUCUGGGCCACGAUCUUCUCCACCUCUCUUUCUUAAUUAUUGUGUCAUCCUAACCAAACGAUUAUUGGUUUCCUGUAAUUAUUUACGUGAAAUAUCGAUUCGUUCUUAUUCACCGCAAAUGGAGAUCUCAAGUCCUUAGCAUUGCCCUCAACUCUUAAGUACUCGAGUACAGGAAUCCAAAAUAAGGUAAUUCACGACUCGAGUCAGCCGGUCCCGAGAAUAAAUCACCACAUUUGAGAUUCCUACCCAACAUACAUAUCUAAUUUUCACCAAGUAUCAAGAUAAGGGGUUUAUACCUAUCAUAUUCAUGAUUCACAGUUUACGCUCUAGAAGAGUACUUAAGUCUUUAUUCAUUCACAUAAUAAGGACCAUAACACCACCUGACCCAAGCUCACCCAGAGCAGAGACCACGCGAAGUGGCUCUGAUACCACCUGUGACGCCCCCAGUUAUCCCAAGGGCGAACCCAAGCGUAUCCGUGUAACGCCUGUCCAACUCUCGUCAGGGCUCACUACGACCCAUAAUUCAAAACUAGAAAUACUUCGAAUAAUUUCAAUAUACAUUUAAAGUACUCCAGAGCACAAUUAGUUAACCUUCAAACUUAAAUACAACCCAAAAGAAUAUGUACUACAGUCAUCUGCUAUAAUACAAUUUAAAAUCUUCAAAAGAAAACAACUUAGUAUUAUUCGCGAGCACUCUUGGUCCUGAACUUUGUUAAGGAAAACAAAAGCGUGGAAUGAGCUAAACAGCCCAAUGGGGUUCCAAAACACCUAAACAGUUCUAAUAAAUCAAGUAAAUUAAGCAUACACACAUACGGUUCAAGGUGUCACAUUAGCACAUUAAAAAGAGAUAUUUAUCAUUUUACAAAAAUAAACACAUAUUAAAAGGAUACGGUGUUCACGUGAAACUGUUUCGUUCAACUGCACCUUAUAACUCCAAUAAUUUCCCCGGUUUGUUUGGCCAUCGCCUUAUCCCUCCAGUGGUAAUACUCGAGUAUACCGAUACGGUGGCUCAGGGCUCUAACCUACCCGACCAAGUCCAAUCCUGGCUCGAGCAGGUUAGUAACCAAAGUGUUGACCUUGGUCCCUAACUUUUGAUGAUUACAAAAUAAAUGGAUGUUGCUAACAUCUCCUCAAAGGCUUUUUCAGUAAUGAAACAAAUCAAGUUCAAAGAUUAAGCACAUUUGAAAAAGACAGAGUAUGCUGAACCUGUCGGACGCUCCAGAAGACAGUACCGGACGUCCGAUAAUCAUUGCACAACUUCGGACGCAUGCUUCGGACGUCCAAUAGGAUCCUUCGAAGUCGACAAAACUAUCGGACGCUGAAUAUGUCUCUACCGGACGUCCGAUAGAAACAAGAUAAUUUCUCAAAUCUCUUUGUUUGCUGUCGGACGCAUAAAAAACUUGCAUCGGACGUCCGAAAGAAUUGAAGAAAAUCUCUUAAACUCACUGCCUGCUGUCGAAUGCAUAAAACAGGGCUAUCGGACGUCCGACACUCCAACGGCUAGUUGACUCUUCAGCUACUUUCUAUCCGUUGGAAGCACUAAUGAGGCACUUUUCUUGAUCCUAUAUAAAUAGUGGUUGGUCAGAUACUUCAAACAACUUUGGCAGACUGAAGAUACAAAAGAUCUAGAGUGAUUUUAGUGAGAAAAUACUCUUCAAAGAAGAUUUGUAUUCUUAGUGGUGUGAGGUUCAUUGUAAGCUUUUCAUUUGUGAGUGAAUACUUCAUGAGUGUAGCUCUGUGAGGGUUGUCCUGAGGGAUAGUAAAACGUCCUGACUUGACCGAGUGGAGUUCGGGGCAAGGAGGAGGUGAACCUUCCUUUGUACACAAGAGUGAUUGUAAUUCAUCAACUUGAAGUAGCUUGUUUGAAUUAAUCUACAAGCUCAAGAGGAGUUGGGUAGUUAAUUGGUUUGCAAUUCUUUCCCUUUUAUUUAUUUAUUGUUAUAUUGUGAUCUUUUAAUUGCUUAUCGAUUGGCUUUUCGAUUGGUUGUUUUCGAUCCUUACAAUUGGUAUCAGAGCUUGGUCUCCUUGAGAUUAAGCUCAAUCGGCUUAGGAGUAAAAAUGACAACCAAUAAUGCCAUAUUUUUUGAAGGACAUUCUGUGAUUAGACCACCUAUAUUUAAUGGGUCAAAUUAUUUGAGUCGAAAAGAAAGAAUGGUUAUCUUUUUACAAUCUAUUGAUAUUGAAUUGUGGUUUAUUAUUAGUGAAGGUCUAUAUGAUGCCUCUCUUAUAGAUGAAAAUACUCGUACAUCUAGACCAAAAACUAGAAAUGAACUGACUGCUGUGGAUAGAACUCAUCUCACAUUAAAUGAAAAAGUCAUGAAUGUGUUAUAUUGUGCUUUAGAUUCAAAUGAAUCUAUUAGAGUCAAAGGCUGCAAGUCAGCCAAGAAAAUUUGGGAUAAACUGAGAGAAAUUCAUGAAGGUAGUGAGAAUGUUAGAGAACAAAAGAAGUCCAUUCUAGUUACAAAGUAUGAAUCUUUCAAGAUGCAACCUCAUGAAAACAUUGAUGACAUGUAUUGUAGAUUUAAUGACCUCAUUAAGGAUUUGGAGGUGCUGGAAAAAGAAUACUCUCUAGGUGAGAAAAACAGAAAAAUUUUGAAUGUUUUAUCGAAGGAUUGGGAGAGUAAAGUGACUGCCAUUGAGGAAGCCAAAGAUCUAAAUACCUUGCCUAUUGAAUCUCUCAUUAAUUCACUGACUUCUUUUGAGCUAAAACUCAAGUCCAAGGUGCAGGAAGAAGAAGACACAAAAGUGAGAAAGAAUAUUGCUCUGAAGGCUUCACAAGAUGAAGAUGAUACAGCCUCCGUGAGUGAAGAUGACAUGGAAAGUGAUGAUAGUGAUAUUGCACUCAUCACACGAGGCUUCAAAAGAAUACCCAACAAGAGGAGAUUCAGAAAAGGUGGAUCUAGCAACUCCUUCCCGAAUCAGUCCAACAACUUGAGAAACAAUGGGAAGCUAGAGUUCAACAAAAAGUAAACUGAUAAGUGCUUUGAAUGUGACCAACCUGGACACUAUGCAAGUGAGUGUCCAGUGAUGAAGAAGAAAGAAGGAAGAAAACCAAGAUUCAACAAAUUUCAAUUCACAUGGAAUGAGUGCAACUCCGAUGGUGAAAUUGAAGAGAUGAAGAAUCUGCUCAAUUGGCUUUUAUGGCCAUUGGAGAUGAUGAGGUAACAGUUUGUAACUCUCAAUAUGAAAGUGAUGAUGAAAGUGAUGAUGAAACUGAUGAUGAUCUUAAAUCUUUCAUUAUAAAAUUGCAUGAUAGUUUGAAAGAAUCCUAUGCUAGAAACAAGGAGUUAAAACAGAAAAUUAGUUUUUUGCUUCGAGAUAAUGCAAAUCUUUUUCAACAAAAUAAAAAGUUGAAAGCUGAAAAUGAUUACUUCAAAAAGAGUGAGACUGUUUUACACUUUGAGUUUGAUAGAAAAACAAAGCUUUGUGAAUUGUUCAAAAAGGAACAAGGUGAUUUAAAAAGAAGAAUGGAUGGUCUAAAUGAGUUGCUUAAACACAAGAAACAAGUCUGUUUUCAAAAGAAUAGGUUGAAUUCUAAUUCCAACGAAUUUGCUAUUUAUAAGAGAAGACAAGUAAGAUUUAUUAAACCUAUUCAUGUAAAUAACUCCUUGAUUAUGUGUAAUUUCUGUUGUCAAAAAGGUCACAUGAAAGGUGAUUGCUAUGUGAGAAAAAAUAUAAAAAAAAGGCAUGAAAUGCAUGUGAAUAGUUAGAUAUGAUGCUAACUCUAACAAGUAGGAGAUAUUGAUAAGAUUGAUGAGAUUUUUGUUCAUAAUGUUUUUCUGUAAUUCUUUUUUGAAGUUUCUGAUGCUUAGAACUGAGUUUUUUUUUCUUGAUGUUUUUGAAUAUUACUAAAUUUAUAUGAUGUCAAAAAGGGAGAAAAAAGAAUAAUUCUGAUCUAAUGAUGAUUUGAUUUGUUAAACUCUCUGUGAUAUGUUGGUAUGUUGGUGAUUGCUGAUUUCUGGUAUCAUUUCUCUGUUUUUGUUUGGAAUGUUGGAUUCCCUGUUAUUGUUGCUGGAUUACGGUAUGAGAUUUUUACUCUCACCUUAUGAUGACAAAAAGGGGGAGAUAUGGAUGCUAUGUGUAAGGGGGAGUUAUUCUGAAUUCAUAAGUUUAGAUGCAUUGUGUGAGGGGGAGUUUAUGCUUAUAUGCUCAAUUUUUUUUCUUUCUUCCAUCCAUUGUUUUGUCAUCAUCAAAAAGGGGGAGACUGUUGACCUUGGUCCCUAACUUUUGAUGAUUACAAAACAAAUGGAUGUUGCUAACAUCUCCUCAAAGGCUUUUUCAGUAAUGAAACAAAUCAGGUUCAAAGAUUAAGCACAUUUGAAAAAGACAGAGUAUGUUAAACCUGUCGGACGCUCAAGAAGACAGUACCGGACGUUCGAUAAUCAUUGCACAACUUCGGACGCAUGCUUCGGACGUCCAAUAGGAUCUUUCGAAGUCGACAAAACUAUCGGACGCUGAAUAUGUCUCUACCGGACGUCCGAUAGAAACAAGAUAAUUUCUCAAAUCUCUUUGUUUGCUGUCGGACGCACAAAAAGUUUGCAUCGGACGUCUGAAAGAAUUGAAGAAAAUCUCUUAAACUCACUGCCUGCUGUCGAACGCAUAAAACAGGGCUAUCGGACGUCCGACACUCCAACGGCUAGUUGACUCUUCAGCUACUUUCUAUCCGUUGGAAGCACUAAUGAGGCACUUUCUUGAUCCUAUAUAAAUAGUGGUUGGUCAGAUACUUCAAACAACUUUGACACACUGAAGAUACAAAAGAUCUAGAGUGAUUUUAGUGAGAAAAUACUCUUCAAAGAAGAUUUGUAUUCUUAGUGGUGUGAGGUUCAUUGUAAGCUUUUCAUUUGUGAGUGAAUACUUCAUGAGUGUAGCUCUGUGAAGGUUGUCCUGAGGGAUAGUAAAACGUCCUGGCUUGACCGAGUAGAGUUUGGGGCAAGGAGGAGGUGAACAUUCCUUUGUACACAAGAGUGAUUGUAAUUCAUCAACUUGAAGUAGUUUGUUUGAAUUAAUCUACAAGCUCAAGAGGAGUUGGGUAGUUAAUUGGUUUGCAAUUCUUUCCCUUUUAUUUAUUUAUUGUUAUAUUGUAAUCUUUUAAUUGCUUAUCGAUUGGCUUUUCGAUUGGUUGUUUUCGAUCUUUACACAAAGGCAGGGCGCAGUUCAACCAAGAGCUUACAACAUGCACAAGUAAUCAAAUAUACUGAUAAACGGUAGAAAUUCAUGGUUAAACGAUUGAAAUUUGUUAUUUUAGUAGGUCGAGUGAAAUAAAGUACACACUCGCCUUAAAACGGUGAAAAAUUUUCAUAGGAACAAUUAUAAGUAACACUUAACACUUAAACACACAAGAAAUAUGCGGUAAACAUGUAGCAAAACUAUUCAAAUCACAAAUACCUACAAGGAACACUCACCAAAUCAAAAGUGUAAAGCAAGAGCGAGGCAAGAUCAAACGGGUUCCUCGGGAUCCUCUUGAUCACCUAAGACAUGUACAAUUACAAAUCACCUAGGCAACCAACCAAGGUCUAGUAGUAUUCCCGCUACUCUCAUUUAAGAGAUAACGCGUUCAAAUCGAAUACAAAUAUCACUUAAUAACUUAAUCCAUGAGGGUAGCAUUUGAAAAUUUCUAAAAAUACAUUAAUCCGAGUCAAGUCAUGUCCAAGAUUCUCCAAGUUGAAGAUUAAACAGAUCUCUAAGUUUUGGCACGAAAACCAAGAAAGAUGGAGGAUUAGUUUCUUUUCAAAAUUCCAUAGUUGAACACCCAAGUUUCAAGUAUAAGUGAGCUUUCUCAUUUUUCAAACUCAUUUAGUUAAAGUCUAGUAAAACCGCCACCAACGGCUCACUAACUUCUUUAGCCACCAAUUCAAGUUGUACCCGUAAAUCGAGUAAAAUUCUCAAGUUCUCUUUUAAUAAAAGCCUCACUCAACGUCCAUUUUCAAUGAUUAAAUCGAGGAUGUAUACUCAAGAGACUAUGGUGAUAGAAACUUUGGUUUUCAAAUAAGGAAAAUAAACACAUUUUUACUUGGAAGCUCGGCCAAAACAUUCCGAGUAUUACUGAUGAGGAGGUUGAGAGAGCUAUCCAAGUGGAGCAAAUGAAGGUACCAUUGGGGCCUAUGACACGAGCUCGCGUGAAGAGAUUGAAUGAGACAUUACAAACAUUGGUUCGUGCGGCCCGAGAGUCUAGUGGAGAGCCAAAGGCCAUCGAGGGCCUCCACGAAGCAACACUUGUUGUCCUAAUCUCGGCUCUGUGUGAAGAGUAGCCGACCAUGUUUCGGCUAAGGGAUCCAUGUCCAUUAUUAGUAUUAGUAGUGUGUAAUAAAGAGGUCCAACUAGCGUGUGGUUCGGACCUUGGUCACCAUUUAGUUAUUGGGUCAAUUGGCUAGACCAUGUGGGCCACAUUAGGAGUAGCUUGGCCCAUUAGUUCUUAUUACUAGUUAGUAUUAAAGUAAGGAAUUCGGUUGUAAUGAUCAGUUUUUUGAUGAUUAAUAAAAUUACUUUGAGAGUUCUCUCAAAAGUUUCAUUGAAGCAUCCUUGAAUAUCUUAGAAUCAUUUCUUAGGUAUUCAAUUUGACUUAUCAAUCUAGGAUUGCGCUAGAUUGUGGCGUCUUCUACCAAUAUCGAGGUUCGUUGACCACGUGAUCAACGGAUUUAGGUGAUUCCGCUGCGUUCGUCGUGUCAUCAACGUGAGUAUCGCCUUCUAGAUCCUAGCCUUUCUGUAUGGGUUGCAUCACAAGGUUGGUGCCAUUCGUAUCAGCUGGCAUCAGAGCUAGUUGAAGGUAUCACGUAUAUCCCUUUUCUUUGUUCCUUUGUGUCGUUAAUUGUGUUCCUUUUGGUGUCGUUUCUGUUCUUGUUUGGAGUCAAAAAAAAAAUUUCUGUCCAAGUGUCGCUAAUCUGUCCAAGCCUUGUUCGAAUCUGUUUUCUUGUUGUUUUGUGUUAAAAUUUCUGUCCGUGGUUUCUUCAAUCUGUCCAAGUUUUCCCGAAACUGUUUUGCCUUGUUCUUGAGUCAAAAAAUUCUGUUUUGUGUUCACUUGUGCGUCAUUGACCUUCCUUUGGUUGCUUGAAUCACAAUUCUGUCUGCUUUGGUUUCCUUUUGUUUGGUUGUGUGUCGCAUCUCUUGAUUGUGUUCCUUGUUGUUGUGUUGCGUGCUUGGGGCUGCCGCACUUUGUGGUGAAGCCGUGAGCCUUUAGGGUUUCUUGAGUCAAAAAAAAACAAAAAAAGCGGCUGCUGUACCUUCCUCUUGCUUGUCCGAGUUAGGGUUUGUUAUUCCUUGUGUUGGAGAUAAGUAUGGGCUGUCCGAAUUUGUCAUUGCCGCAUCGUGAGCCUUUGUGGCCUGUUUUGGGGUUGUACACCAUUAUUUGGGAAGUUGUACCACAAGUCUUGUGAAUCUUGAAGUUCUUGAUUGAUUCUCACAUCAAUCUUGAAUUUCUUGAAACGCUAGAGUUGAAUCUUGACAUUCUUGAAACAACCCAAGUAUGUAUUGAAUAAUUUGGCAAGUGAGGGUAAUCUGUCUUGGUUUCUUUUCGGCCAAACAAAAAAUUUAGUUGCCGCCAACCAAGACAAAACCCUAGCAUCCGACUUUCCUUGCUUUGUUGUUAAAAAAAAAACAGCAAGCAAAGAAAUUUGUUUUCGGCCAAGAAAAGGAAAGAACUUUCGAAAUUUUAUUGCCAAUUUAUUUGAAGCUUACAUAGUGUGUCCGAAACUACAAAGAAAAAACAAAAUCAAAAGUUGUGGUCCACUACUUCUUGAAAUUCUUGAACCUUUUGAGUCUUGGGAAGUUAUUUCAUUCGUGUAGUGAAAAAUUUCUUGUACUCCCGAACUGUGGUGAAGGGUUUUCUUGGAGUCUUUGUGUCUUUCUUUGGGAUAUCUUGGGUAACCCAUUGGGGGGGAGCCUGAGAGGGGUUAGUUGCACCAUCUUGAUUGUCCAUAACUCAUUGUUCUUGUCUUGAGCAAAAUCGAAAAGUGCCAAAUUGUGGUGAUCAGAAUUUUCGAGCUUAAUUGUUGUCUUGCGGUUAAGUGUCAUGCGAAUUGUGUUUUAAUAGCCUAGGGUCAGCCGUGACUUUGAUUCACUUCCCUAAUUUGUGUCAGUUUCCAAUUCCUUGUUGAAGGCCGAAACUUGAUUGGAAGUGCUACUUUGAAGGUCGGUUCCCAAAACCGUGAGUAGCUAUCACUUUACGAGUGGGUUUCCUAAUUGCAAUUGGUUUCCUAAUCUCGUUGGUUACCACACCUUGAGUGAUCUCCAAUCAAAGACACUCCUACUUCUUAGCCUAUUUUCUAGCCGCCACUUUCCCUAAAUUUUAGGGUUUCUUUAGCUAUCCAUCUUUCCUUCCAUUCGGCCACACCUUUCCCUACUUUCUAGGGAUUUUCUUCCUACAUUUUAACCAUUACCUUUUCCUACCUUUUAGGAGUUGCCUUAGCCAUCCCUUUCCUUUUUCUUUUCGGCCACCUCUUCCUACAUUUUAGGAAGUUUCCGCCACUCAUUUCUGCCUUUGGAGACCAUUCGGACCUACUAACAAGCAAAGGGCAGCUUGCGUCUAAAAAAAAAGGAUUAUUUUUGUCUUUUGGUCAUGUCUUUUCCGUGUCUUAGUCCUUUGUCCUUUCGUUUGACCCUUUCCCUUUCAUUGUGUCCCUCGGGUCAAUCCCUAUUAGUUCCAUCCAUUGUGCACUCUCCAGUCCAUUGAGGAUUGCCACAGUCUCGUGACCCAAAAUUGGUGAGUUGAUUGUUUACUUGAAGGAGUUCUAAUUUCUACAAGGUAUGCUAUCAAGAGGGUUUGUGUUAUUCUUGAUUUUGAUGAUCACAAAGCACUUUGAAAUGUUUAUCUAAUUCUCUUCAAAUAUAAGUGUUUUACUUUUUAGAGAAUCAGGUACAAAGGUGUCAAGGAAAGAAAAUCAACCAAAAGAAGAAGCAAAAACAGGGCACUCAUGUCGGACGUCCGAAAGGAAGCUGUAGGACGUCCGAAAGGAUGAAGAACAUCAAGAAGGAAACUCUGUCGGACGCUCGUGAGGAAGCAUCGGACGUCCGGAAGGAUCGGACGCACUCCUCGGACGCACAUCGAUCGUGUCGGACGUCCUAAAAAUUUCGCAGAGCUUUGAUAACUCUCUGACGACGUUCGGACGCAGAAGCUGUCGGACGAUAAAAUACCAUCGGACGUCCGAACAACAACUUAACUGAUUUUCGGACGAUGGGAUCGGACGAUGACUAAGAUGUCGGACGUCCGACAGCCCCAACGGCUAGCUGACUCUUCAUCUGCCUUCUAUCCGUUGGAAGCAUUAAUGAAGCCCAUUUUUGGUUCCCUUUAAAUACAAACGAUUCUGAAUCAGACAAGGACUUUUGCACACUUUGGUUACAAGAUCUCAAGAGAUAUUUUUCCUAGAAAAUAGUCUCCCAAGCAAGAUUUGUUCUCCAAGUAGUGUUAAGUUCUUGUAAGCACUUCUCUUGUGUUUGAUUUUUUCAAUAGUGUAGCUUUGUUGAGGGUUAUCUGAGUGAUAGUAAAACUUCCUAACUUGACUAAGUGAGGCUUAGGGCAAGGAGGAAGUGAUCCCUCUAUUGUACAUUGAGUUGAUUAUUUUUCAUCAAAGAGAAGGUGCUCAUCUUUGUGAUUGGUCUUCAAGUUUGAGGAAAGGUUGGUAGACAAUCGGUUUGAUACUCUAUCUUAUUACUUUUGUUUAAUAAAAUUCUCAUUGCUUAUAUACACUCUUAUUUCUGAUCAACAUUGCUCUCUUCUUUUAAAUUUACUUGGCUGAUCACUACUAGAAAAGAAGGUAAAUUUUUUAUUAAAGAAAAAGUGCAUAAACUCAAUAAAGUAUUUUUAAUCAACCUAAUUCACCCCCCCUCUUAGGUUGUCUUUGGGCCUUACAAUUGGUAUCAGAGUUUGGUCUCCUAGAGAUUAAGCUCAAGCGGCUUGGAGUAAAGAUGACAACCAAUCAUGCCAUGUUUGUUGAGGGGCAAUCUGUCACUUGUCCUCCCAUGUUUAUUGGUUCCAAUUAUGUUAGUUGGAAAGAAAGAAUUAUUAUCUUUUUGCAAUCCAUUGAUAUUGAGCUAUGGUUUAUUGUGAAUGAAGGACCGUAUGAUGCUAACGUUCUUGAUGCAGAUACAGGUUUGUUUCGGUCAAAAACAAGAGCUGAGUUGAAUGCUCAAGAUAGAACCAAUCUCACAUUGAAUGCCAAAGCCAUGAAUGUUCUUUAUAGUGCCUUAGGCUCAAAUGAAUCAAUUAGAGUAGAAUGAUGUAAAUCUGCCAAAGAAAUGUGGAAUAAGCUAAGAGAAAUUCAUGAGGGUAGUGACAACGUGAGAGAACAGAAAAAAUCUAUCUUGGUCACAAAGUAUGAAUCAUUUAAAAUAGAACCCCUUAAGGAUAUUGACAAAAUGUAUUGCAGGUUCAAUGACUUGAUCAAAGAUCUCGAGGUGUUGGGCAAAGAGUACACCUUGGGAGAGAAAAACAGGAAAAUUCUCAAUACGUUGGGCAAAGAAUGGGAAAGUAAAGUGACUGCAAUAGAAGAGGCUAAGGAUUUGAAUUCUGUGCCUAUUGAAUCUCUCAUUAACUCACUAACCUCAUAUGAGUUGAAGUUGAAAACUAAAGUGCAGGAGGAAGAGGACGCGAGAGCAAAGAGAAACAUAGCUCUAAAGGCAGCUCAAGGUGAAGAUGAUCCAGCUCUGUUGGCUGAUGAAGACUCGGAUGGUGAUGACAACGAUCUUGCACUCAUCACAAAAAGUUUCAAGAGAAUCUUGAAUAAAAGAAAGUUUAGAAGGGGAGGACCUAGCAAUCAAUUCCAAAAUCAAUCCUCAAACGUAAGGAACAAAGGAAAACAAGAAUUCAACAAGAAAUAAUUGGACAAAUGCUACGAAUGUGGAUAGCCUGGAUACUAUGCAAACGAAUGCUCCCUGAAGAAAAAGAAAGAUGGAAAAGCUGAUCGAAAGCCAAGGUUCAACAACUUCCAAAUUACAUGAAAUGAAUGUAACUCCGAAGGCGAAGUUGAAGAAGAAGAAAAAUCAGCUCAAAUGGCUUUCAUGGCUAUUGGAGAUAAUGAGGUAACUUCCAUACACUCUCAAUCUGAUAGUGAUGAUGAAGAUGAUGAUGAUGAUCUUGAAUUCUUUGUUAAAAAAUUGCAUAAUGCCUUGAAGGAAUCUUAUGAUAAAAACAAGCAGCUAAAACAGAAAAUUGUCUUUCUCAUUCAAAAUAAUGCAAGUCUUCUUCAACAAAAUAAACAACUAAAGGCUGACAAUGAGUGCCUUGUAAGAGCCGGAUUUGAUGUUCAAAAUGAACUUGAUAGAAAGACAAGUGUUUGUGAAAUGCUAAAGAAAAGACAUGGUAAUUUGAAUAAAAGGAUGGACAAUUUGGAUGAGACUUUAAAAGCUAGAAAACAAGAUUAUCUCAAAAAGAACGUGUCAACCACCUUUCUUGCAGCUCAUGAAAGAACAUUAGCACUCAACAAAAAUGCACAUGGUUUCACAACAUAUAGAAGGAGUGGAGUGAGAUUUAUCAAAUCAUUACAUGUUAAAGACUCUUCCAUUAUGUGUAGUUUUUGUUGUCAAAGAGGGCAUUUGAAAGGAGAUUGUUAUGUGAAAAGAAAUCUGAACAAAUGAAUGAGAUGCGUGUGGUUAGUUAGACACGAUUCUAACUAUUGUGGACCCAAAAGUUAAAGGGUACCGAACACUCUCUCUUUUCAGGGAAAAGGCUCAAACAAGUCCAAAUGGUUCAUUGACAGUGGCUGUUCAAGGCAUAUGACCGGUGAUCCUUCUUUGUUCAUAAAGCUAAAAUCAAAAUCAAGUGGAAAGGUGACAUUUUGUGAUGACGUGAAAGUUAAGACAAUUGGAAUAGGAGAUGUUGGUAAGGAUGGUGAAACUUUUGUUCAUAAUGUGCUCUUAGUUGAUAACUUAGGUUAUAACUUGCUUAGUGUUAGUCAAUUAUGUGAUAAAGACUUGAAUGUGUUGUUCAAAAACUAUGAAUGCAUUGUUCUUGACUCUAAAUAUAAUGUUGUGUUCAAAGGUAAGAGGUUUAACGACAUUUAUAUUGUUGUUCUUGAUAAACUUGAUUCAUCUAACUUCCAAUGUCUUAAAGUCUCAAAUGAAGAUCCUUGGUUGUGGCAUAGGAGACUUUGUCAUUUUAACAUGGAAUUACUAAAGGAAAUCUCGAAAAAGGAGCUGGUUAGGGGCUUGCCAAAAAUCAGUUUUGAAAAGGACAAAAUUUGUGAUGCAUGUCAAUUUGGGAAGCAAACAAAGAUUUCCUUUAAACCAAAGAGGUGUGUAUCUACUUCUAAACCUUUGGAACUCUUGCAUCUUGAUUUAUUUGGUCCUACUCAAAUUACUAGCUUGGGAGGUAAGAGAUAUUGUUUUGUGAUUGUUGAUGAUUAUUCUAGAUAUACUUGGGUGAUAUUCCUUGCUCAUAAAGAUGAUGCUUUCAAGAAUUUUACUUCAUUGUUUGCUAAAGUGCAAAAUCUGCUUGAUUUAAAAAUCGUUAGGAUUAGAAGUAAUAAUGGGACGGAAUUCAAGUUUUGUGGUUUUCCAGAAUUUUGUGAUCAUAAUGGCAUAACACAUGAGUUUUCUAUUGCAAGGACUCCACAGCAAAAUGGUGUUGUAGAAAGGAAAAAUAGGACACUCCAAGAGGCUGAUAGAACUAUGUUGAGUGAAUGUAAUUUGCCAAAAUAUCUUUGGGUUGAAGCGGUAAACACCGCAUGUUAUGUGAUGAAUAGAAUCCUCUUGAGACCUAUUUUGAAUAAAACAUCUUAUGAACUGAUUUUUGAUAAGAAACCUACGGUUGGAUAUUUCAAAGUUUUUGGUUGUAAAUGUUUUAUUUUGAAUUUAAAGGAACAUCUUGGUAAGUUUGACAAAAAAUCUGAUGAAGGAAUAUUUUUGGGGUACUGUGAGAAUAAAAGAGGAUAUAGAAUCUGUGAGGACUCGUAAAAACUAUUAUUUUAUGCCUAAUUCAUGGCUUAAUAAAUUAUUUAAUUGGAUUUUUAUCCCAAGGAAUAUUUUCUAGUCUUAUUAGACUUAAAUACAUGGUAAUAUAACUUCGUUAUAUUUUUAAAGUGAUUCGUUCUAAAAAUUAAUUUCCUGGAGUACGUUUAGUAAAAAUAGUGAAUAGUACUUGGAGAUUUUAUCCGCGUAGUAGCACAAUAAGCUUGGAAUAUUGGAGACUUGUACUAUGGUCCUAAAAUAGGUAAUCUUAUGAGUAAUACUCAAGUGAUAGUUAGUAGUGCAAUCGUUAUAAGAAUUUAUUGGAAGUUUCGCGUUAUAGCGUUAAAAUUGACGGUACGCGUUUUCACACGCGCGGCUUUAUUUGAGGGACUUUAGACCCUUAUUUCAGGACAAUUAAGAGUGAAUAAUACUCACACGAAUAUAAAUGUAUUGGAGGUUCAGUGCACUAGUGAACCAAACGCGCGAGAAAAUCGAGCCCUAAUCGCGCCAAACGCACCCUAAUAAGAGUUGACUUUGGAGUGAUUGUGCACCACCCAUUUAAUCUUCUCUUGGAAGCUUAUUUUGAUCAAACUUCACUCCAUCUUCUCUCACCUAGCAGCCGGCCAACACCCCCCUCUCACUCACUCUCUUGCUUCACAAAUUCCUUCAUCAAAUCAACCCAAAACCUCAACCAAUCUUCACCAAACUUGAAGAUCAUCUAGCAUACUACUUGGAGGUUGGAUUUAGCUAACAAAAAGGGCUGCAUUUUCAUGGUUUCUUGGAGCUCUUGAGGGCCGAAAAUUUCUGGGUUAAGGCACUAAGGAGGUAUAACUUCAUCCUACACCUUAAACUAGGAUUAUAAUUGUGGAAAUGCAUCUUUAAGCUAUUGCAUGUGGAUGGGUGGCUUGAUAUGGUUGUAAAAUGUGAUAAUGGGCUCUUUGUAUUCCCACACUUGAGUUGUUGUUGCUGAUUAGAGGAUCAAUGUUGGGUUUAAUGGUAGUUUAAUGGUUAUAAUGAUGGAUUUAUGGAGUAUUAAUGUUGGAGACUCAAAGUAGAGGUCAUGACCAGAAAUUGCUGAAUCUGCCCCUGUUUUGUUCGGCCAUGAUAAGGCCAAUUUUUGGUGAUUUAUUGGCAUGAACCUGAUUUUUAUAUGUUAUAUUAUAUGUGUAGAAAUUUUCGUUGGAAAACAUUAACGUUUGGAUGGGCAAAUGAAUUUAUUCGUGGACUAGGCAAGCUGGAAAGUUAUUUUCGGGUAACCCUGUCCAGCGGCAGCAUUUUGACCAUAACUCUGUCCUCGGGUGUCGAAAUCAAGUGUCGUCGGUGGCGUUUGAAACUAAACAUUCCUGGCUUUAAUUUGAGAUAAAAUUCACGUUCUGAUUCUUUGUGAGUGAGCCGAACCAAAUGUUUUAAGGUAGCUGUCCUGUCUCUCGGAUUUGCUGGAAUGGUUUGUAGAAGCAGUAACUUGAGGCUCAAUUUUGAGCUGGUUGCUUGCCAAAUUUCAGAACGUCUUCUUCUGUAAACUUUUAGUCCUAUGAAUUUAUUUUCUAACGCCAUAAACCAUGCCUCAUUCUGAGUUAAAUUGGUUGAGUUGUGACUAAAACAAGUGGACUGCCCUGUUUUGGGAAAAACGUAAUAUUUGGACUGAUUUUGGACAAAACUUGGGAGUGAUCUUAUUAAUUGAAAUUUUGCUGCUAAACCAUUACCAAAGGUACCAUGGAUGUAUCUUAGACCUUUAUUUCCCCAAUGAACCAUGGUUGGAUAGCUUUCUUGGUUAAACGAUUUGAAAUUGGGAAAUGAAGUCAAAAGACAGGUUGCUUUAGAAAUUUUCCUGAACAUUGGAUGAUUAAUUAACUAUCUUUCCGAAGGUAUUUUUCCCUUAAAUUUGAUAGAGAGAUGCCUUUCAUAUAGGAGUAACAUAUUGCAAAAUUUUAUACCAAUCCAAGAUCGUUUUGACUCUUAGCUAAGGUUCCAAUUUUGAAAACUCAAAUCUUGAAAUUGUUCACCAGACUUGAAUUUUCCUAACUUUGAGCUACCGUAUCUCGGUGCUCGAAACUCCAAUUUUCAAUCCGUUUGUUCUGCCCUAAAACUUACUUACACCUCUAAUUGAUUUAUAAAUUUCAAGGGCUAGUUUGCAACGAGUGAAUUUUUCCGAAUUUCCAAAUUUAGCGAAAAACCAACCCCGGCUUAAUUCUGAAUGUUCUGGAACAGCAACUUCAUGCCCAUUUUUGAAUACCUUCCACAUAGAUUCAUGGAAAAUUUUCUUCUAAGAACUUUUAGUACUUUCUAAGAGGUUUCCAACGGUACCAAGUUUUAUAAUUUUGGACCUACUGAGUGCAAGAUCUGAUUUUUCUAAAUUUGACGCGCAAAGCUGAAAUUUGCUGAUUUCUUAGAAAAUGAAAAUUUGAAAACUUGUUACUCCUUCUUGAUGAUAAUUGAUCGCUUUAAACUUGAUUUCAUGAAGGAAAUCAGUUUUUCUUGUGUUAAUAAAACCUCACUUUUGAACCUUUAUUUUGAGUGGCUAAGGUUCUUGGUUUGAGGUAUUGACUAGUCCAAAUGAGCGUAACUCCUUUCUUGAUUAAUACGUGAUUGUGAGUGAAAAAUACUUGUUAAUUGCUUCAGGUGCUCAAGCGAGUCUUGAAAAGAAUCCCGGAGGGGACAACUAAAGAUUUUCUCGCUCAAUUACUUUUGAAUUGGUGAGUGUCAAGUGCAUGACUUGUCGUGUUUACUUGAUUUACCUGCUUAUAUACGUGAAUAUCACUUGAUGAGACGAGUGUGUACUUUAUCGCACUCGCUCUCCUUUACUUGAACUUUACUUGUAUUAACUUGGUUUUCAAAGUCGAUUGAGUGAAUCUCGUCGACUAAAAUAUACCCGUUUUCGUGUGCGUGUCGUGUUGCCAUGCAUGUCGUGUAUGUCGUGCGUGUCUUGUUGUCGGGUGGAGUGAACCUCCUCGACUUAUGGGGACGCCCAAUUCUCUUAACCAAUCUUACAACUCGAGCCGGCAUGGGCUUGGUCGAGAAGUUUGAUAAACCAAGAGAGUAACAAAACACAACUUGAUCUUUUGAGAUCUUGUUCGGCAUACUCGUGGAGUAUCGCCCUUUCCGUGCGUGUUCAAAAAUCAAAACUUGAUCUCUUGAGAUCUCGUGUGGCAUACUCGACGAGUAUCGCCUUUUUCGUGCGUGUUUGGUUUCGGAUCCGAGAGGGUGGAAUGUUGGUCGGAGGAAGUAAUAAGUGAAGUUUCUACGGAUAAAAUACCCACCAGGAUAACGGAGUGUCAUCACGAGGGGGUAUCGGAUCGAGCCGUGGCGAAGCAAGAGGAAAAUAGCUCCUGAGAGCUCCUAUAUCCUUGAAUUGUUUCUGUUUAUUUUUCUCGCUCGAAUUGUAAAUUACUUGAAUAUUGGGAUUGUUAUUUGGACAACGUGCUUGCAUGUGUGUUUUCUUGGCCUCACGAGCGUUUCGCUCACCCCGUAGAUUUGUUUUCCUUAACAGGAAUGGAUGGAGUGAAACUCGUUGGAACCCUUUGGAUGUACUUUUGUAUUAGGGUUUCAAUUGUAAUUGACUAGACAUUUUGGCUAUUGUAUAUAUUUGGGAAUUGAUGUAUCUUUUGGAUCCUGACGUAAGAAUUGGAUAACGGAUGUAUUUUGAACACGUGGUACAAGACUUGGAUAUUCGAUUAUGGAAGCGAUUUUUCCUUAUUAGACUGGUAUAAAUUGUUAUUUAUUGUUAAGUUUGAAUUGAUUUGUCUCGAGUCCUGGCGAGAGCUAGGCAGGCGUUCCGCGGAUACCCUUGGGUUCGCCCUUGGGAGAAGUGGGGGCGUCACAGAAUCUUUAAUAGAAGAACUCUUGUGAUAGAAGAAGCUAUACACAUAACAUUUGAUGAAACUAAUGAUGAUAAUUCCAAAAGUUCGUGUGAGGAUGAUGAUAUAGGUGUUCGUGAAGGAAUGAAAAAGCUAACAAUUGGAGAUGAAGGAAACUCUAAACCGGAAGCAAAGGAAAUGAAGGAUGAAGCUCAUGAAGAUCAAGAAAAGGAAGAUGAAGACAAGGAAUGAUGAUUCAUUCAAAGACCUUCCCAAAGCUUGGAAAUUUAGCCAAAAUCAUCCAAGAGAGCUUAUAAUUGGUGAUCCAUCCGAGAAGGUAAAGACUCGUUCCUCAUCUAAGAAAUUGAUAGACAAUUUUGCUUUAGUCUCUCUUUUUGAACCUAAAAAUAUCAAUGAUGCCUUAAAGGAUGAAAACUGAAUUUUGGCAAUGCAAGAGGAAGUUAAUCAAUUUAAGAGAAAUAAGGUUUGGACACUUGUUGAUAGACCUCAAAAUCAACCUAUCAUUGGCACGAAGUGGAUAUUUAGAAAUAAGUUGGAUGAUAAAGGUGUAGUUGUAAGAAAUAAAGCUAGAUUAGUUGCUAAAGGAUAUGCACAAGAAGAGGGAAUUGAUUUUGAUGAAACAUUUGCUCCCGUAGCUAGAUUAGAAUCAAUUAGAAUGCUUCUUGCUUUUGCUUCCUUCAAAGGUUUCAAAUUGUUUCAAAUGGAUGUUAAAAGUGCCUUCUUAAAUGGUUUUAUUGAUCAAGAAGUAUAUGUGGAUCAACCCCCCGGUUUUGAAAAUACAAAAUUUCCAAGUCAUGUGUUUAAACUCUCAAAAGCAUUAUAUGGACUAAAACAAGCUCGAAGAGCUUGGUAUGAAAGAUUGAGUGGUUUCUUGAUUGAAAAUGGUUUCAAAAGAGGUAUUGUGGACACCACACUUUUUACUAAGCAAGUGUUAAAUGAUCUUCUUAUUGUGCAAAUAUAUGUAGAUGAUAUUAUUUUUGGUGCUACUAAUGAGUAUCUAUGCAAGGAUUUUUCCACCAUUAUGCAAAGUGAAUUUGAAAUGAGUAUGAUGGGAGAAUUAAAUUUCUUCCUUGGACUUCAAAUACAUCAAGCACUAGAGGGAAUUUUUAUAAAUCAAGCAAAAUACACCAAGGAAUUGCUGAAAAGAUUUGACAUGGAGGACUCGAAGCAAGUUGGAACUCCAAUGUGCACUUCUACAAAACUUGACAAAGAUGAAGAAGGUAAACAUGUGGAUGAAAAGCACUAUAGAGGUAUGAUUGGAAGUCUGCUCUAUUUAACCGCAAGUAGACCCGAUAUUAUGUUUGCUGUUUGCUUGUGUGCUAGAUUUCAAUCUUGUCCAAAAGAAUCACAUUUGAACGCCGUUAAAAGGAUUUUUAGGUAUUUGAAAGGUACAUUAGACUAUGGUCUUUGGUAUGCUAGAUCUUGUGAAUUUGCUCUAUAUGGAUAUUCGAAUGCGGAUUUUGGUGGUUGUCGUGUGGACAGAAAAAGUACUAGUGGAACUUGUCACUUUCUUGGUAAUUGCUUAGUUUCUUGGUUUAGCAAAAAACAAAAUGCAAUCUCUUUGUCUACAACUAAAGCGGAAUAUAUUGCCGCUAGUGCAUGUUGUGCUCAACUUUUAUGGAUGAAGUAUACCUUGAAUGAUUUUGGAUUGUUAUAUGACUGCAUGCCUAUAUUCUGUGAUAAUACUAAUGCUAUCAAUUUGACCAAAAAUCCAAUUCAGCAUUCUAGGACAAAACAUAUAGAUAUUUUGCUGAUAUUUUGCCAAAGAUCAAAUUGCUGAUAUUUUUACAAAAGCUUUACCAUUGGAUCAAUUCAUUCAUCUAAGAUCAAAAUUAGGGAUAAUCGAAAAAUCAUCUUAAUUUUUUCAAAGAUUUCGGACGUCCGAUAGAAGAUGAACAGACGUCCGAUAAUGUUCUUCAGUUGUUUUCCCAGAAAGCACCUGUUCGGACGAAACUGUCGGACGCAAGACUUCGUUCGGCCGUCCGACAGUGCAACGGUACACUUUUUAAAGUAACUUCCCUCCUCAUUUGCUUCAGACUCUUCUUCUUCUCUUCUCACUAUGACGAAAACUGUCUUCCCUUUCACUCUCAAUUCCUACUAUUCUGAAGCACUUAUUUCAAAAUUGACUCAACCAAAAACCUUUCCGGAUCAUUGCGAGUUUAUUUUCCUAAUCCUUUCACCAAAUCUCAUCACAUUUCGACAGUUCCCAAAUUUCCCUCAAAACCCUAUUUUCUCCUAGCCAUUCUGUUCAAUCAUCUUCAAGGCUCGUUUAUCCCAAAAUUCUUGUGUGAUUCAUUCCCAUACUACUGUGUGCAUCAUUAGCAUCAUACAUCUCACGCAUUUCACACAAUGGUGAAACUAAGAGGAGGAAAGGUGACUGCCGAAUGCAAACACAUACUCAGGGAUGAAGAUGCUGAUUCUUCUAGGGCCAAAAGAUCAUCCAAACAUGUCAAAAAGGGGGCAGUAAAGGCUCAAAUUUCACAGCCUUCCGCUAAGCCAAAAUCCGGACAAGGAAACUUCUUCUCAACCGCCCUCCAAAUCAACCACUGUCUCCCCAUUCUUUGAUGAUGCUGCCAAAGAAAAACACUCCUGGAUAUCCCAAAAAGGUUUCAUUCCUCAACGUACCAUAAAUCCCUCUGAGUUUCGCAAAAUAGGUUUAGAGUCCAUUUUGCGUCUCUUUGAAUUUCAGAAAUGGUCACAUAUCAUUUCCAUGCCUAACGUUUAUUACCCUGAAAUGCUAUAUUAAUUCUUUGCCAAUCUUAGGAAAGGCACUGAUCACACUGAAAUUAUGUCCAGGGUAAAUGGGGUAGAUUUAGUGUUUGAUUCUGAGAUUGUGAAUGCUGUUUUAAAUACUGUUAUUGAACCAGGAUGCAAAAGUAAAAUUGCCAAUUUCUUUUCUUAUGAAGAGCAUCCCACUGCUGAUAAUCACUUUGAUAGUGCUAAGAUGAUGUCUUAUUUUCAAAACAAGUUUUCUGCCCCUGCUGAUGCAAAACUGAAUGACCUUACUCCUGUGAAUCUAAUUGUUUUCUCAAUCAUUUCAAAUUUGGUUGUACCUACUGAUGGUCAUAGGACAGAUGCCAAUAAAAUGGAGCUGUACCUUUUUUAUUGUUUUCGAGAAAAAAUUCGCAUUGACUUUGGCUUUGUCAUGUGCAAGUUUUUACUUCGCUUCACCACUGAUUCUCGUAGAAAACUGUCUUAUGAAAAAUUUCUUCAGAAGAUUUUUGAAUUUUACAAAGUACCCAUCCUUGGUGUUUGUCCCAAAGAAACGUUUUCUUCUGCCUUUACUAAGGCUUAUUUUGAGCGCAAGAAUCUUGUCUUUAGAGAUAAUUUGUGGGCUUAUAAAGGGGGUUAUGUCUAAUGAACCUAGAUCUAAGGCUGCACAUGAUCCCCUUCACACUUUAUCCUCUGUUGCACUGACUUCUAUUCAUCCUAGAAAGACAGCCACUAAAGCAUCUUCUUCUUCAAAUUCUGAAGUGGUUGAGCUCCUUCGUGAUCGUAAACAACAUGUUCUACUUCUUGAACAUAGUCUCAUGCUCACCAUGUCAUCUGAGCAACAAGCAGACUUUCUGGAUAAAAAGAGUCUUCUCUUUCCCCCACCUGUGGUUGAGGAAGUUCCUCAUGGCAAAGAGCCAUGCUCUAAUGAUCCAAGUUCAUCAGCUCCUAUUCGCUCCAUGAGUCCUGCUCCCAUCGAUCUCACCUCUACUCCGGUGGCACCUCAUGAUCCUUCCACAUCUGAUAAAGGCAAGAAACCAGUUGGUGAACAUACUGAAGAUGAUGAAGACACUGAGGAGGAGGAUCUCUCUCAGUAUCUGCUUACUCGAAGGACGCCUGGGUCCACCUAGUUUACCAUUUAGGAUCAUUAGCCAUAUUAGGAUCAUUUGCAUUCUGUUUGACUGUUUUCUAUUUGCUAGGUGUUAGAUGGUUGUCUUGGAUUUUUUCUGUUUUCUUUGAUUCUGGUGCUUGUAAUGUUCAAAACUGGAUAUGUGGAUGUAAUGGUGCUUGUAAUGUUUUGUGAUACUCGUAAGCUAUUUUGUUAAGAAUGUUUAGUUCUUUUUUAUGUUACUGAUUCUUGACAUGUCUCUUUACUUUUUUGACUUUUGUGAUGACAAAAAGGGGAAGAAAAGAUAUGAAUAUGGAUAUAUGCGAUGCGUUGAAUUGACUGGAUAUGUGGAUAAAUCUAUGAAGUAGCCAAGUGAGGGGGAGUUUCUCAAUUGCUUAAUUGUUUUUGGAUAAAUCAGUGAAUAAAUUGCUUAACUAAGUGAGGGGGAGUUUUUCAAUUUUUGUUCUUCGAUUGACUGAGAAAGGGGGAGCCUAUUUGUAAUCAUCAAAUUUCAUUUCAAAUCAUUGUUUUGUCAUCAUCAAAAAGGGGGAGAAUGUUAUUCUUGAUUUUGAUUAUCACAAAGCACUUUGAAAUGUUUAUCUAAUUCUCUUCAAAUAUAAGUGUUUUGCUUUUUAGAGAAUCAGGUACAAAGGUGUCAAGGAAAGAAAAUCAAUCAAAAGAAGAAGCAAAAAUAGGGCACUCAUGUCGGACGUCCGAAAGGAAGCUGUAGGACGUCCGAAAGGAUGAAGAACAUCAAGAAGGAAACUCUGUCGGACGCUCGUGAGGAAGCAUCGGACGUCCGGAAGGAUCGGAUGCACUCCUCGGACGCACAUCGAUCGUGUCGGACAUCCUAAAAAUUUCGCAGAGCUUUGAUAACUCUCUGACGACGUUCGGACGCAGAAGCUGUCGGACGAUAAAAUUCCAUCGGACGUCCGAACAACAACUUAACUGAUUUUCGGACGAUGGGAUCGGACGAUGACUAAGCUGUCGGACAUCCGACAGUCCCAACGGCUAGCUGACUCUUCAUCUGCCUUCUAUCCGUUGGAAGCAUUAAUGAAGCCCAUUUUUUGUUCCCUUUAAAUACAAACGAUUCUGAAUCAGACAGGGACUUUUGCACACUUUGGUUACAAGAUCUCAAGAGAUAUUUUUCCUAGAAAAUAGUCUCCCAAGCAAGAUUUGUUCUCCAAGUAGUGUUAAGUUCUUGUAAGCACUUCUCUUGUGUUUGAUUUUUUCAAUAGUGUAGCUUUGUUGAGGGUUAUCUGAGUGAUAGUAAAACUUCCUAAUUUGACUAAGUGAGGCUUGGUGCAAGGAGGAAGUGAUCCCUCCAUUGUACAUUGAGUUGAUUAUUUUUCAUCAAAGAGAAGGUGCUCAUCUUUGUGAUUGGUCUUCAAGUUUGAGGAAAGCUUGGUAGACAAUCGGUUUGAUACUCUAUCUUAUUACUUUUGUUUAAUAAAAUUCUCAUUGCUUAUAUACACUCUUAUUUCUGAUCAACAUUGCUCUCUUCUUUUAAAUUUACUUGGCUGAUCACUACUAGAAAAGAAGGUAAAUUUUUAUUAAAGAAAAAGUGCAUAAACUCAAUAAAGUAUUUUUAAUCAACCUAAUUCAACCCCCCUCUUAGGUUGUCUUUGGGCCUUACAGUUUGAGAGCAUUGGUGAGAUUAUUAGAGUGCCCUUGAGUGACAUACACGAGAGCUGAGUGUAAACACACGAGGGAGUGAGUGAGGCACAUAUAUAUAUACUUGUUUUUCUCCUAACUUUUGCAGGUUACCUACAUCAUGUCGGACGAGAGCGACACAUCCAAGUUUGACCCCAAAUUGAACAACCUAGCAUUGAUGGCGAAGUUUAAAUGCAUGCUUAGGGAAUCUAUGGAGUCCCUACACCAACGAAUGGACCAAUUGGAGCUUUCUCAAGCUCGGUCCAACACUACCCCUCGAGAUGCUCCACCUCGCGAGGAGUUGGCUUCUAAUAGUGGGGAAGAUGACUUUAUCUAUCGGCCAAAGCAGGACUACCGGAGGAUAGACGACGGAUUAAAGGGGGUAAAUAUCAAGAUUCAAUUAUUCCAGGGCAAGUCUAGUCCAGAGGCUUACCUCGAAUGGGAACAGCAUAUUGAGAUGGUAUUCAAGCGCCAAGACUACACCAAUGAACAAAAAGUCAAACUGGCAACCCUCGAAUUCACCGACUACGCUAUAGUCUGGUGGGAGCAGGAGCACACUAGCAGAUGCCGCAAUAGAGAACGACCAAUUAGUACAUGAGAGGAUCUACGAACCACCAUGAGAAAAUGGUUCGUACCCAACCAUUACUACCGUGAUCUAUACCAGAGGCUCCAGAUGUUAGUUCAAGGAAACCGCAGUGUGGAGGACUACUACAAGGAGAUGGAGAUCAUCAUGCCCCGGGCAGACAUAGUGGAGGAUAGAGAGGCUACCAUGGCGAGAUUUCUUAACGGUUUGAGACCUGAGAUCGCCGAGUUGGUGGAACUGUAAAACUACGUGGAUAUGUCUGAGUUGAUUGAUAAGGCAUCCAAGAUUGAGCGGAGGCUUAAGAGGGGGGUAACCCUCGCAACCCUAGCUUUUCGGCCACGCCUCUUUGGAGGGGCAAUCUGACAUUUGAGUGGGAACGACCCAAUGCAAGGGUGUCUAAGUUUACUCCUAAAUCCGAGCCACCCAAGCAGGCACCAAAGGCAACUACCAAGCCUCCAUUCCACUCCUCCAAGCCACGAGGUUGUGACAAGUGCUUCAAAUGCCAAGGAUUUGGGUACAUUGCUUCUCAGUGUCCUAAUAGGCGUACCAUGAUUGUCCUACUGAGCGGCGAUGUCGUAUCUGACGACGAGGACGAGUUCGCCGAGAUGCCUCCAUUGAUUGAUGACGGUGAAGAUUCAGAAGUCGAAAUUAAGGCCACUAGUGAGCAAGUAGGCGUUACUCUAGUAGCCCGUCAAGCUCUCACGAUUCAAGUCAAGAAAGUGGAUGAGGCUCAACGUGACAACAUUUUCUACAUGCGAUGUCACGUCAAGGGAAGAGUGUGUAGCCUCAUCAUUGACGCGGGUAGUUGUACCAACGUGGCGAGCACUCUCAUGGUUGACCAUCUCUCAUUGCCAACGUUAAGACAUCCCAGUCCAUACCGCUUGCAAUGGCUCAAUGAGAGUGGCGAUAUCAAAGUCACCAAGCAAGUGGUGGUGUCUUUCCGGAUCGAAAAAUAUGAGGACGAGAUCCUUUGCAACGUCGUUCCCAUGCAAGCUUCGCACAUAUUGUUUGGACGGCCAUGGCAGUAUGACAAGAAGACUACUCAUGAUGGCUUUACCAACAAGUAUUCCUUCUUGCACCACAACAAGAAGAUGACACUUGUUCCUCUCACACCUCAGCAGGUGCAUGAAGACCAACUGCGAUUGCAACAGGAGCAUGAACUAGAGCUGGCUAAGAAGUCAACCGACUCCAAGGCAAUCAUUAAGGCACCGGUCGAGAGGACAUCUAUCCCUGGAACAUCUGGUCGAGUGGAGAAACCGCCUAGCUUGCUUGCCAAGAACAGGAAAGUUCGCAAAUUACUUUUGUCCAAGCAAGUUGUCUAUGUUUUAUAUUGCAAAGAGGUGAUUUUACUUUCUCAUGAGGCACUCAAUGACUUACCUCCUGAAAUCUUUUCUUUGUUGCAGGAAUUUGAAGACGUUUUCCCAAACGAGAUCCCGAGUGGACUUCCACCACUCAGAGGGAUCGAGCACCAGAUCGAUUUCAUUCCUGGAGCAUCCUUGCCUAACAGACCGGCCUACAAGAUAGGUCCUGAGGAGACUAAGGAGAUCCAGUGGCAAGUAGAUGAACUCUUAGAGAAGGGUUGGGCUCGAGAGAGCAUGAGCCCAUGUGCAGUUUCAGCUAUCCUCGUUCCUAAGAAAGAAGGCACUUAGAGGAUAUGUGUAGACUGUCGCGCUGUCAACGCCAUCACAGUUAAGUAUCGUCACCCUAUACCUCGCUUAGAUGAUAUGAUUGACGAAUUGUAUGGUACAGUCAUUUUCACCAAGAUUGAUCUUAAGAGUGGCUACCAUCAAAUCCGAAUGAGGGAGAGGGACGAGUGGAAGACAGCAUUCAAGACUAAGUAUGGUCUGUAUGAGUGGUUAGUUAUGCCUUUUGGUUUGACCAAUGCUCCUAGUACAUUUAUGCGCCUUAUGAAUCAUGUGUUUUGCCCAUUCUUAGGUAAAUUUGUUGUUGUUUAUUUUGACGACAUUCUGAUAUACAGCAAGAGUCCUGAGGAACAUGUAGCACAUGUACGAGCUGUUCUUGAUGUAUUGCGCAGGGAGAGGUUAUUCGCUAACCUUAGCAAAUGUACUUUCUGCACUAAUGAACUUGUUUUCCUUGGUUAUAAGGUUAGUGCACGGGGCAUUAGAGUGGACGAGAGCAAAGUCCAAGCCAUCAAUGAGUGGCCCGUGCCCAAGACCAUGAGUGAAGUUCGGAGUUUCCACGGCCUUGUGAGUUUCUAUCACCGGUUCGUGAAGAAUUUCAGCACUAUUGCUGCCCCUCUAACUGCCAUUAUCAAGAAGGAUGUGAAGUUCGAGUGGGGGGAAACUCAGGUGAAGGCGUUCCAACUCCUUAAGCACAAACUUACACAUGCACCUUUAUUGUCAUUACCUAGUUUUGAUAAAACUUUUGAAGUUGAAUGUGACGCUUCUGGUGUAGGAAUUGGGGCCGUGUUGAUCCAAGAGGGGAGGCCGAUCACGUACUUUAACGAGAAGUUGAAUGGUGCUGCCUUGAACUACUCCACCUACGAUAAGGAGCUCUAUGCAUUGAUUCGUGCACUGGAGAAAUGGCAACAUUACCUGCGGCCAAAGGAGUUCGUCAUCCAUACUGACCACGAGGCUUUAAAGCAUCUCAAGUCUCAACACAAGUUGAGUAAGAGACACGUACGGUGGGUCAACUUUGUGGAGUCAUUUCCCUAUGUGAUCAAGUACAAAGCUGGCAAGACCAAUGUCGUUGCCGAUGUACUAUCCAGAAGGUAUGCCUUGAUUGCUCUACUUGAUGCUAAACUUCUUGGCUUUGAUCUUAUCAAAGAACUCUAUGACACCGAUUCUGAUUUUUCUGAUAUCUACAAGUCUUGUGCUAAGUCGGGUCAGGGUAAGUUCUUCAUACAUGAUGAAUUUCUAUACUGUAAUCACAAAUUAUGCAUUCCGUCAUGUUCUAUUUGUGAGUUACUAACUCGUGAAGCUCACGGAGGUGGGUUGAUGGGACACUUUGGUGUCACCAAGAUAUUGAGUGCUUUACAGGAGCAUUUCUAUUGGCCACGCAUGAGGCGGGACGUGGAGCGAGUGGUGUCACGCUGCAUUACCUGUCACCGUGCCGAGUCCAAGCUCCACCCUUUCGGUUUGUAUACACCUCUACCUAUUUCUUCGGAAUCAUGGGUUGACAUUUCAAUGGAUUUUGUGCUUGGUCUGCCUAGGAGUAAAGAGGGUCAUGAUAGCAUUUUUGUCAUUGUUGAUAGAUUCUCUAAAAUGACUCAUUUCAUUCCAUGUCAUAAGACGGAGAUGCUAUUCACAUAGCUGAUCUCUUCUUUAAGGAAGUCGUCCGUUUGCAUGGUGUGCCUAAGACUAUUGUGUCUGAUAGAGAUGUCAAGUUUCUCUCUUACUUCUGGAAAACCUUGUGGGGGAAGUUGGGCACUAAGUUGCUAUUUUCUACAUCCAGUCACCCCCAGACCGACGGUCAAACUGAGGUCAUUAACCGCACAUUAUCUACAUUACUCAGGGUCAUCAUUAAAAAAAACCUCAAAUCUUGGGAAGGAGUGCUUACCACAUGUCGAGUUUGCUUAUAACCGUACAGUUCAUAGUGCUACACAGUUUUCUCCUUUUGAAAUUGUUUAGGGUUUCAACCCCCUGACUCUCUUGGAUUUGAUGCCUUUACCUUUGUCUAAGCGUGCUAACCUUGAUGGCAAGAAAAAGGCCGAGUUUGUCCAGGUUUUACACCAGCAGGUGAGGGCCAACAUUGAAGCUCGCACCUAGCAGUACCUCAAGCAUGCCAACAAGGGUCGGCAUCGCGUGGUGUUUGAACCGGGUGAUUGGGUUUGGUUACACUUGCGCAAGGAAGGUUUUCCUAUCCAGCAUCACAACAAGUUGCUACCCCGUGGAGAUGGACCAUUCCAAGUUGUGGCGCGCAUCAAUGACAACGCCUACAAGCUCGAUCUUUUGGGUGAGUAUAAUGUCUCGGCUACCUUUAAUGUUGCUGAUCUGAGUCCCUUUCUUGCAGAUGAUGAGGUCGAUUUGAGAACAAAUCGCAAGAGGAGGGGAAUGAUGAGUAGGUCAAGAGAGCUAUCCAAGUGAAGCAAGUGAAGGUACCAUUGGGGCCUAUGAUACGAGCUCGCGCGAAGAGAUUGAAUGAGACAUUACAAACAUUGAUUCGUGCAGCCCGAGAGUCUAGUGGAGAGCCAAAGGCCAUCGAGGGCCUCCACGAAGCAAGACUUAUUGUCCUAAUCUCGGCUCUGUGUGAAGAGUAGCCGACCAUGUUUCAGCUAAGGGAUCCAUGUCCAUUAUUAGUAUUAGUAGUGUGUAAUAAAGAGAUCCAACUAGCGUGUGGUUCGGACCUUGGUCACACCAUUUAGUUAUUGGGUCAAUUGGCUAGACCAUGUGUGUGAGAACCCUCACUUUAAAAUACAAUUUUUCUAAACUACAUGCCUUACUCUAAGAAUGAAACCAUGGAUUAUGAGCCCUAACAUUGUAUCCCCUAUGUGUUAUCGUAUACUCUAAGAAAUUAAAAUGUUUUUCUUGAGUUAGUUUUAACUAUAUCACCACUUAUAAUAUACCCUUGCAUAGCAUUCUACAUGUAUUAAAACAAUUUCCAUGCAUUACAUUUCAUAUCCUUUCACUUCAACUAAAACAAUUUUUUUAGUUAGUUUUAUUUUCCACCACUUACAUUGUACCAAGUGGCUUUUAUUUAUGGUUGGGACUUUAUGUGAGAUAUUAGUGGUGUUAAAUAGGUAUUGGUACUUUUGAAAGGGUUGAAACAUAAUUAGUCAAAGGAUUAAUAGAAGUUGUGGACAAGAAGUGACCGUGUGGCAAAAUCCUAGCCAAGCAUUUUGUUGACUAAGGGUUAAGAGACAAAUUUAAGUUGGACUUGGCCAUUUUCUACUCCUUAUGGCCGAAUUUCUUAGGGCUUAGCAAGGAAGAGAGAGAGCUCCAACAUCUUGCUUUCUAACCCUAGCUUAAACUUGAGCAAAAACCAAAAGAGAAAGAGUCUGAGUUAGUGAGAAAUUUUCCUCCAAUCUAGUGCUUGAUUCAAGCUUGAAGUUCUCACUUUUGGUGGAUUGAUUUGGUGGCUCAAGCAUCUUACAAGAAAGGUAAGUACACUUUAAAUGGUAGUUUUAUGGUAAUAUAUCAUGUGCAUCAAAGUGUUAAUGGCAAACUACAAGUUGUUUGAUUGAGAUUUGGAGUAAUCUCUUGGAAUAAACCAAAGAGUAGUUGAGUUAGGUGGCAUGCCUACCAAGUGUUUGAUGAAAUGUUUGCACUUUGGUCAUGGUUAUUUAUGAGGUGUGUGAUCCUUAAUCUUUGGUUUUAUUGUGUUAUAUGAAGUACUUAAUGCCUUGAGGGCAAACUAGAAGUUGCCCUAAACUAGAAAUUGUGGUUAAAACUCUUGAACUAAAAAAGUAGUAAGUGAGUUAGUAAGUAUGCCUACCAUGUGUUUGAUGAAAUGUUUGCACCUUGUUCAUGUGUGUGUGUGAGGUAUUAACAUGUUUUAAACCUCUUUUGAGUUAGAUCUAAUACUUGUUAUGUGAAGGGAGUGAAAAUCAUAAAAGGGGUGAAAGUUAGAAGAUUUUGGUGAAAGUGCUGUCCAUAAUUUUAAGGGCUUGCUGCCCUGUUUUGUUUUGGUAUUUUUGUGUUUAAUUUGGCUAAAAAUGUGAGGGAUAUAUGUUGGGUUAUGUGUGUGGAGGUUAUCUACAAAAAAAUUAGCCAUUUUGGUUGGAUAAAUUUUGAGUUAUAAACAAAGAGGCAAAACUGGACUAGGUCCAGAAAUUUUCUGACCAGCAAUCUUGUGAAGGUCAUAACGAUUUACUCGAUGAUCGGAAUUGAGUGAUUUUUGUGGCAUUUGAAAGUAGACUCUUAGAGGUUUAAAAUGGUACCAAGAUCAUUUUCUGGUUUGACCCGAGCGAUUCGUGGCGAGACUUGAAAGUUGGCUGUCCGUGCGGUACUGUUCAUCCGAGACUGUCCAGAAAAUUUAUUUGGUUUCAUAAUUUUGAACCACUUACGUUGGGAUUUUGGGAAUGAUUUCUUCUACAAAAAUAUAGCCGUAUGAACCUAGUUUCCAACACCACCAACGGAAUCUAAUUACGACUUUCCUACAGUGAAUUAUAACCAUUUUCCCGAGACUGUCAGGCAAGACUGUUCAACCCGAAAAAGGAAACCUUAAGCCUAAAUGAAACUUUUCUUUUGCUAAGCUUUCAUGUACACACUAAACUUGUUUUCUCAUGAACUUUUACCAUGGUAUAGACCUCAUUUGCAUGCCGGAUUAAGUAGCUUAGACUACUUAAUUGGUUUCUUAAUGAACCUAUAAUUUAGUGAGGAACGAAUCUAAUUGUUAACGAUUUCACUCAUUGCCCUAGGUUUGGGGAAUGAAGGUGAUCGUAACUGAGAUGUUUAACGUUGAUUACUACUUUGCUGGACAGGUGAGUAUUCCACUACUUGCUACCUGUUAUGUGAAAUAUCUGAAAUACUUGAUUGUUAACUGUUGGAGCCAAAUACGAUUUUGAUAAAAUGGAGGCGAGUGUGUACUUUAUCGCACCCGACCUCCCUUGUUUUUCACUGAAACUCUAUAUACUGUUAUUAUAAGAUGUGAUAUCUCUAUGAAUGCCUGUGAUUGAGUUGUUUGGGUGAUAUCCAUCAACUACUGCUACUGUUUGGGUACCCAACCUCAUAGGUGAGUUGGUUGUAUCGAGCCAGCAAGGGCUUGGUCGAGAAGACCGAUAAACCUUGAGGACUGUUUACUGUACACUGGAAAUCAAAUGUUGCUUGGAGGUCCCUGGUAAAGCAUAGCCAUUGUGCUUGCUUGUUGUGUUGUCUAACACCACCAGUGGUAAAAUCCUCGAUUUGAUCCUGUUUCUUUGGAAUCCUUGAGUAUUGGAAACUCAGAUUCCUGGUAUAUUCGAGUAUUACCAAACUACUGUUUAUGGAGAGCGGGCCCGGUGGGGGGUUGAUUGGUGGACGGAGACUGGUGAAAGCGGUGUUCUACGGACUUUAUAUCCUGUAAAUGCAAACGUUGAUGGAGUGUCAAUGGAACCGGUAAUGAUCAAGCUCAAGUGGAUUUGGCUUUUAGAAGCCACCCGUAUCCUUGAAUUGAACUGUGAUUUAACUGUUAUUUUACUAUACGGUGUUUAUUUGGCUAUUUUAUGAUCUUACAUGGCUAUGUGUUUACUUGUCUUAUUUGGAACCUCACUGGGCGUUAGCUCACCCCACUCCCUUUGUUUUCCUUAACAGAUCAGGAAGGAAUUUGAUCAAGAGCUUUCUUUGCUUUAUUUUGAUCGUACUUGCGUUUUGAGGUUGUAACCUUGUUUAAGCAGACUUGUAAGCUUAAAUUCUUAAGUUUGACUUAUGCUAUGUAAUUUUGAGUGUGGAGUGGUAAGUUGACAUGUGAUGAUAUAUGUACUAGAUUGGAUCGUUGGAUUGGUGAUUAUAUGUUAAUUAGGGUUUCAAUUCCCUGUAUCGAAAGAUGUUUCCUCCGUUUCAUUGAUGAUAUUAGUUUUUUGAACGACUGAGUCCUGGCGAGAGUUGGGCAGACAGCCCGCUAAUACCCUAGGGUUCGCCCUAGGGAGAGGUGUGGCUGUCACAAUGUGGGCCACAUUAGAAGUAGCUUGGCCCAUUAGUCCUUAUUACUAGUUAGUAUUUAAGUAAGGAAUUCGGCUGUAAUGAUCAGUUUUUUGAUGAUUAAUAAAAUUGCUUUGAGAGUUCUCUCAAAAGCUUCAUUGAAGCAUCCUUGAAUAUCUUAGAAUCAUUUCUUAGGUAUUAAAUUCGACUUAUCAAUCUAGGACCACGCUAGAUUGUGGCGUUUUCUACCAAUACCACGUGAUCAACAGGUUUAUUGAUUCCGCUGCGUUCGUCGUGUCAUCAACGUGAGUAUCGCCUUCUAGAUCUUAGCCUUUCUGUACGGGUUGCAUCACAAGGUUGGUGCCAUUCGUAUCAAUUACUAAUUACGUUCACAAGAAACCUUUCAAAUCAUUCUUUUAAAAUACUUGUAUGAUUGCCAACUCUAGUACAAUUAUCAAGGCCAUAAGAAUAGGGGUUGAAGUCCCUAAUUUGAGUACGAAGAGAAGUACCAUUAACCAAGGGAGUUAUAUGACCAAGUAAAUGCAUCAAGAGAGGUUUAACCUUCGGAAACCAAGAUUGGAAAUGAAAGUUCAAAGUUCCAAAGAGACCUUGUAUUAAACCAUGAAAACAAACUUAAAACAGUCCAACAAUCACAAAGGAAGGUGGAAAGUUCUUAAAGGAGUAAUUUUGUUGAAAACAAAAAUGUUUCAAGUUUAGAGUGACACUAUUUUGAAAAAUCGUAUCUCGAGUUCUGUAAGUCCAAAAAUGAAAAACUUUGUACUGUUGGAAACUAGAUCCAAAGUACUAAAAGUUCCUAGGAGAUAUUAUUCCAAGAUUCUAAACGAAAAGCAUCCACUUUUCAGCUCAAAAUUGCUGAUUUAAACAAGUAAGACAGGAUCAAUCUUGGUUUUCGGCAAUAUUUAGAAACUCGGCAAAAUUUACAGAAAGUGAAUCAUGCUCUGAAAUUCAUAGCACAAUAAGAGAGUCAAACAAGGUUUCCAACACGAUAAGCGGAACCAAAUUCAGAGUUUUGAGUAUCAAGAUAUAGCAGUUCAAAGUCGGUAAAUUUUCACUACUAAAACAGUGAAUUUCCAGAUUUUAAAAGCCAUCUUGGUAGCAUCAUUUGGAUAUCGAAACGUUAUCAAAAUAACACCAAAUUUGGUACACUUAAACCACUAUAGGUAGAAUACCCCUGUAUCAAAUUUCACUCAAAAACUCAAGUGGAAAGGCAGUUAACAAAGCGACUAAAGUUCGUAAAAUUCCCAAAGCAAAUCUGCCAUCUCACCCUUUUCUUUCUUUCCAAACAUUUUGCACAAUGAAAUCAGUUCCAAUUCGAUUCGUUUUUGGAAACAAGAUCCUUUAAACAUUCAAAAAGUAAUUGAUGGUUGAUUGAAAUCAAAAUUUUCGAAAUAAAACACCCCACAACAAACUAGACCAGUCGGCCAGCAAGAAGGAAAAGCUUUCCAGUUUUCCAGUUUUAUCGCACUUUCAAAAUCAGGCCAUAUCUCACUCAAUACAAGUUCAAAUUACAAAUGGUUGGUGGUGUUGGAAACUAGGUUCAAAAUACUUCAUUUCAUCAGAAGAAAACAUUUCCAAAAUCAGUUCACAAGUAGUUCAAAUUCAAGCCACAAGUUGCAGCCUCUUAUGUCCAUUCGAAUGGAACAGGCAGACAGAACAGAACAGAACAGCCGACUUUACCAAUUCACUGCAGUUCACUCAGAUCGAACUAGCAAGUGAUUUUUAUACCGUUAGAAAGCUACGUAUGUCUAGUUUCAAAUGCCGCAAAUGGCAUUCGAUUUUUACUUUUGUACAAAGAGAUAUGUUCAAUCAAAGAAGCACUGUUUGGCAGCCCAGAUUACUAUUUCCAGGUUUCUUUCAAUUUCGAAAAUUCAAGUUUUGCCCAACCAAAUCAAAUGAUUUUUGGACAACACUUUGUACACACAAUAUAUCACAUAUAACCAUCAAUUUCACAGCAAAAUAAGUACCAAAAAUUCUAAAUGAAAACAGAGCAACAAUGGACAGAAUUUCGGCCAUCUUGUCUCUCACGGUUUUCUCUCUUUCUUUUCCUCUUCUAGUUUCUUCCAUUAAAACUCAUCACAAACACACUAACACACACAUAAACAUCAUUGCAGCCCUCAUAUAACCAAGGUGGGAGUUCAUAGAGCCCAUUUCAACCAACCAAAUUCAAGCAACAACAACAAUAAGGAAGCUACAAGCUUCAAAACCAAGAAAUGAAACAAGAAAGCAUGCGUUUUGGUGAGAGAUGUUUAUACCUUCAAAACCCAUAAAGAAACCCUAUAUUUUUUGUGUGAGAACUCCUUAAAAUAGCCCCUAACCAGCCGCCUCUCUCUUCCCUUCAAGCUAGAGCAAGAACCUAAGGAGUUUGAUGGUUGGAUGAUGUUUUGCAAGCAAAAUGGAAGCUAGAAGUGAGGAGUUCUCUUCUUCCCUUUCUUGUCUUGGGGGCUGGCCGAAUGGAAUGACAAAGAAAAGGGUUUGGUGGUCCAAUUCUUGGAGAGCAAGAAUGAAGAAUUGUGUUGGAGAAGCUAACUUAAAGUUGGUGCACAAAAUCAACCCUUAAUAGUAACUCGAUAGGGUUUCGUACUACCACUUUCUCUCUCGUUUGGUACACUUAUACACUAAUCUUCCAAGGUACCUCCUUUAAUAUGGUAAUUAUUCACCCUUAGUAGUCUAGUGUUAAAUCCUCAAAUCUCCAAUUAGUCGUACCGGCGCGACUUUCGGGAAACUAUUGACGCGCGCGCGGUAAAAGCUUAAUUUUAACUAACUCACAUCAAAUCCCUCAAUUAACUUUUCUUAGUCUAUGACUGAUCAUUCUUAAUUCCCUAAGAUUAUUGCACUCUCAAAUUGAAUAUAGCCUCAAAAAUGUGUACUCGUUAUUUCUCGCUAAACGAGCAGUAGAAAAAUUAAUUUUGCUAACGGUAAAAUUAUAAAAGGGACAUUUUUGCACACAAAUAGAUUUAAAAUGGAUGAAACAAAUUAUUUGGGAUAAACGGGUGAAUAAAUAAUUGAAUAAGACAAUAAAAUAAAAUAAAAUAAGAAAAUUUUUCAGGUCCUCACAUCCUUCCCUCCUUAAAAAAGGAAUUUCGUCCUCGAAAUUCACACCUAGGAUAACAUCGUACCUCUUAAUAGUUAGGCUUAUCAAAUCGAUCAACAACUUACACUCUUUAACCCAUAUCUCAUAAUUUUCAUUUGAACUUUGAUCUCCAGGGCAUUCUAACUUCCAAGUCAUAGGGCAAACGAUCACACUUUAUCUAUACCAUUCAUGAAACUAGGGUUUACACUAGAAUAGUUGGCUCCAAGGUCAAAUAAAACUCUAGUUAAAUGAUUCAAUCUUGUAGUUCAAAACUUGAAAAGAAAGAUAUAUUUUCAAUAGAAGACUAGCCUUACCAAAUUUUUCGACUCAAUUUGUCCAAAACCAUUUACUCGCAUUCGAUUUUCAAAAUCAACAAUUUUAGUAAUGACCGGGUUUCUUUUCUCCCAGACGACCAAUCAAAUUUUUGUCCAAAUCAAGUCAAUCAUAACAUGCGAGAUAUAAUCGAGGGCUUUAAUGUAUUUUGGAUAUGUAUGUGGCAGAAUACGAUUCAAAAUCUCAAAAUUAGAGUUAAAGAUACAAACUUUUCUUCAUGGUCCGGAACUAAAUUUUCUUAGUAAGAAACUUCAAAUAAUGUUUUUGCCACAAUUAUCAAUACAUAUAUCAAAUUCCUAAAAUACAUUUAAGAAGAUUAACCAUGCGACUCAACAUGUGGAUAUUAAAACACACACUAAAACACAUAUACCAGUAACAACUCUAAAGAAAAUAAAAUCACUUGCACAAAUAACAUUAUCACCGUACAAGUCAAACACAAACUAGAGUUCAUCAAAUCAUAACACAAGUUACAGUCAAGUAAAGUACAUACCAAGUCAAGGUCAGUAAACAAAAGUAAACAGGUGAUUAACAAAAGUACAUGCAUCUCCAAGGUACAAACUCCUAAGUUCUACUCCUAUCGUCCCAUUACAAAAGAUCAAAAGUAAUGCUUCACUAGAUUAAUUGGAACUAGAUGAUUCUCGUUCCCCAACACUAGGAUCCUCUGGGUCACGAUCUUCUCCACCUCUCUUUCUUAAUUAUUGUGUCAUCCUAACCAAACGAUUAUUGGUUUCCUGUAACUAUUCACGUGAAAUAUCGAUUCGUUCUUAUUCCCCGCAAAUGGAGAUCUCAAGUCCUUAGCAUUGCCCUCAACUCUUAAGUACUUGGGUACAAGAAUCCUAAAUAAGGUAAUUCACAAUUCGAGCCGGCCGGUCCCAGGAGUAAAUCACCACAUUUGAGAUUCCUACCCAAUAUACAUAUCUAAUUUUUCCCAAGUAUCAAGAUAAAGGGUUUAUACCUAUCACAUUCAUGAUUCACAGCUUACGCUCUAGAAGAGUACUUAAGUCUUUACUCAUUCACAUAAUAAGGACCAUAACACCACUUGGCCAAAGCUCACCCCGCGCAGAGACCACGCGAAGUGGCUCUGAUACCACCUUUGACGCCCCCACUUAUCCCAAGGGCGAACCCAAGAGUAUCUGUGGAACGCCUGCCCAACCCUUGUCGGGGCUCACUACGAUACAUAAUUCAAAACUAGAAAUAUUUCGAAUAAUUUCAAUAUACAUUUAAAGUACUCCAGAGCACAAUUAGUUAACCCUCAAGCUUAAAUACAACCCAAAAAAAUAUGUACUACAGUCAUCUGCUAUAAUACAACUUCAAGUCUCCAAAAGAAAAUGACUUAGUAUUAUUCGCGAGCACUCUCGGUCCUGAACCCUGUUAAGGAAAACAAAAGCGUGGAAUGAGCUAAACAGCCCAGUGAGGUUCCAAAACACCUAAACAGUUCUAAUAAAUCAAGUAAAUUAAGCAUACACACAUACGGUUCAAGGUGUCACAUUAGCACAUUCAAAUGAGACAUUUAUCAUUUUACAGAAAUAAACACACAUUAAAAGGAUACGGUGUUCACGUGAAACUGUUUCGGUCAACUGCACCUUAUAACUCCAAUAAUUUCCCCGGUUUGUCUAGCCAUCGCCUUAUCUCUCCAGUGGUAGCGAGUAUACCGAUACGAUGGCCCAGGGUUCCAGCCUACCCGACCUAACCCAGUCCUGGCUCAAGCAGGUUAGUUACCAAGGGCAAGGCCCAGUUCAACUAAGAGCUUACAACAUGCGCAAGUAAUCAAAUAUACCAAUAAACGGUAGAAAUUCAUGGUUAAACGGUUGAAAUUUGUUAUUUUAGUAGGUCGAGUGAGAUAAAAUACACACUCGCCUUAAAACAUUGAAAAUUUUCAUAGGAGCAAUUAUAGGUAACACUUAACACUUAAACACACAAAAAAUAUUCGGUAAACAUGUAGCAAAACAAUUCAAGUCACAAACACCAACAAGGAACACUCACCAAAUCAAAAGUGUAAAACAAGAGCGAGGCAAGAUCAAACGGGUUCCUCGGGAUCCUCUUGAUCACCUGAGACAUGUACAAUUACAAAUCACCUAGGCAAUCAACCAAGGUCUAGUAGUAUUCCCGCUACUCUCAUUUAAGAGAUAACGCGUUCAAAUCGAAUACAAAUAUCGCUUAAUAAGUUAAUCCAUGAGGGUAGCAUUUGAAAAUAUCUAAGAAUAUCUAAGAAAAUAUCUAAGAAUAUCUAAGAAAAUAUCUAAGUUAAUCCGAGUCAAGUCAUGUCCAAGAUUCUCCAAGUUGAAAAUUUAACAGAUCUCUAAAUUUUGGCACGAAAACCAAGAAAGAUGGAGGAUUAGUUUCUUGUCAAAAUUCCCUAGUUGAAUGCCCAAGUUUCAAGUAUAAGUGAGCUUUCUCAUUUUUCAAACUCAUUUAGUUAAAGUCUAGUAAAACCGCCACCAACGGCUCACUAACUUCUUUAGCCACCAAUUCAAGUUGUACCCGUAAAUCGAGUAAAAUUCUCAAGUUCUCUUUUAAUAAAAGCCUCACUCAACGUCCAUUUUCAACGAUUAAAUCGAGGGCGUAUACUCAAGAGACUAUGGCGAUAGAAGCUUUGGUUUUCAAAUAAGGAAGAUAAACACAUUUUUACUUGGAAGCUCGACUAAAACAUUCCGAAUAUUACUAAUUACGUUCACAAGAAACCUUUCAAAUCAUUCUUUUAAAAUACUCGUAUGAUUGCCAACUCUAGUACAAUUAUCAAGGCCAUAAGAAUAGGGGUUAAAGUCCCUAAUUUGAGUACGAAGAGAAGUACCAUUAACCAAGGGAAUUAUAUGACCAAGUAAAUGCAUCAAGAGAGGUUUAACCUUCGAAAACUAAGAUUGGAAAUAACAGUUCAAAGUUCCAAAGAGACCUUGUAUUAAACCAUGAAAACAAACUUAAAACAGUCCAACAAUCACAAAGGAAGGUGGAAAGUUCUUAAAGGAGUAAUUUGGUUGAAAACAAAAAAUUUUCCAGUUUAGAGUGACGCUAUUUUGAAAAAUCGUAUCUCGAGUUCCGUAAGUCCAAAAAUGGAAAACUUUGUACCGUUGGAAACUAGAUCCAAAGUACUAAAAGUUCCUAGAAAAUAUUUUUCCAAGAUUCUAAACGGAAAGCAUCCACUUUUCAGCUCAAAGUUGCUGAUUUAAACAAGUAAGACAGGAUCAGUCUUGGUUUUCGGCAAUAUUUAGAAACUCGGCAUAAUUUACAGAAAGGGAAUCAUGCUCUGAAAUUCAUAGCACAAUAAGAGAUUCAAACAAGGUUUCCAACACGAUAAACAGAACUAAAUUCGGAGUUUUGAGUAUCAAGAUAUAGCAGUUCAAAGUCGGUAAAUUUUCACUAUUAAAACAGUGAAUUUCCAGAUUUUAAAAGCCAUCUUUGUAGCAUCAUUUGGAUGUCAAAAGGUUAUCAAAAUAACGCCAAAUUUGGUACACUUAAACCUCUAUAUGUAGACUACCCCUGUAUCAAAUGUCACGCAAAAACUCAAGUGGAAAGGCAGUUAACAAAACAACUAAAUUUCGUAAAAUUUCCAAAGCAAAUCUGCCAUCUCACCCUUUUCUUUCUUUCCAAACAUUUUGCACAAUGAAAUCAGUUCCAAUUCGAUUCAUUUUUGGAACCAAGGUCCUUUAAACAUUCAAAAAGUAAUUGAUGGUUGAUUGACAUCAAAAUUUUUGAAAUAAAACAUCCCACAACAAACUAGACCAGUCGGCCAGCAAGAAGGAAAAGCUUUCCAGUUUUCCAGCUUUAUCGUACUUUCAAAAUCAGGCCAUAACUCACUCAAUACAAGUUCAAAUUAUGAAUUGUUGGUGGCAUUGGAAACUAAGUUCAAAAUAAUUCAUUUUAUCAGAAGAAAACAUUUCUAAAAUCAGUUCACAAGUAGUUCGAAUUCAAGCCACAAGUUGCAGUCUCUCAUGUCCAUUUGAAUGGAACAGGCAGACAGAACAGAACAGAACAGCCGACUUUACCAAUUCACUACAGUUCACUCAGAUCGAACGAGCAAGUGAUUUUUAUACCGUUAGAAAGCUACAGAUGUUUAGUUUCAAAUGCCACAAAUGGCAUUCGAUUUUGACUUUUGUACAAAGAGAUAUGUUCAAUCAAAGAAGCACUGUUUGGCAGCCUAGAUUACCAUUUCCAGGUUUCUUUCAAUUUCGAAAAUUCAAGUUUUGCUCAACCAAAUCAAAUGAUUUUUGGACAACACUUUGUACACACAAUAUACCACAUAUAACCAUCAAUUUCACAGCAAAAUAAGUACCAAAAAUUAGAAAUGAAAACAGAGCAACAAUGAACAGAAUUUCGGCCAUCUUGCCCCUCACGAUUUUCUCUCUUUCUUUUCCUCUUCUAGUUUCUUCCAUUAAAACUCAUCACAAACACACUAACACACAUAUAAACAUCAUGGAAGCUCUCAUUUAGCCAAGGUGGGAGUUCAUAGCGCUCACUUCAACCAACCAAAUUCAAGCAACAACAACAAUAAGGAAGCUACAAGCUUGAAAAUCAAGAAAUGAAACAAGAAAGCAAGAGUUUUGGUGAGAGAUGUUUAUACCUUCAAAACCCAUGAAGAAACACUGUUUUUGGUGUGAGAACUCCUUAAAAUAGCCCCUAACCAGCCGCUCCUCUCUUCCCUUCAAGCUAGAGCAAGAACCUAAGGAGUUUGAUGGUUGGAUGAUGUUUUGCAAGCAAAAUGGAAGCUAGAAGUGAGGAGUUCUCUUCUUCCCUUUCUUGUCUUGAGGGCUGGCCGAAUGGAAUGAGAGAGAGAAGGGUUUGGUGGUCCAAUUCUUGGAGAGCAAGAAUGAAGAAUUGUGUUGGAGAAACUAACUUAAAGUUGAUGCACAAAGUCAACCCUUAAUAGUAACUCGAUAGGGUUUCGUACUACCACUUUCUUUCUCGUUUGGUACACUUAUGCACUAAUCUUCCAAGGUACCUCCUUUAAUAUGGUAAUUAUUUACCCUUAGUAAUCUAGUAUUAAUUCCUCAAAUUUCCAAUUAGUCAUACCGGCGCGACUUUCGGGAAACUAUUGACGCGCGCACGGUAAAAGCUUAAUUUUAACUAACUCACAUCUAAUCCCUCAAUUAACUUUUCUUAGUCUACGACUGAUCAUUCUUAAUUCUCCAUGAUUAUUGCACUCUCGAAUCGAAUAUAGCCUCGAAAAAUGUGUACUCGUUAUUUUUCGCUAAACGAGCAGUAGAAAAAUUAAUUUUGCUAACGGAACGUUUUAAAAUUAUAAAAGGGACAUUUUUGCAUACAAAUAGGCUUGAAACGGAUGAAAUAAAUUAUUUGGGGUAAACGGGUGAAUAAAUAAUUAAAUAAGGCAGUAAAAUAAGAUAAAAUAAGAAAAUUUUUCGGGUCCUCACACUUAAUACCUACCCGGUUGACGGAGUGUCAUCACGUGGAGGUAUUGGAUCAAGCCUUGGCAAAGCAAGUGAAAAUCAGCUCCUGAAAACUCCCGUAUCCUUAUUGAGUGUGUUUUAUUGUUAUUGAUGAAUUACCUGAACUUUCUAGCUUUAUUUCCUGUAUAAGUGUUAUUGUUACCUGAACUAUGUGUUUGCAUGAUUUUUUUUCUUGGUCUCACUAAGCAUUAGCUCACCCCAUUAGUUUGUUUUCCUUAACAGGAGCUCGGAAUAGAAAGAUUUUGGAGAAGCCAACUUGAUUACCUUUUAUUUUGAUUUUUGGAUAUAAUCGAUUAGUCGACCUAUGGUGGUUGUAUUUUGGGGAAAAGUUGAUGUACUUUUGGGAACUCGUGAUGUAAAACUUGAAUGGUUAAUUAAGGAAGCGACUUUUCUUCAUUUUAGCUUUUAUGAUUGGUGGUAUAUCAUUAAGUUUAAAUUUGACUUGUAUCGAGUCCUGGCAUGAGUUAGGCAGGCGUUCCGUGGAUACCCUUAGGUUCGCCCUAGGGAGAAGUGGGGGCGUCACAAGCAAUACUCAAACGAAAAUUCCAGCAACUUUGACACUAGAACAAUAUAAGGUACCUGACUUCUUCUUUUUUUUUUACUCUAAUGAUUCAAACACAAAACCAACGGACUCACGGAUGAAACUUGGGCAAAAACAACACACGAAAAUACUGAAACAAAUCUGGAAAAUUGUGGACAGCACACCAACAAGACGCAAAAUAAAAUUUGGACUUCACAAGAAACCCUUCCCACGAUUAGACACAAAACCCUAAUGACCUAGCAACGAAAUUGAUGGAUAAAAACUGACUCAAAACAAUAAAAACAAAGGGUAUAACGUGAUACCUCUAACUAGUUCUGAUUACCAACUGAUACAAACGUCGUCAACUUGUGACGAAACCCGCAAGAGACAAGCGCACAGGAUCUAGAGGGACGGAACACGUUUGGACAAUGGUGGAACCUUGACCCGUUAAUCACGUAGCUAACAAACCUUGGUAUAGUUUAGAUGACGCCACAAUCUAGUGCGAUUCUAGAUUGAUAAGUCGAACUUGAAGAUCCUAGGGAAUUAAUCUAAGAAAUUCAAGUGAAGCUCACAAGAAGCCAAUGAGAGAACUCUCAAUUUUGUAUUAAACGAAAUCUGAUUAAUAACACAAAUAAUAGUCCUAUUUAUACUAAUAACUAGGCGAGAAAACCAAGAGAGAUUAGGCUUCAAGUGCGGCCCAACACCCUAGCUAAUCCUCGGCCAAAAACUAGCAAGACUACUCGGACAUCCUCAAGCUCACAACGAGCUCUUUAUUCGGUCCUAUGCUCAACAUGAGCUUAUUGAUCUAGUCCAACAACCACUAAUUAAAUACUUAAACUCCAAAUAACUAGUCGAUUAACCACACCACUCCAAUGAGGGCCAUGGCCUUCAAGUAUUGCUUCCUUCAUCGAACAAGGCCUCUAACAAGAUGACUUGCCCUCCAAACUCAUGCGUAAGGCCUUCUAUAGCUUUAGGUCUCCCAACUUGCUCUUGGACAGUCUUAAUGAGAAGGUGUAGUGCAUCCUUCAUGCGUUUGGCACGUGCUCGUGUGACGGGACCUAGGGGAACCUUCACUUGUUCUACUUGCAUAGUUUGAGCUGCACUCCCAUUCGCAUCAUCGAGUCUAAAGUUGGGCAAACGAAACUAGAGAGCAUGAUAGAAGAAACCAUUACUUUUCUCCUUGCUUUACACAUGAUUUUUGCUAAAAUUUUAGCUCAUAUGUCACUACCAAGGUGGAAUCAAGCAAACGUAAGUAACCUAAGUCCACACCAACCCAAAAUCACCCUUCUAACAUCACUCACAACACAAGAAAGAAAGUAACAAAAAUUUCGGCAGCACCUCCCCUUAUUUUCCUUAACUUUUCCUUCCAAACUCAACACGUAUAUACAUAGCAAUCCAGCCUCAAUCACAACCACAAGUUAUAGGCUAUAAAGUACACUUGUUUAAGGCCACAAAACCAUCCAAAUUAGCCAAUUAUCUAGCUCAAAAUCAACCACAAUAAAGCUGGAAAUUUGUAACCCUAAGCUGAAAUUUACAACUACUAGCUGAAAUUUUCUAUAAUCAAGCCAAAAUAACAUAUAAAAGUUAGAAAAUUCACAUGGCAAAGCUACUAGAUCAUAGCCAAGCUCAAAUCAUCAUAUCAAAGCUGAAAUUUCUCACUCAAAGCUGAAAUUUUCCAACCACCACACAAACCAUGAAAUUUUCCAUGAAAACUACCAAAAUCAAGCCUUAAAUCUACUCAUAUGCAAGUCAUAAAAGAAAAGAUGGUUUCUUGAUGUAGUUACCUUGAAACUGUAUGAAGAAAUGGAAACCAAGAGCUUCUUUCUCCCAAAUCUCUCCACCAAAGUCCGUAAUCCUUCCUAAAGGUCACCUUUUAUGUAGUAGUUUGCAAGAUUAAGGUGAAAACUCAAGGAUUCAAGCAAGAUUGGAAGUUGGAAGUUGAAGUUUUUCCUCUCUUUCUCUAUCAAAGUGGCCGGCCAAAGGAAGAGAAAAAUGAAGGAUUUUUGGGUCAAAUUUUGUUUUAUUAAAGGCUAAGAAUGGUUGUAGUCAAAGUCAAAGCUCCAAGGCUUUGGGGACAAAUGUUCUUCCAAGGUUAAUCCUCAUCUCUUUGUCUUCCUAAUGCUAAAAUAUCUAGUCAACCUCUAAUUAUCCCUUAACACCUUAUGAAAUAAUAUUCCUUUGCACAAAACUCCUCUUAAUCUUUAAAAAUUUAUCGCACACACCUUACUAGUGAGUCCUACUUCCAUAAUGCACUACGAACUUAUCAUGCAAUAACUUAUACAAGAAAAAUGGUUUAAAAACUUGACUCACUUAUAAAAAUAUCUAGAAAAUUAAGGCAAGCAAAUAAGCAAGUAAAGUAAAAUUAAAAGGAAAUUAAUUUUCCAAAAAUAAGAGAAAAUUUAAAAUAAUUUUCGGGUUCUCACAAUUCCCAUAUCUCCAUUUUUGCCUAUAUAUUUCCUUUACUUGUUUAUAAAUUCUUUCCACUUUUCAUGUUGGGAUCUUGGUUUGACUGAAAGAAGCAAAAAAAGAAACCAUAAAUGCAAUGGAAUAAAUUAGGGGUUAAUAGCCUUAGUCAACAAAUGCAAUUCUUGAAAUUGCUGCCUCAAGUAGAGGAGAUUGUAUUUUGACACCCAAAAAAAAAAUAGAAAAAAAAGGAGCAGAUUACUUUUGAAUAUGGCAAUGGAUUUUUAGAUUUUUUCUAUUAAAACAAAUUUUGAAAUACAGAAAGUCAGACAAUAUAGGCGGAGACAUGGAAGACCCAUACCUGUGAACUUGGUUGUUUCUAGUUGGUUGGUGAGCAGGAGAGGGGUAAAUAGGGUCAUUGGUAGGCUGUUGGUUUUUUUGCUUUUUUUUGUUCUUUUGUAGAGGUGGCAAUAUGGGCAAGAUUUGUUUAGAUUUGAAAUGGAAUCGAGUAAUAUGGGUUUAGACCCAAUCUUACCCAUAUGUAUUUUGGAACUAAGUUGGGUAGGAUCACUUUGAGAUGGGUUUAGAUUGAUCCCGCCCAAUACCCAAGUCAAUUUCCUGUAUUUUUUUUCCUUUAAUUCUUUUUUUAGUUUAUAUGAUUUUAAUAUUUUUUAUUUAUUAAAUUUCUUUUAGUCUUAUUGUGAAUUUAUAUUUUCCAGAAUUCUUUUUUCCCUUAAAUUUUCUUUUAUUUAUUUUCUAUGUAUAUAUUUUUAAAAUUUUUGAAUUCCAAUGUUGCUAAAUUUUAGUUGAGGAAAAAAUAAGUCUUAUAAAAACUUAAAAGGACUUGUAUUUAUGAGUAUAAGGAAAUGGCGUUUGAAACUAUGAGCCAUCAUAAAACUACCAAAAUUGGACAAAGUAUCUUUAAUAAGACCGCAGAUUAUGAGCCAUCAUAAACCUUGUUUGGAUUGCGAUUUUUCACAAAAAAAAAAUUACGUUUUCCAUGAACACAUUUUUCAAUUACUUUUUUAUCUUAUAUACAUCGAAUCGUUAUAGUAUAUAUUUUUUUAUAAAAACUCUUAAAAAUAGCAUUGCAAACAAUAUUUACAGGCCUAAAAGAGCCCUCACCAACCCCUUUUAGGCCUUCUUCGGCCUAACUGUGCAAUCAUUGAGUUUCCAUUUCUAACCAAAAAGUUUCUUUCGACAUUUUUCUUGGCGACAGAAUUUUUAGGAAAAAAAGGAAAAUUAAAAAACUAAUUUCUAAGGGGAAAAAGAGUUCAGGAAACUAGAGAGGGGUUUUAAGCAUAAUUACAAGGAAAAACUGAAGGAUUUAGCUAGAAGAAUAAAAAUGAUUCACUUGAAUCAUUAAAAAAUAUACAACAAUUGAUAGGAUAAAUUUUUGGUGAGAUCUUUGGGUUCCAAUAAGUACCCAAGCAUUUUCCAAAAGCUUUCAUCAAUUAAUAGGUAUAAAUGGGAUUAGGCAUGUCAAUGGGUAGGGUUUGAGUUGGAUCCUUUUGAUCCAAAUCCAGACCCAUUAAAUUUAGUUGGACCUAAACCCAGACCCAGAUUUUUAUGGGUCUGAAAAAGUAAGUCCAAACAUAGACCUUCCGCUGUAUUUUUCUAAGAGAGAAUUGCACCAAUCGUCCCUCACAUAUUAUUAAUAUGAAAAUUUAGUCUCUCAGAAUCAAAAUGCUCAGUUUUAGUCCCUAACAAACAAAAAGUGAUUACCUUUGAUCCCUUUUCACUUUUUCGAGCAGAUUUUAGCCAGAACUUACUGGGCUCACAUGACAUGUCCAAUUUUUAAAGGGUAAAAAUGAAAAAUCAACUUGAUCAGAAAUUUGAGAGACUAAUAGUGCAUAUCUUUAGUUAAAUAUUCAUCAAAAUACACAAAAACUAUUCCACCAUUACCUGAAAAUCUCCAAUUCAUCUCAACCCAAAAUGAAUCAUAAUUGCAGACUCCUUGAUGCAAAUUCCUCCAUGACGGUGAAAUUCAUCCUCACGAAACCCACGAUCUUGAUGGAGAAUUUUCCAGGUUUGGUUGGCGGAAUCCCUUUCGACCCAAUCUAAUCCUCUAAGUUACGAACACUCUUGAUACGAUCUUAACCCGCGACUUAACGAAUUAGCGAACCAAGGAAUUUUGAUAGGAUGGCGGCACAAACAAGUGUGUUUCUUGUUUGAUAAGCCAAGUUGGACUUCCUAGAAAACUAUCUAAGAUGUUCAAGGGGUGCUUGCAAGAAGCCAAGAAAAUUCUCUUAGUUUUAUUAAUGAAUCAAAAUCCGCUUGGUAGGUUUGAAGCUUAUUUAUAGCUUCUUACAACUCAAAUCCUAGUGAAGCUUGGAAACUAGAAAUCGGCCCAACUAUGGCCCAUCAUGGCCGAAUCUACUAACUAAAUGUGGCCAAAAAAUAAUAACUAAAAUAAGGUAAAUAAUGACUAAAAAUGGCAAGGACCACAACACUUAAGUCACUUGCUUUAUUCUACUAAUUGAAAACGAAAAACUGAUUAACUUGAAACUUGCGAAGUUUGGUGCAUCUUGUGACUCGAAAUGCCUUGUGUCAAGGGACUUGGUCCUCUAGUUGAAGUAGAGUCACGUACCCCGAACCAUCUUCAAAGACCGAACUUCCUUCCUUAGCUUCUCGUACCACGCGUACCAAGAUAUUUAAUUGCCCCUUCAUUCGCUUGGCACGAGUUCUAGUGAUUGGUCCGGUAGGUAUCACCACAUCCUUGGUGUUCACAUGGAUGGCCACAUCACUCCUCUUAGUUGAUUGAGAUUCUUUCGAAGGAAAUUCGUGAUUGAAGACAAGAAAAUAACAAGCAAAUGUACUAUAAAAUAUAAAUGCAAAAAAAAAAAUUAAAAUGUGGUUUCUCGCCCGAAACAUUCUAGCAAAUUUGAUUCCUCGCCCAAAACAUUGUCAACAAGCACAUCUAGCAAAUGUGCUUCCUCGCCAAUAAAGUUCUCAACAUCUUCAACAAAAUUUGCAUAUGAGAACCAUAAUAACAAUUAACCAAAUCCUGCCCUUUUGACAACUCUCUUUCCACCAUAAACCAAAUCAAGCCAGCCCAGUCGACCUCCUCAGGCCUCCUCUCUCUGACACACCUCGUAAACUUUAAAACUUCCUCUAUCACCUUAGAGCCAUCAUCCUGCAAAACCAGCCAACCCCAAAUGAUCUCUUCAAGAAACAGACCUACCUUCUCAGAAACCAUUAGUAACCCAUCUUCGCCACCUCCUUUUGCAGCAAGACUUUGGCGACUUCAGCUCUUAAGAGGCAAAUGCAGAGCAUUCCCAGUGCUCCACGACUAAGGGUUAUUGGUAGACCAUUCACAUAGCUUACACAGUAUGGAUGCCUCUUCGAGUUGUAGAACACAACAGGCUCUUUUAUCAAGUCUGUCCGGAGUUCCUGGUCAAAAUCAAGAUGGAAAAAAUUCUUUCGAAGGAAAUUCGUGAUUGAAGACAAGCAAAUGUACUAUAAACGAAGAAAAAAAAAAGGUAGUCCAUAGAUGGUACAUGAAGCAGGCAAGCACAGUAAAGCAUAUUUCCCGGAGUCUAGAGGCAUCCGAAGUUUCUAAUUGUCUAAUUUUCUUCCUACGAGCCUAACACAGUAACCUACCAGAAGCUUCUUGAACCAUACUUUACCACCCCAUUUCUAAUUUCCCCUAAUCUUCUUCUUAAGCUCUCUGCUCAUGUUGUCCUUUCUUUUUUUUUCAUAUUUCGCAUCCUAACACUAAUCACAUACAAUUUCUAGCCAGUCGAACAUUUCAUUUAGGCAUUUUACGAACACUUGCAACGAUGGCCGACGAUGGUACUAUCACAGUCUACAGCAGUAGUGCAAUUACUGAAGCCAAGAAGAACCCAUUCUCCAUCAAAGUCAGGAUGGCCCAAAUGCUGGAAGGUGGAGAAAUUGUGGAAGUUGCAUCCGUCAAUCAAGCCAAGGUCGUCGAGUCUGUCGGCGCUUGUUGCAUCAUUGUCUCUGAACCCAACAUAUUUGGCAUUUCAAUUAGCAAUUUCCUUCACAUGAAUUUCAAUCAUCUGCUGCGAGUUUGCAAUUAGGGUUGUUUUAGGUUGAGAUGAAUGGGAAAAAUGCACUUUUCAUCCUCAAAGUUUGCGGGGUUGACCAAUUUCAUCCUCAAUGUUUAACUCCAAACACAUUUCAUCCUCAAAGUUCCGUAAUUUUGACCAAUUAAGGACAAUUGACGGGAAAUAUCCAAUUGACCGUUACAACCAACGGUUUUACCCAACAAAAAAUGGGUAAAACCGAAUGGAGCUAACUUUAAAGGAACAAAUGCAACGGACGGAUGAAAAGCUCCAUUGUUGUCCUUUUUCCCUCUGCCUUUGAACUCCAAAAUUUUUUUGCCAAUCUUUGCAGCUUUAAACAUUUCAUCCUCAGAGCAUCUGGCAGUGGAGCUCCCUGUGCUCUCAUUUUUGCCUAAAUGAGGAGCAGAAGUUCUGAAGUCUCCAGUGGUUCAUCGACUCCAUUCUGCAACUGUGGGUUAAGAACAAAAAUGAACACCUGUUGGCGCGGCGAGAAUCCGGGAAGAAGAUUCCUUGGUUGCUCUCUGCCACUUCUCUUUGGCCAGAUCCCUAUUUUUUUGCAUUCUCUGCAUCAUGUACAACCGUAUUGCUUCAAACAUCUCAAUUAUUGGCUUCUCCCUAGCAUCAAGAAUUUUACUGUUGAAGCACUCACAGAUGUUAUUCAAUAACAUAGCACAUUUAGGAUGAGUGCUAAAAUAAGCUCUGCUCCAUUGACUUGGUGGUUUGUCAUCAAACCACUUGGCUGCCUCUAUAUCAAUUUCAGCCAUUGCUUCCAUUCUGCUAUUGAAUUGGGCUGGUGUUGUUGCUUUGGCAACAGUCCAUAACGCUCUCCUCAAACCUUCUCCUUUGAACCCAGCAGAUGAAAAGUUAUUGUGCAAGUGUUUCACACAAAAUCUGUGGGCUGCAUUUGGAAAAAUCAUAUCACGUGCUUCAAUUAGACCUUUUUGUUUGUCACUCAUUAUUGUCCACUCAUAAUCCUUUUCAAUCUUCAAAUCUUCUUUCAAUAGUUUGAAGAACCAGCACCAUGAGUCCUUACUUUCACCCUCUGCUGCAGCAUAUGCUAUUGGAAAAAUGCCAUUAUUGGCAUCAGCUCCAACAAUUGCUAGCAAAACUCCUCCUAUUGAUCCUUUCAAAAAAGUACCAUCUACUCCAAUAAACUGCCUACAUCCAGUUAGGAAACCAUGCUUCACUCCAGCAAAACAGAUGUACAGCCUCUCAAAUCUGCCUUUCCCUGUUUUUGAGUCUCUAAAACCAUCAACAGUUUUCAUUAUAACAGUGCUACCAGGGUUGGAUCUUAGAAUUUCAUGCAUAUAAACUCCUAAUUUGCUGUACUGGUCUUUUUCACUGCCCUGAACAAUUUUCAUUGCUUUUCUCCUUGUCCUAUAUGUUUGAUUUUUUGUGAAGGAGCACCUAUUUUCUUUCAUUACUGUCUUCCUAAAAUGCUCCAAAUCUAAUUUAGGAUUACACCUAAACUCUUCACAGUACUUCUUAGCUACCCAUCCAGAAUGCACAAGAGGGUUAUCAUAUGUAAAACCACAUGUGUGAUUAUCUUCAAAUGUUCUUAUUUGAAUAGUUCCAUCCCCACUUAAUUUUCUAGCAUAUAUAACCCAAUUACAUUCACUAUUUCUGCAUCUAGCCCUCACCCUCACUCUAUCUUGUUUCACAAACUUACAAGGCCUGCCUUGUUUCACACUAUAAUUAUGUACAGCAGUCUUGAAAAGUUUCAGACUUGUAAAGGACAUGUACAGCUCUAAUUUUGGAUUGUCAAUAUGCUUAGGAUCAAAAGUACGAGACCUCAAUUUAGACUCUUCAUCAUCAGACUCAUGAAUGCUUUCAAAAUCAGAUUCAGAAUCAGGAACCUGUUCUGUUUCAUCAGAAUCAGGAACCUUCUCUGUUUCAUUCAAAGGAUCAGGAACCACAUUUUCUUUCCUGUGAUUGUCUACUCCCAACCAUUCAGCAUUUUUGUCAACAUUAUCAUGAAAUAUACCAUCAUCAGCAUCAUCGCCUAUUUCAUAAUCUGAAUCAAUAGCUGAAAAAAAAGUCUCAUCACUUGCGUUGGAAUCAUUAUCACAAUUAUUAGCAGCACACCUUCCUUGCCCUUCAUCCCUAAUAUUAUUGUUACCAUCACCAUUUUGGAGUUCAUUUUCUGUCUCAUCUACCUCAUACGGAUCAUAACCAAGUUGUUGCACUAGAAUUUCAUGAAAAGAUACUUCAAGAUAUAAGUUAACUUCCUUAGUUGGCCCAACCUCCCCCUUAACAUAACCAUUCAACUCCCUACUGCUUUCUAUCCUCCUAAAGGUGUUAUUUUCCCAACCAUAGUACACCUUAUGACCAUAUAGACCAGCACUCUCAGUUAAUCUAUCCACUUCGAAAACACUUAGACCUAUACUCUCAACAUAGUCAAAAACACACAAAUCUCCACCUUCGUAAUGGGGAUCAGGAGUAUAUGAAAUGAGGCCUCCAUGGUGACAUCUUAAUGUAAUAAAUGUGCUGCCCGUUUCUGGUUAAAGAAAAUAAUAUAGAUCAGACUCUUUAGGAAAAAAAAAAGCUUCAUCAUUUCAGCACAACAAACUGUUGACCCACACAAAAACUACCAAACAAGGACCACUUGCACUUUUUCCAUACACAUGGUCAGAUACACAUGGCCGGCAAAAUAUACCAAGUGUUAUUGUUUAUUAAUCACUCUCAUCACAAAUUUAUAGUCAAGCGGCAACUAUCAUCAGACAUAAGGGACCACAUUCACACUAUAAUAAUCAAACCAAGACAAAUUUUUGGAUUUAUUUAUACCUCAUGCAAAUGGCCAGAUCUGGAAAAAAAAUAGCCGUAAAUUGUAGUGGGGAAAAAGUACAAACACAAGGGACCACAUAUCAGGUUUCCUUCUCCAAAAAAACAGAUAUCUUUAUGCAAUGUAGUUGUUGAUUUUGGGUAUAAAUACCGUAAUUUGGAGGUGGACAAAUGUGGAGCUCUUUCUUCCGCAAUGCCAUUUUUUUCUUCACCUAAAAUGUUCCACGGAUGCCGUCUAUGCCUUCCUUCUUGCCAGCAGAUGCUCGAAAAAUGGAUGAAACGAUUGGCAAAAAAAAUUUUUAGGGCUGAGAACGGAGAAGAAAGAAGGAGAAGACAGGAGCUUUUUUCCUUGUGCUAUUUUGUGUUUUUUGUCCGUUAGAAAAAGUGGAUCCAUUCGGUUUGACCCGGUUAUGUUGGGUAUAAAGUUGGAUCUGACGAAUUGUGCUUCUCACGUGCAAAGUUCCGUCCCAAUAUUUGAUUUGUCCUCCAAUUCCCGUCAAUUGUCCUUAAUUGGUCAAAAUUACGGAACUUUGAGGAUGAAAUUUGUUUGGGGUUAAACAUUGAGGAUGAAAUUGGUCAACCCCGUAAACUUUGAGGAUGAAAAGUGCAUUUUUCCCUGAGAUGAAUUGUUAGUAAUGGUGGGUUAGUUAUGUAUUUUUUGAUGAAUGUUUAAAUAUGGCUUUGCACUAUUAGUCCCCUCACAUUUCUAGUCAAGGUGGUUUGUCAUUCCUACCCUUUAAAAAUUGGGCACAUCAUGGGGGCCCAGUAAGUUCUGAUCAAAAUCUGCUGGGAAAUGUAAGAAUGGACUAAAUGUGAUCAUUUUUUGUUUGUUAAGGACUAAAACUAAUCAUUUUCGUUUUAAGGGACUAAAUUUUCACAUCAGCGAUAUGUGAGGGACAAUUGGUCUCAUUCUCCCUUUUUCUAAAUACACUAAAGUAAAAUAUAUGUUAAAAAUAUAUAGAUUUCAAAAAAUAUAAACACCAUCUAAUUUUUAUUUUCAAAGAAUAAAAUUAAUAUUCAAGAAAUUGAAUGCAAUAUUAUGAACUCAAAAAAUAACUAUUAUCGACUAUUUCACUUUAUUUUUAAAACUUUAACUAUAUCUACAUCCAAUCUUUCAUUUAUUUGCCUUUACUUUAUGUCCUUUUUCUGAAAAAGCUUAUACUAAUUACAACGACAACUAGGAUUAGCUUGAAAAAGAAAACAAUCAUGAAGUCUAACUAUAUUCGAUCCAGUGACCAUAGAUAUUAGAAUAUUUUAUAAAUUUACUUACAAAUAUAUAUAUAUUAAAUUAAUUAUACAUACAUGGAUCUGAGUAGAGUCUGAUAUAGGUUUGAAUUUGAAUAUGAAUCAUAGAAAAUUAGACCAUAUCCAUACCCAUAAUUCUUUUACAGGGUCUUGGUCUGGGUGAAAUUUGGAUUUGAGAAAUUAAAUUCAAACUCUAUCUAAGUACAUUAGAUCUGAGUUAGAUCUGAAUAAGAUUAGAUCCAUUGACAUGCAUAAAUGAGAUUAGUCCUAUUUCAAACUCAAUCUCAAAAUUAAAAUAUUCAUCCAACCCAAAGUCCCUUGAGCAUGAAUAGCCUAUUGGAACUUGGAACAAAUUGCCAUCUCUAUCUUUUUGCUUCAAUAUAUAUGGAAUGUAGUAUUCAUUUUCAUGUAGAUAAUGGCAUCAUAAUCAAGGGUUAUUCUAUUCCAUAUCUUUAGGGCAAUUGACAAGAGAUGGAUCAAGGUGCUAAUUAUUCGAAAAAAGUUUAAAAUUUUUUCAUUAAAAUUUUCUAAAUUUGAUAUAGAUGAUAACGUUUAAUGUUUAAAAUUUGAAGUGUAUCUACCCCUUGUAUUUUGUCUGUUUAUCUCACGCCCUAAGGGCACAUAAUAGAAAACACCAAUAAUCAAGAAAUUCAAUUUAUUUUUUAAAAUUUAUUCAUUAUUUUGGUCAAAAACACAUAUGGUGUAAAGAUGCAAUUUAUCCUAUAACAAAUAUUUGACAAGACACAGCUGGUUAGAACAAAGCCUGAAUCAAAGCAGUGAAAGGCCAAUAUAGACACAUAUAUAUAUAUAUAUUUAUAUAUAUAUAUAUAUAACUUUGUCUCCUCCCGCCCCUCCCCAAUUCCCUGCAACUCCAACUGAACGACCAUAUGGAAUCGAAUCCCUGACCAGUCAGCGAGGAAGGAAUUUAACCACCUUCCCUAGAGCUCGUGAUUUUUUCUACAUUUUUAUUGUCAAAUAUAAAAACCAAUUCUCCACAAAAUAAUUUCAACAUACAUACUCAAAAAAAUUUUACAAAUAUUUUUUCUAUUUGUUGCACACACAUUGAUACAUGUCUUUGAACACUAAAUUUUAUAAUUCAACUAAACAUACUAAUAUGAACUACUCAAGAAUGACUGCAAAUUUAAAAAAAAUAAUAAUAAUAACACACCAUAAGAAGUAUUAUAUUCAUCUCUCUCCAGCUCUAAACAUCUCUGGGGAAGUCUUAAGCCUGGCAAGUUCAGACCACAGCCCAACCGGAGGACUUCCCCCCUGGACAAGGAACUUCCUUUUCAAAUGCUCAAGUUCUGAAAGAAUUUCCAGCUAAAAAUCACAGUACGUGCUUAGAUAUAAAACCACCGUGAUAACCCUAUAUACAGCAGGUCACAAGGGAAAAGUAAAUAACAGCGUACUUCAGGCUUGGUCUCCAGGUGCAAGAAGUGGUUCUCUGCUAUUACUACUUCCCCAAGCCCUUUCCUUCCAGAUUCUUUCCACUUCUUCAAAUGUCAAACCCUUGGUCUCUGGCACGAAAACAAUCACAAAAGCAAAAGCAAGCACUGUGAUACCAGCUAAGAUCAAGAAAGUUGGACCAGUACCUAAAGCUCCAGUUAUGGAUAGAAAACUUUGUGCUACUAUCAGAUUCGAAAUCCAGUUCACAGUGGCAGACAUGCCACCACAAAUUCCUCGGUAGGAUUCUGGAUAUAUCUCUGAAUUUACAGUCCAUGGCACAGGGCCCAUGCCAGGAGCGAAAAAGGCAAUGUAGAGCACCACGCCAAUAACAGCAAGCCACCCAUAGAGCCCAGUCGCAUGUGAAGAUGUUUGUAAGAGAAAAGCACCAGCAAGAAGAACAAGGGACAGAAACACUCCUGCUAAGCUACUAAGAGCCAACUUCCGGCGGCCAACAUGAUCAAUGAGGUAAAUUCCCACGAUUGUACCAAUAGCAUUCAUUGCUGCCGCAAAGAGGGAGAGGAGAAGUGCUAAUUGAUUCGAAUGGAAACCAGCCAUCUGCAUGAUUGUAGGGCUGUAAUACAUGACCGUGUUAAUACCUGUAAACUGCUGAAAUGCCUGCAAAAUGAAAUUACAUCAACGGUCAGUCAAUUGCAGCAGUCUGCUUGUAAGCAAAAAUUAGCUAGCCACAACCUAAAUGACAAUUUUAAAUGCCCAAACUUAUCAAGCACUGUGUUUUAUCAAACAGAGUCAUCAAACAACAUAACAUGGCAUCUAAUUAUUAGUCAAAAUACUCUUAAUACGUUCUCUGAUGAUAAAUUAAUAGCACAAAAAACUAUCGAAAGGAAAGAGACUAGACCAUUCAUCAAGCUAUAUAUUUAAUCUGAAAAUUUAUAUUGCUCUUACAAAAUUUGAAAAAAAUAGUCAAAGCUCUAGGCAAGCAAGGGAAAAUAAUCUGCAUAGAAUCAAAUACUUCAAUUAAUCUCAGCAUUAAUUAUGAGUUCACUGGUUGCAUAACCAGAAAUAGAUGAUAAAACAUACUAAGCUCUUGCAAUUAGUUUAUUCUUGUAAUACCAGAAGCCAUUAAGAGAACAGAAAUUCCAAUACAAGGACGUUACAAUUUUCAACCUCAGAAAAGGACCAAUCAGAGUCUCAAUCUAGAGCUCCAGAAUUCUGGAUUCUUGCAAUAUGAACCAUGAAUUUCCUUUUAUACCCCCAAUUCUUUCUUUUUCCCUCUUUUGGGUCUUUAAAAUGUGUGGGCGUAUCUCUAUUAUAGCAACUGACCUUUUUUUGGUCAUACAAGAAAAUCACGAUUUUCUUCCAUCAUAAAUUAGAAGAAUAAGACUAGAAGUAACAAAGUGCCUUAACCUGAGGAAAAAGGUACUAGCCAGAAUUAACUCAGACAUGAUUAUCCUUUACAACUUCAACCUGUGGAAAGUCGAAUGUUCUUUUCUCUUAAAACUUGCUCACAACACAAUGUUAAACCAAAGGCAUUCUUUCUGUGAUCUCUAAGCUUUCUCAAAUAAGGCAGAGAUAAAGGAAGAAGAAAACAGUUGGACAAGUUGGACUCUUCUUACAAGGUUGAGACUUCAUGUACUGAGAGGUAGAACAUAAACAAAGGAAAUCAACAUCUUAUUAGGAGGAGAAGUGGUAAAGUAUACCAGUUGAAUGAAAGCCACCAAGAAACCGAUUUCCUAUCCACAAGAAGAAGAUAUUGAAGAAAAGGAAGGAAAACAAAAGAAAUGGGGAGAAGACAGGUCAAAGCUGAGAGCUUGGGUAUUUUAUUGACUUAAAAUACAUAUUCAAUUGCUGAAUUUCCUUUUUAUCCUUGAAAGUAGAACACAAGACUUGUAAGUUUGAAAAAGUGACAUUUCAACAAACAACCCCUACAUCCCUCCCCCCCUGGGGGUGGAUUUUUCCACCCCUUUUCCUUAGGAUUUACAGCAGUAAAACAAGAACAGAACAUUAACGAAAGGCCCCAGAAAGAAAGAAAAAAAAAAGCCCAGCACAGAGUUGUGUUCUAGUGAAGUGUUGAUAUUUACCUGAAGUCCAGCUCCAGCAAGAAAAGCAAGCCUCAUUUCUUUUGAUUUGAAAACAUCCCAAUAUCCGACAGUGUUUCUUCUAUUGGUUUCUUCGUCAAAAGCAGCUGCAAGCUGAUCAAUUUCCUCCUCCAACCGGUCAGGAUCAUAAAUUUUUGAAAGCACAGCAAUGGCUUUAGAUUUAUCCUUCUGCAGAUUAUAAAUGAGUCCUUAAUUAGGAUGUAAAGCAUCAGUAGAAUACAUCCUCACAGGAAAUACUAUGUUAAUACAGCGCACCUUGAGGUAAAGCCAGCGAGGAGAUUCAGGCAAAAAUAGCAUGAGAAAAAACUGUAUAACAGCAGGAACUCCAGAUACUCCAAGCAUCCAUCGCCAUGUUCCUCGGACCUGCCCAAUUUUUAAAAUCAGAAGAUCACACAAAACGUAUCAAGAACUACUGACAUACAUGAAUGUAGAACCAAUGUCAAAUAUUACUGCAAGCCCACAAACUAGGAGUAGUUAUGAACCAACAACUGACUAAAACCAAGCAGACCGAUCAAUUUUCUGGAAGACCAUAUCAUUGAACUUCCUUUCAUGUGAUCCCCUUUUCUUAAAAUUCUUCCAGAGGACUGGUGACCCCAAAACACCAGAAAGUUAAGGCAGUAUAUUAUUCUAGUCCUCAACUACUAUUUGAACGUGGACAUCACCACAAACAUCCUCAGAAUAUCAUACCACCAGAAUAACAAGUUUCAUUUAGAGAAUAAAGCUAAGAUGUCCCAAUAAUACCAUGUCCAUCAUAUGAAGUUAACGUCAAAAUCCAUGGUGAGCCACUUGAAGUCUAUCAGAUUACAGAGGCAAGAUAAAGAUUGGUCCAGAAUUAGUCUUGCAAACACUUGCCUAAAAGAAGCAAAUCUUGCCACAAUGCCACAGAUGCAUUCAACUGAUCUGCCAAAUUUUAUAGCAAAAUUUGUCCAAGAAAAUGUGAAAGUUAAAGACUAGGACAGGUGUCCAAUUUUGGCAUCAAAAAAGGCCCAUUAAUACGAUUGAGAAACCUAAAGAAUACAUUGAAGAAGACCUAACAAAAAGAAAGAAAGAAAGGGCGAGUUGACAGUUUCAGUGCACGGAAACUAGCUUUACAUACAACUACAUAAGUUGGAGAAUGCCAACUUAAAUAAAUAAAAACAAUAAUUUAACUACAAAACAUGAGGUCACACAGAAUGCUACUAUCUGACUCUCAGAAAAUUAAUGUGUAAUAAUGGAAAAUUUCAAACCACAGCCUAUUCAACCACAUAAAAUGCCCAAAUCAAAGGACAAUUACUUAGCUUCGGUUUUAACCUUUCUAGCUACAAAUGAGAUGAGACAACAUAAAGAGAAAUAAAGUUGUUUCAGUCUACAAUGGUCGUUGUCCAGCUGCCCAGCUGCCAGUAUCUACACUUCAUUUUACUAGGUAACAUCAUAUGGUGCGGCUAUUAUCCAACAAACACACUGGUAUCAUAUAACUAAGAGCAGAAACUGGUCAUGUUUCCAAGUACAUAUGGUUUCUAUAACCAUUUAGAGAUCGCAUAAAAUACAUGUUUACAGACUGAUAACAGGAACAGUGAUAAAAACUCUAUAUGUUCAGGGAUGGUUUAAGGAGUCAUGCAGAAUCAUUUAUAUCAAUCAAAUAGAACUCAGUCAAUAAAACCCCAAAAUCUGUAUUCAAAUCAUCAUUCUUUAUACCAUACGCAAACAGAAGUAUCAAUGGUUCAUCUGAUGCAAGCAGAUGCAACUGCUGGACUUUGACGCAAGCAAUUCCAAGUGCUGCAUUGCAUAUGCUAGACAUAUUGUGUAAGGUACUUUCCAAAAUCAUAAAUACAUUAAAUCAAUCAACUGCAAGAUCACAGCAUUAAAUUAACCAAACGCAAGAUAGACGAGAAGAAAAGAAAAGAUUCCUUCCAUGGAUACACAUUGUGAGACUUAUAAGGCAAGGCUCAUAUUGUAUCCCGAUCCUGCCUCCUCAAACUGCACAAUGGAAAACCUUUCAUGCCAAGAAAUCAUUGUAAUAAGCACAAAUAUAAUGCAUAUCCUGGUAAAGCAAACAAUCUGAUACCUUGUAAUAGGUUGUAGACCACCUCAAUGUGAGCAAAAGAACAGAACAGGAAAAAAGAGAUGUUUUUGCAUUCACUAUUUGAUUAGUUCAGUUUAAAAAGAAGAUUCCACCAGGCAUUUGCUGCAUCAAAGUUGAUGAAUGAUACAAGCUUUUGAUGAACUUCAGACCUAAAGCAUUAAUAAUCACAUAACUCCCUCCCAAACCAAGAUGUUUAACUGAAAAGUAAAACCAAACACUUUCAGAAUCCUCUGCCACUUAAUAAAGGAGUCGACCCACUUAACGAACUACAAUAAUUUCAUAUUUGAAACCAAAAAAACUUCUGUUUUAAACAAGAUGAAACCAAUUUAAAAGGAGCACAAAACACUUAUACCUUAAACAUGUAGUACUCAAAAUGGGGCAGAAAACUGCCAAUUUAACAAACUGCAGAAUCUCUUUAGAACUCGUUCUGUUUUCUAAAAAUCUUUUGAUACAAAGUUCAUUGCUUGGCAAAAUUACCUCUUUCAGGCUUAACAACAUGCAUGACAAAUUAGAAACGCAGCGCAUUAGUCUGGCAAAACGCAAUAAUACCUAUUACCAUCUUGGUAAAUAGAUAUUGCGAGCCUUAGUAGAAAAAGAAGAAAUCAGAACAAUAAUUUGGAAAAAACCAAGCCAAGAUAACUGACCUCAGUGAAAGCAAGAUUCACUAGGUAGGAAAGAAAUGAUCCACCGGUAAUCAUAAGCACAUUUGUACUCACAAGGCCACCUCUUAUCUCAGAUGGGGAUGCUUCAGCAAUGUACACAGGAGCAGUAACAGAUGCCACACCCACACCCAAACCCACUAAAAAUCUACCCAAUAUUAGGACAUAGGGAUCUGGAGCUACAGCCAUAACAAUAGACCCAAGUACAAAUACAACAUCGGCAGAAAGAGUAGCUUUCUUGCGGCCAUAAGCAUCAUUUAUCCAUCCCCCAGUAGCAGCUCCUAUCAUUGCACCACACAAAGCCAUGCUAACAAUUGUUUCCUGCCAAAUACAGAAAAGAGAACAAACGUGCAAUUGAAAAUCUGCCAGUUUCUCUAUGUUAGGAGAGAAAAUCGAAAAGAUAACUUCAGCAGCAAUAUCAGGCCUAAUUUUUAAGCAUUCAAAUUUGCAUUACUCUUCGGCAAAAUAAAUUUUCCAGGUAUUGAAAAAUUAGUUCAAAAGUCGACCUAUCUGGAUGGCAGGUUGUUAACAAAAGUUGAUGCCCUUUCAACAUAAUUUAAGGAAACCAACCAUACUAACAGACCAAGCCACGGAAACGUUGAUAGUUGUUACAUGUUUUCUUCAACCUUGCAGGAUAACAUUAUUGGUAGGUUUUACUUCAGAUGUUACCUCUACAUAUCUCCCUUUCUCUGUGUGUGCAUGUGUAUCCAAAAUAGACCAUGAAAUAACAUCAUCAUAUACUCGGUAUCAAGAUGUAUCAUCUAAGUUACAAGCCUCUGCAAUCCGUUUUACUUUCAAUCUGCAGAAACUGUAUCCACACGUAUCAAACACUAAACCUUUAUUUACCUGUAGGAAACUACUUUGGUCCACUUGCUUAAAUUCAUCUCGAAUAUACAAGAGCGCUCCUGAUAUUACUCCUGCAACCAAAUUCAGACUAGUUUCAAUUUGCAUCAAAUAGGAAAUAAAAAUAUAACUGCAAUUGUUCCACGUAGAUUUCUAUAAUGCAAAAAUGCAACUGUCAGGAAUGAAACACGCUGUAACAGCUAGUGUGAAGGGAAACAUAAGAAUCAUAGCCAAUACCUAUAAAUCUAGUAGUGAUGUUAAGCACCCUAGUAACGAACUUCAGGAAAAAGACGUGUGUGUGUGUGUGUGUGUGUGCAUAUGUAUACAUAUACAAAUACAUGUACAUAUAUCUAUACAUAUGUAUGUGUAUUGUAUGUAUCUGCACAUAUGUAUACAUAUACAACAUACAUAUACACAUACAUAUACAUCUGUAUAUAUAUCUAUCCCCGGUUAAAGACCUAUAUACACAUACAUAUACAUCUGUAUAUAUAUCUAUACAUAUAUACAUACAUGUGUGUGUGUGUGGGCGCGCGUGUAAGACCAUGAUAACUGUUUUCCAUUAAUAUUUUGACCAUGAUCACUGUUAACAACUAUAAUUUUUCAGAGGCAAAAAUCAAGAAAGAAAAAGUAAUACUACUGGUUGAGGAGGUAUUCAUCAUUGAUACUGACAUUUCACCAAACCAACCAACAGCUUUGCCCUUUCACAAGAACGGCAAAAUGAGUUAGAAACUUUACCUGACUCGAGGAUCAGCAAAGUCCACCUGACUUAAAGGUCCAGAAUUAUUAUUUAAAAAAAGCCUCCCUUUUCUCAGAAAAAUGUUAUAAAAGGACUUUAAUUGAUCUUACACACACGAUCUACAUGUAUGGAAAUUUUAUUGUGCCUACAACCAAAUUGAGUAUCAAAUCAAACAGUAAAAUAACCUACUCCAACAAGAUGAUUAGAGUUCAACCAAGGAAUAAAAAAAUGUAAAAUUUUAGUUGAACAGUCAAAAGGAUGAAGCCAAAAUAUGCCAAGAACUUGCUUGAAUAUCAUAAUAACCAUAAAAUUUGAAAACCAACUUUCUUUAAUUGAAAGAAAAAUAAUCAAAGACAUAAUUCAUCAAUUUAAUUUAAAAUUUAUGUAUAUCAAUCCAUAUGCAAGUAAGAAAAGGCGUUUUCACAGGCCAUUCAGACCUUCAAGAGUUAAAAAAAAAAAAAAAGUUAUUUACAACUGUAACUACUAAGUCAAAGAAACACAAAAGAAAAAAGGGGCUGCCGGUGAUAAGCCGGAAAAUAGUGAUAAGCUGGUGAUGACGCCUAAUUACAAAAACAAAUGGCGUUGAAGUUCAAAAACAGAAGAAAAACUUAGUACUACUGGCUUGAGGAGGUAUAUAUCAUGGGUAUGACACUUCACCAAGCCCACCAAUAGCCUUGCCUUUCCGCAAGAACGGCAAAAUGAGUUAAAAACUUUACCUGGCUCAAAGAAUCAGUAAACUCUACCAGAUCUGAAGAUCCAAAAUUUCUUUGAAAAAAAUAACAAGAAAAAGCACUUAUUUUUUUGGCUUUUUUCCCUUUUUCUCCUCCUUUUUGGGAAAAAAAAAAUUUUGAAACAGCAUUUACAGCAACAAGGAUAAAGCCAAAGUAUCCCCAGAACUUGCUUGGACGUCAUAAAAACAGGAAGUAUGAAAAUAAACUUUCUUAAUUAAAAAAUUUUAAAAGAAAAAAAGAAAAUCCAAGAUAUAAUUAACGAAUUAUAGUUAAUUGUAUCAAUAUCAAUCCAUAUCCAAGUAAAACGGCCGUCUCAGGGCCCCAUUCAAACCUUCAACAGAAUUAUAAAAGCAGAAAAAAAAAAUUUUAAAAAAAACAGAGAGACAGAGACCGCCGGUGAUGAGCCGAAGGAAGGGGAUGAUGACGUCUACUUAAAAACACAAAAAGCACAAAAAUCAAAAACAGAACAGAAAAAAGAGAAAGUCGGCAAUGGCCUAAACCUGUGUCGUAUCCGAAAAGGAGACCACCAAUACCAGCAAUAACGGUCAAGCCCACCACAUAUGAAUUGCUAAAAUACGUCACUUUCCGGUUCCCAACGUCCAAGUACCCUGAACUUCCGGGCAACGAUUCGAUCGUCAUCGGAGUAUCUCACCGGAAAAAUAUGAAACAAACAAUUUGUUCCAAUUAUUCACCCUUCAAUCAAUCUAUCUAUCUUUAAACAAUUGCCAGUUUCUUAACAAAAUUCAACUGGGUUUUUGAGUUAAGUUUAAUACUAAACAACUCUUUCCUUUUUUAUCAAUUUAAAACCGAAAAACUAGCAAAAAUCAGCUUGGGUUUGGGGUAUAAGAAUUAUUUUUCCCCGCCCGGGAAAAAGGGGGGGAGCGGGGGGUGGUUUUGAUAUGGAACCGAGAUAGAAUUCGAAAGAACUUUUUCUUGCAAGCAACUUCGCUGAAUUUUCUAAAGAAAUGUAUCCUUUUCUUCUUUGCCGUAAAAAAUGGAGGAAGAAUUGAAUUAGGGAAAAGGAGAACAGACGAAGUAUAUAUACACGCCCACACGCGUGAAAUGCGUGAGAAUAAAAAAGAAAUUAAUAAAGAAUUGAGCUGGCGGAGAAAUGAAAUGAUAUGUUACCCGGAGGUGAGUCACAGUCGGCCUGCGGGGUCAAUAAUAUGCAAAUUUAGCUUUUUUUUUUGGAAUAUUACCUUUUUCUAAUUUUUUUUCGCUUUUGGGGAAAAAAUGUUUAGGAAAAGGGUAAAAAUUAACUCAAUAUAAAAUAUAAAAAAAUUUAUUUUGAUUAAUUAAAUUAUUAUGUGAUUGAAUACAUUUAUAAUUUUUUUCAUUACAUCUCUGGAUUUAAACACUUUUUUUUAUUCAUUUCAAUUUUACAAAAAAUAAAACUGGAUCCAAUUCUAAUCCUGUUAGCCAAAUCCAAUAUAAAAAAGUGGUGUUAUAUGGAGAAUGUGUCUAAUAAGUUCUGGGUUGGCACGUCUGAUUAGAUUUUUGAAUUUAAUUUUUUAGAAAACUAAAACUAAAAUAGGCAAAAUAAAUUCUAAAAGAAGAGAAAAUAAAUAUAAGUUCCAGUAAAUAGAUGGUAUAUACUGCAUGUGGUAACUAAUAAGUAACUAUCCAAAAUAAAAAAGAGAAUAUUAUUUAUGUUUCUAUUUUUCGAGUCACAAAAUGAGACGGCACUAAGAAAAUGAGAAGACGGCCUCAUAGUCAUAAGUGAUAAUGUCCCAAGCCUGAAAAGGUUCCCUACAAUCACGUGAAGGUUAAAAUAAUGGUCCAUUCUAGAAGGAUUUCGCAUCUUGUUUAGUCAAAAUAAGAAGUCCCAGAGAAAAUUCUAGUCAUUCACCACCACUCAUAUCAAGUCCAAAGAUUCGUUCCGAUUUUAGGACAAGAAAAAUGGUCAUGCCAGCCCUAAAUUUAUUAAUGUCGAAUCAAAGUUUAAGGUGGCUUGAAAAGAAUUACGGUAAUUGGCCAAGCUCAAAUCGAGCUCAAAAUAUGAGGCCCCCAAUAAGGUUUACUGUCAGUGAUCACAUGUACUAAUCUAAAGUCAAAACAAGGUUUGUUUGAAGGAGUCAAGACAAGGUUAGAUCUUCCGAGAAGGAUUAUGGUCAUUAGAUAACGCUAGACAGGAACUCUAGUAAAUUACAAGAAUGUCAGAUAUGUUACUGAAUGUAAUGGGAUAAUCGACAUUUUCUUAUCUUGUUCCCCAUCCCUCUUUCAUUCGACUUUAAUCAGUGUUCCCUUGUCUCAUUUUUUAUCCUUUGUGUGGACUUAAAAAGCCUAGUUUGACAAAAUUUUUUAACCUUGGCAUUCUCUUUCUCAAAUUCUAGUAAGGAGGAUCCUAGAAAGAACCAUAUGAGAUGACUCAAACUCUUAGGAUCUGUUUGAUAAUCUAAAAAAGUGCUGAAACUGAAUCUUUUCUGACAUUUAGAUGUUUUGAGUGUUUGAUAAAUAAAAAUCUAUCUGCUGAACUUGUUAAGCAGUGCUGAAGUUGUGUGCAUUUUUUUUCAACACAAGAAUCCUAACUGAAUGCUUAAUUCUGAUAAGAAUCAAUAGAAUUACUUCAACUAUCUUAUCUUAUCUACCAAAUCUACCCUUGUGUGUUAAUUAUAUUCAAAAUUCUUAUCUAAUUAAACAACCUAAUAUUUUCUAUCUAACGGUUUUCUGUUUCUCUUUUCUCCCUUUUUAAUGAUUUUCAUUUUUUCUCCAUACUCCUCAUAUAAUAUAUUUCAUCUUUUAUAUUAAUUUGUUUUAAAAAUAAAUAUUAUUACUUUCAUACCUAACAAUUUUAAACUAAUUAAAUCAUAGGUUCUAUUUCUUUUUUGAAUGAAAAGAUAUAAGGGCAAAAUUGUUAAAUUAAACUUUUUAUGCAUUCAAUUAUAAAUAUUUAUCAAAAAAUAUAAAUAGGUUUAGCAUUAAAAUUAAAACAUUCAUAUAUUUCUUUUCAAUACUUAAAAUUCAGCAAAUUAAUUGUUUCAGAAUUCAAACUUCAGAAUUCAGAUUCAGUUUUAUCAAACGAAACCAAGGUUAGAUCUUCAGAGAAGGAUUAUGGUCAUUAGAUAACGCUAGACAGGGACUCUAGUAAAUUACGAGAAUGUCAUAUAUGUUACUGAAUGUAAUGGGAUAAUCGACAUUUUCUUAUCUUGUUCCCCAUCCCUCUUUCAUUCGACUUUAAUCAGUGUCCCCUUGUCUCAUUUCUUAUCCUUUGUGUGGACUUAAAAAGCCUAGUUUGACAAUUUUUUUUAACCUUGGCAUUCUCUUUCUCAAAUUCUAGUAAAGAGGAUUCUAGAAAGUGUGAGACCCCGUAAAUUUUCUUAUUUUCUAGGGUUUAUUCUAUUUAAUCGCAUGCUUUUCUGCAUUUUCUUUAUUAGGAAAUUUUUCUAGAUAAAUUUUAUGAGUAAAUAUAGUUUUUAGAUGAUUUUUCUAGCAUCGGUUAGUUUUUGAGAAAUUAAGAGCGUAUACCGGAUGUGGGACCCGCUAGUGCGAAAAGUUCGGUAAAAUUCGACCAAUUAGUUUAAGUUUUGGAUACUGGGUUUAUUUUACCAGGUGUUAAGAGAUAAUUAGAGGUUACCCAAUUGAUGAGAGUUGGAGAGACAAAAGGAUAGCUUUGCAUUAAUGAGAGUGACAAGUGUCACCUUGUGAGUUGAUCUUGAUUUUGACCACUAUUCACCACUUUACCAAUUAAUCAAAAUUGACCCAAAAAUCAUCUUCAUUUGCAAGCUUCUUGGCCGGCCAUCUUCAAGGGAAAAGAAAGGAAAAGCUCUCAAUUUUCUUGUCUCCAAUCUUGUUCAAUCCCUUAGUUCAACCGAUUAAACUUGGAUUUCCUCCACAAAAACCCUUAGUCUAGUGAUUGUGAGGUUGUUAGUGAAGUGGUUUGGAAGACCAAGGUGCUAAGUUGUCUCCUUUCUUGAGUUUGCAAGGUAAGUGACCAAGACACCUUUCCUUUGAUUUUAAUAAUGUUCAAUUGGUAGCUUGUGUGAGUUAAAUAGCUAGUUUUAAGUGAUAUUUCAUGACUUUUGGUUGAGAUUGGUGGAUUUUUCUAUUUAUUCAUGAUUUUUCUGUUUUUAUAUGUUUAAUAUUGGUUGGCCAUGGAUGAUGGAUGGAAAUGGUUUAGAAUGAAACUAUAGUGCGUAAAUGGUGGCUAUUUGCGGAAAUUUCCGCUUUGAAAGAAAAAUUUCAGAAUUAGGGUUUGUAAUUAGGGCUUUUCUAGGGUUUCUUUAUAUCAAUUGAAUUGGCUUUGAUUAUAGACCUUUGGGACUCUAAUAAGGUGUAUUGAAGGGUUUAUGACUUGUAAUGGUAAUGGUGAUUGUGUUUGGAAAGCAUGGGGAAAUAUUUGUAGGUUGGAAACUUGGAAUUUUAAGGGAAAAUGCUGUCCAAAUUGAGGGUUCUUGUGUUUAAUGGACUUGAGGUGCUUUGGAAGUUAAAUGGUAACCCUAGUGUUGUCUCAACCUUUAGCACUAAGUGUUUUUACAUUACUUGCAAGUUUUUACGCUUUUACAUUGAUAAUGUGUAGCUUGGAUGUAUGACUCGUGAUCGAGUCUCAUUGUGCUUAUUUGAAUGUUUUAGGGCGUGACGGUGGUUCAAGACGCUCUUUGGGCGGAAGUGUAUGAAAUUUCAUUUGCUUGCUUGGUGAGUGUACUACUCACUUGCUUGUUACUAUGUGGCUUUGUUACACUUGAAAUUGAUGCCUUGAAUGUUUAUUUACACCAUUGAAAUGGAUUAAAGCGAGGGUGUACUUGAUCACUCUCACCCUUUAUGUCCUACAUGACUGUUUACUGUGUUACUUGAAUAGUAUAUGAAUAUACUGAAUUUGGUGUCGUUUGGACGAGUAUCCAACGGCCAUUACUGUUACUACUGAGCUCAACCCCAUUGGUAGUCGAUUGAAUCGAGCCAGCGAGGGUUUGGUCGUGAAAAUUGACGAGCAAUGGGAACUGUUAUAUGGAAUCUUGUAGUAUGAGACUCUCGAUUCCGGUAUACUCGAGUAUUACCAAAUUUAUACUGUUUGGAGUUCGGGCCCGGUUGGGGUGUGUUAGGUGGAAGGAAUGGAAGUAAAGUAGAUUCUACGUCUGGUUACUCUUUAAACAUUGACGGAGGGUUAAUGAGGUACGAUCAAGUAUGCAAGCGAGGAAAGGGGCUCCUGAGAGCCGUCCGUAUCCUUUUACCAAUUCUAUUAAUGUGUGAUCUUAGCUUACUUCCUUAUUGAAUGAAUUGGAAUGAAGGGCUUCAUGCUUAUAUGAACUUCGUUGCUUGAGUGAUAGUAUCUCACUGGGCGUAAGCUCACCCUAUUCCUUUUGUUUUCCUUACAGGAGUUUGAACACUUUUGAAAAAGCUAUUGUCGCGCCCCACUUUUUGAAUGAGUGAAUGAUGUGUGUGGUGUGAAUGUGUGCAAAAUGAAAAUAAAGGCCAUGGGACUUGAUAAAGCGACGGUUUGGCCAUAUAAAGUUCAAAAAGGGUUUUUUUGAAAAAUGGAGUCGCCACUUGGUAUAGAGUUAGGGUGUACCAAGUCACCCAAAAAUGAUUUUUGUUUUUGAAUGAAAAAAGUAAAUAAACCCUUUUAGAGAACUUUUGGGUCUACGUAACCAAAAGAGGGAUCGGGGGUCACAUUUGACGAAGGGGAAGGCAAGGAUAAAAAUCCAAGGCACCCCUUCGACCUAGCCAAGGCUAGUUGCGUGACUUAUACCAAUUUUUCCUAAUUUUUCUACCCAAGGUAUGUAUCGCAUGUUGGAUAUGACUACGUGAAUGCAAAAAGAAAGAAAAAAUGCAAACCUAAAUUCUAAAAUGUCUCUUGUAAGGUUUUUGGUCCCAACCACAUGAGUUGUGGCGGCCAAUAAAGGAAAACCUUAUAGAGGUCGAUUAAUGCAAAUGAUGGCUAAAGUGCAAGUGUGCAAGUGUAUAGAAAGUUGCACGUGUGAAAUUGUAUGAAAAAUCCAAGUGUUUGUGUGCAAGUGUAUGAAGAGGCGUAUGUGUGAAAUUGUAUGAAAAAUCCAAGUGUUUGUGUGCAAAUGAAAGUGUAAUGAGGAUAUAAAAUAAUAGGAUGGAUUGAAAGUGCAUGAUCCUAGGGAAUGCAACAAGUCGGGUACGGGGGUUGACUCCUAACUUUUCGACUUUGAUUUUCCCUUUGAUUAGAAGGCAAAACUAGCGUGCUAAGGCUAUCGAGUAGCCACACUCGCUCGUUUCCCUUAUCGGAAGGGGACACUCAAGCAAAAUGAACCCUGUAGCUAGUAUGGGAUGCAAAACCUAAAAUGAGGGGAGAAGGGGUUCGAGGAUCAUGUCAAAUGAUAAAACUAAGGAAAAUGCGUGAUAUGUGGUGAACAAGCAAAUGAUGUGCUAACAAAAGGGGAUGGCCUAUUGGGUCUAGCGUUGGACUAGCCCUUUCUAUGAAUUCCUAAUGAAAUAAUGAGCCACAACUAGUAUUGGACUAGUGUGGUGACGUACAUUCACCCAUCACAUUCAUUCAUGGCUAUGGAAAGCGAUUAGACAUGCCAAACACUCGUAAACACGUAGCACAUAACAUUUAGCAUGCUCGACUAGAUGCAAGGCCCUAACAAAGCAAAUUAACAUGUAACAACUAAGCAGGCAAGACACAUAAGGCAAUUAAAGCCCUAACUAUUACAUUUGCUAGCUAGGCACACGUCUUCGAUAGGUCUUCAUCGAAUGCUCCUCCAAGCCCUAUCUAUUACAAGCCAAGAGGUGUACACAUACCCCAUAAUGAGACUUAAAUAAAAUUGCUCGCCAAGCCCUAUCUAUUACAAGCCAAGAGGUGUACACAUACCCCAUAAUGAAUAACUUAAACAAAAGCGAAAAGUAAAUGAACUAAUUGAAAGAAAUUUAGACGAGGCAAGGAAAGCGAAGUAGACAUGCAUAUCCACAUAACACAUAGGAGCACAUAAGGUCAAAUGAAAUGCAAAUAAAGGAUGAGGUUACCUCCCUUGCAAUUGGGUCCCAAAUGAAAGAAAAAUGGCUUCAAAACAAUAAAACGGUCAAGGUACCACUUUAUUUGGGAAAAUUAAAGAAAAUAGGCAAACACAAGCUCACUUGGUCAUAAAGCCCCUAAAGUUAUGAAUUAAAUACAAUUGAAACAAAGCAUGGUAGUUAAUUGAAGCAAACAAGCAAUGAAGUUGCACAAAUUAAAAUUAUCAAGGACCAAUUUGAUGAAAUUAUUUAUUUGAUUGGGCCAUAGUAGGACAAGGAGAGACUUGGGGGCUGGAACGCAAUUAUUUUUUUUUAAACUUUUCCAAGCAAAGCUUACGAAGAAACCUUCUGCCAUUUCGUUAGUGUCUCUUUUCUGCAAAAAUUUUCUACCGUAGGUUCGCAACCAUUUUUCACAAGAUUUCAUAAACGGGAAAAAGAUUAAACAUCAAACAGCAAGUUAAAACUUGAUGCACCCAUUGAACAAUAAACUGAACCUUAACUUUGAGCAAACACAGAGCUUCAGCAACUCAAAGUAGCAAAUUCUUAUGCCAAUUUCAAACCGAACAUCACGUAUCAGGUUUUUCAAAUACAAACAUCAGAUAGUGAAUCCUACGAAACUCCAAGCAGUUGGGCUGUUCUACAAAGUACAGCAAAAUCAUUUUUGCAAGCAAGACUUUCGGUUAAGCGUUUCAUCGAGCAUCAACUGGCAAUAAAAUUUUACCAAACUUUUCACUGAAUUACAGUUACAAUUCGCCCCAGAAGUAUCAGCAGACCCAAUCAAAUUGCUCAUGCAUACCAGCAAUUAUAUGCAUCACAUGAACAGGAUACACCAGAAAGGGAUAAAACUACGAGUUUCAAUUGAGCAUUUCGUCGGAUAACAAAUGGGCAUUAAAAAUUUCAUCGAGUCUUGGCUCAUUUAAGAUUAUUCUCAGCCCCAAAAGUUGCCAUCAACUUAGAAAACAGUCCAAUUGACACAUUCAGCAUGCGUAUUCGAAAAUCAUGAACCAACAAUCAGGCAAAUCGCAGCAAAAAUAGUCACGGCAGCAUGCUUCGAAGGCUUGAACGGAACCAAAAUUUUUAAAGGAAAAGAACAGCUUACCAGCUUCUGCUUCGCGAAGUUAUUUUUCAGGUGGUGGUGGGAAAUUCUAGUGAUGGCAGCUCCGGGUGGCAGUGGUUCCAACAACUCCUUGCCAAUAGACGAUGCUUGGCCUUUCCUUUGCGCUGAAACUUUCGCAGCCUUGCUCCUCUGCCCUUCUCUGCCGCUGCGGCCUCCUCCCUGAGCAGGUUCCCCAUCUGGGCUAGUGACAUCGAUGGCCUUGGCGUGGCCAUCACCACCUUGCUCCGCUUCAAACCCGACGGCUUCCUUCUUGCUUGUCCGUCGCCCCCCUCUGGAAUCUUUUAGCCGACCUCUUGCCUUUGUUUUCCGUUCUCUCUGUUUUUCAUUUUGCUCCUUCUUUGACGAAGCCCCCCAGUUUUUCUUUUUUGUUGCUGCCUGCCGAAACUGUCCUCCUAGCUUUUCUUUGGCUCCUUCAACCCACAGUCUCUCAGCCGCUACCCGUUGCUUUUCAUCAGCCGUCCACCUUUUCCUUCUCCAAUCGAAGCUCUCCUUGUCCGUCCGCCUCUGUUUUCUUCCAACCCAGAUGAAAACCUCCUCUCUGUUUUUUCUGACCGAAAGCCCUCCUUUUCCCUUUUCUGUUUUUUCUUUUGUUUUCCCCUGUUUUUUUCUUUUUCUCUCCGCAGCCUUCCCUCUCAACCCCUAGCCGUUCCUCUCUCCUAUUUUUCUUGCUCUCGUUGAAACCCUCCACCCUUUUUCUGUUUUUCUCUCAUCCGUGGCCUCUUUUCUUUUUUUUCUUCCCAUUCUCAAACCUCCCUUCUAAGCUAAACAAGUGUCCUCCUAAAUGUUGUGUUGUCAAUUAAACAAAAGGGACACUUGUCCCUCAAAUUCCUUAACCACUUGUCCCAUGAUUGUUUUGUACACUUGUUCAACAUGCACACUUCCACCUAUUUUGCCAUUUUCAUUCUUUUCCUUUUUUUUUUUCAUUUUCAAGAAAUUCUAUGCUAAAAACUUAAAAAUAAUAAUAACACAAAAAACUAAAAAACUAAAAACUAAAAAGUGAAAAAAAAACGAGCACAGACUAAAAAAUAAUUAGUAAAUGAAAUUACACCAAAAUUUGGUGUCUACAGCUAUGAUAGUUGGAUGCCGAAUUGAGCUAUUUUAAACACUCUUUUGUAUAGCUCCGCAUUGAAAGAAACCCUAAAUGUAUUUUGAUCCGUUCCCUCUUUUGGGUUGUAGAAUUGAAACCGUACAUGUGUAAAUGUGUUUGGUAUCCUUGGUAUGUUAUUUUGGCUUGUAAUUACAUGUUUACUUGAUUUAUAUGGUUUGUUUAUGUUUGGAGGGAUUUCGGACAGAUUCAGAUUUCAAACGGCAAAAGAAAAAAAUUUUGGCGGGAAGGACAGGGUCGAAUCCGGCCAAGAAUCUGGCCAGAAAUUGGGCGGAUUGCCCUGGGAAAAAAUGAAUCCGAGCAAUUAGCUACUGCCUCAUAUCCGGCCGGUAAUCCAGCCAGAUUCCGGCCGGAUUCUGACGUGUCCGGCACUGUUCAUGUCGACUCCGAUUUUCAUUUUUUUUUAUUUUGUGAUUUUGGCUUGUUUGAGCGCGCUUUUAUUUUUUCGGAACGUUAUAGAUCGUGUUUAACUGCUCGUUAGUCCUGGCGAGAGUUGGGCAGGCAGUCCGCUAACCUCUUUGGUUCACCUUAGGGGAAGAUGGGGCUGUCACAGGUGGUAUCAGAGCCUAGGUUUGAAUUGGCCUGAGCAUGUUAGGAAUACUGGACUUGAGGAUUACUUUGAUUGUGUCCCUUUAGAUUAUUUAUGAUUAUUUACUCUUUUGGUGUAGGAUGGACGGACAUAGUGGCCCUAGUGGUAGCCCUACUGGUGAGUGACCCCGGGGAGUGCUCCCGACGAUUAAGUACCAGAUUCGCCCAAGAGGGGCCGUCGUACGUUAGAGCCCGACUAACCGCUUCCGACGUUGUGAGUGCCGUCACACUUACGCCUACCCCAAUACCGUCGUGUUGGCCGUAGUAGAGGAACGAAAGGAGUUGGCGAAGGAUAACGCUAGGCUUGAGGCCGAAGUGAACCAACUAAGGGCAGCUAACGAGAAACAAGCCGAGCGAAUCAAGGAGCUAGAGUACGACGUGAUCGAAGGUCAAGAUAGGGUGGACGACCUUUGCGCCCAACUCGGAGAGGCACGUGAGCGUAUGACUAAGAGAGCUAGGAAAGUUAGGGUUCGAGCCGAGUCUAUCUUGAACCUUUGCGACGAUUUGCUUGAGGAGGAGAGUGACGAAGCUUUGUGUGCAGGGGGCGAGACUGGAGGUGAAUCCACCCCGUCGGGUAUGUCCACUAGCCCGACGAUGGACUGAGUCAUUAUUCUUAGGGUUUUGGAUGGUUUUGACUAUUGUGUAUAGGAUGGAUAGGGAAUAGUAGACCUGGAAAAGAAUCUUAGCUAGCCAUUUUUGUACGUUUGGACUAGCGAUGUAUAUACUCCUGUUGAUGAUGCUGUUCCCUUGUGGAUUGUCUUUGUUGUACUUGGCUGACUGUUAAUAUGUGCCUUAUAUGACUUUGUUUUGGUGACUUUGUUUUGGAAUGUGUCUAUGCUUUAUUGUAAAAGUUUUUGGUCUCUUACGUACAUGUAUUGUUAUUUUAUUGUUCUAGUUACAUUUGCCUAGAUUGAAUAGAUUCGAUGGAAGGCACCCGUAGUGGUCGGGGAUGUGGACGUGGGCGCGGGAGUAGGCAACCCACGUCGGAUAGGGGCGCUGGGGAAACUUUGUCUGGACCCAACCCUGAACCUAGGGUUGACCCUAACGUUCAAAUAGCUGCUACCAUGCAGCAAAUGACUAAUUUAUUGACCCAAGUGGUGCAGCAACAGGGUCAAAACCCUAACCCUAACCCUGGAAACCCUGGCAACCACGUGGAGAGCGAAGACAGAGCUCUCGAGAGAUUCCAGAAGUUUGCCCCACCGAAGUUCAUUGGGGGACCCGAUCCAGAUAUAGCUGAGAGGUGGUUAGAGAAAAUGGUGGAUAUUUUUGCUGCCUUGCACUACACCGAAGAGAGGCAGGUGACCUUCGCCGUCUUUCAGCUAGAAGGGGCGGCCCGUUCCUGGUGGAACGUCAUACGGCAAAAGUGGGAACGGGAGCAAACGCCUCGGACUUGGGUGAACUUCAUGCGUGAGUUCAAUGCUAAAUUCUUCCCUCCUCUAGUCCAGGAACGGAAGGAAGAUGAGUUUAUCCGAUUUCGCCAAGGGGCCCAGUCUGUAGCGGAAUACGAGAGUCAGUUCACCCGUCUAUCCAAAUUUGCUCCUGAGCUAAUCAUGACCGAGCAACGACGAAUAAGGUGUUUUAUCCAGGAUCUGAACGAAGAAAUUCAGAAGGACCUCGCGGUGGCCCAGAUUAACACUUUCAGCGAGGCCGUCGAGAAGGCGCAACGGGUAGAAAGCGCUAGGGUUCAAGUAAGGAACUUCCAGGCAAAGAAGCGAGGCUUUCCUGGGAGCAGUUCAGGACAGGGGGAGAAGAGUGCUCCUCCCAAGUACAGACGAGGAGCUGGAGGUGGACGGCAGUCUGGAGUAGGUAGAGGGACUCCGUCUAGAGGUGGUCAAGCUGGGCGAUGUCAAAGAGGAAAUUUCCAGGGGGUCUCAGCUUCAGUAUCUUGCGGUCCCUGUGGGCAUUGUGGGAAGCCAAACCACACGGAAGAUAAUUGCUGGAGGAAGGAAGGGAAAUAUUUACGCUGCGGGAGUGCAGACCACCAAUUGGCCACUUGUCCGGUCCUAAAACAAGAUGGAAGGGGGAGCCAACAACCGCCGAGGACCAAUUCUGGACCAGCGAAGGGAGAAUGGACUAAACUUAAGGUGCCGGCUCGAGUGUACUCGUUAGAGCCCCAACAAAUCCCAGAUUCCUCUGAGGUCGUAGAAGGUACGAUCUCUUUAUUCCACCGCUUUGCAAAGGUUUUAGUAGAUUCCGGUGCCACCCAUUCCUUUGUUAACCCCAAUUUUAUGUGUGACAUUGAUAUAAAACCUGCUAGUUUACCUUACGACCUAGAAGAUAGUACACCUACGGGAGAUUAGCGUUUGGUUACUAGUAUGGUUUAUAAAGAUUGUGAAGUUUGGGUAGGAGAGAGGAGAUUGUUAGGGGAUUUGAUAAGUCUGUCCAUUAAGGGGUAUGAUGUGAUCUUGGGUAUGGACUGGCUAGCCAAGUAUAAUACCCAACUGGAUUGUAAAAAGAAGGUGGUGGAAUUCCGCAUUCCUGGAGAGGCGACUCUAAGGUUGGAUAUAAGGGGUAGGUUAGCCUCAUCUGCUUUGAUUUCGGGUAUUCGGGCUAGAAAACUGCUAAGUAGAGAGGCGCAAGGAUUUUUAGCCUUUCUAAUCAAUACCCCCACGAAUAAAUUGAAGGUAGAGGAUGUGCACAUAGUACGGAAAUUUCUGGAUGUAUUCCCUGAUGAGUUAGUAGCCCUACCUCCGGAGAGAGAGAUAGAAUUCAAGAUUGACCUGUUAUCGGGAACCUCGCCUAUCUCAAAAACCCCGUAUCGGAUGGCCCCUGCUGAAUUUAAGAAACUGAAAUUGCAAUUACAAGAGCCUUAGGUACCUCUUCUCGCAGAAGGAAUGGAACAUGAGGCAGCGACGGUGGAUGGAAUUUUUGGAGGAUUACGACUGCACAAUCAACUACCAUUCGGGGAAGGCGAACGUGGUAGCCGAUACCUUAAGUCGCAAGGCUCAAAUAGCAGGGUUAAUGAUCAAAGAGUGGGAUUUGUUGGAAUCCGUUUGUGAGUGGAAACCCUGCCUUGGGAGUCAUAAGGUGAUUUUUGGUAAUAUUAAGGUGACAUCCACCCUACUGGAACGCAUUAAAGAAGCGAAAAAAGAGAAUUUGAUGGUACGAAAGUGGGGAGAGAAAGUGAAAAAAGGGGAAUUGCCCGACUUUAAUUUUAGUCCUGAGGGUAUUCUAAAAUACCGAAACCGAGUAGUGGUGCCUAAAGAUGAUGCGUUAAAAAUGGAGAUCUUAGAAGAAACUCAUCGGUCUAAGUAUGCGAUCCAUCCGGGUAGUAGCAAGAUGUACCAAAACCUAAAAGGAGCCUAAUGGUGGGACAAUAUGAAGAAGGAAAUCGCUCUGUACGUGCAGAAAUGUCUCGUUUGCCAACAAAUUAAGGCGGAGCAUCAAAAACCAUCAGGCUUACUACAACCUCUUGAGAUACCCGAAUAGAAGUGGGAAAACGUCACAAUGGAUUUCGUUUCAGGUUUGCCGCGAAUGCAACGAGGACACGAUGCCGUUUGGGUGAUCGUCGAUCGAUUAACCAAGUCGGCCCAUUUCUUGCCGGUAAACAUGAAGUAUUCCAUGGACAAGUUGGCUCAGAUGUACAUGGACGAGAUCGUAAGGUUACAUGGCGUUCCUGUGAGCAUCGUCUCUGAUAGAGAUCCCCAUUUCGUAUCCAGAUUUUGACAGAAAUUCCAAAAGACUCUAGGGACUAAACUCAACUUAAGCACUACCUAUCACCCUCAGACGGAUGGACAAUCGGAGCGAACAAUCCAAACUCUCAAGGACAUGUUAAGGACCUGCAUUCUGGAUUUUGGAGGUAAUUGGGGUCAACACAUGACCUUAGUAGAGUUUCGUACAAUAACAGCUACCAUUCGUCGAUUCAAAUGGCUCCAUACGAGGCACUAUAUGGACGAAAAUUCCGGUCACCGAUCUACUGGGACGAAGUUGGCGAGAGGAAGGCACUGGAUCCAGCAACUAUUCCAUGGAUGGUGGAGGCACGAGAAAAGGUCAAAUUGAUACGACAACGACUCCAAACAGCUCAAAGCCGACAAAAGAGCUAUGCGGAUAAUUGAAGAAAAGACUUGGAGUUCGAAGUGGGAGACCAUGUGUUUCUUAAGGUCACACCGUUACGGAGCAUCACAGCGGGUAGAGGAAAGAAGCUCCAACCGCGGUUCGUUGGACCUUUCAAGAUUCUCCAAAGGGUUGGUAAGGUAGCAUAUCGCCUGGAACUACCGUCCAGUCUCUCUCGAAUUCACGACGUCUUCCACGUCUCGAUGCUUAAGAAAUACUAUCCUGACCCAUCCCAUAUCUUACAGCUAGAGGAAAUCGAAAUAGAUGAAUCGCUCACUUACGAGGAGAAACCUGUACAAUUGCUUGACCGGAAAAUUAAAAAACUGAGAGACAAGCAGAUUGCUUUGGUAAAGAUAUUGUGGAGAAACCAUGGGGUAGAGAAAGCUACUUGGGAGGUGGAAGAAGAAAUGCAAAAGAAAUACCCUGAACUUUUCUUGAGUCAAGGUGAGAAAUUUCGAGAGCGAAAUUCUUUUAAGGGAGAGGGUGUGAGAUCCCGUAAAUUUUCUUAUUUUCUAGGGUUUAUUCUAUUUAAUCGCAUGCUUUUCUACAUUUUCUUUAUUAGGAAAAUUUUCUAGAUAAUUUUUAUGAGUAAAUAUAGUUUUUAGAUGAUUUUUCUAGUAUCGGUUAGUUUUUGAGAAAUUAAGAGCGUAUACCGGACGUGGGACCCGCUAGUGCGAAAAAUUCGGUAAAAUUCGGCCAGUUAGGUUAAGUUUUGGAUACUGGGUUUAUUUGAUCAGGUGUUAAGAGAUAAUUAGAGGUUACCCAAUGGAUGAGAGUUGGAGAGACAAAAGGAUAGCUUUGCAUUAAUGAAAGUGACAAGUGUCACCUUGUGAGUUGAUCUUGAUUUUGACCACUAUUCACCACUUUACCAAUUAAUCAAAAUUGACCCAAAAAUCAUCUUCAUUUGCAAGCUUCUUGGCCGGCCAUCUUCAAGGGAAAGAAAGGAAAAGCUCUCAAUUUUCUUGUCUCCAAUCUUGUUCAAUCCCUUAGUUCAACCGAUUAAACUUGGAUUUCCUCCACAAAAACCCUUAGUCUAGUGAUUGUGAGGUUGUUAGUGAAGUGGUUUGGAAGACCAAGGUGCUAAGUUGUCUCCUUUCUUGAGUUUGCAAGGUAAGUGACCAAGACACCUUUCCUUUGAUCUUAAUGAUGUUCAAUUGGUAGCUUGUGUGAGUUAAAGAGCUAGUUUUAAGUGAUAUUUCAUGACUUUUGGUUGAGAUUGGUGGAAUUUUCUAUUUAUUCAUGAUUUUUCUGUUUUUAUAUGUUUAAUAUUGGUUGGCCAUGGAUGAUGGAUGGAAAUGGUUUAGAAUGAAACUAUAGUGCGUAAAUGGUGGCUAUUUGCAGAAAAUUUCCGCUUUGAAAGGAAAAUUUCGGAAUUAGGGUUUGUAAUUAGGGCUUUUCUAGGGUUUCUUUAUAUCAAUUGAAUUGGCUUUGAUUAUAGACCUUUGGGACUCUAAUAAGGUGUAUUGAAGGGUUUAUGACUUGUAAUGGUAAUGGUGAUUGUGUUUGGAAAGCAUGGGGAAAUAUUUGUAGGUUGGAAACUUGGAAUUUUAAGGGGAAAUGCUGUCCAAAUUGAGGGUUCUUGUGUUUAAUGGACUUGAGGUGCUUUGGAGGUUAAAUGGUAACCCUAGGGUUGUCUCAACCUUUAGCACUAAGUGUUUUUACAUUACUUGCAAGUUUUUACGCUUUUACAUUGAUAAUGUGUAGCUUGGAUGUAUGACUCGUGAUCGAGUCUCAUUGUGCUUAUUUGAAUGUUUUAGAGCGUGACGGUGGUUCAAGACGCUCUUUGGGCGGAAGUGUAUGAAAUUUCAUUUGCUUGCUUGGUGAGUGUACUACUCACUUGCUUGUUACUAUGUGGCUUUGUUACACUUGAAAUGGAUGCCUUGAAUGUUUAUUUACACCAUUGAAAUGGAUUAAAGCGAGGGUGUACUUGAUCACUCUCACUCUUUAUGUCCUACAUGACUGUUUACGGUGUUACUUGAAUGGUAUAUGAAUAUACUGGAUUUGGUGUCGUUUGGACGAGUAUCCAACGGCCAUUACUGUUACUACUGAACUCAACCCCAUUGGUAGUCGAUUGAAUCGAGCCGGCGAGGGCUUGGUCGUGAAAAUUGACGAGCCAUGGGAACUGUUAUAUGGAAUCUUGUAGUAUGAGACUCUCGAUUCCGGUAUACUCGAGUAUUAUCAAAUUUAUACUGUUUGGAGUUCGGGCUCGGUUGGGGUGUGUUAGGUGGAAGGAAUGGAAGUAAAGUGGAUUCUACGUCUGGUUACUCUUUAAACAUUGACGGAGGGUCAAUGAGGUACGAUCAAGUAUGCAAGCGAGGAAAGGGGCUCCUGAGAGCCGUCCAUAUCCUUUUACCAAUUCUAUUAAUGUGUGAUCUUAGCUUACUUCCUUAUUGAAUGAAUUGGAAUGAAGGGCUUCAUGCUUAUAUGAACUUCGUUGCUUGAGUGAUAGUAUCUCAUUGGGUGUAAGCUCACCCUAUUCCUUUUGUUUUCCUUACAGGAGUUUGAACACUUUUGGAAAAGCUAUGAUAGUUGGAUGCCGAAUUGAGCUAUUUUAAAUACUCUUUUGUAUAGCUCCGCAUUGAAAGAAACCCUAAAUGUAUUUUGAUCUGUUCCCUCUUUUGGGUUGUAGAAUUGAAACCGUACAUGUGUAAAUGUGUUUGGUAUCCUUGGUAUGUUAUUUUGGCUUGUAAUUACAUGUUUACUUGAUUUAUAUGGUUUGUUUAUGUUUGGAGGGAUUUCGGACAGAUUCGGAUUUCAAACGGCAAAAGAAAAAAAUUUUGGCGGGAAGGACUGGGUCGAAUCCGGCCAGAAAUUGGCCGGAUUGCCCUGGGAAAAAAUGAAUUCGAGCAGUUAGCUACUGCCUCAUAUCCGGCCAAGAUCCAGCCGGAUUCUGACUUGUCCGGCAUUGUUCAUGUCGGCUCCGAUUUUCAUUUUUUUAUUUUGUGAUUUUGGCUUGUUUGAGCGUGCUUUUAUUUUUCCGGAACGUUAUAGAUCGUGUUUAACUGCUCGUUAGUCCUGACGAGAGUUGGGCAGGCAGUCCACUAACCUCUUUGGUUCGCCUUAGGGGGAGGUGGGGCUAUCACAGAAUGAACCAUAUGAGAUGACUCAAACUCUUAGGGCACAUUUGGUUCACGGACUAAAUGAAAUGGGAGAACUCAUUCUCAAAUUAUUAAUUCCGGUUGAGUCAUCAUCGGAUUAAUAGCUCUCAUUAUCUAGUGUUUGGUUGGUUCUGAGUUAAAUAAAAUGUGUUAAGAAAUAAUCCUAUCAUAUAUUUGGUUGGAAAUUGGAUGAGAUAGGAUUACUAUUUUAAAGACCAAAGUACCCUUUAAUUUGUACCAUUGUUUUAAUAAAACAAUUCAAUAAUUUAUUACUUUUAUUAAAAUAGAAUAGUUUGAAACUUUAGAAUGAUAAAAUAAAUCAAGGGUUUUGAUAUAUUAAAAUUUGCAUUUACUCAAACUCCGCCCACUCGAGCCCUUAAACAUAGGUUUUGACUGAAUUUUUGAACCUAAAUUUGAAAUCCAAUUAAUAAUGGGCCAAGUUUUGGUCAAAUUAAGGUUAACUCGAAUAAAAUCCAACCCAUUUAAAAGCUUUGGUCCAAACUGAGUUCAGACCAAGUAGAAAAUUUUUCUUUGGUCCGAACUUGAACUUAUUGAAACCCUUAUUCACAAAACCCAAAACCCAAUUGAUACAGAGUUAUGUAUCUAUAAAGAAUUUGGUUGAGCAAAUGAGUUUGGUAAGGGCAAUUUAGUCCAAGGAUAAUUUAGUCUAAGGGCAAUAUAGUCCUUUUAUUAUGAUAGUAAGGGCAAAUUAGUCAAAAUAUUUCAAUUAAUUAAUAGGGCUAAAUUAGUCGAAAUUUUAAAAUAAUGAAUAGGAGCAAAUUAGUCAAAAAAUUUUAAUAUAAUUAGUAGGGGAAAAUUAGUCCGUUUAUUAUCAUAUUAUUAUGUAAGAGUAUGAUUAUAUGAAUUUCUAUCAUUCGUAAAGGCAAGUUAGUCCAAAUAUUGUUAUGUUGAUAGCAGGGACAAAUUAGUUAUCAAACUUUAAAAUUAAUUAGUAUGGGCAAAUUAGUCAAUUCAUGUUAGGGUUAUAUAAUUAUGAGAAUGAAUUUGUAUUAUUUGUAAGAAUAAAUUAGUCUAAAAUUUUAUCAUCCCAUCUCUUAGUCAUCUCGGGAUGACUAAUACCACCUCCCCGGAUGACUAAUACCACCUUCCCCAUGGAAUUAUUUUAUCCCAUGAAUAGGGAUUAAUUCAGUUAGUCGGGAUGCAUCAUCCUAUGUAUAAAAUGCAAUUAAAUAUGAUAUGACACAAGAUAAUUAAUCCAAUCUUGUAUCAUCCCAUGAACCAAAUGGACCCUUAAUCUCUUGGAUGCAGUGAGAGUUUGUUAUGAAUCAUUGUUAAAUCAAACCAAUAUUUAUUCCUCAUUACUAUAUAUAAUGUCAAAUUCAACAAUGUCAGAAAAUUUAUCACCACUCAUCAUGUGAGUAGUUUUUAAGUGAUAAUGGGUUCUAGUACUUUUUGUGCACAAUUUUACUCCAAUAAUACAUGUUGUUAUUACAAGGUUGAAUGUAUGUUGAAAUUAUACAUUUUAUGAAGUGUAAAUGCUUUUAUAGUACUUAGUUAUAUAAUGUUUGAAAGUGUUUUCACCUAUAUAAUCCUAGAAGUGGUACCACUUCUAAUAAAAGUUUGGGAUUGCUGUAUAUGACCAUGAAUCUACGAUAGAGUGCAUUGCCGGUAAAAGUGCAAAAUUUGUGAACUGAUAAUUGUUUAUAGUACCUGUUUGCGCUAAUUUUUGGUAGCCUAUGACCUGUUACCGAUAUCAUGGUUGUUGCAGGCGUGCCAUCUGGUUUAUGUCAGGAAAACCAGGAAAACAAUAUGAAUGGACCAAUAUUGACAAAACUGUAGAUGUGUCGAUGAAUAUGAACUUCUAAAUGAUUGUUGUUCAUCUUGCCUUGAGCAGGACUUAAAUUUCAUUCCAAUAACAACUGAUUAAGAAGAUGUUGAUGAAGAAACUGUUAUGUAAAUAGAAAUUAAUGAAUUACUUAACAUGGAAUGUAAAGAGUGCUAAGAAUUUAUGAAUAUUGCUUGGAAUGUAAAGAACGAUUUAAACAUAAAGAUUGCUUGGAAUAAAUUUAGAAUUCAUAUCAACUCCAAUGAAAUUUAUAGAACCCAACAUUGGUUUGCUUGGAAACAUAAAACAGAAAAGAAAUGGUUGCAUGAAAGUUUGAAAUCCAAUGGAUUCUAAGAAAGCUUUGGAAAUCCUAAACUCUGUCAUAUGGAUUCUAAGAAAGCUAAUAAAAGGAGAGCAUUUUAAAGAAAAAAAUUAGACUUGUCUUUUGUGAAGUUGAAAGUCCUCUUCAUCUGAUGUUUUUUCUUUUAUUUAUAGUUGGAGUAUUCCUCCCAACAUUAGCAAUGGCUUCCUCUACUAUUGUUAAUGAGCCCUAUUUUCUCAUGUCUAGUGAAAUGGUCUUUUUCUCAUGCCACAUUAGCCACAUUAUUUCAACCACCACUACCUAGGUUUUAGGGAUAGUGUAACCAUCACAUCUCCAUUUUGUAGGGUCAUGAACCGGUCCAAUCCUCCUUCCAUACUAAUUACCUUUGUUGAUCAUAUCUUGACAGCAUUUAGUCAAUCCCUUUUGCAUCGGCACUCAUACAUAUCAGGGAGAAUGUAUCAACUCGUAUUUGUAUGUAACGAUGAGUAUGCAGAUAUCAAUCAUUGCUUCCAAUCUCAUAUGGAACCUUUACUGCUCACACUUUUCAGUCUUGAACCAUCACCACUACCACUCAAUUUCUAAUUGUCGAUCUACACAGAUUAAUUAGCAAUCAUGUCCCAUAUGACCUCCAAUUGUCAUGACUAAGAAGCUUAUAGUGACACAGCCAAUUAUCAACCUACCGAUAAGUGAUAGAUAUCACACCAACAAAUGCCUUUCUCAAAUAGUUUAUCAGCUUACAAACCACCAAUGAAAGUUUGAUUAUCAAUCCAACAUCGGCUUUUUUCAUGAAUCCAUCUUGUCCUUAUUUGCUCAACUGCUCCAACUGUUAGCAUUAAAUAAACAUUCCACAUGGCUAUGCCUAAUAAAUUAUUUCUUCUUCCAAGAAUCCUUUUUUGGAAUUCGAAAAAAUUUUCCUUUCUCCACAUGAAAGCCCAAUUUGGCUCCCUCAUUAUUACUUCAUGUUUAUUAGCACCUCAUUGAAUAAGGGAAUUAAAUGCCUACUAAUAGUAUCAUUUGGAUGGGUAAGUAUUACCCUACCAAGUUUAUCUCUACUUUUUAUUAUCUAGAUCUCCAUCAAACCCUUGGACAAUGCUUGCUUGUCGUUGUGUUCAGUGCAAUCUUAAAACUCUAUCACCAUCAGUUUAUCAUAUUUGUCAUUGGCAUCAUGCUUCAUCAUGUCUAGCUGGCCAUAUUUGGCUAAGAAGUCGAUAGGCAAUACUACCACCAUAUUAACAUGUACUGGUUAUUGAGUUCUGAAUCUGACUGUCAUUAACCCAUUACCACUUUUGGCCUUAUCCUCUUCCAAUUGACCCAUCGAUGAGUGAUUAGUACCCUAGCACUCUUUUUUGGAUCAUUGAGUAGUUUAGUCUUUUUUUUUCCAUCCGCUCUUGUUGCUUCCACCUGUGCCAAUGACUUUUUUGAGUUUUGGCCAUCUAGCGAGGAUUCAUUUCUCGCAAGAAUAUUGGAUGUCUUAAGAUUUUGCCAUUGGCCAACCCUUGUAUUUAUAGAAUUCACAAACCUUGUCAUUGCUUUUUAUCUUGCCCCACCACUGAUCUCUUGCUUUGGCCGAUUUCUUCAUGAUCAUUUGCCAUUGAUCGGUCACCUUUUAAGUCAAUUUUUUGUUUCAUAGUCUUGUCUCCAAGCUUUUUCCUUGACCAACUGAUAAGUUGCUAUCCUCCUCAUUCUUUUAGCUGAUCUUUAACACUUCGCUUGGCUGGGUAAUCGGCUCAAGGGAUGUGCUUCAAAUUACGUGCGACUUUUUAUUCAAAUCCUUUGUAGGGUGUCUGAUCAUUGUAUUGGCAAAUUGGUCGAUAAGUUGAUAGAUUUGCAUUUCAGGCUAUUUCCUUUGAACCCAAAUCUGGGGCUCAUUGUUCACCAUAAGUAUCACUUGUUCAGUAUCAAACUUCAUGCACCACCUCAUUCUGGGAUUGUGUGAUUUGGGAAACAACCUGUGCUACUUGCUGCAACUAGUCAAGGCACUAAUUGCACCGCCGAUUCUCAGAACAUUUAGUAACGGCUUGAGAACUAUCCACUGGAUUGGGCUAGUGGUUCGCUUGGUUAUUCUUGCUAAAACAUGUCAUAUUGCAGAUAUUGAUUAUAUUGAUAUUGGCAAAACAUUGAAAAGUCUUUGUCUCUACUUCUGUCUACCCACCAUGAUCAUCAGUGAACUUGAACAAUCUUUUCUUAAUUGCUCUUUGAAUGUAAUUCCAGAAUACCAUGCAAUUAUUAGUGGAAUGUGAAAAAGUUCCAUGGUAUUUGUAGAAUUUCUUGCCAGCCAAUUCUUCAGCUGUAGGAUGCCAAUAAUUCUUAGGGUAUUUUACCCUUCUUUUAGCCUGCAAAAAAUCAAAAAUAUCUUCUGAAUGUGAAUCAAAGCUAUACCUCUUAGUUCCCUUGGUAGGUUUCUUUUUUAUUAUUGCCGAUGAGUUUCAAACCGGUGACUAUUGUGCUAUUGUGAGGACUCGAAAAUUUACUUAUUUUAAAUUCCUAUUACUAGUUUAUUUAAAUAUUUAAUUGUCCGUUUACUCCGAAUAUUUUAUUUCAACUUUUUUAGAUCCAAUUAUAUGGAACUAUGACUUACUUAUAUUUUUAAAAUGAUUCGUUUCAAAAUUUAAUUUUUGAAAGCUCGUUAAGUGAGAAUAGUGAAUACGCGUUUGGAGACAAUAAACGAUUUGAGGAUACAGUGAGCUUGGAGAGUAAAGACUCAUACAUUAGCCUCAAAAUAGUUAUUUUUAUGUUUAAGUACUCAAGUAUUAGUUAGUAAUACCAUCGUUAUAAGAAUUGCUUAGAAAUUUCGCUCUAUUGUGCACAAAUCGGAAGUACGCGUUUUCGCGUGCGUGAUUAAUCGAGGGACUUUAGACCUUUUUUUUUAGACUAUUUAGAGUGAAUAAUAAUAGUAUGGAUGGAAGUGCAUUAGAGGUUUAGUGCACAAGUGAAACAAAUCCGAGAGGAAACUAGCACGAAACCCGCGCGAACGCGCACUAUUCCUAAUUGACUUUUGGAGCACUUUUUGGCCACACACUUAAGCUUCUCAAGGAAGCUUCAUCAUCAACCAAACACACUCUCUCUCUUUGUUCUUGCUGGCCGGCCACCCCAAGGAAGAAACAAGACCAAAAGCUCUUCAUUUUCGUCAUUUUCUUGCUUCAUUUCUUGUCCAAAUCACUCCAAAAUUUUACUACACCUUGCAAACCACUUGGAGAUCAACUCAAGCUAGGAAAGGAGCUUCAUUUGCACGGUUUUCUUGAGUUUCAAAGGAUCAAAAAUUUCUGCUUUAGUCAUCUAAGGAGGUAACAAAUAAUCAACCUCUUGAAACUUGGCUUUUAUAUAAGUUAUAUUACACUUGUAAGUUUAUAGUGCAUGUGGGUAGCUCUAUAUUGUUGGAAAUCUUGUGAGUGGGUUCUAUGAAAUCCCACAAUGGACUUGAUGAGCUGGUUUGAUGAUAUUGGGUGUUAUUUAUGUUGGGUUAGUGCUUAAUCUAGUGGAUAUAAGUUGUAUUAUGGAAGAAAACUUAAAGGGAGUGAAAUGAGCAAAAGGGACGGUUCUACCCCUGUUUUGCCGUGCCCCUUUAGUGCAAUUUUUGUGGUCCAAUUGACUUGAUUUUGAUGUAAAUGUGUAAUAUAGGUUGUGUAGAAAGUUUCCUCAAAUAAUUACUUGAUUUGGUUGGGUAAAAGUUGAGAUUUCGAAAUUUCACCAAAACUGGAAAACGUGACCAGAGUCUCUUUGGCAGUGAUUUUGUAUCGACCAUAACUUUUUGCUCCAAUGUCGAAAUCGAGUGCCAUUUGUAGCAUUAGAAACUAUUUUCCAUCGAUAUAAAAUGCAUUCCCUGAUUCCACAUGAGUGAACCAUACCAAUCGUUAUGUGAAAUUGUAGCCUUAUGAAAUUUAUUUUUCAACUCUGACAACCACUCUCAAUUCCAAGUUGAAUAGAGUGAGUUAUGGCCAAAUUUCAAACCUGCCUCGUUGCUUCAAAACCUUAAAUUUGGGCUGGUCAAUGGCUAAUCUUGAUUGGGAGUUGUUAUUUCGAAACUCUUGGUGUUAAUCACCUAUCAAACACAUUUUUUUGAUGUCUCUUAGACAUUGUCUUCAUAAAUGGACCAUGUUUGAAAAGAUUUCAUUGGCCAAAUGAUUGAGAAAAGAAAAACGAAAGUGCAAGGCAGAUUUGCCUUAGGAAAUCGUGGAACUUUAGCGACUAUGCUACCCAACUUUUCGUGUGAAUUUUUACAUGCAAAUUGACAGAGGAAUAGCCCUCAUAUGGUAGGGUAAUACUACCAAAUUUUAUGCCCUUCCAGAUCCAUUUCGAUGCUCAACCAAAGUGUUAAAAUUCCCAUUUUAAAUCUGAAAAACCCUUGUUUGGUGAGGAAAUUUCAGUAACUUUGAGCCACUAUAUCCUGGUGCUCGAAAAUCCGAUUCUAGUUUCACUUAUUGUGUUUUAAACUUUGAUUAUAACUCUAAUUGAGUUCCAAAUUUCAGAGGCUAGUUCGCAUUGUGUGAAUUUUGCCGAAUUUCUAAACUUGCCGAAAAUCAACCCAAAUCUGUCUUGGAAUUCCAAAACAGCAUCUUGGACCCAAAAUUUGAAUAUCUUCCAUUUGGAAUCAUGAAAAAGUGCCUUCUAAGAACUUUUAGUACUUUAGAAGUAGUUUCCAACGGUACCAAGUUUUCCAAUUUUGGACCUACCGAUUGUGAGUUACGAUUUUUCAAAGAUUGCGUGUCGAAUCUGAAAUUUUUAAACUUAAAGGAAAUUGAGUUUUUAGAACUUUCCAUUUUUCCUUCGAUACCACUUGACCGUUUUACACUUGAUUUCAAAGAUAAAAAUCAGAUUUUUCUUGUGUUUUAAAAUCUCACUUUUGAGUCUCGAUUUACGAGUAAUUAAAAUUCAUUUUCGCGAUAUCUUCUUAGAUUGUACGCUAGUACAAUCUUCUUCGAUAAUUAGGGGUCUUAAGCGAUAAUGUGUAAUAGUUUAUUAUUAAUUGCUCAGGCACUUAAGAGAACCUUCGAGAGGAUCCCACGGUGAACACCUGAACCCUCAAGUAUACUUUACGUUUUGAGUUGGUGAGUGUCAAGUGCAUAAAUAGUUGAAAUUAUGGGAACGUGAUACAUGUUCAAUUGUUAUUGUCGAUUGGAAAUUUUGAAAAUGGAGUCGAGUGUGUACUUUACCGCACUCGUAAAUUGAUUCGGGUGCGACACAUUUCUUUGUAAACACUAAUUUCAUGGGCGGAAUAGACUUGAAACCAAUUAAAUUACCUUAUGACUUAGAGGUUAGGACACCUACUGGGGAUCAAAGUCUAAUCGCUAACUUGGUAUAUAGGAAUUGUGAGAUCUGGAUUGGAGAACGGAAAUUAAUGGCCGAUCUGAUAGGUUUAGCGAUUAUGGGGUAUGAUGUGAUCCUAAGAAUGGACUGGUUAGCCCGUUACAAUGCCCAGUUGAACUGUAAGACGAAAAUAGUGAAAUUGUGCGUUCUGGGAGAGGCAACCCUGAAACUGGAUGUAAGAGGUAAAUUAGUUUCGUCUGCACUUAUCUCAGGAAUCCGAGCUAGGAAAAUGUUAAGUAAGGGAGUUCAGGGAUAUUUGACUUUUCUAAUCAACAUUCCUAGUGAUAAAGUGAGAUUGAAGGACAUGCCUGUAGUGAAAGAGUACCCAGAUGUCUUUCCUGAAGAGUUAGAGUCUUUACCUCCGGAAAGGGAAAUAACUUUUAAGAUUGAUGUGACUCCGGGAGUAGUAUCUAUCUCUAAGACACCAUAUCGGAUGGCUCCAACUGAGUUGAAAAAAUUGAAAUUACAAUUGCAGGAUUUGUUGGAACGGGGUUUUAUAAAAGAGAGUGACUCACCGUGGGGAGCCCCGGUCUUAUUUGUUAAGAAGAAAGACGGGAGUUUAAAGUUGUGCAUAAAUUAUCGAGACUUGAAUGAUGUCACUGUUAAGAAUAAGUACCUGUUGCCCCACAUUGAUGAAUUAUUUGACCAAUUGCAAGGGACAGUGGUAUUCUCGAAGUUGGAUUUGAGACUGGGUUAUUAUCAAUUGAGGAUUUUGGAGAAAGAUAUACCCAAUACUGCUUUUAACUCGAGGUAUGGACACUUUGAGUUUACAGUAAUGCCAUUUGGACUGACCAAUGCACCUGCGGCAUUUAUGGAUUUGAUGCACAAGGUCUUUAAGCCUUAUCUGGACCAAUUUGUGGUGGUCUUUAUUGAUGAUAUUUUGGUAUACUCCAAGAAUGUGAAGGAUCACGAGAAGCACCUGAGAAUUGUUUUGCAAACCUUGAGGGAACACCAUGUGACAGCCCCACCUUACUCUAAGGUGAACCAAAGGGUUCGGCUGACCGCCUGCCCAACUCUCGCCAGGACUACUAAGACAGUUAUACACAAUCUAAGACCUUCCGAAGGAAAAUAGCGCGCUUAUAUGAUUCAAAAUCGCAAAACGAAAAUGAAAAAAAGUCGGAACUGCAAAUGAAUAGUAACUGCCACGUCACCAUCCAGCCAAAAUCCAAUCGAAUACAGAUAACGUCAUAUAACUCAGGAGAAAUCAUUUCCAAACCAAAUAGGAUACAUGAACAUGGUUAAACAGUUUUAUACACAUACGUUUCAAAUUUACAAAUCCAAAGGGAAAUAUUUGGAUCAAGGUACAUUUAGGGUUUUCCAACUUCCAAGGAGCUAUGCAAAAAGGUAUUUAUACAAGCUCUAUUCCUUCUUCAAAAUGAUCAUUGGUCCAAAAGAUGGUUCCCUGUAAGGAAAACAAGGAUAACGGGACGAGGUGAGUUAGAAACUCAAUGAGGUACCAAAAUUAUAAACAGUAGAAAUCAUGAGAAAAUACUUUUAAGGCACUUAUUCACAUCAAAUACGAGAAAUGAAUGAACACCACAAUGUAAAGGAUACAGGUGACUCUCAAGAGCCAAAUUCCCGUUGCAAUACUUGAUCCAACCUCGUUGACCCUCCGUCAACGUUCAAAUAAAGAAACCAGUCCAGUAGAACACCACUUUAAUGCCAAAAUCCCGUUCACCAAACAUACCCCCUUACUGGGCCCGAACGCUAAACAGGAACAAGAAUGGUAAUACUCGAGUAUACCGAAAUCAAGAGUUUCAAUACCCAAAGAUUCCCAGAACAGACUACCGUGGUUCGUUAUCUAAUCGACCAGACCCUUGCCGGCUCGACUCGAAUAACUAGCCACAGGUGUUGAGCUCAAAGGUCACAGAAAGGUCAUUGGAUACCAACCUCCAAACGACGUCCGAACAGAUUCAGAUACAGAUAACAGAUUAUACACAGUAAAUAGGCAUACAGACAGAUAGUAAAUAGGCAUACAGGCAGACAAGAGAACGAGUGUGAUAAAGUACACUCUCGUCUCAAACAGAACAAACAGAUAGUACAAUAAUUCAGAUCACAGAUUGCAAGUGCAGAAAUCAAGUUAAGCAACAAAUGAGGGGAGUGGUACACUCACCGGUUCCAGUUCAGAUACUUCAAAAGUUUUUAGCCACGAAACCCUAAAAUAAUCAAGAUAAAACAAUUAUAGUUCGCACAUCCACAAAUCCAGUAAAUGAAAUGCAUAAAUGAGACUCGACUACACCUCGUACGCCUUUCCAGGUUAAGUACUAGUACAGAAGAAUAAAAAUAUGACUUUUGAGUAAAAAAAAUAACAGUUGGUCCUAGGGUUACAAACAACUCCCAAAACCCCUUCAUUUUUACCAAGAUCAACUCAACUUGAAGGAAUCGCGUAGCCCUAAAAUUUUGGGUAGCAUGCCCUCUGUAUUUACCUAUUUUUCAGCCAUUUAUGGCUUCAUUAUUUUUCCUCAACUCAAUCCAAUCCAACACAUAAGAAAUCUCAAUACAAUAACCCUUCAACUAGGCUCAAGUUCAUCCAAAUACAAAGCAAGUCUAGGAAUGCAACUGGAAAUCAAGUUUUAAAGACAAAAGCUAAAUAGCAUGUUUGACGUCUCUUAGCGUAUCGGUCAUAACCGAAGCUACGCUUAUCGGAUUACGGUGAAAUUUAUACCAUUUCGAAGCUAAGAUAAAGGCCUACAACUUUGAUGAAAACCACUUAGUCCAGUUCGUAGUGUAUCGAGGUCAAAAUUUCAAAUUACAGAACCAGUAUCUCACAAUCAGACUAGUUAAGCAUACUAUGAUUAAACGACAAUAACUCAGGCUACCGAAAUCCGAUUGAGGUGUAUCUUAUGGCGUUUCGAAGCCAAGACAUAUACCUACAUUUCUUAUGAAGACCUACAAAGCUAAAUUAUGCGUUUUCAGAGUCAAAAAUUGAAAUCCCCACGAAGACAGAAAACUAUCCGCGAAAAUAGGGCUUUUGGGCAGUCAAGGGUAUUUCGGUCAUUUCACAUGCUACGGUACUCCAAUUGAACUGAAUUUUACAGGCAGCUAUAAAACAUCAUUUCUUACAACAUUUAUGUUUUGUGCUAAGCCUAAUUCGGCCUCUAACCUAGUCAAACAGAACCGGGCAGAACAGGGCAAAUUGGAACCCUAACACUGAAAUUUUCCGCACAAGCUGAAAUUUUCCGCAAAUAAUCGCAAUUAACGCACGAGAGAUCCAUUUAACACAAUUUAGAGCCAUCAAUCCAAGGCCAACCAUAAUCAUCAUAUGAAAAUAGAAAAAUCCCAAAAAAAUUAGAAAUUUAGCUAACUUCACUUUAAUCCAUGAAAUCUUCCAUAAAAUCUCUUAGUUAGCUACCAUAAGUCACCAAUUGACCAUUAUUAAGAACAAAAAGUGAGUUCCAAGCAAAAUGCCUUAACUCCUCAAGAAAGGUAGUAGCUUAGGGGUUUUUCUUCCAAAACAACUCCACCAAGACCUUUGUUCUUCCUUAGAUAACACUCUUAUGGAAGGGUUUGCGAUUCUAUCGGUUGAAACUCCAAAUUUUAGCAAGAAAUGGAAGGACAAAUUGAAGGUUCUCUCUUGGUUUUUCUCCUUACAAGGGCUGGCCAACAAGCAUAAGAAAUGAAGAUGAUUUUGGUCAAUUUUGAGGUUUAGUAAAGGUGAUGAAAAUUAGUCAAAGUCCAACUUGCAAUAGGGUCAUGACACUUGGCACCUUCUUAAGUUAUUCUUAUCCAUUUGUCUACCAAACUUAACCUAGAUAACUAUUCUCUAAUUAUCUCCUAACACCUUGUAAAAUAAUAUCUCUUAAUACAAAAUUUCAAUUAAUCGUCAAAAUUUUAUCGCACUUAGCGCACUAGCGGGCCCCACAGCCAUGCUACGCUUCAAACUUACUAUGAACCAACUCAUACCAGGAAAAUGAUUUGAAAAAUGAUAUUCACUUAUAAAAAUGUAUAUAAAGUUAAUAUAUUGAAGGAAAGUAUAAAAUUGUAGACAAGGAAAUAAAAUAAUAUCUAGAAAAUAUAAAAAUUUUCGGGUUCUCACACUCUCUCCCCCUUAAAAGAAUUUCGUCCUCGAAAUUCUUCUCAUACCACAAUCUAUCCAGAAAGAAAUCAUAACAAUGCUAUGACUAAAACGCUAUGCUAAGAAAAUCAGUGAAGACAUAGGGAGAAUUCACUCACAAUAUCAGGUAUAGAUCUACUUGCUAUGAGGGAUAAGGGGAGGAAGAAGGAAAAGAAUGAACACUUCAAGAAGAAAUGUGUGGCUGCUAAGUGUGAAACAUGUAACAAAAGGCAUACGGGAAUAUGUUAUGUGAAAAUUGGUGCAUGCUUUAGAUACGGCCAACUGGGACACCAAGUGAGGAACUGCCCAGAACAAAUGAAUUUUGGGAUAGUGAAGCUGCUAUAAUAGUUAAAGUCGGCAAGUAGUGAUGUGUUAGCUGAAAUAAUUGUAUUGAAAAAAAUCAAAACAAGUAACCAAGUACACUUGGGACUUUAACCAUAUAACUGUUAAAUUUCCUCACUCCCAAUCCAACCACGAAAAAUCAAACUUAGAAGCAUACAGGUAUAGAGGCCAGAUUCUUUCUCUCCAAUUUCAUACCUAAUUCCAAACUCUCGAUCUCGACACAAUAAUAAUCAAGUCAGGUCUACAUUUUGACAUCAAAAGAUAAAUGUCAAGAAAGUAUAAAUCUCACAAGAGGGGUAGAAAGUACCUCUAUGGUUGUAGCUAGACUAACUCAAAGUCAAGUAAACACUUAUCACGUCCUCACGGUCAUAGCAAAAGGGAACAUGUCUUAGGUGCGAAUUCCCUUACAAUCUAGCCACCCUCGAGAAAACCCGAGCCAGACUUGUACAAGAGUAGUCCAUGAUAACACUUCCAUAUCAAACCCCCCCUCGAUCAAUCUUGUUACGAGGUCCAAUAUAAAAUCUUCCGUGCCUUGGCCUUUGCCAUCUAGACUUACCUCAAGUUCAAUCAAGAUACAGACCUUUAUUCUCGCGCUCUCCACUAUUUGGUACUCAAGUCCAAGAAUCCACAAUAAGAUAAUUCACAACUCGAGCCGGCCGGUUCCAAGAGUAAAUCAUCCAUAUUAUAGAUUCCUACCCGACAUACAUAUCUAUCUUCCUCAAAUUCCAUGAUAAAGAUUUUUACACUUAUAACAUGCACGAUUCAUAACUUAUGCUCAAACGAGCACUUAGACUCAUUCACGAAAUCAGGACUAUAACACCACUUAGCUCAAACUCAUUCCGCGUAGAGACCACGCGAAGCGGCUCUGAUACCACCUGUGACAGCCCCACCUUACCCUAAGGCGAACCAAUGGGUUCGGCGGACCACCUGUCCAAUUCUCGCCAGGACUACUAAGACAGUUAUACACAAUCUAAGACCUUUCGAAGGAAAAUAGCCCUUACACGAUUCAAAAUAGCAAAACGAAAACGAAAAAAUGAAAAAAAAUCGGAGCCGCAAAUAAAUAGUGACUGCCACGUCACCAUCCAGCCAAAAUCCAAUCGAAUACAGAUAACGUCAUAUAACUCAGGAGAAAUCAUUUCCAAACCAAAUAGGAUACAUGAACAUGGUUAAACAGUUUUAUACACAUACGUUUCAAAUUUACAAAUCCAAAGGGAAAUAUUUGGAUCAAGGUACAUUUAGGGUUUUCCAACUUCCAAGGAGCUAUACAAAAAGGUAUUUAUACAAGCUCUAUUCUUUCUUCAAAAUGAUCAUUGGUCCAAAAGAUGGUUCCCUGUAAGGAAAACAAGGAUAACGGGACGGGGUGAGUUAGAAGCUCAAUGUGGUACCAAAAUUAUAAACAGUAGAAAUCAUGAGAAAAUACUUUUAAGGCACUUAUUCACAUCAAAUACGAGAAAUGAAUGAACACCACAAUGUAAAGGAUACAGGUGGCUCUCAGGAGCCAAAUUCCCGUUGCAAUACUUGAUCCAGCCUCGUUGACCCUCCGUCAACGUUUAAAUAAAGAAACCAGUCCAGUAUAACACCACUUUAACGCCAAAAUCCCGUUCACCAAACAUACCCCCUUACCGGAUCCGAACGCCAAAUAGGAACAGGAAUGGUAAUACUCAAGUAUACCGGAAUCAAGAGUCUCAAUAUCCAAAGAUUCCCAGAACAGACUACCGUGGUUCGUUAUCUAAUCGACCAGGCCCUUGUCGGCUCAACUCGAGUAACUAACCACAGGUGUUGAGCUCAAAGGUCACAGAAAGGUCAUUGGAUACCAACCUCCAAACGACGUCCGAACAGACUUAGAUACAGAUAACCGAUUAUACACAGUAAAUAGGCAUACAGACAGACAGUAAAUAGGCAUACAGACAGACAAGAGAACGAGUGUGAUAAAAUACACCCUCGUCUCAAACAAAAUAAACAGAUAGUACAGUCAUUCAGAUCACAGAUUGCAAAUGUAGAAAUCAAGUUAAGUAACAAAUGAGUGGAGUGGUACACUCACCGGUUCCAGUUCAGAUACUUCAAAAGUUUUUAGCCACGAAACUCUAAAAUAAUCAAGAUAAAACAAUUAUAGUUCGCACAUCCACAAACCCAGUAAAUGAAAUGCAUAAAUGUGGCUCGACUACACGUCGUACGCCUUUCCAGGUUAAGUACUAGUACAGAAGAAUAAAAAUAUGACUUUUGAGUAAAAAAAAAUAACAGUUGGUCCUAGGGUUACAAACAAAUCCCAAAACCCCUUCAUUUUUACCAAGAUCAACUCAACUUGAAGGAAUCGCGUAGCCCUAAAAUUUUGGGCAGCAUGCCCUCUGUAUUUACCUAUUUUCCAGCCAUUUAUAGCUUCAUUAUUUUUCCUCAACUCAAUCCAAUCCAACACAUAAGAAAUCUCAAUACAAUAGCCCUUCAACUAGGCUCAAGUUCAUUCAAAUACAAAGCAAGUCUAGGAAUGCAACUAGAAAUCAAGUUUUAAGGACAAAAGCUAAAUAGCAGGUUUGAUGUCUCUUAACGUAUCGGUCAUAACCGAAGCUACGCUUAUCAGAUUGGGGUACAAUUUAAACCGUUUCGAAGCUAAGAUAAAGGCCUACAACUUUGAUGAAGACCACUUAGUCCAGUUCGUAGUGUAUCUAGGUCAAAACUUCAAAUUACAGAACCAGUAUCUCACAAUCAGACUAGUUAACCACACUAUGAUUAAACGACAAUAACUCAGGUUACCGAAGUCCCAUUGAGGUGUAUCUUAUGGCUUUUCGAAACCAAGACAUAUACCUACAUUUCUUAUGAAGACCUCCAAAGCUGAAUCAUGCAUUUUCAGAGUCAAAAAUAGAAAUCCCCACAAAGACAGAAAACUGUCCCUGAAAAUAGGGCUUUUGGGCAGUCAAGGGUAUUUGGGUCAUUUCAUAUGUUACGGUGCUCUGAUUGAGUUGAAAUUUUAUAGACAGUUAUAAAACAUCAUUUUCUAUAACUUUCAUGUUUUGUGCUAAGCCUAAUUCGGCCUCUAACCUAGUCAAACAGAACCAGGUAGAACAGGGCAAAUUGGAACCCUAACACUGAAAUUUUCCGUUGAAGCUGAAAUUUUCCGCAAUUAACCGCAAUUAACGCGCAAGAGAUCCAUUUAACACAAUUUAGAGCCAUCAAUCCAAGGCCAACCAUAAUCAUCAUAUGAAAACAGAAAAAUUCCAAAAAAAUCAGAAAUUUAGCUAACUUCACUUUAAUCCAUGAAAUCUUCCAUAAAAUCACCUAGUUAGCUACCAUAAGUCACCAAUUGACCAUUAUUAGGAACAAAGAGUGAGUUCCAAGCAAAAUGCCUUAACUCCUCAAGAAAGGUAGUAGCUUAGGGGUUUUUCUUCCAAAACAACUCCACCAAGACCUUUGUUCUUCCUUAGAUAACACUCUUAUGGAAGGGUUUGCGAUUCUAUCGGUUGAAACUCCAAAUUUUAGCAAGAAAUGGAAGGACAAAUUGAAGGUUCUCUCUUGGUUUUUCUCCUUACAAGGGCCGGCCAACAAGUAUAAGAAAUAAAGAUGAUUUUGGUCAAUUUUGAGGUUUAGUAAAGGUGAUGAAAAUUAGUCAAAGUCCAACUUGUAAUAGGGUCAUGACACUUGGCACCUUCUUAAGUUAUUCUUAUCCCUUUGUCUACCAAGCUUAACCUAGAUAACUAUCCUCUACUUAUCUCCUAACACCUUGUAAAAUAAUAUCUCUUAAUACAAAACUUCAAUUAAUCGUCAAAAUUUUAUCGCACUUAACGCACUAGCGGGCCCCACAGCCAUGCUACGCUUCAAACUUACUAUGAACCAACUCAUACCAGGAAAAUGAUUUGAAAAAUGAUAUUCACUUAUAAAAAUGUAUAUAAAGUUAAUAUAUUGAAGGAAAGUAUAAAAUUGUAGACAAGGAAAUAAAAUAAUGUCUAGAAAAUAUAAAAAUUUUCGGGUUCUCACACACCAAUUGUAUGCUAAGUUUAGCAAGUGUGAGUUUUGGUUGAAAGAAAUGACAUUCUUGGGUCACAUAAUUUCUAAGGAUGGGAUAAAAAUGGAUCCCGCCAAAGUUGAAGCUGUUUCAAAGUGAAAAAGAUCGAAAAAUCCUAUAGAGGUUUGAAGUUUUAUAGGGUUAGCAGGGUAUUACCGGAGAUUCAUUAAGGAUUUUUCUAGAAUUGCUGGACCCAUGACUGAGUUGACCAAGAAAGGUGGGAAGUUUAUAUGGAGUUCUAAGUGUGAAGAGAGUUUCCAAGAGUUAAAGAGACGUUUAACAAGAGCGUCUGUGUUAGCUCUACCGAAUGGAAAAGAUAGUUUUGUGGUCUACACAGAUGCUUCCAAGGAAGGCUUGGGAUGUGAUUAAUACAAAAUGAUAAAGUGGUAACAUAUGCCUCUAGGAAAUUGAAACUGCAUGAAAGAAACUACCCAACUCAUGAUUUGGAGUUAGCGGCUGUGGUGUUCGUUUUAAAGAAAUGGAGGCAUUACCUGUACGGAGUAACAUUUGAGAUUUUUACUGACCACAAAAACCUUAAAUAUUUAUUUUCUCAAAAGGAACUAAAUUUGAGGCAAUGUAGGUGGAUGGAAUUUUUGAAAGAUUAUGAUUGCACGAUAAAGUACCAUCCAGGGAAAGCCAAUAUAGCGGCCAAUACUUUAAGUCGUCAAGUGCAAGUGGCCGGAUUGAUGAUUAAGGAAUUACACUUGUUAGAAGAAAUUAGUUAUUGGAAUCUUAGACUUGAACCGAGGAAAGUAAUUCUUAAGAAUAUUGUAGUGAAUUCCACUUUGUUGGGACAUAUUAAAGAGACUCAGAAAAAGAACCCUGAAGUGCAAAGGUGGGUGGAGAAAGUCAAAAAGGGAGAAAAGUCAGAUUUUAACUUGGGGACGAAUGGUAUAUUGAGAUUUCAGAAUCGGAUAGUAGUGCCAAAGGAUGAAGGGCUUAAGAAGAGACACACCGAUCGAAGUUCACGGUACACCCAAGAGGGAAUAAAAUAUACCAAAACUUGAAGAGUCUGUAUUGGUGAGAGAGCAUGAAAAAGGAGAUUGCCCGAUUUGUCCAGACCUGUUUAGUUUGUCAACAAAUUAAAGCUGAACAUCAGAAACCAUCAGGACUUCUACAACCUUUGGAGAUACCGGAGUGGAAAUAGGAAAACAUCACCAUGAAUUUUGUAUCAGGAUUACCGAGAACACAAAGAGGUCAUGAUGCCAUUUGGGUAAUAGUAGAUAGAUUGACCAAAUCGGCUUAUUUUCUGCCGAUUAAUAUGAAGUACCCAUUGAAGAAAUUGGCUAAAUUGUAUUUGGAUGAGAUUAUCAGGUUACAUGGGAUACUUGUAAGUAUUGUGUCCGAUAGAGACCCAAGAUUUGUUUCAAAAUUUUGGCAAAAGAUGCAAGAAGUAUUGGGGACUAGAUUGAACGUUAGUACUACAUACCAUCCCCAGACCGAUGGACAGUCUGAAAGGACGAUUCAAACCCUUGAGGACAUGUUAAGGACUUGCGUUUUGGAUUUUGGAGAGAGUUGGAGUAAAUUUUUGACAUUGGUGGCAUUUGCCUAUAAUAAUAGCUUCCACUCUUCUAUUCAAAUGGCUCCAUAUGAAAUACUUUAUGGUCGGAAGUGUAGAUCUCCGAUUUGUUAGGAUGAAAUAGGUGAACGCAAAAUUUUAGACCCAACUACCGUGUCUUGGAUUAAGGGGGCUAAUGAAAAGGUGAAGUUGGUAUGGCAAAGGAUUCAGACCGCACAAGAUCGUCAGAAGAGUUAUGCAGAUAACCGAAAGAAGGAUUUAGAAUUUGCGGUUGGAGAUCAAGUAUUUCUUAAGAUUACACAUCUGAAAGCAAGUUUAAUGUCUGGAAAAGAAAAGAAGUUACAACCGAGAUUUGUAGGGCCGUACAGGAUUAUUCAACGUGUAGGAAAUGUGGCCUAUAAGUUGGAAUUGCCACCAAAUUUGUCUCGGAUUCACAACGUUUUCCACGUGUUCAUACUUAAGAAAUAUCACCCAGACCCUUCUUAUAUUUUGCAACCGAAAAGUAUUGAAAUUGAUGAGACACUGACUUACGAGGAGAAACCAGUAAAACUUUUGGAUCGUAAAGUGAAAGAAUUGAGAAACAAGCGGAUUCCAUUGGUGAAAGUUAUUUGGAGGAAUCAUGGAAUAGAGGAAGCAACCUGGGAAGUUGAAAAAGCAAUUCGAGUAAAGUAUCUAGACCUGUUCGCAGAUCAAGAUAAAUUUUGAGAACGAAAUUUUCUUAAGGGGGAGAGGGUGUGAGGACUCGAAAAUUUACUUAUUUUAAAUUCUUAUUACUAACUUAUUUAAAUAUUUAAUUACCCGUUUACUCCGAAUAUUUUAUUUCAACCUUUUUAGACCCAAUUACAUGGAACUAUGACUUACUUAUAUUUUUAAAAUGACUCGUUUCAAAAUUUAAUUUUUGAAAGAUCGUUAAGUGAGAAUAGUGAAUACGCAUUUGGAGAUAAUAAAUGAUUUGAGGAUAUAGUGAGGUUGGAGAGUGAAGACUCAUACAUUAGUCUCUAAAUAGUUAUUUUUAUGUCUAAGUACUCAAGUAUUAGUUAGUAAUACUAUUGUUACAAGAAUUCCUUAGAAAUUUCGCUCUAUCGCGCACAAAUCGUAAAGUACGCGUUUUCGCGCACACGAUUAAUUGAGAGACUUUAGACCUUUAUUUUUUUAGACUAUUUAGAGUGAAUAAUAAUAGUAUGGAUGGAAGUGCAUUUGAGGUUUAGUGCACAAGUGAAACAAACCCGAGAGGAAACGAGUACGAAACGCGCGCGAACGCGCACUAUUCCUAGUUGACUUUUAGAGCACUUUUUGGCCACACACUUAAGCUUCUCAAGGAAGCUUCAUCAUCAGCCAAACACACACACUCUCUCUCUUUGUUCUUGCUGGCCAGCCAUCCCAAGGAAGAAACAAGACCAAAAGCUCUUCAUUUUCUUGCUUCAUUUCUUGUCCAAAUCACUCCAAAAUUUUAGUACACCUUGCAAACUACUUGGAGAUCAACUCAAGCUAGGAAAGGAGCUUCAUUUGCACGAUUUUUUUGAGUUUCAAAGGACCGAAAAUUUCUGUUUUAGUCAUCUAAGGAGGUAACAAAUGAUCAACCUCUUGAAUCUUGGCUUAUAUAAGUUAUAUUGCACUUGUAAACUUAUAGCUGCAUGUAGGUAGCUCUAUAUUAUUGGAAAUCUUGGAAGUGGGCUCUAUGAAAUUCCACAAUGGACUUGAUGAGCUGGUUUGAUGAUAUUGGGUAUUAUUUAUGUUGGAUUAGUGCUUAAUCUAGUGGAUAUAAGUUGUAUUGUGGAAGAAAACUCAAAGGGAGUGAAAUAAGGAAAAGGGACGGUUCUGCCCCUGUUUUGCCGUACCCCUUUAGUGCAAUUUUUGUGGUCCAAUUGACUUGAUUUUGAUAUAAAUAUGUAAUAUAGAUUGUGUAGAAAGUUUCCUCAAAAAAUUACUUGAUUUGGUUGGGUAAAAGUUGAGAUUUCGAAAUUUCACCAAAACUGGAAAACGUGACCAGAGUCUCUCUGGCAGUGAUUUUGUAUCGACCAUAACUUUUUGCUCCAAUGUCGAAAUUGAGUACUGUUUAUGGCAUUAAAACCUAGACAUUUUCAGUUUUCCAUCGGUAUAAAAUGUAUUCCCUGAUUCCACCUGAGUGAACCGUACCAAUCGUUUGAAGAUGCCUAUCCUGUUUCACGGAUUUACUGGAGUGCAUGUUAUGAGCUGCAACUUGAUGUGCGAAUAUGAGUUAGUUGUGGAUAGAAUUUUAAAAUGAUUCCUUCUGUGAAAUUGUAGCCUUAUGAAUGUAGUUUUCAACGCCAACAAGCACACUCAAUUCCAAGUUGAAUUGAGUGAGUUAUGGCCAAAUUUCAAACCUGCCUCGUUGCUUGAAAACCCUAAAUUUGGGCUGGUCAAUGGCUAAUCUUGAUUGGGAGUUGUUAUUUCGAAACUCUUGGUGUUAAUCACCUAUAAAACACAUUUUUUGAUGUCUCUUAGACAUUGUCUUCAUAAAUGGAUCAUGUUUGAAAAGAUUUUAUUGGCCAAAUGAUUGAGAAAAGAAAAACGAAAGUGCAAGGUUGAUUUGCCUUUGGAAAUCGUGGAAAUUUAGUGACUUUGUUGCCCAACUUUCCGUGCAAAUUUUUACAUAAAAAUUGAUAGAGGAAUAUCUCUCAUAUGGUAGGGUAAUACUACCAAAUUUGAUGCCCUUCCAGGUCCAUUUUGAUGCUCAACCAAAGUCUUAAAGUUUCCAUUUUAAAUCUGGAAAACUCUUGUUUGGUGAGGAAAUUUCAGUAACUUUGAGCCACUAUAUCUUGGUGCUCGAAACUCUGAUUCUUGUUUCACUUGUUGUGUUUUAAACUUUGAUUGUAACUCUAAUUGUGUUCCAAAUUUCAGAGGCUAGUUCGCAUUGUGUGAAUUUUACCGAAUUUCCAAACUUUGCCAAAAAUCAACCCAAAUCUGUCUUGGUAUUCCAAAAUAGCACCUUGGACCCAAAAUUUGAAUGUCUUCCAUUUGGAAUCAUGGAAAUGUGCCUUCUAGGAACUUUUAGUACUUUGGAAGUAGUUUCCAACGGUACCAAGUUUUCCAAUUUUGAACUUACCGAGUGCAAGUUUUGAUUUUUCAAAGAUUGCGUGUUGAAUUUGAAAUUUUCAAACUUAAAGGAAAUUGAGUUUUUAGAACUCUCCAUUUUUCCUUCGAUACCACUUGACCGUUUUACACUCGAUUUCAAAGAUAAAAAUCAGAUUUCUUUUGUGUUUUAAAACCCCACUUUUGAGCCUCGAUUUACGAGUAAUUAAGGCUCAUUUUCGUGAUAUCUUCUUAGAUUGUACACUAGUACAAUCUUCUUCGAUAAUUAGGGGUCUUAAGCGAUAAUGUGUAAUAGUUUAUUAUUAAUUGCUCAGGCACUCAAGAGGACCUUUUAGAGGAUCCCACGGUGGACGCCUGAACCCUCAAGUGUACUUUACUUUUUGAGUUAUUUGGUGAGUGUCAAGUGCAUGAAUAGUUGAAAUUAUGGGAAUGUGAUACAUGUUCAAUUGUUAUUGUCGGUUGGAAAUUUUGAAAAUGGAGUCGAGUGUGUACUUUACCGCACUCGUUCUCAUUUGAAAUGAAUAACUCAUGAAUGACUUGCUUGAAAUGAAAUGAAUGAUUGAAUGUAUUGAAUGCUUGAAUGACAUGAAAUAGUAUGCUAUGGUUGCAUACGUCGUGGAGUGAAUCUCCUCGACUCACAAAUGUUACAUGGGGGACGCCCAAACUCAUAAGCCGACCUUGGGACUCGAGCCGGCAUGGGUUUGGUCGAGAACCUCGGUGAGCCAUGUGAAUAACAUGAUAAGCUUGAUCUAUUGGAGAGAUCUUGCUUGGCCUACUCGUGCAGUAGCGCCUUUAUCGUCGUUCGGGCCCGGUGGGGGGUUGUAAGGUGGAAGGACAUGUGAAGUAAAGUGGAGUCUACGGAUUGGAAAUACCGACCCGGUUAACGGAGAGUCACCACGGGAAGAUAUACAAUUGAGAUCUGGCAAAGCAAGUGGAACUUAGCUCCUGAGAGCUACCAUAUCCUUGAAUUGUUUCUAUUUAUAUUUCACUUGAAUUGUUAGUUACUCGAUUAUUAUCAUUUUUCUUGUGAAUUGGGAUUGUUAUUUGGACAACGUACUUGCAUGUGUGUUUCUUGGCCUCACGAGCGAUUGCUCACCCCAUAGAUUUGUUUUCCUUAACAGGAAUGGACGUGGAGUGAGACUCGAAGAAACCUUUCUGUUGUACUUUUGUGUUAAGAUUCCAAAUAUAAUUGACUAGACAUUGUGGCUGUUGUAUAUUUUGGAAGUUUAUGUAUCUUUUGGGAACCAAUGUAAGAAUUGGAUGAUUGAUGUAUUUUUGGAAUUAGUGGUGUAAGUUUUAAUGUUAUUUAUGGGAGCGACUUAUCUUUCUUACAUUGUUUUGUCGUGAUAGCUAGUAUUGUAAUAAGUUUGAACGGGAGUUAUACCGAGUCCUGGCGAGAGUUGGACAGACGUCUCGCGGAUACUCUUUGGUUCGCCUUAGGGAGAAGUGGAGGCGUCACAGCCACCACUAUAUUUCUCCCUAAAAGAGCAAAGUUUGUUAUACAUGAUGUACUCCUCUCCAAGUCUCAAAGAAAUUUAUUCAAAAUAUAUCAACAUAGAUAUCAUAUUGAGACACUAAAUGAGACAAUAAUGGGAAUUACGUUUAGAAAUCAAAUGAGACAAAAGUUGAUUAUAUCCCAAAACCCAUUCGAGGAACAAAUGGUUAUUGAUAUAGUUAUCUUCAUUCUCACUUGGUUAAAAUCAUCACCCACAAUAAAUUAGAAGUUUACAAUGCUAGUGGACUUAUGAUUUGGUAAAAAGUGAGAAUUUGUAUGAUUUUAAAGGUUGACAAAUACUCAUACAUACCCCUUUAUAUUAUAUGUGGUUUCAACAAAAAUUUGAAAAUCUAUGUUGGGUAUGGAUCACUUUUUAUAAUUAAACAUCAUAAAAUAUUGAUGGGUGAUCUAUUGAAUGAUUUAUUGUGGAAAAAUGAUCAACUAAAAAAAAUCACUUAGAAAAUAUCAUUGGAUUUCCUUGAUUCUCAUACCAAGAAAUAUGAACUGAAAGUUUAAAAGAGUAUUCGUUUGCAGAAAAUUGCAAAUCAAUUGUUAGAUAUGUUUAUAAUCUCCAGAAGAGUUAUUAAAUCAAAUAUUCUUGCAAAAUAUACUCUAGUUAAAAUUGAUGUUCAUGAAAGAUACAUACGAGUGUUGCAAAUGAAUUUAAAACCGGCUUAUCUAAAUAGAUAUCCUGGUUUCAAAUAUUUUCAAAAAUUAAAUAAAUGUUAGCACAAAAUUCAAUUUCCUGAAGAAAUCACUCCUAAAGAGCUUACUCUUAAAGAGCAUGAAAACAUAGGCAAUUUAAAGUUGGACCCUAAAUGAAUAUAAAUAAAUACUUUUACAUAUAGUGUGAGAACCCGUAAAUUCCCCUAAUAUUUUCCUAGGGUUUUUCCCCUUUAAUGGCAUGUUUUCUGCAUUUUCUGGUUUAGAAAAAUUUUCUUGGUGGAUUUUAUGAGUAAUUAUAGUUUUUAGAUGAUUUUUUCUAGCAUUGGAUAGUUUUUGAAAAAUUACGGAUAUAUAACGGACGUGGGCCCCACUAGUGCGAAAAGUUCGGAAAAAUUCGGCCAAUUAGGUUGAGUUUCGGAUACUGGUUGAAAUUUAUCGGGUAUUAAGAGAUAAGUAGAGGAGGUGAAGUGAUUGAGGUGAGAGGGAAAAAGAAGGAUAGACUUGCAUUUAUGGAGUGACAAGUGUCACAUGGCCAUUGGUUGUCUUUGUUGACAACUAUUCACUUUUUGACUUGUCUUACCAAGUGAUUAAAUAUCUCAAAAAAAUCACCAAAAUUCACUCUUUCUUUCUCCCUCUUGGUCGGCACUCUUGAGCAAAGGAAGGAAGAGAACUCUUCAAAAUUUUAGCUACCAUCUAGUGCAAAUCAUCCAAACCAAUUGCUUAAAUUUGUUUCUACUCCAUAAAAUCCCUCCAUUUGGUGCUAGUAAGUGAUUUUGUGGAAGUGUUCAAGGAAGCUAAGGUGUCCUACAACUCUCCCUCUCUUGUUUACUAGGUGAGUGGUGAUUGAACUUCCUCCUACACUUAAUGAAGCUUAAGUUGUGCUUAGGGGUAGCUAAAGUGCUGAAAUUUGUGGUUUAUUUCUUGGUUUGAGAUGAAUUGGUGAAGUUUUUAAUUUAUUGAUGAUUUUGCUGGUUUAAUUUGAUCAUGAUGUUGUGGUUAUCUAUGAUGGUUGGUAAUGAAGGGUAAUGACUCUAGUAGGUGUACAUGAUUGGUAAUUGCAAGCAAUUUUGGGUUUGGAAGGAAUUUGAGAAAGUUAGGGUUUUAUAUCCCCAAUUCUGUCCGGUUUUGUAUCUCAUGGUUAGAGGCCGAAUUGGCCUUGGCUUAAAACAUGAAAGUUGUAGGUAUUGAUGUGUUUGAGGUUCCUGUAAAAUUUCAGAUUCAUCGGAGUUGUGUAGAGUGAGAAAAGUCGAUUUUACUGUUGCUGUUCUGGGUUCUUCAGGAUGGCCGAACUGCGCCUGUAAUUGGCUGUUUUGACUGGAAUUGCUUUGGAUUUGGUUGUUGAGGUCUUCUGAUGAAAUGUAGCUUGAUGUCUUAGCUACCAUAUGCCUUUGGAAUCAAUGAAUUUGGACUUUUAUAGACUGAGUUGGAUUAAUUACAGCAUAGUGUAAUUUGUAAACCUGCAAUUAAGGUUCUGGUUUGGUAUUUUGCAUAUUUGACCUAGUUGUGCUAGGAUUUGGACUGAGUGACCUUCUACAUUGUUGUAGCCCUGUCUUUUAGCUUCGAGAUGGUGGGUCUUGUACCCUCAUCCGAUAAGCGUAGCACAAUUUGUGCCAUUACCACAUAAUGAGGACAAAACUGUUUUUGUUGUUAGGGCCAAGUUAGUUACAUUUCCUGAUUUUCUGGUUUGCUAUAAUGCUUAUAUAUGCAUAUGAAACCCUAUUGGGGUUGUGAUUGGCAUGGCUUUAUGACUCGUUAUCGAGUCUCAUUGUAUUUGUUUGUAUGUUUUAGGACGUGACGGGGGUUCACGACGUCCUUUUAACGACGGUGCGUGAAACAUCACCUACUUGAUUGGUGAGUAUACUACUCACUUGAAUGUUUAUAAUGUGGCUUUUCUAUAUGUGAUUGUGAUGCCUUGAAGGCUUGUUUGGCUAUUGGAAAGGAUUAAGGUGGGGGUGUACUUGACCGCCCUCAUCCUUUUUAUCUUGUUAAUGACUGUUUACCGUUUCACUGUAAUACUGCACUUGCUAUAUGAGAUAUUGAAUUCCAUUCAUGGGAAACUGAUUGGGUGUCAGUUGGACGAGUAUCCAACGGCCCUACUGUAUUACUGAGCUCGACCCCGUUGGUAGUCACUUGAAUCGAGCCAGCGAGGGCUUGGUCGUGAAAAUUGACUAGCCACGGGGACUGAAAUGGGAAUCUUGUGGUAAUGAGACCUUUGGUUCCGGUGUACUCGAGUAUCACCUAAAGUUUGAGCGCGCUUUUACUUUCCCGAAACGUUUUAGAUCGCGUGUAACUGCUCGUUAGUCCUGGCGAGAGUUGGGCAGGCAGUCCGCUAACCCCUUUGGUUCGCCUUAGGGGAAAGUGGGGCUGUCACAUAUAGCGUAACAAAUGAUAUUAUGAAAGGAAAUGAGGAUCAUGAUAAUAUAUCGAUUGAUGAAUAUUGGCAUGGAAAUGAUUGGUCAAAAGUGAAAGAUGUGAUCCAAUCUAAAUCAGAUGAUUCAUUAGCAAAAUAAAAAGUCUUUGGACCCGUGGUCUAUACACCCAGAAAGUGUAAAGUCAGUGGGACAAAACUGAAUAUUUAUAAGAAAUGAGAAAAUGAAAUUGUGAGAUAUAAAAUAAGAUUUGCAAUCCAAGGACUUUUCACAAAAAUUUGGAUUUGAUUAUGAUGAGACAUAUUCACCUAUAGUGGAUGUGAUCAAAUUUAGAUACCUUGUAAACUUAGUAGUGCAUGAAUAGCUAGAUAUGUGUCUAAUAAACGUCGUCAUGCCUUAUAGAAAUUUUGAUAAUGAUAUUUACAUGAGAAUCCCUGAAGGAUUGUAAAUCAAAUCCUAAUGAAAUUUAAUCCAUCAAAUUACAAAGACCUUUGUAUGGGAUCAAGCAAUUUAGACGUAUGUGGUAUGGUUACCUUAGUGAGUGCUUACUUAAGAAAAGUUAUGCAAAUGACCCAAUAUGUUUAUGUGUUUUCAUAAAGAGAGAUGGGCCAAAUUUUAUAAUUAUUGCUGUAUAUGUUGAUGAUUUUAAUUUGAUCGAAACUCCUAAAGUGCUCACAUGGAAGAUGAUAAUUUUUGUUAUCAAUCUGCUUAUAUCCAGAAGAUAUUAAAGUGAUUUUAUAUAGACAAAAACAUCCAUUAAGUAUCUGGAUGGCCAUAUGGUCAUUUGAUCCUGAUAAAAUCCUUUUAGACUGCAAGAAAUAGAUAAAGAGAUACUUGUAUUGAAAUACUAUAUCUAAGUACAAUUAGUGCACUAUUAUAUCUUGCUAAUUGUACAAGACCGGAUAUAACAUGUGUAAUGAAUUUAUUAACAAGAUUUAGUUCCUUUUCUACAAGAUAACAUUGAAAUAGUAUCAAAUAUAUUUUUUGCUAUCUCUAAGGACCAAUUGAUUUUGACUUAUUUUAUUCAAAUAAAUCUCACUCUGAACUGCUUGGUUAUGCAAAUGUUGGAUAUGUAUCUUACCCAUAUAAAGUAAGAUCUCAAGUGGCUUGUCUAUUUACAUGUGAUGGUAUAGCCAUUUCAUGGUGAUCUACAAAAUAAUCGAUAACUGCCACCUCUUCAAAUCAUGUUGAAAUAAUAACAGUACAUGAGGCGAGUCGAGAAUAUAUUUGGUUAAAAUCAAUGGUCCAUUAUAUUCAAAAAAAAAAUAGUGGAUUAUUCUGUGAAAAAGAAAGUCCUCCAAUUAUAUUAUAUGAAGAUAAUGCGCUUUCAUAAUUCAAUUUAAAGGAGGAUAUAUUAAAGAAAAUAAGACGAAACAUAUUUCAUCAAAAUUCUUCUUUGCUCAUAAUCUAAAAAAAUGAUAAAAUUGAUGUGAAAUAAAUCCAAUCUAGCAAUAAUUUGGCAAAUUUAUUUAUCAAGGCAUUUUCGAAUGCAACGUAUAAGCAACUAGUGAAAAAUAUUGGAAUGCAUCGGCUAAAGGAUCUCAGUUGAUAUUUGGAUCAGGGAAAGAGAUUAAAACACAAGAAUAGUGUAUUCUUUCCCUUCACUAGAAUUUUUUUCUCACUGAAUUUUUUCUAGUAAAGUUUUAAUGAAACAUAUUCUUUAUGUAAUAAACAUUCAAAGGGGAGUGUAAUCAAAUAAUCAAAUAAUGAAUGGAUGUCUAUCAGAAACUAUCGCUAUUUUCAAGAAGAUAUAGCCACUAUCUUGAUAAGAAUUAUAUUUAGUUGAUAUAUUUUGAACUCUCCUGUACUCCCCUAUAAACAGGAGUCACCUUGUGUUGUAUAAGGUAUAUAUAACUCAAGAUCAUUUGAAUCGAUAAAAGAAUAGUUCUUCUUUUUGUUUAUUUUUCUCUUUUCCUAAGUUCGUUAGUUUUCUUGAUUUUUUAACAUAGUGCCCACUAUAUAUACAACACAAAUCCUACAUCACAUUAGUAUUAGUUUUAUAACAAUAUUUUCAUAAUUACCAUCUGUUUGUUUAGAUAACAUCUGAACAUCCUCAGUUGAAGCACACUAAUAGUCAUGUUUAAUUGUUUAAUUGACUCAAUUAUAUAUGUUUGGAGUGAUUAAGCAGCAGUGACAAUCACUUACAACAAGGCGUUAGGAUAAAGAUUUGUCUUUCACUCCACCGAAAAAAAAAAAGCUUCAGAUGGGCCUUUUUCUUUUAUACUGUUCCAAUCCCAAUUAGUUUUUAAAUAGACAUUGGCAACAAUAGCAAUUUUGUUUUUAUAUCUUAAAAUUUGUUACAUGGCUUUCUAGAGGCUUGGAAAAAUUAUAUGGUCGUACUAUAAAGAAAGCACAAAAGAAUCUUUCUUCAAUGCCUUAAGUGAAACUUUCUGUUUUUCAAAAUUGUUAAAAGAAUCAUGAACUUGUCCUUUAACUCUCUAAUCCUUCCCGUUUGAGAUAUAUGACAAAAACCAUUUUUUUAAAAUGUAUUUCCCUUCUCAUUGCUGCAAUAACUACUACCAUUGUAUUUUUCUCUGAUAUGGGGACGAAAUGAUAAUUAUCCAAUGUCCAUGAAAAUUGUUUUAGGAAUACCGUAUGGCUCGGACAUAUGACUUGUGGUUGUGGGUAACAUAAUCAUUCGAUUUUUAUAAUUUUGAGAGAUAGAGAGACCAUUUUUAUAAAGUACUUGGUUCAAAAAAAUAUUUGUUACAAGUUGGACAAACCAAUUGCCCGAUUGGACGUGCUUAUCUAGUAAAGCCAUAAAGGCUAAAUAAGUAACCUUGUCAAUGAGGAUAAGUGUUGCUACGUCGCAUCAAUGCGGCCACAUCACGUCCGGAGAGAAAACAAAAGCUACUUAGCUUAUCAGCAUAUGAAAAAUGUUUUUUCUAUUUUGGAUAAGCAUACAAGGGGAGGGAUGAGGCCAUUAUUAUUCGUUGGUGAAUUAAGUAUAAACUUUUUCCUUCAAAAAAAAAAUUAAGUAUAAACGUAAAUCUUUUAUUGACUCCGUAUGGCUGUUAUCAUGUCUCCUAAAUACAUAAUAUAAGAACUUCCAAAAAUUAGACUAUUAGAAUUUUUUAACUAUUGAAAAGCCUUCUCUAUAUAUUACCCUAAUAAGAACACUGAGUAAGUGCAAAGUAAAAAGGGAAAGUAAACUCACUAUAAAAUUUUAAAAUCAUUUUAAAAUUUUGUAGAGUUUAAAGUUUUACAAAUAGGUAAUAGUUACUUCUGCUUGGUAUUCAUUUUGCUUAUGAUACAAAAUAAAAGAACCGCUAUUGAAAUAGUGACAAAUUUAUGGAUUUAUACUCUCGUAAAUAUAGAUUCAGAUUCUUUGUAAUAACAAUUCACGGUAGAAGAUGAAUUAAUUUGAAAUUUGAUCGUUUGGAUCAAAUCGUGGACAUAAAUUUUAAUAGGGUUAAUUUCAAAAACCUUCUUUGAGGUUUGUGAUAAUAUCACUUAGUACUUUUGAACUUUAAAAAAUAUCACCUCCUUCCCUUAUUUUUGACUUUUUGUAAUUUUGUCAAUCCAUUUCAAUCUAUAUUAUUAACAAAAUCAUUUUUGAUGAGAGAAUAUGUUUUCAUGCCAAAUUCGCCCUUUUGUUUCCUACUAAUUUUCCAAAAUUAAAAGUAUGUUACUAAAACUCUGAAAAUAAAAAAAUAAUGUAAAUGGGUAAUUCUUAUAGGAUAAAAUAUACAGGUACGUUUCUCUAAAGUACAAAAAAUUAGACUUUAAAAGUAUGUUUAAGGUGUUUCGAGGUGAAAAAAUUAUUUCAUUUAUUAUAAGUUGUUUUCAAUUAAUUUGAGGACUUUUAUAAAAUUUUUAAAUUUUUUGAAGUUUCAUAAUUUUUUGUAUAUAUUGAUGCCUUGAGUGUUAGAAAAAGGCAAAAUAUUCAAAAUUAUGUUUACAAACUCAUUUGAGGUAUUUUAAAAAAUGAACAACUUAAUUUCUUUAUUGCAAAGUAUUUUUGCAUGAAUUUAAGGAUUUUAUAAAUUGUUUAUAAACGUUUUCAAUGUUCUAACCUUUGUGUCCAAAUUGAUGGCUUAAAAACAAGAGAAAGACAAAAUUAUUAAAAUAUAUUUAAAAUCACCUAUAAGGUCUUUUCAAUGUACAAAAUCCUUCAUUAUCAAAAAAUUUAGGGUUACUUUUAUGAGUUUCCGAAAUUAUUUAUAAUUUGUAUUUUUUUUACAUUUUCUAUCCGAGGCGAUGAGAUUGAAAACUGUAAAAGGUAAACUCAUUAUUAGUAAUUCUUCAGGAAAGUUAACAAAUUAACUUGAUUUGUUAUGAAAACUAAAGGUUUACAAGAAAAGGUCAAUUUUAGAAUGGAACUAUCAUAUCUCUCCCAAAAUGAGUUUUUAAAUCAUAUUUUUCAAAAUAAGUUGAUAAAGCUACAAAAAGUUGGAAAAUAAGAUAGAUAGGUGAUUCUUUUCAAAAUUUAAGGAUACUAAGCGAUAUUAUAACAAACUUCUAGAGAAGGUUUAGGAAAUUAUUCUCGUUUUAAUAAGUGAAAAUAUUUGUUGUUUGUAGUUAUUUUAGUGCCUUAACUAAUACUUAUUUACUGCAGUUUGACAAAAAAAAAAAAAACUAAUACUUAUUUACUGCAAGUUGGUCUACGUCCUGGAUCCCAUAAAUUUGCGGUCCUACCAAAGCUAACACGAAUAGCGCGCAAUAGCGAUGGAACAUUGAAGAUUCCAUUACGCUAGGAAGACGUUGAACGUUCCUGCCGUAGGUACACCUGCCAGAAAUAACACGUGUUGUAGUCCUAUGUGCUGGUCACGUGGCCGUUAAAUCAGAGAGGGAUGCCCAACGCGCGUGGACAUGAAACAAAAUGGAACGUGUCCGGAUGCAAGGAAAUACCAACGAAUUCCGUAUGCUGGUGGCUGCUUAGGAAAGUAAAAGACGGGAUAAUUGCAGGAUUGUACCCAUAGGUAAAUGGUAUUUGCAAUGUCCCUUUUUUUAUCAUAAAAAUAACAUUUUUAUUAUCUAAUAUAUACUAUUUUAGGGGAAGGGAAACUUAAUCGACAAACAUCAUUGAAAAGCAAUAUUUGAACCCUUAACCUCUCACCCGCAAUCAAAUCUUAAAAUUUUGGUAGUGAUCAAUAGGGGUGUGCAAAGUCGAAAAAUUCCGAUUUUGAGAUCGAUUUCGAAUUGAAUUCGGAAUUUCGAAUUCGGAAUUUCGGUAAUUUGGAGUUGAAUUCGGUAAUUCCGAUUUCGAAUUGGUCGAAAUCGGGUCGAAUUCGAAAAUAUAUUUUUUGAAAUCGGAAUUACCGAUUUCGAAUUGGGGAAUUCGAAAUCGGAAUUCGAAAUCGGAACUAUGAUUUCGAUUUCGUUUAAUAAUAUAUAUAUAAUAUAAUAUUUUUUAACAAUAUAUUAUUUAUGUAAUAUAUAAUUUAUAUUAUAUAACAUAAUAAGUUAAUAACAAUAAUACUAAUACAUCUAACAAUUAACAAAAAUUACAAAACAACCUAUCAACCUCCAAAAUGACAAAAAAGCAAAAGCGCAAAUUGAAAUUGCAAAACCUAAUCUGUUAGCUCUUCCGCCUCUUCCUCAUCGUCUCUCAAGUCUCACUAUCUCACCGCCUUCCUCCGCAUCCACCGCCUCCACCUUCCUUCCUCAUACUCUUUAGUCUUUAUACUCAUACUCUUUAUCUGAUCUAAGGGUGGCAGAAUACACAUCUAUAAUUAUGAUUGGUUCUUGAAUGGUAUCACUACUUCCAGGAUGGGAGCCAUGUGAAGCCACCAAGCAAAGCUCUGCCAUUCCUCAGAAACACCCACAGUAUUCGGUAACCCUUCUUCUUCUCUUUCCAAUAGCUUCUGAUAUCAAAGCCUCUGCCUUUUUGCUUUGGAUUGCUCUGUCCCUCCCUAUCUUAGACUCAUCCUCUCGUGGAUUUUAUUUCAAUUUUGAACCAUCGGGUAGGAAACAAUAACGUCCGCAAUUUUAAAAAUAAGGGAAAUGUAUCUUUUUUCAAUGUUUUCUUUUGGUAAUUUUAGAUGAAGGGAAGUCAAAAUCAUGGACAGGAGAACCUGAACCUGUGACCCAAAUUGGGGUAACGGAAACUGUUGCCAUGUUGGAUUCUUAGUCUAGACAAAAAAAAAAAAGAGGAAAGGAUCCAAUUUGUCCUUUUUCCCCUUUGUUGGAUUAACCAUUCCAGUACUGUGUUCCACCAUUCCAGUACUGGGGAAGUUAUUAAAUACGAACAGGUUUUUCCAUUUUUGAACAGGGGAAAAAAAAAGGGAACAGGUUUGAAUUCGGUGAAUUCGGAAUUCACCGAAUUCCGAAUUCAAUUCGGAAUCGAAUUCGAAAUCGGAAUUGGCCAAUUCGAAUUCGAAAUCGGUCGGGAAAAUUCAUGUCCAAAUUUCGAAAAAUUUCGAUUUCAAGCUUCCGAUUUACCGAAUUCGAUUUCGAUGCACAGCCCUAGUGAUCAAUAGACCAAAUGGUUAUUGGCAUUUGCAAUGCCCCUGACGAGGAAUGAAAAAAUGUGCCAACCCCCCUUAAAAGUAAUUCAGUCUAAAGAAAGUAAUGAAAUUAAAAUGAAUAAUAAUUAAAAUUUUGACACGUGUGGGGAGAAGAAAUUGGAAGGACAAAAAUUUGAGGUCAAUGUAUUAGUUGUGUGUACAUUUAAAAUAAAAAAGGAGUCAUCUAUUUAUAUAUUAUAUAUUUGAAAACAACUUUUUAGCCUGAGCAUCCCAAUGAGCUUUCAACUCUCCAUUCUUUUUUUUUUCUCAAAUUUUUGAUUUAUUUUAAAUGAUCAAAAUAUCAUUAAUGCCUUUUUUAUUUGGAUUGAAUCUAAUUAUGUGCUUUUAUUCGUUAAGUUUAGUCUCUAAAACUAUACACUUCCAAAUAUGGCUUAUCAAAAAUAGGAAAGAAAUGUUAUUUGCCUAGAAUUAACAAUCUAAAAUUUUAUCUCUUACUAACGUUACCAAAAUUAGAAUCAACAAUUAAAUUUUAUGAACUCAUAUUGAGGAAACCUCUCUCAAUUCCUUUAUUCUUUUUAUUAAUCUAACCAAAAGUAAGCAUGACAAUCUGAUAACUAUAAUACGAAACUAAGGAAAUAUAUUUGGAAUUGGUUGAUUUUACUGAAAAUACCCGUGAACAAUUUAAUGAUUUGAACACCAUAUUAAGGAAAUUGUUAAUAAUUAAAUGAUUUGAAACUAAAUUAAGGGAACUUCUUCACUUUUUUGCAAAGCCCCAAAUUGGGGUAGGGAUGCCAUCCCCUAAUUUAUUUAUACCGAAAAUAAAAAAGAAAAAAACAAAUUAGAGGGGGCCAAACCUGACCACUGUUGAAGUAAAAAAAGAACACACGAACGAAAUCAACCACACGAGGGAGCCCCACAUUUGUGAGACUGUGAGUGAGCAUGGGCCUUUGGUUUAACAUCUUGACGUGUUUGCAUUGUUUUACCUUGUUUUGAGAGCUGCUUCCUCGUUUUCUUUGAUAUCACUUGGGUAAACUGCUCGUGAAUUAGAGUCUGGUCGUGAUAUUCGUCUUUAUCACGUUGCGAAUCAUCCUUUCCCUCUCCAUUUUGGUCUGAAUGAAGAAAAGGUUUUAGAUGAACGAGAGGAAUCUUCCCAUGUAAUUUCUCCCAUUGAAACUCUUCGAACACAUCUUUAAACUGUGGCACAUUUUCAAACUGGGACUUUUCCGUUUCUGUUCUUGUAAUUGUACCCACAAGGGGUGUGGCUCCAACUAAUACCACAUUAUGUGAAUCAUGACUUUUGGCUACCUUCCCAAGUGCAUCGUUUCCCACCUUAGAUGUAAUUUGCUUACGUUCCAUCGCCUUCUCUGUCGAUGCAGCCACUGUGAAGGUUCCAUUAGCUGGUGAAUGGCCAUCCUCAGCCUCCGACUCAGUGAAUUCCCCCUCAUCAAGUUGGUUCGUAGCUUGGGGCUGUACCGACCGCAUCUCUUCUGUUUCCCGAACCACCUGAUCAGCCAACUUAUGAAUGAUUUCACCUGCGGUAGAAACAAUGGUCUCCUCUACUAACGCAGCGACAGCCAACCCAGGCUGCUGGGGUUGGGUCCCUGCCGAUGGAUGCUCAACCCGCAACUCGCCCUCUUCCAGCGCGCUUUCCAGAGCUUCCUCUAAGGCAUUGCCCCCAGGUCGCUGCACCUCCGGAGACAGAGUAGGAGCCCCAGGCCUCUCCGUGGGAGUCACCGCAUCUCCCAAAGUUAUCUUGUCCAACUCCUCAUUGCCGUUUGUCUCCUCGAUAGCUGCUGUCGUACCCUCGCCAACCGCAUCUGGUUGCUGAAGGAGACGCUGUGGACCUGCUGUCACCGCCAUCCUUCCCAUUUCUGAAAUCACCCGUGGAACAUAUCUCCGCCGCUGCUGCUGGCCAUUAGCCACUGGCCGCAGAGAUGGGUCCUUCCGAAAGCACGAACCAACCCCGUGGCCAAACAUACUACAAUAGGAGCAGUACUCAGGCAAUCCCUCCAACUCCACCGGCUGCCAAAACCCAUAGUUAUCGUCACCUAUCCAGACCCGCUGCACUGGCGGCGCCGAGAUGCAGAGCUCCACCAGUACCCGCGCUACCGAGGGGCGCCUAAGGUCACUGGUAGCAGCGUCUACUCGCAACGGCCUCCCCAAUGUUGCAGCAAGCCGCAGCAGUUGUUGUUUUUGAAAAAAGGGUAGGGGCAACUCAGGAAAGGCCACCCACACCGGAGCAAUUGCCAACUCCUGAUUUGCUUUGAACUCCAAAGACCAUUUGGAUAUUGACAUCGGAGAACUGCGUACGUACCACACCCUCCUUGCGAAAAGCCUGGUGUAAUCUUCCUCCAACGCCGGCCGAAGCAGCACAUGUUUUUGAUCCAGCAAUCCCACCGCACACUCCCCUUUAAGGCCUAGAGAUGUGAUGAACUUUCUGAUGAGUUCCAUUGAAGGCCUGGUGAACGCAAACCUCCCGACAAGAGCAUUCUGGAAAGGUUCGGCAAGCUUGGCGAUGUCCUGUUUGGUGAGGCGGAGAGCAGGUUCUCCCCUGAAGGUGGAGACCUCCCCCAACGCACCUGAGGCUGCAACCGCAGCCCCACCUGAGACAACCGCCGCAAACGACCUGCCCUGCGGCGGCCCUCCCUCUGGAGACGACUCCGACGACCCGUUGGCCGCCAUGCACUAGUUAGGAUAAACCCUAGCUGCCUGCUGAGAUCCGAGAUUUUCGCUCAUAUUAAUCUGAGUAGACAACGAUAGUUCUUAUACCAUAGGGAACUUCUUCACUUAUCAUUAUUUGAACACCACAUUUGAUCUUAGAUAAAAAAUCAUAACAAAUAGAAAAUUUUUCUAUUUCUUGAUGUUUCCUAGCAAAAUCUAUCAUUCUCCUAAGAACAUGGCUCCCUUGCUUCUCAAUUCCUAGUCUUGCUCUAUGCAUUGAGGAUUUUGCUACUUAAUUUAAACAACUACAUGCAUUUUGAUAUCAUAUAGCUUGCAUAAUCAAAUUAAGCAUUUUAUGCGUUUGUUAUAUUAUAAGAUGACAUGUAUGAUAUUACAAGAUGACAUGUAACUUUUUUCAGAAUUCUUUUGUUAUGACAUUUUAUCUCUUUUGUUGAAGACUACACAAAGGGAAGUGGUUUAUCGAUUAUAUGUUAAACUUUCAACUCAAAUAGUCUUUUUUUUUUUGGUUAAAAUCAUGCAAUAAUUGUGAGAACUCGAGAAAAAUAUGUAUAAGCCCUGAAUUUAUUUCAUUUUAUUUACUUUGUUCUUAGAAAUAUUAUAUAUAACGAAUAGUUGGUUAAAUUAAAUGGCUAAUUGAAUUUCUAUAAAAUUGAAAAUAAGGAAAUAUCCUAGAAUGGUGUAAAAAAUUUUUUUAUAGGGGUAUGCAAAUUGGAAUAUACAAAAGUUUGGGGCAAUAUUUGAAGAUGAUAAAACAACUAGUAAAUAAAUCAAAGUUAAAAGACCAUUUUAACGCUAAAGCUUGAGCAAUUAACCAGCAACUAAGAGGAUCGCCUUCUGGAAUGAAAUCGAAAGAAAAAUGAGAGUUUCUACCAAUACAUUUGGGCCGUGGUUAACAUUUGCUAAGUUAGGUAGUGACCGAGAGGAAAAGGAGAAAACUAUUUUGCUAAAAAUUUGGGCGGUGGCUGAGAACAAAACUUCAGUUUCCCUCCUUACCAAACCAACCUUGAGCUCGGUCGAACUACAUGCAGCCAACAAAAAUAAGCCAUCAGAUUUUUUGAGCAGAAACCGAGAGAAAGAAACAUGUGGAGUUUGGCUUGAGUAGGAGCAGCCUAGAAGAGUGUACCACCGACUGGAAACAUUGACCACCGAGUAGCAUAACUUCCUUCUGAUCCUUAAGUCUUCUAAGCAGAGAGCUAAGUGAGUAUAAGAAGAAAAAUUCGUUGGCUGUACCAAUUCACUGACUGCAGUAGAGAGCAACGAACUAGACAGUUCAUUCCUUUCUUCCUUUCUUGUUUUCUUUCUAAAAUAGAAUCGAGUGUGAGGAAAAAGAAUUUUGCAAGCUUCACCAUCAGCUAACCAAAAUAAAGCAAACAAAGGCAGAGAGACAGGAGAGAUAGCUGGUGCAGACGUGAGGGAACAAGCUGGAAAGAAAAUCUAAUCCUGUCUGCAAUUCCUAACACUAAAAGGCAAAAGGUAAAUUUUUGUGACUAAUCUCUACUUACUGAGUAUAAAUAAGUGUAUAUUCGAAUUGUAAGCCGAGUAUUAGCAGAGGAAAUUGAGCUUCGACUGAGGAAAAAUUCUGGUUUGAAAUCUGAAGGUUCACUGACUGGACCUGUGAGAAUUGAGUGAUGAUCGACUGAAAUUGCAGGUUGUUAUCAAAGGAAAAUGGAAGAGUGUUGUAGAAAAUGUAUGAAAAUGCCUGUUUCUGGCAUAAAGUGAAAUUUAGCUGUAGAAACUUGUAAAAGUUGGAACUUUAAGCUGAAUUUAUUGAAAGAAACCUGAUGAAAAUCUGUUAGCUUCACACGAGAGAAAUGGAGCUAAGAAACAUUAGCUGUCUUCUGCAAAUUUGGCUUUUAAACUUUUGUAUCAAGCUGUGAUGUGUUAUAAAACAUCUUAACUUCGUCAAGCAAGACAGAAAUGAGUGGAAACUAAAGUGAACGAAGAAUGAAUUUAAUUGACUGCAGGUAGGUUGGCCGAGGGAAUGAAGCAGGCUAUGCAACUUGUUGUUGCUGAUUCUGGAACUUUUAUUAAUGAACACAUAGAAAAUAUGUUAAUCCCUUGAUUUAACAGAUAGGUGCCUUUGAAAUUAGCAACCUUAAGAAAAGUCUAGCUGAAUUUGGUAAAAGAAAGCUGAUGCAAUCUGCUAUGAUACUAAAGGGAAGGAAAUCAGCUUUUGGAGCAGCUUGUCUUCUAAUGUCUGAUUCUGUGAACUUCCACAGGUAGAACUAAGGUUACUCUGUGGUUUAGUAACUAUGACUAGUUCCAUGAGUAGAGUUGAACUAAGGCAAAUAGGGAGGAAAACUAUGAAAUGUGCUGCUGAAUUACCUCAUGGCCGAGAGAAGAAGGGAAGAGUUGAUCAGUCUUUUCCUCUAAGUUAGCUGCAAAAUUUUCCACGUUCUGUACAGGGUUACUUUGUAGCUUAAUAAAUGUAAUUAACCUGUCUAGUUGGGAUAUAAAAUUGGAAGGAGGAACUUGAGAGAAACGGCAAACGUUGGACUGAUAUAUUGCUAGGAAGCUACUUGAAGGCCACGAUAGCUGAUGGCAGUUUUUGUAGGGGAAUUUGGUCGAAAAACCUGUUGAAAUUAUGAGUCAUGUACCUUAAUUCAUGUUGGACAGAAUGUGUAUUGUGUGUUUGGUGAUCUAGGCAAGUAAAAGUUAGAAACUCUACCAAAAACUUUGAAGUAAGGUUGCUGGAAAUUUGUUUAAUGGCCGAGAGAGGGGCUGAAACUCUCAUGUGAUAUUUGGAAAAUUUCAUGAUAAUUGGCUACCAUCUUGAAUGAGACGUUGUACAAUAUCCUGUCACUGUUCUUAUGUGCACUCUAUUGACUUUUAACAUCUGAAAGGUUGGUAAAACCUUAGGAAAUUCUAGCUAAAACUAGUAAAGAAAAGCUGAGAUCCAAACUAUUACAUUGUUGGAGAAACUAACGUUUGAUGGAAUGGAUUGCUGGAAAUAGAUGCUGCUUACCUUGAUCUAUGCUAGACCGAAAGUACAUUGAAAUACUUAAAACUGUAAGCAAGUAAAAGAGUAAAGUUUUAUUGAAAACUUGAAGUAUACAGCUGGAAUUUCGGUUUGUUGGUUGAAAUGGGGGUUAGUUAAGCUUUCUAUGAUAUUUUUGGAAACUCUAAGGUAACUCGUUAUAGCUAUAUACAUAACAUGGUUUCAAAUCACCUAAUCUUGUCCUCACAAGCAUUUUAAAGAUUUUAGAACUUGAAAGAUUUUAGAACUUGAAGGACUAGUAUAGAGAAAUAAAAUCUAAAUUACAAAUGGCUUAAAGUUAAUUAAUAAAAGGGAAUCAAUGGAGUGUUCCUAAGCUUUAAUCUUAGAAUAUUCAGUGGAAAAUGGUUUAAUUAUAAUUUAAAUAUUUUAUAAAUUAUACACUUGGAAAAUACAUAUAUUUCUUGGUUUAAAAUGAUAAAGUCAAAAAGUCGCGAAAUGAAAUGUAGAAUAAAUAUUGAAUAUAUUAUAUUUUGUAUUUUGAAGUCAAACUUGAUUUUAAUAGUUCAAAUAAUAGGGUAAUAAAUGGUAAAUGAACAUUUACAAAUUGUAUAUUUAUUUUAGAGUUAUAAAUUGUCUCAGGGGAUAGCUGUGAGCCAGGAAACAAACCCGAGACUCGAGAGUAAUUUAUUUGGAUAUUUGGUGAGUGUUUCCAAAAUUUAAUGUGUUUAACUGUUUAUGUUUACUGUCGCGCCCCUUUUUUUGAGAAAACUAAAUAAACGGUUUAAAAAGUGAAUUUUUGAUUUGAAAAAUGAAUCUUUGAUUUAAAAAGAAAAAUGGGCCUAAAUGGGACUUGUAAUGCGACGAUUUGGGCCCAAAAUAAGGUUUAAAAAGGGUUUUUGAAUAGAAAAUCGGAGUCGCCACUUGGUAUUGAGUUAAGGUGUACCAAGUCACCUAAAAAUGAAUUUUGAUGAAAUCAUGUAAAACCCUUUUUAAACGACUCCUAAGUCUACGAAAAUUAGAGAAAAAAGAUUCGGGAGUCACAUUUGAAGAAAGGGAAGGCAAGGACAAAAAUCCGAGGCAUCCUUUCAACCUAGCCAAGGCUAGUUGCGUGAUUUAGUCAAAGAUUUUCUUGUUUUAACCUAAAGAUUUAUCACAUUUGAAUGUGCUAUAUGAAUGCAAACUGUAGACACCAAAUUUUUACUCUUUUAUUUAUUUAUUUACUAUUUUUGUUUAAUUUAUCUCAAAAUUUCAUUUUUUUAGCAUUUUGGACAUCAAAUCUUUUAAUUUAGUUUUACUUGUUAAUUUUAUUCAUUUUUGCUUAUUUGUCUAUUAGUUUUAAGACGUUUAAGCAUUAAUAUUUUUCGGGAAAAAAGAGAAUUGCUCACAAAAAAAAUAUUCUUUAAAUUUUAGAUUCAAUUUAGGGAGGUUUGCUAUUUAUUUAUUUUGUUAAAAAAAAAAAAGGGCUCAUGCACCAUGCGGCACUGGAUCCAAGCUCUUUCUCAAUAUUUCAAGGCAGAAACAAGCUUCAGACAUCACAAAAAAAUUGCAGCUGGCUUUUUCUUCCCAUUUGAUUCGUUACUCCAAAGGGUUCCCAGUACAAACGGGAUCAAAGGGGCAAGAGCAGGCCACAUAAACCCAUUUCUGGGGUUUGACAUCUCGGCCUUCCAUCGUAGGUUGAGGUUUUGGGGUUCCUUUAAAUGCUAGAGCCGCAGCCAAGAAGGGGGGGUAACAACUGACGAAAGAGAGUGGGACGGCUAGGAAAAAUCUGGGACAAAGAAAUAGAGCGGUGGCGGAGACAGAGAGAAAAGAAAAACCAGGGGAAUGAGGAGAGCUUGAGAGGCUAGCGACGGCUGGGAGGUUGAACAGUGGCGAGGUUUUUGAUAGAGAAAGAAACUAAGAAAACGCAGGGCUGUGGGUGGUUGACGGCUAGAAAAGAAAGAGACUAGAGAGAGAGGAGGCUGAGGACGGCUAGGAAAAAGAAACCAGAGAGGAGAAAGGUGCAGCGGCUGGGGUCUUGGGAAUCUGGAGCUGACGGCUAGGGUUCUGGACAAGAAAGCUAAGGGUUUCAGAGAAGAUCUGGGGAAGUAAAGGGGCGGUAGAAAGAGAUCUGAAAGGGAGAAAACAGCAGAGGAAAAGGGAAAACGAGGUGCUGCUACCGCUGCAACAAAUCUGCCUGGGCGUUGUUUUUCCCAGAAACCAACGUCACUUUCCUGAGCUUUCCCGUUUGAUUUACUUCACAGACGUUUGCAGGUGACUCUAGCCUUUCUUGCUGCCAUUUUCAUACCAUUUUGUGAAGAUCUGGGGUUCAUUGCAUGAAUUUCCUCCUUGUGCAUGCAUGUUUUGUUCCCUUUCUUUGUGGUUUCAUCUCUGGUUCUUUGUAGAAACCCGUGUGGCCAUGUGGUAACUUGUUUCAGCUCUAUAUCUCUGUGUUUGAAUCGUGUGUUGUUAUAGUUCAUGAAACCCAGGGUAUAGGAAUCAUUUCCAGCCUCCCCUUAGUCGAUGAUUAGUCUUCAUUUUGCCGAAAGGAGGUUGUAGAAAUUUUGGCAGGCUCUUUUCCUCUAAUUUUUGUAUUUAAACAUGAGAGUUUUGUGGCUCAAAGUGAAAAAUGUGCGGUCAUGUUGUAACUUUGAUUCAUGUUUCAUCGAUUAAAUCCAGUAGUGGUGUUUGAAUGAACAAAACCAGAAAACUGCAGCAAGAAACAGGCUACAGACGCAAAUGAAAGAAAGCUGCAUUUCUUUGUCAUGUUUUGCUGCUUUACUUUUGUCCUGUAACAGCCCACGAAGUUGAGUUUCCUCACUUUGUUUGCAUGCUCAAUCUUAUGUCAAUGAUAGUUGUAGAGAAAUUGAUGAGGCUUGGGUUUUGUUUAUAGCUUUGGCCAUCUUUCUGGUUUGUUAACAAGCUGCGAUAUGGUAGGAAAAAUGCAGCAGGCCUGCACUUUCGAUUGCUGAAGCUUUUAGUUUGAUUGAAAUUUGUGGUUUUAUACCAUGUACAUGCUCACACUGAGUUUCCUACUCUUGUAUCUUUGCUGCAUUUUUCACACACGAGCACUUUAGGUGAAUGUUUAAAUGUUGUUUUGAUCAAGCUUAGCUAGAGGUUGCUGAAAUUCCAAAGUAGCGGGAAAAACCAUGAGUUGUCCAGAUUUUGUAUGCCCUUUUGGCCAACUUUUGGUGUUUAAAAUGAGAGGAUAAGAUAGUGGUCUUGUUAUUCUAAGGGUGAAACUUGUUAAGAGCUGCGGAAAACCUGCUAUUCUACAAAUUGCAGCAGAGAUGUUGGCCGCAAAUUGCAGAAAGCUUUGCUGCGCCUUUUAUUCUUCCUUCUUUUGCUAUUUAAUUUUUUUACCCUUGAUGGUCAGCCUCAGUUCUUGUUUCAAUCCUGCAAUGAAGUUGCAUGUUUAGUCAAUGAUUGAUACUUUAAAUCCUGGCAUUUGGUGGACAUGGUUGCAUGAUGAACUGGAAAGAAAGUCACGGCAGGAAUGGUGCAGAAAAGAAAACUCCUUCUACGUUGUUUGCAUGCAUGAAAUAAAGGAAAAAUUGCAUUUUAACCCUUUAAUUUGUGUUUAAUUCUAUUAUGGCCUGGAAAAUUGGGAAGACUAAUCAAUUGGGUCCCAUAAAAAUGUUGUCUUUGAUUGAUAUGUUCAAUGUAGUUCUUGGACAGAUCAUUCAUGAAUUUUAGAACGAAUUUUUGAGGUUUAAUCGUUUGAGGGCUUUAUGAUUUUGAUGUGUUUUUUUUUAGUGAAAUUUUUGAGUUUUGUUGUUUAAUUGUCACGAGUGAUCACUUUUUUCGUGAAUUUUAGCAUUUGAUUGAUAGGUCUCAUCUCAAGCCAUCAAUUUUGGUAUUUUAUUGUAGACCCUUAAAAUAAUUUUUUUUUAAUUUAAUCAUUUUAUUUAGGACCUUGUUUGCUUUAAUUUCUGGCAUAUGGAUGGUUUAUUUUAUGUCAAUACCCUAAGUGACUCCAUUUCGUGUUUAGUUUUCAUUUCGUGUUUAAUUUCAUGUAAUUAAUUAUUAAUUAAAGUGAUGCCUUGACCCUUUUUUUAUUUUUUGGAG
Molecule: long non-coding RNA, 199874 nt
Filed under: Coffea arabica (coffee)
Lineage: Eukaryota; Viridiplantae; Streptophyta; Magnoliopsida; Gentianales; Rubiaceae
Description: long non-coding RNA (CARA_LNC002596)
Source: RNAcentral